RNAcentral lists this long non-coding RNA (275561 nucleotides) under Triticum aestivum (bread wheat). Its description in RNAcentral is "long non-coding RNA (TAES_LNC014305)". The stretch from base 106936 to 107070 matches the Rfam family "MIR1120/MIR1122 microRNA precursor family". The record is from RNAcentral. Lineage: Eukaryota; Viridiplantae; Streptophyta; Magnoliopsida; Poales; Poaceae.
ACAAAUAUACAAUUCCUCUGUGGUCAGCAGAUCCAAAGCUGUACUGAAUCAUUAGCUACAGCGAAACCAAAUAAAGAAUUUCACAAAGGAAGUGCUUUACAAAAUACCAAAUGCAUAAAUUCAACUAGGGAUCACAUCAGUAACAAAAUACCAAAUGCAUAAAGUCAACUAGAGAUCACACCAGUAACAAGUCCGACUGAACCUUUUAGUACACUAGCAGGUUGACAAUAUGAACUAAGAUUUCGGAUAACAAUAAUAACUGAUUGUUAUGGAUAGCAGGGCCUAUCACUGUACAGUUUAACCCCAUCAAACUAAGUCAUGUCCCGAAUAACAGCCAGUGCUGGGCAAACAAGAACAAGGGUAACAACUUUCUUUGAAAAUGAAAUGAUGCUUAAUCUGUAGGUUGACCAAGCGUUGCUCUGAUGUCUGAACUGGAAAUCAAACAAGCAGAAGUAUAAGCACCAGCAAAGUGGGGGGCCAUGCUUGAAGCAGAUUCAGAGGUACACCGACAAUUUUUUCAGAUGAAAGAAGAGCCAGUUUUUGGGAGGAAACACAGGGGUGGUUUGAAGGUAAAGCUACUACCCCUCAGCAUCUGCUAAUGGCUCUGAGAACAGAGGAACAUAGGGUAGAAAUCUGUGCACACUGCUUCUCUCAAGAUUAAUGAUACAGCCAACUUUCUGAUGCCACAUGUCAUAUGAUAUCAAGGUAUCACCUCCACACUGAGCCAGGAAAAUUGUGUCACAAUCUGGAUGAAUCUCAACCACCCUGUACUUCUCCCCAGUCAUGCUCAUAAGCGUAUCAAUGCUGGCAGUAUGCUUCAGGACCCAUUCUUUACUGUCCCAAUCCUUGAGGCACCAGAGUGCUAUCUCAGAAACUAGGAUUUCAUUGUUAUUAUUGACAGAAGCUACAACAUAGUGUAAGCACCCCUGCGACAAUCCAAUAGUACCAAAUUUUGAACCGUACAGCACACGGAUAGUCUUCCACACUUUCCCCUCCAUGUCCACCCCCACCAGCACAUACUCACCGUUGGUGUCCACCACGUUACCCAUGAUGUACAGCAUACCACCAACAAAGACACAUUUACUCCUGAACAGGGUAGCUUUCUCAACUAUCCCACUGUCUCUAUGAAUCCAGGCUCCUGUGCGAGACGAGUAGAUGUUCACUCCUGCGAUCAAAGUUUUCGGAAAGGUCCGCUCGAAACAAAGAACAUGGAAAUGGGACGAGACUGCUGGAUCGAAAGCUAGGCCUGCAGUAUGGUUAAGUCUGUUCAUUGGCUCCGGCUUUUGAGGUUGAGGUGGCACCUCCACCCACCACCCGGUGGCGGGAUUGCACACAACAAAAUGGUAAUCAUGCCUGCUGCUGUUGUAACGGCGGUAGAGAACGAGGCCAUUGCAAGCAUCCACCUGGGUGAUGCCCUCAUCCUUGUUAGGAUACAGGUAAGGGAGGGAAGGGUCAAAGGAGGCUGUGCCGCCGGAGAAACCGACAAAGUGGUGGCGAUACCCGUUGCUGCAGAAGGACGUGUAGAGGAAGCCAGCAAGGGUCUGGGGCAGCUUCUUGUGGUUGGCGGGGUCGGCGAUGAGGUCGCGCCAGAGCACUGAGACGCACUUGAAACGGUGGACGGAUCUGGCUGGGAGGCAGGAGAGGAUCUCCAGCAUGAGGUCGACAUUGAACAGGCUGGUCGCCCCCGCCGUCGUCGCCUGCGGAUGGUCGUCCAACCUCGGCUUGGUGUUCCUCUCGAAGAUCUCCGCCUCCUCCAUGGAGCUUGGCUUGGCGUUCCACUCCAAUAUCUCCCCUUUCUCCGCCUCCUCCAUGGAGGAGGAAGGGCUAGGCAGGGGACACGGUCAGACCAGAUCUAAAUGGAGAGAGAAAAUCAUAGAUCUGGCUGAGAAAAAUUAACCCGGCAGUGGUGGUGGUCCUGUGGGGAGUCGGAAAGAUACCUUGGUUUGGCUAAUGAUAGCGACGGGUGCCGGCGGUGAACGGGGAUGCGACCGGCGGCACUUCACUUCUCAGAGGACGGACACUGGGGAACAACAUCACCGACGCUGAACAUAGAAAGAGGAAAUUGGCAUAUGCUUGGAUUGGAUAGUCGUAGAUACAAACAUAAAAAUGACCUCUAUGUAAAGAAUUCACAACUUUCAGAAUUUACCCUUUUCCAAACAUGACUAGAAAGAAACGUGCGCCUUUUUUUGCUGUUUUUAAUCAAUGAAGAGCAACAUAUAUAGAAGUACUCCAACUAUUUAACAAAAGAAAAUAAUUUCAAUGCCACCACAAACUAAGAGAAAAAAACCUAGUCCAUCGCCACCUUCUCACUUGCCUCCCCCAACUAUAGUUCCUGUCUUUGGGACUCCCUAUCCAUGUCUUAUUUUCCAAAUAAUGUCUUCUGUUCUCAUGUAACUCCUUUUCACUUAGAGAAGUUCCAAAGAGAGCAGUGAUCAAAAGUUUAUUUCACCCAAACAAAAGCAUAUCAGAAUAUUGCAUACAACAAUGUGUUAGCUACAGACAUAUGGUACUCAGGCCAACUCCAGCGUGUGAUCCCAAAUGGUCCGGCCGCGUAACGGACACAAAACAUGGCCCCCAAAUUUGAGCCGCGUUUGCGUCGAAACGGACAGUGCGCGGACGGGCGGGAUGCACGCCCUUGUCCUUCCCUGGCCCAACCAUCGGGGACACAAACACACCCACUUUCCCCCUCAUUCCCAAAAACCUCCCACGCUCCCCCUCCACUCCCUCCUCCAUGGUCGAUGCCCCAAAGAAACCCGACGACCUGACCGCCACCACCGAGUGCCCGGAGACGAAGAAGAACAACCCGAAGAAACCGGCGGAGGUCGUGUGGCUCAACCUUGAAUCGGCCAAGAGGAGGGUCCGUCGGACCGUUGCGGCGCAGAAGAAAGCCGCUGUCGACUUUGCCACCGAGGUUGCGGCCUCACAGCACAUGGUCGUCGUCGACUAGAAUGAGGCCAUCCUCGCCAAGGCCACGCAGGCAACAUUGACGCGGGUCCUUGUCAUGAAGGACAGCAAUUCUCUCCGCCGCCAUGGCCGCAGAGAGCACAGUCUCGUCGGUCGUUCACCCUCCGUAGUGCCAAUCGCCAAGCUCCUCCAUAACACCGGAGACGGCCGGUUUCCAUCCGCUGUGGCGGCACACUCAGACCCGGUUCUCCACAUCGCCAAACGGCAGCGUGAUCGUGCCGGCCACCCCCGCCCAGCCGGCCGUGAUCGACCUCAACGUCAUGCCUGGGUACAGUGGCGUGUUGGGGAACGCAGUAAUUUCAAAAAAGUUCCUACGCACACGCAAGAUCAUGGGGAUGCAUAGCAACGUGAGGGGAAGAAUGUUGUCCACGUACCCUCGUAGACCGUAAGCGGAAGCGUUAUGUGAAGGAAAUAUGCCCUAGAGGCAAUAAUAAAGUUAUUAUUUAUUUCCUUAUAUCAUGAUACAUGUUUAUUAUUCGUGCUAGAAUUGUAUUAACUGGAAACAUAAUACAUGUGUGAAUAUAUAGACAAACAGAUUGUCACUAGUAUGCCUCUACUUGACUAGCUCGUUGAUCAAAGAUGGUUAUGUUUCCUAACCAUAGACAUGAGUUGUCAUUUGAUUAACGGGGUCACAUCAUUAGGAGAAUGAUGUGAUUGACUUGACCCAUUCUGUUAGCUUGGCACACGAUCUUUUAGUAUUCUGCUAUUGCUUUCUUCAUGACUUAUACAUGUUCCUAUUACUAUGAGAUUAUGCAACUCCCGUUUACCGGAGGAACACUUGGUGUGCUACCAAACGUCACAACAUAACUAGGUGAUUAUAAAGGUGCUCUACAGGUCUCUCCGAAGGUACUUGUUGGGUUGGCGUAUUUCGAGAUUAGGAUUUGUCACUUCGAUUGUCGGAGAGGUAUCUUUGGGCCCUCUCGGUAAUGCACAUCACUUAAGCCUUGCAAGCAUUGAAACUAAUGAGUUAGUUGCGGGAUGAUGUUAUGGAACGAGUAAAGAGACUUGUCGGUAACGAGAUUGAACUAGGUAUUGAGAUACCGACGAUCGAAUCUCGGGAAAGUAACAUACCGAUGACAAACGGAACAACGUAUGUUAUUAUGCGGUUUGACCGAUAAAAGAUCUUCAUAGAAUAUGUGGGAGCCAAUAUGAACAUCCAGGUUCCGCUAUUGGUUAUUGACCAGAGAUGUGUCUCGGUCAUGUCUACAUAGUUCUCGAACCCGUAGGGUCCGCACGCUUAACGUUUCGAUGAUAGUUAUAUUAUGAGUUUAUAUGUUUUGAUGUACCGAAGGUUGUUCGGAGUCCCGGAUGUGAUCCCGGACAUGACGAGGAGUCUCGAAAUGGUCGAGACAUGAAGAUUGAUAUAUUGGAAGCCUAUGUUUGGAUAUCGGAAGUGUACCGGGUGAAAUCGGGAUUUUACCGAAGUACCGGGAGGUUACCGGAACCCCCUGGGGGCUUAAUGGGCCUACAUGGGCCUUAGUGGAAAUAGAGGGCAGCAAGGGGAGUGUGGGGUGCGCCCCCCCAAGGCCCAAACCCGAAUUGGUUUAGGGCAAGGGGGCUGGCCCCCUCUUUCCUUCUCCCCCACUCUCUUUCCUUCUUCCAAGUCCUAAUCCAACUUGGAAAGGGGGGGGGGGUGAGGGAGUCCUAGAUUAGGGGGUCUCCAGACAGUCGGACUAUAUCCUUUUGCUGGACUAUUGGACUAUGAAGAUACGAGAUUGAAGACUUCGUCCCGUGUUCGGAUGGGACUCUACUUGGCGUGGAAGGCAAGCUAGGCAAUACGGAUAUGGAUAUUUCCUCCUUUGUAACCGACCUUGUGUAACCCUAGCCUCCUCCGGUGUCUAUAUAAACCGGAGUGUUUUAGUCCGUAGGACAACAUACAAUCAUACCAUAGGCUAGCUCCUAUGGUUUAGCCUCUCCGAUCUCGUGGUAGAUCAACUCUUGUACUAUUCAUAUUAUCAAGAAUAAUCAAGCAGGACGUAGGCUUUUACCUCCAUCAAGAGGGCCCGAACCUAGGUAAAACUUCGUGCCCCCUGCCUCCUGUUACCAUCCGCCUUAGACGCACAGUUCGGGACCCCCUACCCGAGAUCCGCCGGUUUUGACACAGACAUUGUUGCUUUCAUUGAGAGUUCCUCUGUGUCAUCGCCGUUAGGCUUGAUGGCUCCUUCGAUCAUCGAUAGCGAUGCAGUCCAGGGUGAGACUUUUCUCCCCGGAUAGAUCUUUGUAAUUGGCGGCUUCGCACUGCGGGCCAACUCACUUGGCCAUUUGGAGCAGAUCGAGAGUUACGCCCCUGGCCACCCAGGUCAGGUUUGGAAGCUUAAACUACACGGCCGACAUCCGCGGAGACUUGAUCUUCGACGGAUUCGAGCCCCUGCCAAGUGCGCCGCACGGUCAUGAUGAGCAUGAUUUAGCUCUGCCAUCAGACAGUGUUCAGGAGACCGCACCGGCAACCGCUCCGACCCUCAAUUCGGAGCCAAUUGCGCCACCCAUGGACGGGUGGAUAGACCCUACCACGGAGGCCAUAUUCUCAGUGGCGAUCGAUCCGAGUAUCGACCUUACCCUUCAUGGGAGCCAUGACGCUGAACUACCGGAUUCUUCCCCCGCCACGGACUCCGAACCGCUUGCGCCCGUGCCUAUCGAAUCCGACUGGGCAUCGAUCAUGGAGUUCACCUCAGCGGAUAUCUUUCAGCACUCGCCUUUCAGUGACAUACUAAACUCAUUAAGGUCCCUCUCCCUGUCAGGAGAGUCCUGGCCGAACUAUGUUCGGCAGGAUUGGGAUGCGGAUGACAAAGAAAUUCGCUGCCCACCCACCACCCACUUAGUAGCCACUGUCGACAAUUUGACCGACAUGCUCGACUUCGACUCCGAAGACAUCGACGGUAUGGACGACGAUGCAGGAGACGAAGAGGAACCACUGCCCACAGGGCACUGGACAGCCACCUCAUCAUAUGAUAUAUAAAUGGUGGACACACCCAAAGAAGGCAAUGGCGACGAGACAGCGGAGGAUGACCCCUCCAAGAAGCAACCCAAGCACCGACGUCAGUGGCGCCGCUCUAAGUCUCGCAAAGCAAAAGCGGUGACACCGGCACAGGAGAUAAUAGCACUCCGGACAGUGCCAAAGACGACAACAAUCCCCUCCAGCAACAUUUAGAGCAGGAGGACGGAGAAGCCAGCCUUCCUGAGAGAGUGGCAGAUGGAGAGGCGGAGGAUGAUAAUUACAUGCCUCCCUCCGAAGACGAGGCAAGCCUCGACGACGACGAAUUUGUCGUGCCGGAGGAUUCCGCCGAACAAGAGCGCUUCAAGCGCCGGCUUAUAGCCACGGAAAAUAGCCUUAAGAAAAAGCAGCAGCAGCUUCAAGCUGAUCAAGACUUGCUAGCUGACAGAUGGACUGAAGUCCUUGCGGCCGAGGAAUAUGAACUCGAAUGCCCCUCCAAUAGUUUCCCAAAGCGCAGGUUGCUACCCUGACUGGAGGAGGAAGCAUUAAAACCUACAUCUCCAGCAUAUGACGCGGAUGAUCGGCCACCUCGUGGCCGCGAUAGAGAGGCAUUUCAGCCAAAAACUCAGCCCGCACCCCGAUGCCACUCACAUAAAAACCACAAGGCACGGGGAAAUAUGCGAGACCUGCAAGACGUAUUGGAGGACAAAUCAAAACACGCAAGAUCGAUCUACGGAUCACGAGGGCGCGCCACUACAUGAGACGAUAACCGUCACGCCGGAUACAGUAAAAGUAAAUCCGGCCGGGCCAAACACAGCGGACAAGAAUCAUUCAAGCUGCGUCUCGACAUAGCCCACUACAGAGGCGCCGCACACCCCAUAUGCUUCACAGACGAAGUAAUGGAUCACCAAAUCUCAGAGGGUUUCAGACCCGUAAAUAUUGAAUCAUACAACAGCACAACAGAUCCUGCGGUAUGGAUCAAGGACUUCCUCCUGCACAUCCACAUGGCCCGCGGUGACGAUCUACACGCCAUCAAAUACCUCCCACUCAAGCUCAAAGGACCAGCUCGGCAUUGGCUCAACAGCCUGCCAGCAGAAUCCAUUGGCUGCUGGGAAGAUCUGGAAGCCGCAUUCCUCGACAACUUCCAGGGCACUUAUGUGCGACCACCAGAUGCCGAUGACUUGAGCCACAUAAUUCAGCAGCCAGAGGAAUCAGCCAGAAAAUUCUGGACACGGUUCCUGACAAAGAAAAAUCAAAUCAUCGACUGUCUGGAUGCAGAGGCCCUAGUAGCUUUUAAGCACAACAUCCGCAACGAGUGGCUCGCCCGGCAUGUUGGCCGGGAAAAGCCGAAAUCUAUGGCAGCCCUCACGACACUCAUGACCCGCUUUUGCGCGGGAGAAGACAACUGGCUGUCUCGCAGCAAUAACAUAUCAAAGAACCACGGUACUUCAGAUACCAAGGAUAGCAAUGGCAGGUCAUGUCGCAACAAACAUAAGCCGCCGCGUCAAUAAUGACAAUACCGAGGAUACGAUAGUCAAUGCCGGAUUCAGAGGCUCUAAACCCGGUCGGCGGAAAAAGCCAUUCAAAAGAAGCACUCCGGGCCCGUCUAGUUUGGACCGUAUAAUCGAUCUCUCGUGCCAAAUACAUGGCACCCCCGACAAGUCAGCCAACCACACCAACAGGGAAUGUUGGGUGUUCAAGCAGGCCGACAAGUUAAAUGCCGAAAACAAAGAUAAGGGGCUACAUAGCGAUGACGAGGAAGAGCCCCGGCAGCCGAACACCGGAGGGCAGAAGAUGUUCCCCCCACAAGUGCGGACGGUGAACAUGAUAUACGCAACCCACAUCCCCAAGAGGGAGCGGAAGCGUGCGUUAAGGGACGUAUAUGCGUUGGAGCCAGUCGCCACAAAGUUCAUCCCAUGGUCCUCCUAUCCGAUCACCUUCGAUCGCAGGGACCAUACCACUAGUAUCCAUCAUGGCGGAUUCGCCGCACUGGUCCUAGACCCAAUCAUCGAUGGAUUUUACCUCACUCGAGUCCUUAUGGACGGUGGCAGCAGCUUGAACCUGCUUUAUCAGGACACAGUGUGCAAAAUGGGUAUAGACCCCUCAAGGAUCAAACCCACAAGAACAACCUUUAAAGGCGUCAUACGAGGUGUAGAGGCCCAUUGCGCAGGAUCAGUCACACUGGAAGUGGUCUUCGGAUCCCCGGAUAACUUCCGAAGCGAGGAGAUAAUCUUUGAUAUAGUCCCAUUCCGCAGUGGCUAUCACGCACUGCUCGGGCGGACCGCAUUUGCCAGAUUCAACGCGGUACCGCAUUAUGCAUACCUCAAGCUCAAGAUGCCAGGACCUCGGGGGGUCAUCACAGUCAAUGGAAACACAGAGCGCUCUCUCCGCACAGAGGAGCACACUGCAGCCCUCGCAGCAGAAGCGCAAAGCAGCCUCUUAAGGCAAUCCACCAGUUCGGCGAUUAAAGACCCGGACACCUUCAAGCGCGCCCGGAGUAAUCGGCAACAAGACCGCCUGGCAUGUUCCGAGCUCGCAUAGCAAUGCAGCCCCCACCCCAGUCCCAGCCAAACGGCGAAAUCCGUGCCACGUGUGCAUAAUUACGCAUUGAAAAUACCAUGGGCACAGGUGGGGAGGGGGCAUGACUACAGCAUGCCCCAAGACGCAGCUCAACCGCACUAAGGGCUUCCCGCUUUGUUAUUUUUAUCUCUUUCAGGACUUUAAUCUCUGGAAACCCCGUCCGGCAGUACGAUUGCCAGACACAUGAUGCAACAACAAGGAGGCAGAAAGCUACGUCGCACCACGGAACUCCCAGGUGGUCUCUGAUAACGAGUGAAAUACCUGCUUUAAAUACCAUUCCUCAGCGUGCCCUUGGAUGGGACAUGUCAAAUAGUCCUACCUUUUGCUUAUCGCACUACUUGUAUCAUUCUGCUUCGACGCACCUUUUUGAAUAAACACUGAAUAGCACUAGACUAUUACCGCAUCCUCUAUUGUUUUUUAUGUAUAUGUUCAUUCAUGACAUUCAGCACCCGUACACUCUGGUACGACCAAUACGCCAGGCGCUUAAGCAUCACUAGUAGAAAAUAGGGCUUUGGUCCAGGCCGGGUCAGCCCCUUAGUCCCGGUUCAGUCCAGAACCAGGACCAAUGGGGGUAUUGGACCCGGUUCGUGAGCCCAGGUGGCCAGCCGGCCCACGUGGGCCAUUGGUCCCGGUUCAUCUGGACCUUUUGGUCCCGAUUGGUGGGACGAACCGGGACCAAUGGGCCUCGCUCUUGGCCCACCACCAUUGGUCCCGUUUAGUGGCUUGAACCGGGACCAAAGGCUCCCCUUUAGUCCCGGUUCAUGCCACCAACCGGGACCAAUGAGGUGCCUAUAUAUACCCCCUCACGUAAGAGCAGAUCACACUGCUCUGUUUUUUUCUGGCCGAGGGGGAGAGGGCUUGGUGAUGCUCUAGCUCACCUCUAUGCACACAAGGUGUUCGAUGGAAUGCCCGAGCCACACUAAAGCUUUCUCCUCUCCAAGCUCUAUUUUCCAUAAUAUUUGUCUAGGUUUAGCGGUCCGUCAUGCCCCGUCCCUGUCUUCACCGCCGUCGAUCACCCGCGCCGAGCUCAUUGCCGGAACCACCGUGGUGAGCCUCUUGUUCUUAUCUUCUUUCUGAAAGGAAAAAUAUUCUUACUUGUAUGUUUACAUAGAUACUUGUAUUAUUUUCUUACUUUUAUUAUUGCAUCUUAUAUAGUGCGAUGGUUUUGGUAUCUGCCCCCGUCGGCCCUCGUCCUGUCUAUGAUUCGGAUGUGGUAUAUAUAUUAUCUUUAUAACUAUUGGUUGAUUUAUUGUUGAUGAAAAUUAUGCCGACCAACGUGACAUAGAUUUUAUUUAUGUAGGAUGUAUGUGAAUUGGAAAUGCCAACUGACCCUAUUGUCGAGAGGUUAAAUUUAGUUUAAGAACAAAACAAUUUGUUGAAGGAAAAAAUAAAAAAAAAUUGAGGAGGAGAAGAUGAUAUUGGAGUUGCAUGUUGCGGAUGUCGUCGAUGAUCACAAGAUCAAGAUGGAUGCAAUGCGCUUCAAGAUUAGAAAGAUUAGAAAAUAUGCCAUUCAUACCGAGGCUUGGUAUCAUUAUGUCGUUGGAUCAAUUGUUACCUUGGUUGCGAUUAUUAUCGCAUUUUGUUUUCGCAUUGAAAUGUUUUACAUAGUUUCAAUGUAUGGUUUAAUUAAUUAGAUGCUGUGGAGAGCUAUAUGUUGUUAGAUGAGAACUAUGUAUGCACUUUGGUUUUAAUGUGAUGAUGAACUUCUAUUAAUUUGGACACUUAACUAUAUAUAAUGCACGCAGAUGAACCGGCAAUGGAUGUACGGUGACAGACACACCUGCGAGUACAUUAAGGGCGUGCAUGAGUUUCUCGAUGCGGCUGAGGAAAACAAGCAGAAUGGUUUUAUGUGUUGUCCAUGCACUGAAUGUGGGAAUACGAGGUCUUACUCUAACCGGAAAAUCCUUCACUCCCACCUGCUUUACAAGGGUUUCAUGCCACACUAUAAUGUUUGGUCGAGGCACGGAGAAAUAGGGGUUAUGAUGGAAGACGGCAAAGAAGAAGAGUACGAUGACAACUAUGUGCCCCCUGAAUACAGUGAUGCUGCAACGGGAGGAGCUGGUGAAGAUCAAGAGGAACCAGACGAUGUGCCCAAUGAUGCUGCAACGGGUGAAGCUGCUGAAGAUCAAGAGGAACCAGACGAUUAGCCCGAUGAUGAUGAUCUCUGCCGGGUCAUUGUCGAUGCAAGGACGCAAUGCGAAAGUCAAAAGGAGGAGCUGAAGUUCGAUCGCAUGUUAGAGGAUCACAAAAAAGGGUUGUACCCCAAUUGCGAAGAUGGCAACACAAAGCUCGGUACCGUACUAGAAUUGCUGUAGUGGAAGGCAGAGAAUGUUGUGGCUGACAAAGGAUUUGAGAAGCUACUGAAAAUAUUGAAGAAGAAGCUUCCAAAGGAUAACGAAUUGCCCGACAGUACAUACGCAACAAAGAAGGUUGUAUGCCCUCUAGGAUUGGAGGUGGAGAAGAUACAUGCAUGCCCUAAUGACUGCAUCCUCUACCGCGGUGCAUACAAGGAUCUGAACGCAUGCCUGGUAUGCGGUGCAUUGCGGUAUAAGAUCAGACGAGAUGACCCUGGUGAUGUUGACGGCGAGCCCCCCAGGAAGAGGGUUCCUGUGAAGGUGAUGUGAUAUGCUCCUAUAAUACCACGGUUGAAACGUUUGUUCAGAAACGAAGAGCAUGUCAAGUUGAUGCGAUGGCACAGUGAGAACCGAAAGAAAGAUGGGAAGUUGAGAGCACCCGCUGACGGGUCGCAGUGGAGAAAAAUCGAGAGAAUGUACUGGGAUGAGUUUGCAAAGGACCCAUGGAAUGUAUUGUUUGCUUUAAGCGCGGAUGGCAUUAAUCCUUUCGGGGAGCAGAGCAGCAAUCACAGCACCUGGCCCGUGACUCUAUGUAUGUAUAACCUUCCUCCUUGGAUGUGCAUGAAGCGAAAGUUCAUUAUGAUGCAAGUUCUCAUCCAAGGCCCUAAGAAACCCGGCAACGACAUUGAUGUGUACCUAAGGCCAUUAGUUGAAGAAAUUUUACAACUGUGGAAUGGAAAUGGUGUACGUACGUGGGAUGAGCACAGACAGGAGGAAUUUAACCUAAAGGCGUUGCUGUUCGUGACCAUCAAUGAUUGGCCCGCUCUCCGUAACCUUUCAGGACAGACAAACAAAGGAUACCACGCAUGCACACACUGUUUAGAUGACACUGAAAGUAUAUACCUAGACAAAUGCAGGAACAAUGUGUACCUGGGCCAUCGUCGAUUUCUUCCGACCAACCAUCAAUGUCGAAAGAAAGGCAAGCAUUUCAAAGGCGAGGCAGAUCACCGGAAGAAGCCCUCCAUGCGUACCGGUGAUCACGUACUUGCUAUGGUCAAUGAUUUACACGUAAUCUUUGGAAAGGGUCCUUGUGGACUAGCUGUUCCAAAUGACGCUGAGGGACACGCACCCAUGCGGAAGAAGAAAUCUAUAUUUUGGGACCUACCCUACUGGAAAGACCUAGAGGUCCGCUCUUCAAUCGACGUGAUGCACGUGACGAGGAACCUUUGCGUAAACCUGCUAGGCUUCUUGGGCGUGUUGAAGGAAAUAUGCCCUAGAGGCAAUAAUAAAGUUAUUAUUUAUUUCCUUAUAUCAUGAUAAAUGUUUAUUAUUCAUGCUAGAAUUGUAUUAACCGGAAACAUAAUACAUGUGUGAAUACAUAGACAAGCAGAGUGUCACUAGUAUGCCUCUACUUGACUAGCUCGUUAAUCAAAGAUGGUUAUGUUUCCUAACCAUGGACAAAGAUUUGUUAUUUGAUUAACGGGAUCACAUCAUUAGGUGAAUGAUCUGAUUGACAUGACCCAUUCCAUUAGCUUAGCACCCGAUCGUUUAGUAUGUUGCUAUUGCUUUCUUCAUGACUUAUACAUGUUCCUAUGACUAUGAGAUUAUGCAACUCCCGUUUGCCGGAGGAACACUUUGUGUGCUACCAAACGUCACAACGUAGCUGGGUGAUUAUAAAGUUGCUCUACAGGUGUCUCCAAAGGUACAUGUUGGGUUGGCGUAUUUCGAGAUUAGGAUUUGUCACUCCGAUUGUCGGAGAGGUAUCUCAGGGCCCUCUCGGUAAUGCACAUCACAUAAGCCUUGCAAGCAUUGCAACUAAUGAGUUAGUUGCGAAAUGAUGUAUUACGGAACAAGUAAAGAGACUUGCCGGUAACGAGAUUGAACUAGGUAUUGAGAUACCAACGAUCGAAUCUCGGGCAAGUAACAUACCGAUGACAAAGGGAACAACGUAUGUUGUUAUGCGGUCUCACCGAUAAAGAUAUUCGUAGAAUAUGUAGGAGCCAAUAUGGGCAUCCAGGUCCCACUAUUGGUUAUUGACCGGAGACGUGUCUCGGUCAUGUCUACAUUGUUCUCGAACCGUAGGAUCCGCACGCUUAACAUUACGAUGACAGUUUCAUUAUGAGUUUAUACAUUUUGAUGUACCGAAGUUUGUUCGGAGUCCCGGAUGUGAUCAUGGACAUGAUGAGGACUCUCGAAAUGGUCGAGACAUAAAGAUCGAUAUAUUGGAAGCCUAUAUUUGGAUAUCGGAAUCGUACCGGGUGAAAUCGGGAUUUUACAGGAGUACUGGGGGGUUACCGGAACCCCCCGGGGGGUUAUUGGGCCUACAUGGGCCUUAAGGGAGAAGAGGAAAGGAGGCAAGAUGUGGUCGUGCGCCCCUCCCCUUCCUAGUCCGAAUAGGACAAGGGAAGGGGGGCGGCGCCCCCCCUUUCCUUUCCCUCUUCCUCCUCUUUCCCCUUCUCCUUAUCCAACUAGGAAAGAAGGGAGUCCUACUCCCAGUGGGAGUAGGACUCCCCCUUGGCACGCCCCUCCUUGGCCGGCCGCCCCCUCCCCUUGGCUCCUUUAUAUACGGGGGCAGGGGGCACCGUAGGACACACAAGUUAAUCUUCGUGAUCGUUCCUUAGCCGUGUGCGGUGCCCCCCUCCACGAUAUUACACCUCGGUCAUAUUGUAGCAGUUCUUAGGCGAAGCCCUGCGGCGGUUGAACAUCAAGAUCGUCACCACGCCGUCGUGCUGACGGAACUCAUCCCCGAAGCUUUGCUGGAUCGGAGCCCGGGGAUCGUCAUCGAGCUGAACGUGUGCCAAGAACUCGGAAGUGCCGGAGUAACGGUGCUUCGAUCGGUCGGAUCGUGAAGACGUACGACUACAUCAACCGCAUUGUCACAACGCUUCCGCUGUCGGUCUACAAGGGUACGUAGAUCACACUCUCCCCUCUCGUUGCUAUGCAUCACCAUGAUCUUGCAUGUGCGUAGGAAAUUUUUUGAAAUUACUAUGUUCCCCAACACAUGUAUGCGAAGACAAAAGAUACACCUGAGGCACGGGAGGACCUGCAACGUUUGCACGAAAAAGACGGCAUGGCUCCGAAGCAGUAUGAAGAUCCUGCCAGCUACGCUCUUACGAAAGAAGAGAAAGAAAUCUUCUUUGAAUGCCUGCUCAGUAUGAAGGUCACGACUGGCUUCUCGUCGAAUAUAAAGGGAAUAAUAAAUAUGCCAGAGAAAAAGUUUCAGAACCUAAAGUCUCAUGACUACCACGUGAUUAUGACGCAACUACUUACGGUUGCAUUGAGGGGGCUUCUACCGGAAAAUGUCCGAUUAGCCAUUGUGAAGCUAUGUGCAUUCCUCAAUGCAAUCUCUCAGAAGGUGAUUGAUCCAGAAAUCAUACCAAGGCUAAGGAGUGAUGUGGCGCAAUGUCUUGUCAGUUUCGAGCUGGUGUUCCCACCAUCCUUCUUCAAUAUCAUGACGCACGUCCUAGUUCAUCUAGUCGACGAGAUUGUCAUCCUGGGGCCCGUAUUUCUACAUAAUAUGUUCCCCUUUGAGAGGUUCAUGUGAGUCCUAAAGAAAUAUGUCCAUAACCGCGCUAGGCCAGAAGGAAGCAUCUCCAUGGGCCAUCAAACAGAGGAUGUUAUCGGGUUUUGUGUUGACUUCAUUCCUUGCCUUAAGAAGAUAGGUCUCCAUAAAUCGCGGUAUGAGGGGCGACUGACUGGAAAAGGCACUCUUGGAAGUGACUCAAUAAUAUGCAGGGACGGAUAUUCUUGGUCUCAAGCACACUACACAGUUCUAUAGAACUCUACCUUGGUGACCCCGUAUGUCGAUGAAUACAAGAACAGUCUGCGCUCCAAACACCUGGAGCAGUGCGACGACUGGAUUACAUGUGAACACAUCAGGACUUUCAGCAGUUGGUUGGAAACACGUCUCAGAGGUGACAACACUAUUUGUGAUGAGUUGUACUUGUUAUCCAGGGGACCAUCUUUGACUGUAUUGACUUAGAAAGGAUACGAGAUAAAUGGGAAUACAUAUUACACAAUCGCCCAAGAUCAAAAGAGCACCAACCAAAACAGCGGUGUCCACUUUGAUGCAGCAACCGAGAGCGGAAAGGACACAUAUUAUGGUUACAUAGUUGACAUAUGGGAACUUGACUACAGACCUGAUUUUAAGGUCCCUUUGUUUAAGUGCAAAUGGGUCAAUCUGUCAGGCGGCGGGGUACAGGUAGACCCACAGUACGGAAUGACAACAGUGGAUCUGAAAAAUCUUGGGUACACUGACGAACCGUUUGUCCUAGCGAAUGAUGUGGCACAGGUUAUCUAUGUGAAGGACAUGUCUACCAAACCGAGAAAAAGAAAAGAUAAGGAAGCGAAUACAUCAUACGAUGAGCCAAAGCGCCACAUAGUUCUUUCAGGAAAAAGGGACAUCCUGGGAGUGGACGGCAAGACAGACAUGUCUGAAGAUUAUGAAAAGUUUCAUGAAAUUCCUCCCUUCAAUGUCAAGGCUGACCCAAGCAUCCUGAUAAACGAUGAAGAUUAUCCAUGGUUACGGCGCAAUAAGCAAAUGACACAAGCGAAGAAAAAGUGAAGACUUUCUCCCGCAACUAUUAUGAUGAUACCAUGCCAACUUUGUAACACACGAACAUGCUACCAUUGUCUGUUUUGUACAUGCACAUGCUAUGUGGGUGAAAUUAUGAUACCAUGCCAACUUUCAACUUUUUCAGAGUUCAUUUGAAAUGCUUUCAUGUCUUAUGGUUCGGCCCUCGUAAUACCAUGACCAUUAGUCCCUGGCCCAUGCCAACUUUUAACUUUCAACUUUCUAAAACUAAUGGCACUAACAGAAAGUUUAUAAUUUUGCUCCUCGCCCCUGGCCCAUGACCAUUAGUCCCUCCUCCCCGAGACCGUGCCGCCCCGACGCCAUCCGCCGCCCUCGCCGACGCCCUCGCCGACGCCCUCGCCACCCCCGCCGCCCCCACCGUCGCCCUCGCCGGUCAACCUCGCUGUGAGCCGCCGCGCGCCAUCCCGGUUUAUCAUUUUUUUUUCAUUUUUUCUUCGUAUAUAUAAUGUAUAUAUGUAUGUGGCUAUAUGUAUGUAUAGAUGUUCAUAUAUGUGUAUUAUUUUUUUUGUUCAGAGCAUUUUUUGUUCAUAUAUGUAUUUUUUGGUUUAUGUGUAUUAUUUUUUUGUUCAUAGUAUUUUUUUGUUCAAAUUUUUUCAUAGCAUUAUUUCCAUGUAUAUAUGUAUGUGGCUAUGUAUGUAUAGAUGGAUAGCAUUUUUUCCAUGUAUGUAUGUCAUUGUCGAUAUACCCCCUCCCCGUUAACUUCGACAGGAGGGGGGCUCGAUAUAACCCUCCCCGAUAACUUCGACAUGAGGGGGGGGGUCGAUAUACCCCCUCCCUGAUAACUUCGACAUGAGGGAGGGUCGAGAACUAGUUUAGGGGGUCGAGGGUUGAGAACUAGUUUAGGGGGUCAAGGGUCGAGAACGUCGGACAUUCAUGAGAGAGGCGAGGAAGAAGGGGAAGAAGAGGGAGAAGAAGAGGAGAUGAAGAAGAGGAAGUCUUCUCCUCUAUUCUUUCUUCUCUUCUUUUUUCUUCUUCUUCCUAUAUGUAUUAGCUUUUUUAUUUAGAUUGUUAAUUAGUAGAUAUUAAUUUUGUUCAUAUAUGUAUGGAUGCAUGUGAUAUGUAUGUAUGUAUGUAUCGGGUAUGUCGUUGUCGAUAUACCCCCUACCCGAUAAGUUUGACAUGAGGGGGUCGAGAGGGGGUCUAGGGUCGCUGAGGGGUCGAGGGUAGUCGAACAUGAGAGGAAGAAGAGGAUAAAAAAAGAAGAGGAAGAAGAAAAAAAGAGGAGAAGAAAGAAUAGAGGAGUUCUUCUCCUCUAUUCUUUCUUCUCCUCUUUUUUUCUUCUUCUUCCUCUUUUUUUAUCGGGAAUGAGGGUCGUCAAGGGUCACCGAGCGGUAGAGGAAACCCUAAAUAGCAAGUAUCGUCGAUGUGAGAUACAUGUGGCCGUCGGUGUCGGACAGUACAUCCACGUCCCACAAGUGACGCGGGCUUCGACGCCCACGUCACUUGUUGGACGUUGAUGUNNNNNNNNNNNNNNNNNNNNNNNNNNNNNNNNNNNNNNNNNNNNNNNNNNNNNNNNNNNNNNNNNNNNNNNNNNNNNNNNNNNNNNNNNNNNNNNNNNNNNNNNNNNNNNNNNNNNNNNNNNNNNNNNNNNNNNNNNNNNNNNNNNNNNNNNNNNNNNNNNNNNNNNNNNNNNNNNNNNNNNNNNNNNNNNNNNNNNNNNNNNNNNNNNNNNNNNNNNNNNNNNNNNNNNNNNNNNNNNNNNNNNNNNNNNNNNNNNNNNNNNNNNNNNNNNNNNNNNNNNNNNNNNNNNNNNNNNNNNNNNNNNNNNNNNNNNNNNNNNNNNNNNNNNNNNNNNNNNNNNNNNNNNNNNNNNNNNNNNNNNNNNNNNNNNNNNNNNNNNNNNNNNNNNNNNNNNNNNNNNNNNNNNNNNNNNNNNNNNNNNNNNNNNNNNNNNNNNNNNNNNNNNNNNNNNNNNNNNNNNNNNNNNNNNNNNNNNNNNNNNNNNNNNNNNNNNNNNNNNNNNNNNNNNNNNNNNNNNNNNNNNNNNNNNNNNNNNNNNNNNNNNNNNNNNNNNNNNNNNNNNNNNNNNNNNNNNNNNNNNNNNNNNNCAUCCACAUCCCACAAGUGACGCAGGCUUUGACGCCCACGUCACUUGUGGGACGUGGAUGUAGUGUCUAACACCGACGGCCACAUGUAUCUCACACCCACGAUACUUGCUAUUUAGGGUUUCCUCUACCGCUCGGUGACCCUCGACGACCCUCGUUCCUGAUAAAAAAAGAGGAAGAAGAAGAAGAAAAAAAUAGGAGAAGAAAGAAUAGAGGAGUUCUUACUCCUCUAUUCUUUCUUCUCCUCUUUUUUUUUCUUCUUCCUCUUCUUUUUUUAUCCUUGAAGCGUUGUCGAGGCCACCCCAAACCCCAGAGAAGCAGCGUCGAGGCCACACCAAACCCUAGAGAAGCAGCAUCGAGGCCACUAAUUAAUAUUAGUUCUACGUUUGCCACUAAUAUAUCCAUCUGUCAUGUUUGAAUAAUAAUUGCCAUGUUGUCAAUAUUUGUAGAAACUAUGGACACCGCCCGAGAAGAAGUACAAGAAGAGUUGUUGGGGGACAUAAUCGCACGAGGAAGUGAUGCCGUAUGCUUGCUGUUUCCCAACGACACCCAUGGUCUGGAAGCAGCUGGCUAUGAUUAUGAUGGCUCCGGUGACCUAAUGCUGGUGCAAGAAGGAGACCGUGAGGACGGCUCCGGUGACCCAAUGCCGAUGCAAGAAGGAGACCGUGAUGACGUCUCCAGUGACCGAACCGAGUUCGGCCAGGUAUACAUAUUAGUUAAGCUUCUGCUGACUAGCUAAUUGAUGCAUUCAUUGUUUUGGUAUGUACAUAUAUUAACUAAGUCUUUGUUCUUUUUUCUAGCCCUCCGGAUCGAGCAAAACUUCGGUAAAGAGACGAGGCCCGAAGAAAAAGUUGAGCUCGGAUGAAAAGUUUGAGAUCAUAGCAAUCGCGCCCGAUGGCCAACCUAUUGAACCCCUCUGGACAAAGAGCGCAUUUGUUGCUCAGUGCGGGGUUUUAGUUAGGGACAAGAUCCCGAUCAGCAUCCAGCAAUGGUUAAAGCCGGCUACAGAAGACCCUGAGGUGUCUUAUGUCAAUGAUAUGCAGAAAAAUGAUCUUUGGACUGAGCUAAAGUCAAAUUUCACCCUACCGCCAAAGGAUGAUCCGGAGAAGCCAGUUAAAGAGCAAUUAAUCAAGUCUUUUGCUCUUAAGAGGAUGGCAGAACUAUUCAGGAGGUGGAAGAAAGAGCUGAAUAAGUUUGUCGAAAAUAAAGAGACACCAGAAUUCAAGGGCAGAUAUGAGAAGAUCAGAGAUCACUGGCCCGCAUAUGUGGUGCACAAGACAUCGGAAAAGAGUAAGAAGAUGUCGGCGACAAACAAGCAAAAUGCUGCGAAGAAGAAGCAUCGCCAUCGCACGGGGUCAGGUGGCUACCUCGUAGCCCGGCCUAAGUGGGCCAAGACUGAGAAUGAUCUGGUUGAUAAAGGGAUCGAACCAGAGACAAUUAACUGGCCAGAUCGUUGCCGGACUUGGUUCUUCAGGGCUGGCGGAACCUUGGACCCUGUAUCAGGGAAGUGCGUUUGGACGAACGAUCAAAUGGACAUACCAGUCAAGAAGCUUCAGAAGUAUAUCGAAGCAGCGCAGCAAGGGACGUUCUUUCCAGACAGAGAGAACGACAAGCUCACAAUGGCCCUCCGGAAUCCUGAGCACCCUGGAUGGACACGAGGCACGCCGGGCUCCAUUCCAUGGAAGGUUGGGUUUCCGGACGUAGGCGGUUACAAAUGCUAGGAGAGGAGGAAAAAAGUGCAGCAGACCCAAAUGCAAGCACUGCAAGCAAGGGUACAAGCGAUAGAGGAACGAUAAGCAAAUCGCAGCAAACGAACUACCGAAGCUUCCACCGAAGCUACCCCGCCAUCUCAGCGGAGAAGCAGCGUGGCUUCCACUGAGCUACUUCAACCGGAGCAUGCCUUGACGGCUUGUGCUAGCUAUCCCGUGGAUGCUAUCACGGAGUCUCAAAAUUUCCACCUUAUGACGCAAUGGAUUAAUUUGAAGGUUAAGGCAGCUGUUGGCUCUGUUUAUCCUACUGAACCCGGCGCAACUUUUCACUGUCGGCCGAUUCCAGAAGGAUAUGCUAGGGUGAUGGUGGAUGAAAUAACGGAGAGAUUUGAGGACCUCCAGCUUAACCACCCUACCGGUGAAGGGGAGACUAGGCUGGGUUCUUCUCUGAAGACUCCAUGCCUAUGGCGGAAGGAGCUCAUCAACCUUUCGAACUGGACGCCUCCGCCUCCUCCUCCCCCUCCGGCAAGUCAGGGCACUCCGCCUCCUCUACCGCCUCCUCCUCCGGCGAGUCAGGCCACUCCGCCUCCUCCACUGCCUCCUACUCCGGCGAGUCAGGGCACUCCGCCUCCUUCUCUGCCUACGCCGGCGCGCCCGAGCAGCCAUCCUCCUUCUCCGCCUCGUCAGCAAGGGCGGAAGAGACCUGCCGCCGCUCCGGCUGCUCCGGUGCGUCGUAGUCCUUCUCCUCCGCCUCGUAAGCAAGUAAAGAAGACAACCGCUUCGUCUGCUCUGUUGGUGUCUAGUAGUACAGCCAGAGGCGGGAGGACAUACAGAUUCGGUCCUUCUCUGAAGACUCCAGAGAAGUUACCAUACGAGAGGACCCCGGAGGAGAAUGCCGAGAUCGCGCGAGAAGAAGUGAGGAACUUAUUUGAAGGGGUGAAAGCAAAGAAACAUCCACCUCCAGAGGAGAAGGUAGAUCUGGUGAAAGCGAAGCGCACUCUGGUUGCCCUGACAAAACCACCCAAGUCUCCGCCGAAAGGAAACUAUGAGCGCAUUAUUGGAAAGGAAUUUGUCGAAGCGGAGCCGUCGGGAAGUACUAUCAGUGAUCAAAGGCUGAAAGAAUGACGAGCUGGGAAACAAAUUGCACAGCUCGGCGAACAAGCGAAGCAAUCGUGCCCCCCGCUCAAGGUGCCUAGCGACAUCGUCACUAAUGAUCCGAGGAUGGUGCCCGGUUAUAGAAAUCUCGGAGAUUACCUGCCCAACGAUGUACAUUAUGAUUUCAUGGAGGUGCAGAUACAAAGAUAUGAGUACGGGGAGCCUCUCGUCAAAUAUGAAAGAUCUCUAUCAACGAUGAUGCGAAGAUUGCAUGAUUGGUACUUGAAAAUCUGCAGAGAGUCGGGGGGAGGAGUACUUUGUAUGUGAGAGUUAAAAAGGAGCAUGACCUCAUUGGAAUUGAUCUGUUGCCUAUUCCAUUUGAGGAGUUCUUUCAGUUUUUCGAUCAAUUGGCCCUCGAUAAAGCAACUGUUACCUGCUACUGUCUAUAAGUAGUACUACUUCUGUCAUUAAGUCUCUCUAUAUAGCUCAACUCUUUCAUUGCAUGUAUUUAUAAUUAUACUCACUAUAUUAUGCAGAUUGAAGAUCGCCGAAUUGAAGAAAAGACAAGUUGGUGAUAUUGGGUUCAUUAACACAAAUCUCAUAGAUGCAACUGAGGUUAAAUUUCAUGCCGCAGAUACCGAGGCCAACUUGCUACGAUCGUUGGUAACAAAUGAAAACAAAGAUAUAAUACUCUUUCCUUACAACUUCAAGUGAGUGUUACUAUCUUGUGCGUAUUCAGUUUCGCUUAUAUAUUAGUCAAGGUUAUAGUAAUGUAAUUGAUGAGUUAUGCAUGCGUGUGCAGUUUCCACUAUAUUCUCCUAGAGAUUAAGCUUGAGCAGGGACUAGUAACCGUCUUAGACUCAAGACGAAAAGAUCCCCAGGACUAUGCGGACAUGACUCAAAUGCUCGAGAAGUAAGUUAAAUCGAUCAUUAUCCACCACAUCAGCAAAUUUGUUCAUUUCCUGAUAUAUCAAGUAAUUGUUUUCUUUGUCUGGCAGGGUUUGGAAAAAAUUCACCAAAAAAGCUUCGGGACUCCUGAAGAAGCUGCAAUUUAGACACCCGAAAGUAAGUACUAUAGUAGCAUGUUCCGCGCAUCUCCUAUUGAUACAAGCGCUAGUUUCAUCAAUACCAUUUGGCAUUCUUGCUUAUCAGUUUGAUUGACCUCUAUUUCUUGUAAAGUGGUUGUGGCAGGAACAAGGGAAUAAUUUCGGUGGAUACUACAUUUGCGAGUCCAUCCGCCACACGACCUGUGAGCGGAGCUACUCUGACGAACAAUAUGAAGUGCGUAAAUAACAACAUUCACAAUUUUAUUUUAUUAGCAUAAUUUGUGUUGAGUUUCAUUCAUUCAUAUAUAUAUAUAUAUAUAUAUAUAUAUAUAUAUAUAUAUAUAUAUAUAUAUAUAUAUAUUGACCCCCUUCUUCAAAUUAGAUGUUUCAGAAGCGGGAUGAACUCCUAGCACCAGCUCGCAUGCGAGCAAUUCAAGAGGAAUUGGCGGCAUUCUUUCUUGACCACGUGAUCGCUGAAGACGGAGAAUACUAUGUGGACCAUGAGUCCGUAUGUUAGGAGAUUAUAUUUGUAAGAGAUAAUUAUUGUAUAUAUGUAGCCGAUAGUGUCGGAUAGAUAUACGAGAACUUGUUGUUCGACCAAUCUCUUGGAGAAGGAGAGGUGGUCGAUAUCACUUCUCUCUGUAUGCAUAUAUGUUCAUGACGAUCUUCUGUUUCCUUCGUUUGCUUACUAGCUACCUAGCGUGUCUAGUCCUCUCUAUACGUAUGUAUAGUACGUAGCGUCAACCAAGCACGGACAUAAGAGAGGACACUUCUCUCUAUUAAUUAUAGCUAGCUAACACAAUAUAUGAAACACCUAAAUUAACCCCACAAAACCCCCAAACCCCCCCCCUUUAAAAAAACAAAAACCCCAGCCACAGAAAUGCUGACGCGUGGAUGCCUAUUGGUCCCGGUUGGUGCCACCAACAGGCCACGUGGAGGCCCAUCUGUCCUGGUUCUAGAUUGAACCGGGACUAAAGGGACAGGGCAUUAGUACCAACCCUUUAGUCCCGGUUCAGGAACCGGGACAAAAGGCCCUUACGAACCGGGACAACAGGCCCUUUUUCUACUAGUGCAUACCCCAUAUUACGGCUUGAGAAGUCCGAACACUUUCGACAAUGCGGCACCCUGAACUUAUAGCAUUAUAUGCAUCAGCUCUGAAUCAUGUCUUGGGUCAAUAGUUGGGUUUGCCCGGCUCCCAUGUUUUGGUACCUUACGUUCCGCUAUAUCGGCUAAGGUAGCACUGGGAGAACUACUGCGAUUGUGCCCCGGUUCAUCUGGACUAAGAACCUCAGUAGAGAAAGCUAAAAUUGACCUCCAUGAUAAGGCAAGAGUCGGUCACUGUUCGAGAGGCCUUGAGUCCCUAAAUACUUAUGCCGCUUAGGGCGAGGAGUCGGCUUUGUCCGGCUUAAGGCGUGUAUAGCACCCCGAAUUCGGCCUCCUGAAUACUGGGGCUUCGCCAAAAUUUAAAAUUGUAGACUUCUAUGGAUAAGUGAGAGUGAUAAAGCAUUAUAGUCCGAUUGCCUUGUUCGUUAAGCUGAGCACCUCCCUCGAAGGACCCAAUAAUGGGAAAAAGAGUGCUCAGAUUUAUCCCGAACACCGCAGCACUCGUGGCAUGGGGGCAGAAGCCGACGACUGGCCAUCUCUCAGAUUUGAUAAACAGCCGCACAGAAGGUAAUAUUUUAAAUUCAAACAAGCAUGGCAUAGUGCAUAUGAACAAGUUUUCAUAAUACAGGAUCACACGAGCAAGUUCAUUCAAAAAUUACAUCCUUCGCACACUCGUCCGCCACAAGACGGACACCCUUCAGGACACCCUCAUAAUACAUCUCAGGGUGGCGAUGCUCCUUGCCCUGCGGUGGCCCCUCCUUCACCAGCUUCUCAGCAUCCAUCUUGGCCCAGUGCACCUUCGCACGGGAAAAGGCCCGGCGUGCACCUUCGAUGCAGACGGACCACUUUAUGACCUCCAGCCAUGGGCAGGCAUCUACAAGCCGCCUCACCAGGCCGAAGUAGCUGUUGGGAAGGGAGUCGCCAGGCCACAUCCGGACUAUAAAGCCCCUCAUCGCCUGUUCGGCCGCCUUGUGCAGCUCGACCAGUUGCUUCAGCUGGUCGCUCAUAGGCAUCGGGUCUUCGGUCCCAGUAUACUGAGACCAGAACAACUUCUCCGUCGAGCUUCUCUCCUUGGCCUGGUAAUACUUCGCGGCAUCCGACACGCUGCGGGGAAAAUCUGCGAAUGCUCCUGGAGAACUCCGUACUCGGGUAAGUAACAAGUAAUUUACUUUCACAUGCUUACUUGGCAUAUUGAAUGCCUUACCCACCGCUAUCUUCCUCAUUGGCUCAAUUUCCUGGAGGGCCUUUUGCGCUUUGUCCUUGGCAUGCUUGGUGCUCUCGAGGGCCGUGGCAAGCUCGGACUCUCGCGUCUUCGAGUCAAGCUCCAAAGUCUCGUGUUUCUUCACGAGAGCCUGGAGCUCUUGCUGCACCUCGCCCACCUGUGCCUCUUGUCUCUCCCGCUCGGUGCGCUCCUUGGUCGCAUUGUUUUCGGCCUCGGACAAUGCUUGCUUCAGGGUUGCCACUUCGCUCGUGGCCCCUGGCACAUUCAUGAUGAUCCUGUCAGUUCGCAACCACAUUUUCUUUUCUAUAUAGAUAAGGUAUUACUUACCCUUGUUCUCCUCGAGCUGUCUCUUGGCAACGCCGAGCUCUUUCUCGGACCGCUCGAAGUCCUGCUUCAGUGCGGCGAAAUCCACAGUCAGUGCGGCAGAGGUCAGCAGCGAAGCCUGCAUACGCAUACAGACAUACUUAUAUUAGACUCCUGCAGAUAUUAUUCGAUCCUCUAUUCGGCUUUUCUUUGUGAACACCAAACAGAGCAUCAGGGGCUCCUGUCUAUGCAGUAACAUUUUUCCUAUAUUUUAAAUACUUACCUCAAAGCCUGUUAGAAGGCUGGUACAUGCUUCAGUCAUUCUGCUCUUGGCGGACUGAACCUUCUUGAUCACCGCACUCAUAAUAGUGUGGUGCUCUUCGUUAAUGGAAGCGCCGCUAAGCGCUCCCAGCAGUUCGUCCAGUGCCUCUGGAUGGACAGAGGUCACUGGCACGGAUGGCUUGCCCCUCUUGGAAGGGGCCCGCCUGCCCGAGUCCGGAACCACUGGGGGUUCCGGCGCUGUGUCCGGCUGCGGGCUGAACUUGGAGCCCUUGGAGCCUUGCUCCCUUUGCUCCUGGAGUUCGGAAGGUCGCCUUGAGGCGCCGCCGGGACAGACUCCCCCCGGCUCGGAGCCCCUUGAGGCAGUACCUCGGCAUUGUCUGUAGGGCAAGGAGAGGUGGCGGUUCGAAGUGUAUCACUAUCCAUGUCCGACGAGUCCAUGGAACCGUCCAACGAUGAUACGUCGAUACGGGCUUGGGGUGGACUGCAUAAUUAUAUUCGACUUUAGGAGAAGCAGUGUGACAAAAGUGUGCUAUGAGUUACUCUGGUAUCCGAAUACUUACGACUUCGCCAGGGCUUGGCCCUGAGCAGCCACUCGUCUUCGCCGUCGGCGGCGGUGGUGGAACAGUCCGGAAGGAGAGUCCUUCCCUUCUUGGACCCUUCGCCCUCCCCGGUUGGGGAGGCCUUCCUUUUCUUGUCUCCCCCGGCUGGAGGGGGAGAGUCUUCUUCUUCCUUCUCCUUGUUUUCAUGGGAGGAGUGCGUCUUGGAGUUAUCGGACUAUGAGUCCGAUACCACCUGGCGCCGGGAACUCUUUCGAGUUCCCUUGGCCUUCUUCUUGGUCUUAUCGGGCACCUCAUAAGGAGCCGGAGUCCGCAUCUCCGUCAGGAGAGCAUCCGCAAGGUCUUCGGGCAGAGGGGCCGGACAGUUAAUCUGCUUCGAUGUCUCCACCCAGUCCUGUCAAAGGCAUGGGAGCUCAGACCCCGCACAUGGUUAAACUAUGGGAAAUAAAUACCCUGCCAGAUGUAUAGAACUUACCGGAUUCACAAGGCGCUUCGGGCUUAGCCCGCGGUCCUCGGUAAGAGAAGGAGGGACCUCAGCGCCCUUGAACAACACCUUCCAGACGUCCUUAUGCGUCGUGUCGAAGAGCUCACUUAGAGUCUGGUGCUGAGCCAGGUCGAACUCCCAUAAGUUGAAAGACCGUUGUGGACACGGAGGAUCCAGCAGAAGAGCAUGACCUGGACUAUGUUGACAAGCUUAAGUUUCUUGCUUGUCAUGUUCCGGAUACACUUCUGGAGUCCGUCCAGCUCCACCGAAGAGCCCCAAGACAGGCCCUUCUCCUUCCAGGAAGUGAGCCGCAUGGGGACUCCGGAUCAAAACUCGAGGGCCACCACCUAGUUGGUGUCGCGCGGCUCGAUGAUGUAGAACCACCCCGAUUGCCACCCCUUUACGGUCUCCACGAAGGAGCCCUCGAGCCAUGUAACGUUGGGCAUUUUGCCCACCAUGGCUCCGCCGCAUUCCGCUUAUUGGCCGCCUACUAACUUCGACUUGAUAUUGAAGGUCUUCAGCCAUAGGCCGAAGUGGGGCCGGAUGCGGAGGAAAGCAACUCACACGACGAUGAACACCGAGAUGUUGAGGAUAAAAUUCGGGGCCAGAUCAUGAAAGUCUAGCCCAUAAUAGAACAAGAGGCCGCGGACGAAUGGAUGGAGGGGAAACCCCAGUCCGUGGACGAAGUGGGGGAGGAAAACCACCAUUUCAUGAGGUUCCGGGGUAGGGACGAUCUGCCCCGCGGUUGGCAGCCGGUGCGCGAUAUCCGCGGCUAAGUAUCCGGCUCCACGUAGUUUUUUUAUGUGUCCCUCCGUGACGGAGGAGGCCAUCCACUUGCCUCCUGCUCGAACAUGUUUGGAGAGAGUUGAGGAGAAGGAUGUGGACUUGGGCGCUGGAGCUCGAGUGCGCGAGAAUGGAUGAGCAAGGAGGAAGAAGGCAUGGGUAGAAAAAGGUGAGAUCUUAUCCCUUUACAAGGGCGGACUAAACUAUGCGCCCCCACUAGCCUGGUAAAACUCGCUUAUCCCCCAAAUACCGUAAUUGAUGGCGCGGUUGGGUUACCCACGUCUGUAUUGAUGAGAAUCCCGUAAUAAGGGGAACACGAUCUCUGCUUUGACAAGACGUGUCAAGAAACCGCCUCGCGUUAUGUGCGGGCCUGGUUAAAGAAAAACGGUUCAAAUAAUUACCGGGCCGUGGCAUGAUGUCAUGCUGCCAAAACGUGUCAAGCAGAUUAGAUUUGUGGAAAUUUUAUUCUCUCUACGGUGGUAUGUGGAACUUAUUUUGCAGGGUCGGACACUAUCCUUGUAUUCAAACUCUUCCGUGGUGUAUUCGGAGGAGGAACCCGCCUUGCAAUGCCGAAGACAACACUGCGCGUCAGACUCAUCGUCAUUGAAGCCUGGUUCAGGGGCUACUGAGGGAGUCCUGGAUUAGGGGGUCUCCGGACAGCCGGACUAUAUCCUUUGGCCGGACUGUUGGACUAUGAAGAUACAAGAUUGAAGACUUCAUCCCGUCUCCGGAUGGGACUCUACUUGGUGUGGAAGGCAACCUACGCAAUACGGAUAUGGAUAUUUCCUCCUUUGUAACCGACCUUGUGUAACCCUAGCCUCCUCCGGUGUCUAUAUAAACCGGAGGGUUUUAGUCCGUAGGACAACAUACAGUCAUACCAUAGGCUAGCUUCUAGGGUUUAGCCUCUCUGAUCUCGUGGUAGAUCAACUCUUGUACUACUCAUAUUAUCAAGAAUAAUCAAGCAGGACGUAGGGUUUUACCUCGAUCAAGAGGGCCCGAACCUAGGUAAAACAUCGUGUCCCCUGCCUCCUGUUACCAUCCGCCUUAGACGCACAGUUCGGGACCCCCUACCCGAGAUCUGCCGGUUUUGACACCGAUAGGGGGAGUCCUACUCCCGUUGGGAGUAGGACUCCUCCUGGCACGCCUCCUCCCUGGCCGGCCGCACCCCCCUUCGGAUUUUCUUUGUGAACACCAAACAGAGCAUUAGGGGCUCCUGUCUAUGGAGUAACAUUUUUCCUAUAUUUUAAAUACUUACCUCAAAGCCUGUUAGAAGGCUGGUACGAGCUUUAGUCAUUCCGCUCUUGGCGGACUGAACCUUCUUGAUCACCGCACUCAUAAUAGUGUGGUGCUCUUCGUGGAUGGAAGCGCCGCUAAGCGCUCCCAGCAGUUCGUCCGGUGCCUCUGGAUGGACAGAGGUCACCGGCACGGACGGCUUGCCCCUCUUGGAAGGGGCCCGCCUGCCCGAGUCCGGAACCACUAGAGGUUCAGGCGCUGUGUCCGGCUGCGGGCUGAACUUGGAGCCCUUGGGAGCCUUGCUCCCUUUGCUCCUGGAGUCUGGAAGGUCGCCUUGAGGCGCCGCCGGGACGGACUCCCCCCGGCUCGGUGCCCCUUGAGACAGUACCUCGGCAUUGUCCGUAGGGCAAGAAGAGGUGGCGGUUGGAAGUGUAUCACUAUCCAUGUCCGACGAGUCCAUGGAACCAUCCGACGAUGAUACGUCGAUACAGGCUUGGGGUGGACUACAUAAUUAUAUUCGACUUUAGGAGAAGCAGUGCGACAAAAGUAUGCUAUGAGUUACUCUGGUAUCCGAAUACUUACUACUUCGCCAGGGCUUGGCGCUGAGCAGCCACUCGUCUUCGCUGUCGGCGGCGGUGGUGGAACAGUCCGGAAGGAGAGUCCUUCCCUUCUUGGACCCUUCGCCCUCCCCGGUUGGGGCGGCCUUCCGUCUCUUGUCUCCCCCGGCUGGAGGGGGAGAGUCUUCGUCUUCCUUCUCCUCGUUUUCAUGGGAGGAGUGCGUCUCGGAGUUAUCGGACUAUGAGUCCGAUACCACCUGGCGCCGGGAACUCUUUCGAGUUCCCUUGGCCUUCUUCUUGGUCUUAUCGGGCACCUCAUAAGGAGCCGGAGUCCGCAUCUCCGUCAGGAGAGCGUCCGCAAGGUCUUCGGGCAGAGGGGCCGGACAGUUAAUCUGCUUCGAUGUCUCCACCCAGUCCUGUCAAAAGGCAAGGGAGCUCAGGCCCCGCACAUGGUUAAGCUAUGGGAAAUAAAUACCCUGCCAAAUGUAUAGAACUUACCGGAUUCGCAAGGCGCUUCGGGCUUAGCCCGCGGUCCUCGGUAAGAGAAGGAGGGACCUCGGCGCCCUUGAACAACACCUUCCAGACGUCCUUAUGCGUCGUGUCGAAGAGCUCACUUAGAGUCUGGUGCUGGGCCGGGUCGAACUCCCAUAAGUUGAAAGACCGUUGUGGACAUGGAGGAUCCAGCGGAAGAGCAUGACCUGGACUAUGUUGACAAGCUUAAGUUUCUUGCUUGUCAUGUUCCGGAUACACUUCUGGAGUCCGUCCAGCUCCACCGAAGAGCCCUAAGACAGGCCCUUCUCCUUCCAGGAAGUGAGCCGCAUGGGGACUCCGGAUCAAAACUCGAGGGCCACCACCUAGUUGGUGUCGCGCGGCUCGGUGAUGUAGAACCACCCCGAUUGCCACCCCUUUACGGUCUCCACGAAGGAGCCCUCGAGCCAUGUAACGUUGGGCAUUUUGCCCACCAUGGCUCCGCCGCAUUCCGCUUAUUGGCCGCCUACUAACUUCGACUUGAUAUUGAAGGUCUUCAGCCAUAGGCCGAAGUGGGGCCGGAUUCGGAGGAAAGCAACGCACACGACGAUGAACACCGAGAUGUUGAGGAUAAAAUUCGGGGCCAGAUCAUGAAAGUCCAGCCCAUAAUAGAACAAGAGGUCGCGGACGAAUGGAUGGAGGGGAAACCCCAGUCCGUGGAUGAAGUGGGGGAGGAAAACCACCAUUUCAUGAGUUUCCAGGGUAGGGACGAUCUGCCCCGCGGCUGGCAGCCGGUGCGCGAUAUCCGCGGCUAAGUAUCCGGCUCCAUGUAGUUUUUUUAUGUGUCCCUCCGUGACGGAGGAGGCCAUCCACUUGCCUCCUGCUCGAACAUGUUUGGAGAGAGUUGAGGAGAAGGAUGUGGACUUGGGCGCUGGAGCUCGAGUGCGCGAGAAUGGAUGAGCAAGGAGGAAGAAGGCAUGGGUAGAAAAAGGUGAGUUCUUAUCCCUUUACAAGGGCGGACUAAACUAUGCUCCCCCACUAGCCUGGUAAAACUCGCUUAUCCCCCAAAUACCAUAAUUGAUGGCGCGGUUGGGUUACCCACGUCUGUAUUGAUGAGAAUCCCGUAAUAAGGGGAACACGAUCUCUGCUUUGACAAGACGUGUCAAGAAACCGCCUCACGUUAUGUGCGGGCCUGGUUAAAGAAAAACGGUUCAAAUAAUUACCGGGCCGUGGCGUGAUGUCAUGCUGCCAAAACGUGUCAAGCAGAUUAGAUUUGUGGAAAUUUUAUUCUCUCUACGGUGGUAUGUGGAACUUAUUUUGCAGGGUCGGACACUAUCCUUGUAUUCAAACUCUUCCGUGGUGUAUUCGGAGGAGGAACCCGCCUUGCAAUGCCGAAGACAACACUGCACGCCGGACCCAUCAUCAUUGAAGCCUGGUUCAGGGGCUACUGAGGGAGUCCUGCAUUAGGGGGUCUCCGGACAGCCGGACUAUAUCCUUUGGCCGGACUGUUGGACUAUGAAGAUACAAGAUUGAAGACUUCAUCCCGUCUCCGGAUGGGACUCUACUUGGUGUGGAAGGCAAGCUACGCAAUACGGAUAUGGAUAUUUCCUCCUUUGUAACCGACCUUGUGUAACCCUAGCCUCCUCCGAUGUCUAUAUAAACCGGAGGGUUUUAGUCCGUAGGACAACAUACAGUCAUACCAUAGGCUAGCUUCUAGGGUUUAGCCUCUCUGAUAUCGUGGUAGAUCAACUCUUGUACUACUCAUAUUAUCAAGAAUAAUCAAGCAGGACGUAGGGUUUUACCUCCAUCAAGAGGGCCAGAACCUAGGUAAAACAUCGUGUCCCCUGCCUCCUGUUACCAUCCGCCUUAGACGCACAGUUCGGGACCCCCUACCCGAGAUCUGCCGGUUUUGACACCGAUAGGGGGAGUCCUACUCCCGUUGGGAGUAGGACUCCUCCUUGCACGCCUCCUCCCUGGCCGGCCGCACCCCCCUUCGGAUUUUCUUUGUGAACACCAAACAGAGCAUUAGGGGCUCCUGUCUAUGCAGUACCAUUUUUCCUAUAUUUUAAAUACUUACCUCAAAGCCUGUUAGAAGGCUGGUACGGGCUUCAGUCAUUCCGCUCUUGGCGGACUGAACCUUCUUGAUCACCGCACUCAUAAUAGUGUGGUGCUCUUCGUGGAUGGAAGCGCCGCUAAGCGCUCCCAGCAGUUCAUCCGGUGCCUCUGGAUGGACAGAGGUCACCGGCACGGACGGCUUGCCCCUCUUGGAAGGGGCCCGCCUGCCCGAGUCCGGAACCACUGGAGGUUCCGGCGCUGUGUCUGGCUGCGGGCUGAACUUGGAGCCCCUGGGAGCCUUGCUCCCUUUGCUCCUGGAGUCCGGAAGGUUGCCUUGAGGCGCCGCCGGGACGGACUCCCCCCGGCUCGGUGCCCCUUGAGACAGUACCUCGGCAUUGUCCGUAGGGCAAGAAGAGGUGGCGGUUGGAAGUGUAUCAAUAUCCAUGUUCGACGAGUCCAUGGAACCGUCCGACGAUGAUACGUCGAUACGGGCUUGGGGUGGACUGCAUAAUUAUAUUCGACUUAAGGAGAAGCAGUGCGACAAAAGUAUGCUAUGAGUUACUCUGGUAUCCGAAUACUUACUACUUCGCCAGGGCUUGGCGCUGAGCAGCCACUCGUCUUCGCCGUCGGCGGCGGUGGUGGAACAGUCCGGAAGGAGAGUCCUUCCCUUCUUGGACCCUCCGCCCUCCCCGGUUGGGGCGGCCUUCUGUCUCUUGUCUCCCCCGGGUGGAGGGGGAGAGUCUUCGUCUUCCUUCUCCUCAUUUUCAUGGGAGGAGUGCAUCUCGGAGUUAUCGGACUAUGAGGCCGAUACCACCUGGCGCCGGGAACUCUUUCGAGUUCCCUUGGCCUUCUUCUUGGUCUUAUCGGGCACCUCAUAAGGAGCCGGAGUCCGCAUCUCCGUCAGGAGAGCGUCCGCAAGGUCUUCGGGCAGAGGGGCCGGACAGUUAAUCUGCUUCGAUGUCUCCACCCAGUCCUGUCAAAGGCAAGGGAGCUCAGGCCCUGCACAUGGUUAAGCUAUGGGAAAUAAAUACCCUGCCAAAUGUAUAGAACUUACCGGAUUCGCAAGGCGCUUCGGGCUUAGCCCGCGGUCCUCGGUAAGAGAAGGAGGGACCUCGGCGCCCUUGAACAACACCUUCCAGACGUCCUUAUGCAUCGUGUCGAAGAGCUCACUUAGAGUCUGGUGCUGGGCCGGGUCGAACUCCCAUAAGUUGAAAGACCGUUGUGGACACGGAGGAUCCAGCGGAAGAGCGUGACCUCGACUAUGUUGACAAGCUUAAGUUUCUUGCUUGUCAUGUUCCGGAUACACUUCUGGAGUCCGUCCAGCUCCACCGAAGAGCCCCAAGACAAGCCCUUCUCCUUCCAGGAAGUGAGCAGCAUGGGGACUCCGGCUCGAAACUCGGGGGCCGCCACCUAGUUGGUGUCGCUCGGCUCGGUGAUGUAGAACCACCCCGAUUGCCACCCCUUUACAGUCUCCACGAAGGAGCCCUCGAGCCAUGUAACGUUGGGCAUUUUGCCCACCAUGGCUCCGCCGCAUUCCGCUUGUUGGCCGCCUACUACCUUUGACUUGAUAUUGAAGGUCUUCAGCCAUAGGCCAAAGUGGGGCCGGAUGCGGAGGAAAGCAACGCACACGACGAUGAACACCGAGAUGUUGAGGAUAAAAUUCAGGGCCAGAUCAUGAAAGUCCAGCCCAUAAUAGAACAAGAGGCCGCGGACGAAUGGAUGGAGGGGAAACCCCAGUCCAUGGACGAAGUGGGGGAGGAAAACCACCAUUUCAUGAGUUUCCAGGGUAGGGACGAUCUGCCCCGCGGUUGGCAGCCGGUGCGCGAUAUCCGUGGCUAAGUAUCCGGCUCCACGUAGUUUUUUUAUGUGUCCCUCCGUGACGGAGGAGGCCAUCCACUUGCCUCCCGUUCGAACAUGUUUGGAGAGAGUUGAGGAGAAGGAUGUGGACUUGGGCGCUGGAGCUCGAGUGCGCGAGAAUGGAUGAGCAAGGAGGAAGAAGGCAUGGGUAGAAAAAGGUGAGAUCUUAUCCCUUUACAAGGGCGGACUAAACUAUGCGCCCCCACUAGCCUGGUAAAACUCGCUUAUCCCCCAAAUACCGUAAUUGAUGGCGCGGUUGGGUUACCCACGUCUGUAUUGAUGAGAAUCCCGUAAUAAGGGGAACACGAUCUCUGCUUUGACAAGACGUGUCAAGAAACCGCCUCGCGUUAUGUGCGGGCCUGGUUAAAGAAAAACGGUUCAAAUAAUUACCGGGCCGUGGUGUGAUGUCAUGCUGCCAAAACGUGUCAAGCAGAUUAGAUUUGUGGAAAUUUUAUUCUCUCUACGGUGGUAUGUGGAACUUAUUUUGCAGGGUCGGACACUAUCCUUGUAUUCAAACUCUUCCGUGGUGUAUUCAGAGGAGGAACCCGCCUUGCAAUGCCGAAGACAACACUGUGCGCCGGACUCAUCAUCAUUGAAGCCUGGUUCAGGGGCUACUGAGGGAGUCCUGGAUUAGGGGGUCUCCGGACAGCCGGACUAUAUCCUUUGGCCGGACUGUUGGACUAUGAAGAUACAAGAUUGAAGACUUCGUCCCAUCUCUGGAUGGGACUCUACUUGGUGUGGAAGGCAAGCUACGCAAUACGGAUAUGGAUAUUUCCUCCUUUGUAACCGACCUUGUGUAACCCUAGCCUCCUCCGGUGUCUAUAUAAACCGGAGGGUUUUAGUCCAUAGGACAACUUACAAUCAUACCAUAGGCUAGCUUCUAGGGUUUAGCCUCUCCGAUCUCGUGGUAGAUCAACUCUUGUACUACUCAUAUUAUCAAGAAUAAUCAAGCAGGACGUAGGGUUUUACCUCCAUCAAGAGGGCCCGAACCUGGGUAAAACAUCGUGUCCCCUGCCUCCUGUUACCAUCCGCCUUAGACGCACAGUUCAGGACCCCCUACCCGAGAUAUGCCGGUUUUGACACCGACAGGGGGAGUCCUACUCCCGUUGGGAGUAGGACUCCUCCUGGCGCGCCUCCUCCUUGGCCGGCCGCACCCCCCCUUUGCUCCUUUGUAUACGAGGGCAGGGGGGCACCCCAUAGACACAACAAUUGAUCGUUUGAUCUUUUAGACGUGUGCGGUGCCCCCUUCCACCAUAGUCCACCUUGAUAUUACGGUAACGGUGCUUAGGCGAAGCCCUGCGUCGGUAGAACAUCAACAUCGUCACCACAUCGUCGUGCUGACGAAACUCUUCCUCAACACUCGGCUAGAUUGGAGUUCGAGGGAUGUCAUCGUGCUGAACGUGUGCUGAACUCGGAGGUGCCGUACGUUUGGUACUUGAUCGGUUAGAUCGUGAAGACGUACGACUACAUCAACCAUGUUGUGCUAACGCUUCCGCUUUCGGUCUACGAGGAUACGUCGACAACACUCUCCCCUCUUGUUGCUAUGCAUCACCAUGAUCUUGCGUGUGUGUAGGAAUUUUUUUUGAAAUUACUACGUUCCCCAACAGUGGCAUCCGAGCCAGGUUUUAUGCGUAGAUGUCAUAUGCAUGAGUAGAACACAAGUGAGUUGUGGGUGAUAUAAGUCAUACUGCUUACCAGCAUGUCAUACUUUGGUUCGGCGGUAUUGUUGGAUCAAGUGGCACGGACCGCCAUUACGCGUACGCUUACGCGAGACUGGUUCUACCGACGUGCUUUGCACACAGGUGGCUGGCAGGUGUCAGUUUCUCCAACUUUAGUUGAACCGUGUGUGGCUACGCCCGGUCCUUGCAAAGGUUAAAACAACACCAACUUGACAAACUAUCGUUGUGGUUUUGAUGCGUAGGUAAGAACAAUUCUUAACAACAAAGUAGAGGACGUCUAACUUGUUUUUGCAGGGAAUGUCGCGAUGUGAUAUGUUCAAGACAUGAUGCUAAAUUUUAUUGUAUGAGAUGAUCAUGUUUUGUAACUGAGUUAUCGGCAACUAGCAGGAGCCAUAUGGUUGUCGCUUUAUUGUAUGCAAUGCAAUCGCCCUGUAAUGCUUUACUUUAUCACUAAGCGGUAGCUAUAGUCGUAGAAGCAUAAGAUUGGCGAGAUGAAAAUGAUGCUACGAUGGAGAUCAAGGUGUCGCGCCGGUGACGAUGGUGAUCAUGACGGUGCUUCGGAGAUGGAGAUCACAAGCACAAGAUGAUGAUGGCCAUAUAAUAUCACUUAUAUUGAUUGCAUGUGAUGUUUAUGUUUUAUGCAUCUUAUCUUGCUUUGAUUGACGGUAGCAUUAUAAGAUGACCUCUCACUAAAUUUCAAGAUAAAAGUGUUCUCCUUGAGUAUGCACCGUUGCCAAAGUUCGUCGUGCCCAGACAACACGUGAUGAUCGGGGGUGAUAAAAGCUCUACGUCCAUCUACAACGGGUGCAAGCCAGUUUUGCACACGCAGAAUACUCAGGUUAAACUUGACGAUCCUAGCAUAUGCAGAUAUGGCCUCGGAAUACUGAGACCGAAAGGUCGAGCGUGAAUCAUAUAGUAGAUAUGAUCAACAUAGUAAUGUUCACCAUUGGAAACUACUCCAUUUCACGUGAUGAUCGGUUAUGGUUUAGUUGAUUUGGAUCACGUGAUCACUUAGAAGAUUAGAGGGAUGUCUUUCUAAGUGGGAGUUCUUAAGUAAUAUGAUUAAUUGAACUUAAAUUUAUCAUGAACUUAGUACCUGAUAGUAUCUUUCUUGUCUAUGUUUGAUUGUAGAUAGAUGGACCGUGUUGUUGUUCCGUUGAAUUUUAAUGCGUUCCUUGAGAAAGCAAAGUUGAAAGAUGAUGGUAGCAAUUACACGGACUGGGUCUGUAACUUGAGGAUUAUCCUCAUUGCUUCUCAGAAGAAUUACGUCCUAGAAGCACCGCUGAGUGCCAGGCCUACUGCUGAUGCUACUGACGACGUUAAGAACGUUUGGCAGAGCAAAGCUGAUGAGUACUCGAUAGUUCAGUGUGCCAUGCUUUACGGCUUAGAACCGGGACUUCAACGAUGUUUUGAAUGUCAUGGAGCAUAUGAGAUGUUCCAGGAAUUGAAGUUAAUAUUUCAAGCAAAUGCCUGGAUUGAGAGAUAUGAAGUCUCAAAUAAGUUCUACAGCUGCAAGAUGGAGGAGAAUAGUUCUGUUAGUGAACAUAUACUCAGAAUGUCUGGGUACCAUAAUCACUUAACUCAGCUGGGAGUUAAUCUUCCGGCUGAUAGUGUCAUUGACAGAGUUCUACAAUCACUGCCACCAAGCUACAAGAGCUUCGUGAUGAACUAUAAUAUGCAAGGGAUGGAUAAGAUAAUUCCCGAGCUCUUCGCAAUGCUAAAAGCAGCGGAGGUAGAAAUCAAGAACGAGCAUCAAGUGUUGAUGGUCAAUAAGACCACCAGUUUCAAGAAAAAGGGUAAAGGGAAGAAGAAGGGGAACUUCAAGAAGAACAUCAAGCAAGUUGCUGCUCAAGAGAAGAAACCCAAGUCUGGACCUAAGCCUGAAACUGAGUGCUUCUACUGCAAGCAGACUGGUCACUGGAAGCGGUACUGCCCCAAGUAUUUGGCGGAUAAGAAGGACGGCAAGGUGAACAAAGGUAUAUGUGAUAUACAUGUUAUUGAUGUGUACCUUACUAGAGCUCACAAUAGCACCUGGGUAUUUGAUACUGGUUCUGUUGCUAAUAUUUGCAACUCGAAAUAGGGACUACUGAUUAAGCGAACACUGGCAAAGGACGAGGUGACGAUGCACGUGGGAAAUGGUUCCAAAGUCGAUGUGAUCGCGGUCGGCACACUACCUCUACAUAUAACUUCGGGAUUAGUAUUAGACCUAAAUAAUUGUUAUUUGGUGCCAACGUUGAGUAUGAACAUUAUAUCUGGAUCUUGUUUAAUGCGAGAUGGUUAUUCAUUUAAAUCAGAGAAUAAUGGUUGUUCUAUUUAUAUGAGUAAUAUGUUUUAUGGUCAUGCACCCUUGAAGAGUGGUCUAUUUUUGAUGAAUCUCGAUAGUAGUGAUACACAUAUUCAUAAUGUUGAAGCCAUAAGAUGCAGAGUUGAUAAUGAAAGUGCAACUUAUUUGUGGCACUGCCGUUUAGGUCAUAUCGGUGUAAAGCGCAUGAAGAAACUCCAUACUGAUGGACUUUUGGAACCACUUGAUUAUGAAUCACUUGGUACUUGCGAACCGUGCCUCAUGGGCAAGAUGACUAAAACGCCGUUCUCCGGAACUAUCGAGAGAGCAACAGAUUUGUUGGAAAUCAUACAUACAGAUGUAUGUGGUCCGAUGAAUGUUGAGGCUCGUGGCGGAUAUCGUUAUUUUAUCACCGUCACAGAUGAUUUAAGCAGAUAUGGGUAUAUCUACUUAAUGAAGCAUAAGUCUGAAACAUUUGAAAAGUUCAAAGAAUUUCAGAAUGAAGUUGAAAUCAUUGUAAUAAGAAAAUAAAGUUUCUACGAUCUGAUCGUGGAGGAGAAUAUUUGAGUUACGAGUUUGGUCUACAUUUGAAACAAUGCGGAAUAGUUUCGCAACUCACGCCACCCGAAACACCACAGCGUAAUGGUGUGUCCGAACGUCGUAAUCGUACUUUACUAGAUAUGGUGCGAUCUAUGAUGUCUCUUACAGAUUUACCGCUAUCAUUUUGGGGUUAUGCUUUAGAGACAGCCGCAUUCACAUUAAAUAGGGCACCAUCGAAAUCCGUUGAGACGACGCCUUAUGAACUGUGGUUUGGCAAGAAGCCAAAGUUGUCGUUUCUGAAAGUUUGGGGCUGCGAUGCUUAUGUGAAAAAGUUUCAACCUGAUAAGCUCGAACCCAAAUCGGAGAAAUGUGUCUUCAUAGGACACUCAAAGGAAACUGUUGGGUACACCUUCUAUCACAGAUCUAAAGGCAAGACAUUCGUUGCUUAGAAUGGAUCCUUUCUAGAGAAGGAGUUUCUCUCGAAAGAAGUGAAUGGGAGGAAAGUGGAACUUGAUGAGGAAACUAUACCUGCUCCUCUAUUGGAAAGUAGUUCAUAAGAGAAACCGGUUUUUAUGACGCCUACACCAAUUAGUGAGGAAGUUAAUGAUGAUGAUCAUGGAACUUCAAAUCAAGUUACUACUGAACCUCGUAGAUCAACCAGAGUAAGAUCCGCACCAGAGUGGUACGGUAAUCCUGUUCUGGAAGUCAUGCUACUAGAUCAUGAUGAACCUACGAACUAUGAAGAAGCGAUGGUGAGCCCAGAUUCCACAAAAUGGCUUGAGGCCAUGAAAUCUAGAAUGAGAUCCAUGUAUGCACUACUAGGGAAAAGGCUACUAGCAGCACGGGUAAAUUGGCUACUAGUAGCGCGGGUACCCGCGCUACUAGUAUCGCGCUACAGCUAAAAGUUAGUAGUAGCGUGGGUGCAACCCGCGCUACUACUAAAAAGUUAGUAGUAGCGCGGAUGACACCCAUGCUACUACUAUUUGAAGCCCGCGCUACUAAUAACAGAAUAGUAGUAGCGCAUCUGUUAUACCACGCGCUACUAGUAUCUUAAAUACUAGUAGCAUACAUUUUUCCCCCAUGCUACUACUAACAAAUUAAGAAUUUUAAAAAAUAAAAAUUAGAUGCAACAUUCAUGGAUGAAGAUGAGAGACACGUCCAGUGCAAAAUAAAUCAAGGUCAAAGGACCAUCUUAACACUUGCACCAUUCAUGGAUGCAACAUCGAACAUCUCAACUACAAGAGAUCACGUGAUUCCGUUUAACAGUAAACACACACAACCAAAGGUGGGUACCUUUCCUAGUGUUCCACCAGCAGCCUAAACAUACCACUUCUCUAGAUGUAUUUACCAAGGCUCGGAGUUCAGAUGCUGGUGGACCGCAAUCCUCCCUCCCCCCAAACGAUGGUAUCGAGGUCCUCCACCUCGGCGACCUCCGGCGUCACGAUCACCUAGACGAUCAUCUGUGCGACGCUGUCACUGGGUUUCACGGCGAAGUCCACCUCCGAGUGGAUGAAGAGCACGACGCCCACCAGGCAGUGGUAGUCCACGUUGAUCACCACUGUGGCCACGUCGGGAAAGUGAAAACUUGUUAGUGCUUGUCAGCGUCCAAAUCCAGUGGGGUAUUUUCUUACUUUUUAGCACAUGCACACGAAUCAAUAGUAAUAACCAGAGGCUGGUCCUUACUUGUUGCACGAGACGUGAAGAAGGGCGGGUCCCCUACUUGUUGCACGAACGAAUCAAUGGGAGACAUUGCCGCGAGCCGUGAAGAAGGUUGGGUCCCCUCCUUCUGUAAAUAGCUCAGGUGCCUAAAGUUGUAAGGAAUCUUAAUACAAUGAACUCAUAGUAAUGCAUAAUAACAAGAAAAAGAAAAAAUAACCAUGAAUCCUAAAUAAAAAGAUCAUUCUAUGAGUAAGGUUGACAGUUUCGAGACGGCAUAAGCAUCCUAGAUGAAAGAAUUACCAGGAUUUGUUUAUUCUUUAGUGCUGAUCUCCACGGGCAGCUAGCAGUGUAUGCUGAUGCACAAUGUACACAUCGAACCCCCCAAAACCAAAAACAUUUCUGAGUGAGCAACAAACCAACUGACUGCUCGACCCUAAAAACAAAUUUUUUUUGUGACUUUCCCUCACCAUUAGUACAAAAGGCAGUGAAACAAACAUUUUUUUUUGUGAUUUUCAUUUUCUUUUACUACAAAAGGCAGUAAAAUAAACUAGAAUUUGUUGUGUUUUUUCCGGUGCUUCGAAAGACAAUACAUAGAGCAAACAAAUGGAAUCCUCUCGAGAUCUUUACUUUCUCCGUGGUGAUUUGCGAACACCACUGCCAGCCUACAUAUAUGGAGUAAUUCUUAGAAAAUGUAUGCUUGGAGUAUCAAUGGUUACUGUUUAAAAUGAUGAGAAAGAUAUAUGUCUUAUGCAAGCAGAUUGGUAAUUAAAUUUUUUACAGUUGAUUGGCAAUUAGGGAUGGCAAUGGGUCGGGUUUGGGGCGGGUGGAGCUGGUCCAAAUCCAACCCAUGACCCAUCUUCCUACCCUCUUCCCAUCCACCAAAUUAUCCAUGGGCACAACUUGUGCCCAUGCCCAAACCUGAUGGAUACCCACAUACCCAUGGAGCUCCAUGGGGCUAGAAAAGUCAGCAUGAAGCCUUCACAAAGAUCAAAUCUACUCAUCAUCAUUCACUCACAAAUGAAAACAUAAACUACAUGCAUAAGUAGGCAACAAGUAAUAUGAUGAGUCCAUAAGUGUGACAUACCAGAUGUUGAUUCUGCAACAUAUAGCUUAUGGCACCAGUUGCAUAUUGCCUGCCAUUUCCCAUUGAUCCGCUCUUUCUACUGUCACUGGCAUAUGGCCCCACAUAUCAUACGGGUAUCCAUUGGAUAUCCAUGUCGCACAAACUAUAACCGUGCCCAACCCGGCUGUUCGUGGGUAUCCAUAUCCACGGACCCAUGGGGAGAAAUGCGCUCCAUACCCUUGCCCAACCGGGUCGGGUAUCCAUGGGUAUCCAAAUCCAUGGAUAAAAUUGCCAUCCCCAUUGGCAAUUCUUGUUAUUCAAUCUAAUCUAAAAAGUGAAAAAGACAAGGAGCGUACGCACCUUGACUCCCACAGGUGGAUAUACACAGCUAGCUUAGCUCAAUCAGAAUACUAUGGUUUCUACAAAACUGUAGUUUUGGAAACUGUGAGGUGUUUGGCUAAACCAACAACAGUAGUUUCAUAAACACUUGUAUUCCUGAUACAAUGUUUUUUUCUAAAAUCCUACGACCAACGAUUGUGAUGUAAGAUGCCACCAAAAAAUGUAUCUCCAUCUUGAAAUUUAGAUUUUAUUGACACUAUACAUAGGUCAAACAAAACACUGUAAUUCAAGCAAAAAACAGUAGCUUUGCUUAAGAACAUGAUACUAAGUACUUACUAUUUAUCUUAAAAUUUCAGAAUCAAGAAGCCGAAGGAAACAAAGGCGGAGUAAGAAUGCGAAGAUGAGUCAUACCUGCAAGAUGAAGAGCAUGCAUCCCUUCAUGUAAGCCAAAAAUAGCUUCUUGUGAAAAAGAAAACAAAGAUCAGGUUUUUGUAUCUAAAUGGUUUGUAAAAUAUUGUAUUUACAGAAUGGGACGUACACAUUUACUGAACUUCUUUAGAAUGGGGCACAAAACUGAUAAGAAUACAAAAAUAUUCAGGUAAACUAGAAGUGACACAUUACUGAAAAUUACAGUCCAAAACCAGUUUAAAUUCAAGCAACCAAAAAGAGAAGCAAUACACAUUAAAUGCACAUUAAAUUACAGUGCAUAUUUUCAGUCUAAAUAAAUGCUAGUUCUGUAUUACUAACAGAGUGGCUUUCCGGAUUGAAUUGCAUAGAAAUUUUGAUUAGAACAAAGUAUGCUACUAUUAGUAGCCUGCACACAAGUACUGGCAGUUAUUUUCAAAUCCUAGAAAAUGACCUAUGGGUAUUGUGUCACAUUAACCCUAUCAAAUUUGAUUAGAAUAAAGUACAUGCAUGAUAAGAGUAGCACAUUAACCCUAUCAAAUCCUAGAAAAUGACCUACGGGGAGUGUGUCACAUUAACCCUAUCAAAUCCUAGAAAAUGACCUACGGAGGUCAAUUGUUGCAGUAGGCGGCGGCCGAGCUGACGGUUCGUUUGAGUCAAAGCGACGAUGUCAUCUCGCCUCCCAUUUAAUCGUUAGACUCACAUUAGUAUAUAACAGAGAGAAACAAAAACACCAAGUAGUACUAGAACUAUGAAAGCCACUCUUACCGUACUUGGUCAUUUUGUCAAACACCUUCCGUGCGACAGCAGCUUGCACCGCCCGCAUAGCACGGUCUUCAGUUGGUUGUGCCUCUUCUUCUGCUCACACAUGAUACAAACAAGACAAUGUUGUCAUGUCCAGCAAUCAUACAGUCAAGAUAAACAAAUUGUCACUUUAGAAUUUCAUUUCCUAGUGGAGACACUACAUCAGCCAUCAGGUGUGAUUUGGCAUCGAAUUUUCACUGCCGACAGCGAUGACAGGCGAAAGGAAACACACUGUGUCAUGUUAGUCCAUGCUCUGAUAGGCAGAAUGUUCUUAAGGGCAUUCUUCGCGUCUGUGCGCUUUUCUCGGACGUUGAACCAGAUACAAGGUUGCGCAAACAUAAUUACAGAACCAUGGUCAAGCUCAGAUCCCAAAUAGUUUUAUUGAAUAUGCGCAUAUGCUACUAUACUUGGCAUUUGGCAAGCCCUCAGGCACUCAAUUUUUUGUGGGUGAAAUUAAAGGAACCCCCAAUUUGAAUUUCAUUAUGAAAUUGAGGUAGACCUCAAAUGUGCAGUGGACCUGAAAAAUGCACAACACAAUAGAGCUUCCAUUGCUGAAGCGUGCAAACUAAUCAUCCUGCUAAGCUGACUGUGAUGUUGAUCCCGGGCAGUAAAUAUUCCUCUUUUACAGCCUAGCCAGCUCUCCUGGCCUAUCUAGCAUAGCAAUCCUAAUGGGAUUUGGAGAGCAAGAACUGAACUGGAUGCGUGGAUCGAAUUGAUUCGUCAUCAGGAAAAAAGAAAGAGGGAGAAAGAGAUGGAUGGGGAAAGUCAGGGUGGGCGCACCAUGGAUUUUGAGAGCGCCGCGGCGGUGGAGUGGAACGACGCCGACGCUGCCGUCGCCGCCGCCGCGCCCUUCCUUACAGCUGCUUGCAUCCCGGGAGAAGAGGAUGGGAGCGGGAGUGUGUGUGUUGGGGUCAUCUUCUUGGCCAGGGCCCUCCGCUUCUCCUUGCGGCGGCGGCGCCUCUCGAUGUCCUCCUCCGGCGCGCGCGUGCGGGCGCCCGCCGUGGCCGCGGCCGCAAGCUGCCGCCCCAGGUACACAUCGCCCCGCGUCGGCGCCGCAGGGCCGACCCUGUCAGCCGGAGGAGACGGCGAGGGGGACGGGGCACUGGGGGAGGCGGCACGCGCAGGUGGAGAGGGAGAGGGAGGCGGUGGCGGUGGCGGACGGGUGGUGCUUGGUGGGGACAUUGGGCGGCGGCGCCGGGGACUUGGGAAAAAGGAGAGGAAGAGCGGGCGGAGUGGUCAAGAGGGGAAUUUGGGCUUUGGCCUCCGCCGUAUACAUGCGUCGGUGGUUCUAUAGCAAUAGCACUGGGUUUAUACCCACGCUGCUUCUACGGCAUGUCGCGGGAGGCACGAUGAAGAUCACAUAGUAGUAGCGCGGGGUUUACAAACCGCGCUACUACUAUCAACUUAGUAGUAGCGUGGGUUUAUACCCCGCGCUACUACUACUGCUUGUCCGGGCGGGCGCGGUGGAGAACACUUAGUAGUAGCGUGGAUUUAUAACCCGCGCUAUUACUAUCAACUUAGUAGUGGUGUGGGUUUACAACCCGCGCUACUACUAAUUAGCAGUAGCGCCUCUUUUUGUGCCGCGCUGCUGCUAAGAUUCUGUGUAUAAGGUUUUUCCUAGUAGUGAUGAGAACAAAGUGUGGACUUUGGUUGACUUGCCCGUUCAUCGGCAAGCAAUUGAGAAUAAGUGGAUAUUCAAGAAGAACACUGACGCUGACGGUAAUGUUACUGUCUACAAAGCUCGACUUGUUGCGAAAGGUUUUCGACAAGUUCAAGGGAUUGACUAUGAUGAGACCUUCUCACCCGUAGCGAUGUGCUUAAGUCUGUCCGAAUCAUGUUAGCAAUUGCCGCAUUUUAUGAUUAUGAAAUUUGGCAAAUGGAUGUCAAAACUGCAUUCCUGAAUGGAUUUUUGGAAAAAUAGUUGUAUAUGAUUCAACCAGAAGGUUUUGUCAAUCCAAAGGGAGCUAACAAAGUGUACAAGCUCCAGCGAUCCAUUUAUGGACUGGUGCAAGCGUCUCGGAAUUGGAAUAAAUGCUUUGAUAGUGUGAUCAAAGCAUUUGGUUUUGUACAGACUUUUGGAGAAGACUGUAUUUACAAAAAAGUGAGUGGGAGCUCUGUAGCAUUUCUAAUAUUAUAUGUGGAUGACAUAUUGUUGAUUGGAAAUGAUAUAGAAUUUCUGGAUAGCAUAAAGGGAUACUUGAAUAAGAGUUUUUCAAUGAAAGACCUCAGUGAAGCUGCUUAUACAUUGGGCAUCAAGAUCUAUAGAGAUAGAUCAAGACGCUUGAUUGGACUUUCACAAAGCACAUACCUUGACAAAGUUUUGAAGAAGUUCAAAAUGGAUCAAGCAAAGAAAGGGUUCUUGCCCGUGUUACAAGGUGUGAAGUUGAGUAAGACUCAAUGCCCGACCACUGCAGAAGAUAGAGAGACAAUUAAAGAUGUUCCCUAUGCUUCAGCCAUAGGCUCUAUCAUGUAUGCAAUGCUGUGUACCAGACCUGAUGUGUGCCUUGAUAUAAGAAUAGAAGGGAGGUACCAAAGUAAUCCAGGAGUGGAUCACUGGACAGCGGUCAAGAACAUCCUGAAAUACCCGAAAAGGACUAAGGAAAUGUUUCUCGUUUAUGGAGGUGACAAAGAGCUCAUAAAUGGUUACGUUGAUGCAAGCUUUAACACAGAUCCGGAUGAUUCUAAAUCGCAAACCGGAUACAUGUUUACAAUGAACGGUGGAGCUGUCAGUUGGUGCAGUUCUAAACAAAGCGCUGUGGCGGGAUCUACAUGUGAAGCGGAGUACAUAGCUGCUUCAGAAGCAGCAAAUGAAGGAGUCUGGAUGAAGGAGUUCAUAUCUGAUCCAGGUGUCAUACCUAGUGCAUCAGGUCCAAUGAAAAUCUUUUGUGACAAUACUGGUGCAAUUUCCUUGGCGAAGGAAUCCAGAUUUCACAAGAGAAAGAAGCACAUCAAGAGACGCUUCAAUUCCAUCCGGGAUUUAGUCCAGGUGGGAGACAUAGAAAUUUGCAAGAUACAUACGGAUCUGAAUGUUGCAGACCUGUCGUGGAUUUGUCACGGUAGAUGUCCUUAGUGUCAGGACUUAGUCGCGAGGCCAACGCAUCUAUGUGGUAGCUUGAGAGGGGUUGAGUGGGAUGAGAGACACAGUGCGGAUCAUCACGCAAGACAAGGAUUUAGACAGCUUCGGGCCCCAGGAAACAUCAUCCGGUAACAACCCUACAUGCUGUUUGAGGCUAGGUCUCAUUAUCAUCACGAGGGAGUCGCCGUAAACCGGCUCUCCUCUUUGUGUCUAGCCCUAAGAUUGUUUCUUCUUGCUUGUAGCUUCCCCCUCUUUGGGGAGCCCUGCCCCUCCUUAUAUAUGUUGAAGGGGCGGUUUACAUGUGGAGUCCUAUUAGGAUUAGGACUAGUCUAUCUCUAAUACAAACCGGAUACAAGUCCUGGUCUUAACUCCUUGUAAGGUAAAUAUUCCUCAUGCCUUUCCUAUUAAACCGGCCCACCAUAGUAUGAACCGGCCUUCAUGAACCGCCCGUUGGGCCAUCGGGUCUUGUCGCUCCUCUGACCCGCCUGCCGGAUUACUAAUGAACCGUAAACCGCCAGGUCCAAACGGGUCGAUAGUGAAUCGUCAAGUCUUAGUCUGGUCUCAAGUAGACCGCCAAGUCCUGCUGGAUUAUACUUCCGGCCGGUUUACGCCGCGGGGUAUAUCCCCGACAAGACCCGUUGACUAAGCAUCUUCCACGAGCAAAAGAUGAUCAGCACCAAGGCUCCAUGGGUGUUAGAAUCAUUAAUGUGUAAUCUAGAUUAUUGACUCUAGUGCAAGUGGGAGACUGAAGGAAAUAUGCCCUAGAGGCAAUAAUAAAGUUAUUAUUUAUUUCCUUAUAUCAUGAUAAAUGUUUAUUAUUCAUGCUAGAAUUGUAUUAACCGGAAACAUAAUACAUGUGUGAAUACAUAGACAAGCAGAGUGUCACUAGUAUGCCUCUACUUGACUAGCUCGUUGAUCAAAGAUGGUUAUGUUUCCUAACCAUAGACAUGAGUUGUCAUUUGAUUAACGGGGUCACAUCAUUAGGAGAAUGAUGUUAUUGACUUGACCCAUUCCGUUAGCUUAGCACACGAUCGUUUAGUAUUCUGCUAUUGCUUUCUUCACGACUUAUACAUGUUCCUAUAACUAUGAGAUUAUGCAACUCCCGUUUACUGGAGGAACACUUUGUGUGCUACCAAAUGUCACAACGUAACUGGGUGAUUAUAAAGGUGCUCUACAGGUGUCUCCAAAGGUACUUGUUGGGUUGGCGUAUUUCGAGAUUAGGAUUUGUCACUCCGAUUGUCAAAGAGGUAUCUCUGGGCCCUCUCAGUAAUGCACAUCACUUAAGUCUUGCAAGCAUUGCAACUAAUGAGUUAGUUGCGGGAUGAUGUAUUACGGAACGAGUAAAUAGACUUGUCGGUAACGAGAUUGAACUAGGUAUACAGAUACCGACGAUCGAAUCUCGGGCAAGUAACAUACCGAUGACAAAGGGAACAACGUAUGUUGUUAUGCGCUUUGACCGAUAAAAGAUCUUCGUAAAAUAUGUGGGAGUCAGUAUGAAUAUCCAGGUUCCGCUAUUGGUUAUUGACCGAAGACGUGUCUCAGUCAUGUCUACAUAGUUCUCGAACCCGUAGGGUCCGCACGCUUAAAGUUCUGUGAUGAUCAAUAUUAUGAGUUUUUAUGUUUUUAUGUGCCGAAGGUUGUUCGGAGUCCCGGAUGUUAUCCGAGACAUGAGGAGGAGUCUUGAAAUGGUCGAGACAUGAAGAUUGAUAUAUUGGAAGCCUAUGUUUGGAUAUCGAAAGUGUUCCGGGUGAAAUCGGGAUUUUACCGGAGUACCGGGAGGUUACCGGAACCCCCCGAGCGCUUAAAGGGCCUACAUGGGCCUUAGUAGAAAUAGAGGGCAGCAAGGGGAGUGUGGGGCGCGCCACCCCAAGGCCCAAACCGAAUUAGUUUAGGGCAAGCGGGGACGAGGAGUAGGACUCCUCCUGGCGCGCCUCCUCCCUGGCCGGCUUCACCCCCCUUUGCUCCUUUAUAUACGGGGGCAGGGGGCACCCCAUAGACACAACAAUUGAUCAUUUCAUCUUUUAGCCGUGUGUGGUGCCCCCUUCCACCAUAGUGCACCUCGAUAUUACUGUAACGGUUCUUAGGCGAAGCCCUGCAUCGGUAGAACAUCAACAUCGUCACCACACCGUCGUGCUGACGAAAAUCUCCCUCAACACUCGGCUGGAUCGGAGUUCGAGGGACGUCAUCGGGCUGAACGUGUGCUGAACUCAGAGGUGCCGUAUGUUCGGUACUUGAUCGGUUGGAUCGUGAAGACGUACGACUACAUCAAUCGCGUUGUGCUAACGCUUCCACUUUCGGUCUAUGAGGGUACGUGGACAACACUCUCCCCUCUCGUUCCUAUGCAUCACCAUGAUCUUGCGUGUGCGUAGGAAUUUUGUUUUGAAAUUACUACGUUCCCCAACAUUAUGACAACACGGUUGAUGUAGUCGUACGUCUUCGCGAUCGACCGAUCCUAGUACCGAAAGUACGACACCUCGGUGAUCUGCACACGUUCGGCUCGGUGACGUCCCAUGAACUCACAAUCCAGCAGAGUGUCGAGGGAGAGCUUCGUCAGCACAACGGCGUGAUGACGGUGAUGAUGAUGCUACCGGAACAGGGCUUUGCCUAAGCAUCGCUAUAAUAUGACCGAGGUGGAUUAUGGUGGAGGGGUCACCGCACACGGCUAAGGGAUCAAUGAUCAACUUGUGUGUCUUUGGGGUGCCCCUGGCCACGUAUAUAAAGGAUGGAGGGAGGAGAAGGCCGGCCCUCAUAGGGCGCGCCCAAAGUGUGGAGUCCUACUAGGACUCCCUAGUCCUAGUAGGAUUCCACCUCCCACAUGGAAUAGGAAAAAGGGAAGGGAGAAAGAGAAGGAAGGAAGGGGACGCACCCUUUCCCUAGUCCAAUUCGGACCAGUCCAUGGGAAAGGGGCGCGGCCACCCUUGAGCCCUUUCUCUCCUUUCCUGUAUGGCCAAUACGAAUUCCCGUAACUCUCCGAUACUCUAAAAAAUACCCGAAUGACUCGGAACCUUUCCGAUGUCCGAAUAUAGCCUUCCAAUAUAUUGAUCUUUACGUCUCGACCAUUUCGAGACUCCUCGUCAUGUCCCCGAUCUAAUCUGGGACUACGAACAAACUUCGGUCAUCAAAUCACAUAACUCAUAAUACCAAUCGUCACCGAACGUUAAGCGUGCGGACCCUACGGGUUCGAGAACUAUGUAGACAUGAUCGAGACAUAUCUCUGGUCAAUAACCAAUAGCGGAACCUGGAUUCUCAUAUUGGCUCCUACAUAUUCUACGAAGAUCUUUAUCGGUCAAACCGCAUAACGGUAUAUGUUGUUCCCUUUGUCAUCGGUAUGUUACUUUCCUGAGAUUCGAUCGUCGGUAUCUCAAUACCUAGCUCAAUCUCGUUACCGGCAAGUCUCUUUACUCGUUCCGUAAUACAUCAUCCCACAACUAACUCAUUAGUUGCAUUGCUUGCAAUGCUUAUAGUGAUGUGCAUUAUCGAGAGGGCCCAGAGAUACCUCUCCGACAAUCGGAGUGACAAAUCCUAAUCUCUAUUUAUGCCAACUCAACGAGUACCAUCGAAGACACUUGUAGAGCACCUUUAUAAUCACCCAGUUACGUUGUGACGUUUGGUAGCACACAUAGUGUUCCUCCGGUAUUCUGGAGUUGCAUAAUCUCAUAGUCAGAGGAACAUGUAUAAGUCAUGAAGAAAGCAGUAGCAACAAACUAAACGAUCAUCGUGCGAAGCUAAUGGAAUGGGUCAAGUCAAUCACAUCAUUCUCUAAUGAUGUGAUCACGUUAAUCAAAUGACAACUCAUGUCUAUGGCUAGGAAACUUAACCAUCUUUGAUUCAACGAGCUAGUCAAGUAGAGGCAUACUAGUGACACUCUGUUUGUCUAUAUAUUCCCACAUGUAGUAAGUUUCGGUUAAUACAAUUCUAGCAUGAAUAAUAAACAUUUAUCAUGAUAUAAGGAAAUAAAUAAUAACUUUAUUAUUGCCUCUAGGGAAUAUUUCAUUCUUGGCGCUGGUCAGUCGUCCGACGGGAUGCACAGGAAGCAGUCCCAAUCAAUUCCUAAGGCCAACCUUCCUGGCGCCCGCAACCUAUUCGAGGAAAUCCCAAUCCCGAUGCCGGCGGCCGACGAGCAAUGACUAUGACACAUUCAUCAAGAAUGUCAUCUUCCAGGGCCAUGGCCAAGCCUCCCACCCCGCCGGCCAAGGCCAAGGCUACGAUCCCGACAAGACCUAAAGCCAAGACGGCCGGGGCCAAGAUGGUGCCGACCACUACGGUGUCCACGAAGAAGCGGCCGACAACCAUGGCAACUCAUGGCAUGAACACUACUAGGAAAUACCUUAUAGGUAGAACCUUAACAGUAGCGUGGGGAUAUAGGCCAACGCCACUGCUACUUAGCAGUAGCGCUGGUUACCAACCAGCACUACAGGUAAGUGUAUAGCAGUAGCACGGACUUACCAACCAUCAUUGCUACUAAACGGUCCCCACCCUACCGACCGGGGCUACCCGUAGUAGUAGUAGCGCGUCCCGCAAUUCCCAUGAUACUGCUAAAAUUAUAGUGGUAGUGCGGGCCUAUGACUCACCUGUACCACUAUGUGUGCACUGUGGUAGGUGGACCCCACUUAGCAGCAGCACGGGCCGCUGUUCCCGCGCUACUGCUAUUGGGCUUAGCAUUAGCGCCGGCCCGGGACAAGCGCUAUUGCUAAUGCAACCUUAUCCAACUCCCCGCGCCUAGACCUUCUCCCUCCACUCACUCCUCAUUGCCUCACUCUGUCUCACUCCCGUCGUCGUCGCCGUCCUACCUCCUCCUUCCUCGGUAUGGCGCGACCCUCCUCCCCCACCUCCUCCCAUCGCCCUCCUACCUCCUCCUCUGGUCGCGCCCUCCUUCCUCCUCCUCCAACCACUUCCUUCUUCGGCAGCCCUCCUCCCGCCGCCCUCCUCCCUCUCCUCCAACCGUCCUACUCCUUCCUCCUCCUCCAUCCUCCUCCUCCUCCUCUCUGCUCCCUCCUCCUCACUCCUCCCUCCUCCCACCUCUCCUAUUUGCUAUAGAAAUGUUAGACAUUUUUUUAGAUAUUAUGUUGUUAUAGAAUUUUAGUAGUUUUGUUAUAGAAAGUACUAUGAAUGUUUAGGUAUAGUGUUGUUAUAGAAAAUGUUAGUAAUUUCAUUCUAAAACAAUUAGUACUAAUUUAGGUAUAGAAAGUUUUAAAAGUUUACUAAUUUUGUUCAUAGGUUUGGAUGUAGUUGAUGUCUAGUGAAUUUUGAGAGAGAGAGAGACCUAAUGAAAUGAAAUGGUUUUGCAAAAAAAUUGUUAUGCUUGCUGUCAAAAUUAAACCACUAAAAUGCAAUGAGCAUACCUAGUUUGAAAUUUUCUAUAUAAAUGCUCAUGUGUGGCACAGGGUAUGUCACCGACGAGCCAGUCGACAACGCCCAGAAGACCACUAACGACGCCCGCAUCCUCGACAGCCAUCGUCUAUAGUGAGUAAACAUGUAUAUCUAGUGUUGUGCACUAGUGUUCCUCAAAUAUGAUGGAGAUUUAGACAUGUGAUAUGUAGUGUUGUGUACUACUAGUGCAGUCACACAUGCAUAUUUGGAAAAUGAAGGAUAUGUGCUUGCCCAAGUAGCCUAUGUUAGCAAGGAACACCUCCGAGUGGCCUAUGUUUUGCGGGAAUGUUAAUUCAUUUCGACUUCGGCAAAUUUCAGGUGUUCAAUAUGUCAUAUUUUAGCAAAGAUCAUGCCGAAUUUUUUUCGUGAAUCUUAUAUUCUUAAUAAGUUGGUCCCAAUUCUCUCGUCAUGCAGCAUAUCCACCUCAGCCAUGUGCCACAUAAGAAAUUCUCAAUCCACAUCAUGCAUUCCAUUCGAGCGCUCUCUCAACCUGUGAACCGGAUCCUUUUUUCUCCCUCGUCGGAAUAGGAAGUAUCUUUCCACAUGCAUGAGAUUAAGGACCAAGGACUGCCAUGGAAGCCCAUCUGCCCCCGCGCUGCUCCCUCCCCGGUGUGACACGGGCGGCGAACCCCCCAGCCUCUCCUCGCCCCACCCAUCCCAUUCACCCCUCGCCAUCGCCGGUGGCCUCCGGCAGGCAAACCCUGCGUGGAGCCGGCAGCGGCGGGGCUCGUGCUCCUCGUCGGCUGCUUUUUCGAUGGGGAGAUCUCAGACGGCUGGUGACUGUCAGGAGCUUGUCUUCACGCGGGCGUCCUCGAUCGUGGCAACGGUGGUCGCUGGCGCGCAGCGCGGUGUCACCAUGAUGGGAGCUCCGUCGUGGGCGUGCGGUCGCGGUCUUGGCCACCCGUGCUGGCCCGAUCUGGGUCCUCGCGGGCCGUGGCUGGCGCAGAUGGUGGGGGCAAGAUUCGGGCUCGGACGGCGUGCCGUUCACCGGAUCUGGUAUGGCGCGGUGUUGCGGCUCAGCACGCGGGCUGGUGGUGGCACCGGUUGUAGGUAUCGUGGUGGUGCCAUGGCCGGUCAGGCAGUGGCAGCGGCCGCGAUGAUGGACGAUCGAUGCACAAGACGCUUGAUGAAGGCCAUUGGAACAGAUUUGGGUGAAGACCUGCUCGCGGCUGCUGCCGAGGCCGGCGAUGGCGGCACUAUUCAGUGUCGUUCCCUUGUUGAAGGCAUCGCUGUUGACAAGUUUCAGGCCACUAUCUGCUACCUCCGGGGGAAACCCUAUAUCAGUAGAUCGGAUGAUAGCGACAUUAUUGUGUCGUUUCCCUCUUGUGGCGUAAUUCUUGGAGGUGUACACGGGCUCGAGAGACCAGUGGACGGAAUAAUUGGUGGAUCGGUGUUUCAUCCCGCACAUUAAUGGUGGCGUUUCUCGGCGGCGUGGCGCAGUGGAGGCUCGGCGCCCGAUGUGUGGCGAGGGACUCGCGCAGGAGGGUGACGUUAUCAUGCGUCAUGGUGGCGUCGAUGGCAGAGAGGCCAGGCAAGGUGGUGCAGCAGUACAACAUUGAAGAUGGAUUGGUGGCAGGAGGCUGCGGCGGCCUCAUACCCGGCAGACAUCCUGGUUGAGGAGUGCGCCGGACUGGUACAUGCACCAUACCUGGCAUGCGUCCUGGAUGGGACCUCAGGUCUUACAUGUUUAGGUUUGGCUGUGAUAUCUGUUUGGUAUUAGGCCUAGACUAUCAGCACCCCUUUAUCAAUUGGAUAGGAGUAGCGACAGUUGUUGCUUAGACGGUGGUGUUAGUCUUACUGUUGUAUGAUUUUGUAAGGUCUUGUGAGCAUAAUUAAUAAAGUGGCCGUAUGCAUCGCCCAAAUGCAGAGGCCGGGGGUCCUCCUCCUUUUUAAAAAAAAAGCACUGCCAUGGAAGGCCACUACGCCCACUAUCAAUGCUAUAAUUUUAAUUCCAAACGUUACAUGUGUUUAGUGGAGUCUUUUCUUCUUCAACUGCAACCAUGUCUUCUCUUCUUCAUGUUAUCUCCUUGGUACAAUAGUGGAUCCAUUUUAUCUAGCCGAGCGUCUGGUGCCGCCAUGAGCGUCGAGCUCUUUGCAUCCAUCAUCUUGGGGAGCUAUUGGGGAACUUCGUACCUACCUGGCGCCAGUGCUUAUUCGCAUGCAGAGCUCCAUUCCAUGUCGUCAUCCUCGCCACUGUAGACCAAUGUGGAGCUCGUGGUUGCCUCUGUUCUUCCCAGUUGCAACCAAGCACCGCGACGGUUUAUCUAGUGAGCCGCCGACCCUCACACACUUUUCUUUUUGUGUUCUGCACUCCUUGCUAUCAUCCUGCUGAGGUCCUGCCGACGUCGAGCACUGGCUCGAGCAAGUAGUGCAAGAACCUGCCGCAGCGCAGUGGAGAGGAAAAAUAUGGGUACGCCUCUGUUCUCCCGGAGUAUCUGGCACGAGCUAGAGAGCAAGUCACAGAUGGUGAGGUGGUCGACGCUGGGCUCCGCCUCCGCACCGCCGCUGAAGCGCACGAGGAGGCCGCCGUCGGUGCGACGCAAGUGAUAUGACACGGUCGUCGGAGAGGCCAGCGGCACGCAGGACAAAGGAGCCUAGCAGGGGACGGCCAGGGUCGAUGGCCUACUGCGGCUCUUCAAUGAAGCUGGAACCGGCAGACCUUCCACUGUUUCGCGUGUGGUACUUUGUUGCUUGUCCUAGCAUGCACACGUAUGCAUGAUUAGUUCUUUGCUAAUUACCCUCCGUACUUUUUCAAUGGACAUUAUCUAAGAUAUGCAUGCAUAUCAUAUAUACUACAUUAGCUACAAACCUAAUCACUCCCUCUGUUCUUAAAUAUAAGUCUUUUCACAGAUUCCAAUAAGAGACUACAUAAGGAGCAAAAUGAGUGAAUUUACACUCUAAAAUAUGUCUAUAUACAUCCGUAUGUAGUCCAUAAUGAAAACUCUAGAAAGACUUAUAUUUAGUAACCGAGAAAAAAAAUGUGAAUUCUGGCCUCCUCUAACCAACAUUACAUGGUCAAGAUUUCUCCUCGACUGUUUAUUUCCAUUUUCUUAUACUGAACUAUCUUUCUUGCUCACAAAAAUAAAAUUCUUUUCAACUAUUUAUUUUUGGGCUAUUACAACUAUUGAAUAUUUGAACCCGCUUGAUUUUGUUGAAUUUAACUUUAACCUUUGCGAGCUAGAACUUUCCCGCAUAACGCGCGCGGUAUCAUCUAGUUUCGGCAUGACUUGUGCUAGAAAGUAGGAAAUAUCGAUUGCCUGUGAUUUACCAGAACAGUAAUUAAUCAACAUUCCGUCAUAACAUUGGCCAUUUUUAUGUCUUUGCUCCAUAUAUGUAACGGGUUGACUUUCUAUCUGUCGAUGCUAUUUGAGUGUCCACCAUAUACUGUCGAAAUAUCGGAGAGGAAGAAUCCUGACUGUUGUCGUGGGUGUCGCUUCCUCUUCCUUUUGCUCGUGAUAUACUUUGGUAAUGGACGAGAGAAGGAGGGGAAGCGACCAUAGCCGACGGUCGAAAUAACCGUGAGGGAGUGUCCGUCAUAUACUGUCGAAAUAUAAAAGAUGAAGAAUCCCGAGUGUUGUUGGGGGUCGCUUCUUCUUCGUUCCCGUGUGGUAGACAUUUUGGGGUAAUGCACUCGGGAAUAAAGGGGGGGAGCAACCAUCACCGUUGGUCGAAUAUAUCAGAAAUGGAGUGCCCACCGUAUACACCAUGUGAGAUAAGAGUUUUCAAUGAAAGGCUCGACGGAUCGAAAGUCAACCCAUGACGAGUAAUAAUGAUCUUUAUGUUGAGUUCCUGUUAUUUGCCGUCGAUCUUUAAUCUUUUUCUUAUGAACACAGGAAAUGUGUGAGGACGAUAUGAUUCCUGAGUGCAAAUACUGCGAAGACAACCGGGGUAUGUGCGAGAGGAUGCCUUAUUUGCAAAACGGUAGGUACUUCACCAUCAUGCUGAAGGAGACUUUCGACGUUUUUACGGUACAUAACGACGACAAGUAUUUUUCCUUAAUUAUGCAUGACUUGUGAAUUUUGGCUUCAACGUGUAAUUUUCCAUUUUUUUGAAUUGAAAUAGUUCAUCUCAUGUCAUGCAAGACCAUAUGUCUUGAAAAAGCUCGGUUUUGAAGAUAGGGAGAGAAUAGAGACGAAGAGUGCUCACCUUAGGACCAAGCAUGGCUUCACUUGUUUGUUUAAGCUAUUUAAUGCACCAAAUUGCUCACAUUUUGGUUGCUCAACUUGGAGAGGAUUUUGCAUGGCCUAUGAAUUUAAGGAGGAUAUGAAAAUUAGCUACGAUCUUUGGCCCGAAGAUGAAAUUGACGAUAAUAUCGACACUUGGUUGGAUGUCGAGACGCUUCCAGUUCUACCUCUUUGUGAGUUUGUCAAAUAAAUUUGUUAAGUAAUUUAUAUUGUUUAUAUAAAAAUCAUUGACAACUUAUUUAUAUUGACAACUUAUUUCCAUUCUUCAAAAUAUGUAUGGAAGAUAGUAGACAGAACCUAGUACACUAAUGGUUCUAAACUAAGUUACGAGAAGAAAGAUCAUCUUAUAUCAUUUAUUAUUAAUGUUGAGAAUUUCAAUAUCAAUUAUGAAACUCCUCCACAUUAUGGUCAAUACGUGCCACUAGUGCAUGUGUUGAACUACGAUAACAUCCAUGGAGAUGACAUGGUAAGAUUUUUUUACUAUUACGACAUGAGUGCAUCUUUUGCAUACAUUCUUCUAAAGCUAAACUACAUUGCUAACUAUGUUAUUAUUAUGUUCUUCAACAGAAAAUCCCGAAGGAUUGUGUCCCUCAUAUGAUGUCUACAAAAGGCCGCAUUCAUGUUAUUAGCUUAUGGGCUAGUCCACCUAGGGUUCACCGGUGUUCAUACAAGAUUUCUCAAACCGAUGAAGACAUCACAAUCAAAGAAUGGAAAAAUGUUAUGAAUAAUCAUAGGGACACUAGUAGAAAACAGAGCUUUGGUUCUGACCGGAUUAGAGAAUUAGUCUUGGUCUUGUUAUGAACCGGGACUAAUGUGAGCGUCAGCCUCGGUUUGAGCGGCUAGGACGCCGGCCGGGCCUCGUCAGCCGUCGGUCCCAGUUGGAAUGGGACCUUUAGUCCUGGUUCCAGACACCAACUGGGACUAAAGGGGCCCUUUUGUCCUGGUUGGUGUCUAGAACCGGGGUCUGGUUCUAGACACCAACCAGGACUAAAAAAUGUCUAUAUAUAUAUACGCCCUUGCCCGCCCUUUCCUCUGUGUUUUGGCCGUAGAAGGUGGGAGGUGUGUGUGCUUCUCUGCUCUCACUUCCUAUGCAAUGAGGUGUUCGAUGAAAUCCCGAGCCAAAAUUAAGCUUUCUCCUAUGUUCUUCCUCCAAGAUCGACCUCCAAGCUUCAUUUUCCUCAAGAUUUGUCUACAUUUUGCGGUGCACCAACUAUCCAAGUGUUCUAAAAGAUUAGCAACUUCAUCCUUUCAUCUCUCACUGCUAGUUUAGCUCAUUUCAACUACUCUAGAAGUAGAGUAGCUUGUGGGUUUUAGUGGAGGAGCGUAUAUGGGAGUUUAUUUGAGUUAGAUGCACAAUUAGAGCUCAAAUUAACUUCUUAGUUUGCACAUGUUUAGGGUGUCGUUCCGUCCCUGUCGCCGUCCUCACCGCCGUCUAUCGCCCGCACCAAUCUGGUCGGCGGCACCACCGUGGUGAGCCUCUUGUUCUUAUAUUAGUUUUAAAAAAAUUGUUACUUGUAUGAUUUAGAUAACUACUUGUAUAAUUUUCUUAUUUGUAUUAUUGUUUGUUAUUAUAUAGUUCCAUGGUUUUGGUAUCCGCCCCCGUCGGCUCUCGUCCGACCUAUCAUUUGGAUGUGGUAUAUUACCUUUGAUAACUAUUUGUUUCAUUUAGUGUUUAUGACAAUUAUGCCGACCAACUUGACAUGGAUGUCUUUAUCUACGAGGUAUGUGAACAGGAAAUUCCAACCGACUCUCUUGUCGAGAGGUUAAAUUUAAUUGAAAAAGAAAACAAUUAUUUGAAAUAAAAAAUGAAAAGAAUUGAAGAAGAGAAGAUGAAAUUGGAGCUGCAUGUUGCCGAUGUCGUCGAUCUACAAAUGAUCCAGAUGGAUGCAAUGCGCUUGAAGAUUAGAAAGAUUAGAAAAUAUGCCAUUGAUAAAUAGGCUUGGUAUCAGUAUGCUAUUGGAUCAAUUGUUAUCUUAGUUGUGAUUUUGAUCACAUUAGUUGUUGCAUUUAAAUGUUUUACAUACUUGUAUGUUGUUUUAUGAGAACUAUGUAUGAACUUGAUGUAUUUAUUUUUGCAGUAAUAAAAUUUGAUCACUAUUGUACUUUGGUUUUAAUGUGAUGAUGAAUUUGUAUUAAUUUGGUCAUUUCUCUAUUCAUGAUGCUCUGUAUUGGUUUUUGAUAUAAUUAGUUAUAUAAUGCGGAUGAACUGGCAAUGGAUGUUCGGUGACCGAUGCACCUCCGACUACAUUACAGGCCUGCAUAAUUUUAUCGAUGUGGCUGAGGCAAAAAAUGUGAAUUGUUUUAUGUAUUGUCCAUGUACUAUCUGUGAGAAUACGAAGGAUUACUCUUCCUGAAAAUCCCUUCACUUCCAGCUACUUAAGAAGGGUUUCAUGCCCCACUAUAAUUGUUGGACCAAGCAUGGAGAAAGAGGGGUUAUGAUGGAAGAUAAUGAAGAAGAAGAGGAUGAUGAAUACUAUCCAAUGUUCCCUGAAUACAGUGAUACUGCAACGGGAGAAGCUGAAGAUCAAGAGGCACCAGAUGUGCCCGCUGAUAAUCUUCGCCGGGUCAUUGUUGAUGCACAAAGAGAAUGCAAAAGUGAAAGGGCGAAGUUGAAGUUCGAUCGCAUGUUAGAGGAUCACAAAAAACGGUUGUACCCAAAUUGUGAAGAUGGCAACACAAGUCUCGGUACCACACUAGAAUUGAUGCAAUGGAAGGCAGAGAAUGGUUUAUCUGAAGCUACCGAAAAUAAUUAAGAAGAAGCUUCCAAAGGAUAAUGAAUUGCCUGAUAGUACGUAUUAAGCAAAGAAGGUUCUCUGCCCUUUAGGAUUAGAGGUGCAGAAGAUACAUGCAUGCCCCAAUCACCGCAUCCUCUACUGCGGUGAGGAGUACGAGAAUUUGAAUGCAUGCCCGGUAUGCGGUGCAUUGCGGUAUAAGAUCAGAUGAGAUGACCUUGGUGAUUAUGAGGGCGAGCGCCCCAGGAAGAGAGUUCCUGCCAAGGUGAUGUGGUAUGCUCCUAUAAUACCACAGUUCAAACGUCUGUUCAAAAACAAAGAGCAUGCCAAGUUGCUGUGAUGGCACAAAAAAGACCGUAAGAAAGACGAGAUGUUGAGAGUACCCUCUGAUGGGUUGCGAUGGUGAAAAUCGAGAAAGUGGUCGGAGUUUGCAGGUGACGCAAGGAACUUAUGGUUUGGUAUAAGUGCGGAUGGCAUUAAUCCUUUUGGGGAGCAGAGCAGCAAUCAUAGCACAUGGCAUGUGACUCUAUGUAUCUAUAAUCUCCCUCCUUGGUUGUGCAUGAAGUGGAAGUUCAUUAUGAUGCCAGUGCUAAUCCAAGGCCCUAAGCAACCCGGCAACGACAUUGAUGUGUACCUAAGGCCAUUAGUUGAUGAACUUUUAUAGUUUGGGAAUAUAAAAGGUGUACGUCUGUGGGAUGAGCACAAAUAGGAGGAAUUUGACCUACAAGUGUUGCUGUUUGUAACCAUCAAUGAUUGGCCUGCUCUUAGUAACCUGUCGACAAAGACAAACAAGGGAUACAAUGCAUGCGCGUAGUGUUUAGAUGAGACUGAAAUUAUAUACUUGGACAAAUGUAAUAAGAAUGUGUACCUGGGACAUCACCGAUUUCUUCUGACCAAGUAUGCCUUAAGAAAGAAAGACAAGCAUUUCAAAGGUGAGGUAGAUAACCGGAAGAAACAUGUCCCUCGUACUGGUGAUGAUAUAUUUGAUAUGGUCAAGGAUUUAAAAGAAAUCUUUUGAAAGGGUCCUGGCAGACAAUCUGUUUCGAAUGACACUGUCACACACGCACCCAUGUGGAAGAAGAAAUCUAUAUUUUUGACAUACCCUAUUGGAAAGUCCUAGAGGUCCACUUUGGAUCGAUGUGAUGCACAUGAUGAAGAAUGUGUGCGUGACCUACUAGGCUUCUUGGGCAUUUAUGGGAAGGCAAAAGAUACACCGGAGGCACGGGAGGACCAGAAACGUAUGAAUGAAAAAGAUGGCAUGCAUUAAAAGUAGUAUCAAGCUCCUGCCAGCUACGCUCUUACCAAAGCAGAGAAGGAAACCUUUUUUGAAUGCCUGCUCAGUGUCAGGGUCCUGUCUGGCUUCUCAUCAAAUAUAAAGGGAAUAAUAAAUAUGGUAGAGAAAAAAAUUCCAAAACCUAAAGUGUCAUGACUGCCAUGUGAUUAUUACGCAAUUGCUUCUGCUUGCAUUGAGGGGGCGUCUACUAGAAAAUGUUCUAUUAGCCAUUAUGAAGCUAUGUGCAUUCCGCAAUGCAAUUUCUCAGAAGGUAACCAAUCCAGAAAUCCUACCAAGGUUACAUAAUGAUUUUGUCCAAUGUCUUGUCAGAUUCGAGUUUGUGUUCCCACGAUCCUUGUUCAAUAUUAUGACGCACGUCCUAGUUCACUUAGUCGACGAGAUUGCCAUUAUGGUUCCAGUAUUUGUACACAAUAUGUUCUCCUUUGAGAGGUUCAUGGAAGUCUUAAAGAAAUAUGUUCAUGGCCGUGCUAGGCCAGAAGGAAGCAUCUCCAAGGACCAUGAAACAAAGGAGGUUAUUGAGUUCUGUAUUGACAUUAUUCUUGACCUUAAGCCGAUUGGUGUUCCUCAAUCGCGGCAUGAAGGGAGACUAAGUGGAAAAGGCAAGCUAGCACUGAACGCAAUAAUAUGAAGGGACGGGCAUUCUUGGGCGCAAGCACACUACAUAGUUCUAAAAAAUUCUGCCUUGGUGGCCCUGUAUAUCAAUGAACAUAAAAAUAUUGUAUGCUCCCAACACCCGGGGCAGUCUAACGACUGGAUUACACGUGCACACAUGUGGACUUUCGGUGAUUGGUUGUAAACACAUCUCAUGGGUAACACCACUAUUGGAGAUGAGUUGUACUUGUUGUCGAAGACAACAUCUUCGACUGUAUUGUCUUUCCAAGGGUUUGAGAUAAAUGGGAAUACAUUUUACACCCCCAAGAUAAAAAUAGCACCAACUGAUACAUCCAUUUUUCAUCAUUCUUUUUUAUCGAUAUUUAUUGCAUUAUGGACUGUUAUUACACAUUAUGUCACAAUACUUAUGGCUUUUCUCUCUUAUUUUAUAAGGUUUGCACGAAGAGGGAGAAUGGCAGCAGCUAGAAUUCUGGGCUGGAAAAGGAGCAAAUAUUAGAGACCUAUUCUGCACAACUCCAAAAGUCCUGAAACUCCACGGAAGUCAGUUUUGGAAUAUAUUAAAAAUAAUGGAUGAAGAAAGCACCAGAGGGGGGCCACCCACCGUCCAUGAGGGUGGGGGCGCGCCCUACCCCCUGGGUGCGCCCCCUGUCUCGUGGGCCCCCUGGCAGGCCUUCGGUGCCCAUCUUUGGCUAUAUGAAGUCUUUCGCCCUGGAAAAAAUCAUAAGCAAUCUUUCGGGACGAAACACCGCCGCCACGAGGCGGAACCUUCGCGGAACCAAUCUAGGGCUUCGGCGGAGCUGUUCUACCGGGAAAACAUCCCUCUGGGAGGGGGAAAUCAUCACCAUCGUCAUCACCAUCGAUCCUCUUAUCAGGAGGGGGUCAAUCUCCAUCAACAUAUUCACCAGCACCAUCUCCUCUCGAACCCUAGUUCAUCUCUUGUAUCCAAUCUUUGUCCCAAAACCUGAGAUUGGUACAUGUGGGUUGCUAGUAGUGUUGAUUACUCCUUGUAGUUGAUGCUAGUUGGUUUAUUUGUUGGAAGAUCAUAUGUUCAGAUCCUUUAUGCAUAUUAAUACCCCUCUGAUAAUGAACAUGAAUAUGAUUUGUGAGUAGUUACGUUUGUUCCUGAGGACAUGGGAGAAGUCUUGCUAUAACUAGUCAUGUGAAUUUGGUAUUCGUUUGAUAUUUUAAUGAGAUGUAUGUUGUCUCUCCUCUAGUGGUGUCAUGUAAACGUCGACUACAUGACACUUCACCAUUAUUUGGGCCUAGGGGAGGCAUUGGGAAGUAAUAAGUAGAUGAUGGGUUGCUAGAGUGACAAAAGCUUAAACCCUAGUUUAUGAGUUGCUUCGUAAGGGGCUGAUUUGGAUCCAUAUGUUUCAUGCUAUGGUUAGGUUUACCUUAAUACUUCUUUCGUAGUUGCGGAUGCUUGGAAGAGGGGUUAAUCAUAAGUGGGAUGCUUGUCCAAGUAAGGGCAGUACGCAAGCACCAGUCCACCCACAUAUCAAAUUAUCAAAGUACCGAACGCGAAUCAUGUGAGCGUGACGAAAACUAGCUUGACGAUAAUUCCCAUGUGUCCUCGGGAGCGCUUUCCUUUAUAUAAGAGUUUGUCAUGUUAUUUCUGUUAAAAUAGGAGAUCGUUGCUAUCAUGGCUUAUGUGAUAUAGGUGCUAGUGCGAGUGCAAUACCUCAUUCUUUAUUUGAAGAAAUUAUGCAUGAUAUUGCACCUGGUGAGUUAGAAGGUACUGGUGUUACAAUUAAGCUUGCCAAUAGAGAUACUAUUUCACCGGUUGGGAUUGUUAGAGAUGUUGAAGUCUUCUAUGGGAAAGACAAAUAUCCUGCUGAUUUUCUUACUCUUCGUUCCCCACAGGAUGACUUUUGUCCCAAUAUAUUUGGUAGACCCUUCUUGAAUACUGUUAGUGCUAAGAUAGACUGCAAAAAGGAUAUUGUUUCUGUUGAUUUAGGGGAUAUGUCUCAUGAUUUUAAUUUUGCUAAAUUUCGUAGACAACCCCAUGAUAAAUCAUUGCCUAGUAAAGAUGAAAUUAUUGGUCUUGCUUCUAUUGCGUUCCUCCUAAUGAUCCUUUAGAACAAUAUUUGCUAGACCAUGAAAAUGAUAUGUAUAUGAAUGAAAGAAGGGAAAUACAUGAAGUAUUCUUUAAACAGGGACCUAUUUUGAAACACAACUUGCCUAUUGAAAUUCUAGGGGAUCCUCCUCCACCAAAGGGUGAUCCCGUGUAUGAGCUUAAACCAUUGCCUGAUACUCUUAAAUAUGCUUAUCUUGAUGAAAAGAAGAUAUAUCCUGUUUUUAUUAGUGCUAACCUUUCAGAUCAAGAAGAAGAGAAACUAUUGAAAACUCUGAAGAAGCACCGUGCUGCUAUUGGAUAUAAUCUUGGUGAUCUUAAGGGCAUUAGUCCCACGCUAUGCCAGCACAAAAUAAAAUUGGAGAAAGACGCUAAACCGGUUGUUGAUCACCUACGACGGUUAAAUCCUAAGAUGAAAGAAGUGGUACGAAAAAGAAAUACUAAAGCUUCUGGAGGCAGGUAUAAUUUGUCCCGUUGCUGAUAGUCAGUGGGUAAGUCCUGUCCAUUGUGUCCCUAAGAAGGGAGGUAUUACUGUUGUUCCUAAUGAUAAAGAUGAAUUGAUCCCACAAAGAAUUGUUACAGGUUAUAGAAUGGUAAUUGAUUUCCGCAAAUUAAAUAAAGCUAUUAAAAAUGAUCAUUACCCUUUACCUUUUAUUGACCAAAUGCUAGAAAUAUUAUCCAAACAUAUAUAUUUUUGCUUUCUAGACAGUUAUUCUGGUUUUCUCAAAUACCUGUCUCAAAAGAGGAUCAAGAAAAGACCACCUUUACUUGCCCUUUUGGUACCUUUGCUUAUAGACGCAUGCCUUUUGGUUUAUGUAAUGCACCUGCUACCUUUCAAAGAUGUAUGACUACUAUAUUCUCUGACUUUUGAGAAAGGAUUGUUGAGGUUUUCAUGGAUGAUUUCUCCGUAUACGGAACUUCUUUUGAUGAUUGCUUAAGCAACCUUGAUCGAAUUUCGCAGAGAUGUGAAGAAACUAAUCUUGUCUUGAAUUGGGCGAAGUGCCACUUGAUGGUUAAUGAAGGUAUUUUCUUGGGGCAUAAAAUUUCCGAAAGAGGUGUUGAAGUUGAUAAAGCUAAAGUUGUUGCUAUUGAAAAGAUGCCAUGUCCAAAGGACAUUAAAGGAAUAAGAAGUUUCCUUGGUCAUGCCGGUUUUUAUAGGAGGUUCAUUAAAGACUUCUCAAAAAUUUCCAGGCCUCUGACUAAUCCCUUACAAAAAGAUGUUCCUUUUGUCUUUGAUGAUGAUUGUGUAGAAGCAUUUGAAAUACUUAAGAAAGCCUUGAUUCCUGCACCCAUUGUUCAGGCUCCUGAUUGGAAUUUACCCUUUGAAAUUAUGUGUGAUGCCAGUGAUUAUGCUUUAGGUGCUGUUCUAGGACAAAGAGUUGAUAAGAAAUUAAAUGUUAUCCAAUAUGCUAGUAAAACUCUAGACAGUUCCCAGAGAAAUUAUGCUACUACUGAAAAGGAAUUUUUAGUAGUUGUGUUUGCUUGUGAUAAGUUCAGACCUUAUAUUAUUGAUUCUAAAGUAACUGUUCAAACUGAUCAUGCCGCUAUUAAAUAUCUCAUGGAAAAGAAAGAUGCUAAACCUAGACUUAUUAGAUGGGUUCUCCUUUAAAAAAUUUGAUUUGCAUAUUAUUGAUAGAAAGGGAGCUGAGAACCCCGUUGCAGACAACUUGUCUAGGUUAGGGAAUGUUCUUGAUGACCCACUACCUAUUGAUGAUAGCUUUCCUGAUGAACAAUUAGCUGUCAUAAAUGCUUCUCAUACUGCUCCAUGGUAUGCUGACUAUGCUAAUUACAUUGUUGCUAAAUUUAUACCGCCUACUUUCACAUACCAGCAAAAGAAAAAGUUUUUCUAUGAUUUAAGACAUUACUUCUAGGAUGACCCACACCUUUGUAAAGAAUGAGUAGAUGGUGUUAUUAGACGUUGUGUACCCGAGCAUGAAUAGGAACAGAUCUUACGCAAGUGUCACUCCGAGGCUUACGGAGGACACCAUGCUGGAGAUAGAACUGCACAUAAGGUAUUGCAAUCCGGUUUUUAUUGGCGUACUCUAUUCAAGGAUGCCCGUAAGUUUGUCUUGUCUUGUGAUGAAUAUCAAAUAAUUGGUAACAUUAGUAGACAUCAAAAAAUGCCUAUGAAUUAUUCACUUGUUAUUGAACCAUUUGAUGUUUGGGGCUUUGAUUAUAUGAGACCGUUUCCUGCCUCUAAUGGGUAUACACAUAAGCUAUUCUAACUAGUAGUGCUGAUCAUAAGACCUCUAUUAAGAUGCUUAAAGAAGUUAUUUUUCCAAGGUUUGGAUUCCCUAGAUACUGAAUGACUGAUGGUGGUCCACAUUUUAUUCAUGGUGCUUUGUUUAAGAUGCUUGCUAAGUAUGAUGUUAAUCAUAGGAUUGCAUCUCCAUAUCACCCACGGUCUUGUGGUCAAGUAGAACUGAGUAAUAGAGAGCUUAAAUUAAUUUUCCAAAAGACUAUUAAUAGAUCUAGAAAGAAUUGGUCAAAGAAACUUGACGAUGCAUUAUGGGCCUAUAGAACUGCAUAUAAAAAUCCUAUGGGUAUGUCUCCAUAUAAAAUGGUUUAUGGAAAAGCAUGUCACUUACCUCUCGAACUAGAACAUAAGGCAUAUUAGGCCAUUAAAGAGCUCAAUUAUGACUUAAAACUUGCCGGUGAGAAGAGAUUAUUUGACAUUAGCUCACUUGAUAAAUGGUGAACCUAGGCCUACGAGAAUGCCAAACUGUUUAAAGAAAAAGUUAAACGAUGGCAUGGCAAAAGGAUACAAAAACGUGAGUUUAAUGUAUGUGAUUAUGUAUUGUUAUACAACCACUAGUAGAAAACAUGGCUUUGCUUCGAGGCUGGCCAACCCAUUAGUCCCGGUUCAGUCAAGAACCGGGACCCAUGGGGGCAUACGUCCCGGUUCGUGCGCCCAUGGGCUCGGCCAGGCCUCGGGACGCAUUUGUCCUGGUUCAUGCAUGUGGACCCAUUUGUCCUAGUUCUAGCCACGAACCGGGACCAAUGGGCCUCGCUCCUGGCCCAGCACCAUUGGUCCCGGUUUGUGCAUAGAACCGAGAUAGGAGGGAGGCCUUUAGUCCCGGUUCCAGCCACGAACCGGGACCAAUGAGGUGGCUAUAUAUACCCCUCGCCCGCGAGUAGAGCACUCCACACUGCUCUGUUUUUUCUGGCCGGCAAGGGAAGUGCUUUGUGGUGCUCUAGCUCACCUCCUAUGCACACGAGGUGUUCGACGAAAUGCCCGAGCCACACUAGUUAAGCUUUCUCCUCUCGAAGCUCGACCUCCAAGCUCCAUUUUCCCUGAGAUUUGUCUAGGUUUAGCGGUCCGUCACGUCCCGUCCUCGUCUUCACCGCCGUCGAUCGCCUGCGCCGAUCUCGUCGCCUGCACCACCAUGGUGAGCCUCUUGUUCUUAUCUUCUUCUGAAAGAAAAAAUUCUUACUUUAGAUAGAUACUUGUCUAAUUUUCUUACUUUUAUUAUUACUUGUUCUUAUAUAGUGCGAUGGUUUUGGUAUCUCUUGGGGAUAUAGCUAUCAGUUAUGAACCGCCCAGGAGGGGCCGGGUCAAGACCCAAUGGCAGGUCACAAAGGAAGCCCAAUAAACACUCGAGGCGAUAGUUUGUUAAAUCUUAUAGAAGGCCUAAAGGCCUAGAGGCGGCUUAAGUCCCAAUAUUGUAAACCGCCGUAUGUAAGGAAAGACUUGUAAAGAAAGGCAUAUAAAAGAAGUCACCAAGGCGGACUCGAUUUAUGAGCCGGUAGGGACUCUGUAGGCCACCAGGCGUCAACCUGUGUAUAUAAGGGGACGACCCGGUGGCGGCUUAGGGCAAAAAAUAGGAGAUCGAUAACCAAGCUGGUGAACUAGCCUCUUGGUGAUCAAAACCCCAACAAUAUCAACACAACUAGACAUAGGCUUUUACCUUCAUCGUAAGGGGCCGAACUAGUAUAAAAUCUCUCGUGUCCUUUGUCCCGAUUAACCCCUUUAAGUUUCAUAGUUGCGAUGGCCCUACGACUAAGUCCUUUGGCUAGGACAUCUAUCGUGACAAUUCCAUGAUAGUUGGCGCCCACUGUGGGGCCAGCGCACGGUGGAUUCAAGUUCUUGAAGGGAAACUUAGAAGGGCUCAAGGGAUACGUUGUGGGCCGGAUGACCAAGAGUCGUCGCGGCAAGCUCUACAUCGAUGACGAAGGCUGGGGCCCCGAGGCCGGCUCACUUGAGUAUGGGUACCGGGUCCCCUUCGGCGGAAUUCAUGUCUUCAUCAGCCGGAUCGGCGAGUCGGGUCCUGAGCCGGACGUUCACACCAACCUCAUCGAAACGGCUCAGCGCGCGAGGUCCACCCGUGUUCAAUCUGUCGUGAAGCAUGCCUUUGUGGGCUGCAUCCACGGCGGUGAAUACUCUGGAGAAUUGGUGGAUGGCGGUGAGACGGCCGUCUGUUCUGAUGCCACAUCAUCGACAGGAGAGAUGAACUCUAUGUAUCAGCUGAAGGAUGGCAUGCUCGAAGGUUGUUUCGAUGGCAGCAGUAUUCCGGACCCCCUUGAGCCGCCGAAUUGGGUCGGAGUGUUCAUGGCAGAAACACAGCCAGGGCAGAACUCCACAGUAGCGGCAGCAACAACCACCAUGUCGGUCGCAGCCGGGUCAAGAGACCCCACGCGCCCGCGGCUCAGAUUCUGAUGGACCUCAUGGAUAAACUGAUGACCCUGUUGACUGCCGUGGUAGAGCCGGCGAAUCAAGCUCCGCAUGACGCAGAGGUGGCACGCAUACGUGAGGAGAUGGUACAAGCUAAAGAAAAUUUAGCAGCAGAGGAGGUCAGGAUGUGGCAACUUCUGGCAUAGACUUUCCGGCUCUCGAUGGAUCUAAAUGCGUCAAACGAGGUCAUGAGAAGAAGGCACCAGAAAACUCAGUCACGUCUACCUCGGACACUCGAUCCUAGGAACCUUUUUCAUACACCCGGGGCCGGGGCAAGUAACCCGCCGUAGGCAAAUCGGAUCACGUCACCCGGGGCACCGGUUCAGCCGCGCACCAUGGAACCACCUCGUGUACACACCGCUCCGCCUCAUUAUGUGCCAACACUGCUGGGUCACUUCUCCAAUCCCUUGGAAAACCUCAUUGCAGCUUUGGCUCGUUUGGCGGCUCUCCCGAUGGAGGGCGACUCUCCGGUGGUGAUCGAAACAAGAAGGGUGAGAGAACUUCUUCAAACAGCUCUAGCGCAGCAGGAUGCGUACUCUUACAAUCAAGACAGGAUCCAUUCAACCCCUCGCCCGAGCCGGAGCCCAAGCUACAGUGGGCGUAUGGAUUCAGUUGGCAUGUCAAGUAAUGUUCAAUGCCACAAUCGGCCGCACAAGCAUGAGCCGGGACAGGCUGGAGCCCUUAACUUGGCGGAUCAGGAGAGGAUCCGACAAGAGGCUGAGCGAGCGGUUCAAUUGGCAGCGGAGCAGGCGGCUUACCAGACUUUUCCGGCUUAUCCAGCAACCUCGGUUGAGCCAGGAGUGGCCACGAGAACCGGAGGUGUCCCUUGCCUGGUGCCUGCCAUACGUAAUGAGCGUUUUCCGAAGGACUUCAAGGUUCCUCAUAAGGUGCCUGAUUACACGGCCGACAUGUAGCCUGGGGCCUGGAUUGAGAGUUAUGAGAUGGCCAUGGAGCUGUUGGAGGUUAGCGACACAGGAAUGGCUAAAUAUUUCAAGAUGAUGUUGGAUGGAACGACUCGUACUUGGCUAAAAGUGUUGCCCCCCAAUUCCAUUGGCUCAUGGGCGGAGUUAAAGGCCAGGUUCAUUCAGAACUUCAAAGACACAUGCAAACAACCUAUGUGAAUCUUGGACCUGACUAAUUGUAAACAAGAGGAAGGUGAGUCCACAACCCAUUGGGUGCGCCGGGUGAAGGAGAUAAUUCAUUCAUCUGAUAAGAUGGAUGCCGGCUCAGCAGUAUUAAUGUUGGAGAAAAAUUGCCGUUUUGGACCUCUGAAGUAGAAGCUGAGGCGGCUUAAACGUGACUGCAAUGACAUGGGCCAGUUGGUGGCGGCUCUCGUCAAGUAUGCUGAUUCUGAUAGUACCAAGGACCCUGUGUCUGAUGAAGAAAAGACAGGGAAGGGAAAGAAGAACGGCAACGGCAAGGGUCACCAACAUAACCCGACAAAUCAAGGAGGUAAUAAACGCAAGUCUGACGAAUUUGUGGAUAACACCAAUGCGCUGGGCAACAAUCAACAGCGCAAAGGUAGGCAACCCCCUCGGUCGGAAGGGUCAGGUCCCACCCUUGAGCAACUAUUGAAUGAACCUUGUCCAAGACACGGCACCCGGGAGAAGCCAGCCACCCAUUUGUGGAAGGAUUGUACAAUCAUGAAGGCAUUCAAGAAUUCAAAUGCAUUCGAUGGAAGUCACGGCCCUGGCGGCGGUUCAGGUGGAGGCAGCUUUCAUGGCCCGGGACCAUCUCAGGUGGAGGCGGUUUUCACGGUCAGGGACAUGCGGGUAACCAAGGAGGUUAUAGUCCUCAACCCGGCCAAGGUAAUUUGCAGCAAUCCGGAUAUCAGAGCAACCCAAAACAUUUGAAUUGUGGGCAAUAUCAUGUGUUUACCACUAGCUUGUGCAAGCGGGACCAAAAGCUUCACAAGAGGGCUGUCAAUGCCAUUGAGCCGGUGAUUCCGCAUUACUUAUGGUGGUCAGAACAACCUAUUGUGUGCAGCAGAGAGGAUCAUCCUCCCCGGUUGACAAUCCGGGUCACUUGGCCUUGGUAGUAGCGCCUCGGGUUGCUAGAUAUAAAUUCACUAAAGUGCUCAUGUAUGGAGGCAGUAGCAUCAACAUCCUCUACUAUGAGACGUUUCGCCGGAUGGGGUUGACUGAUAAGAGUCUUACACAAUCUAGCACUGUUUUUCACGGUGUGGUACCUAGCAAAUCGGCAUACCCAGUUGGCAAGAUUGAACUGGAAGUAGCUUUUGGGGAUGAAUAUGAUUCCAGAGCGGAGAAAUUAACCUUUAAGGUGGUUAAGAUCAAAAGCCCAUAUCAUGCUUUGUUUGGACGGCCGGCUUACGCCAAGUUCAUGGCUCGGCCGUGUUAUGUGUAUCUGCAACUUAAGAUGCCAGGUUAUAAGGGCACCAUUACAGUACAUGGAAGCCGGAAAAUAGCCCUGGAGUGUGAAGAAGGAGAUGCUACAUACGCUGAGUCUGUUUGUGCAAUGGAGGAGUUGAAGUUUUAUAAAGAUAUUGUUGACCCGACAGACAUGACGUCUCUAAAGAAGCCAACAACGGAGCAUGAACUUGUGUUGAAAUUCAAGUCAGCUGAUGAUACCAGGACGGUUGAUUUUGUUCCCGGCGACUCAUCCAAGCAAUUCAUCAUUAGUGCCAAUUUGGAUCCAAAAUAGGAAAGCGCGCUCAUCGAGUUCAUCCGUGAGAACUGGGACAUCUUUGCAUGGAAACCUUCUGACAUGUUGGGUGUCCCGAGAGAACUCGCUAAGCACACUCUCAAUAUUGAUCCAAAGUUUAAACCGGUCAGGCAGUUUCUCCGACGAUUCAACUAGGAAAGGCGCAAGGCCAUCGGAGAAGAGGUGGCCCGUCUCUUGGUGGCCGGGUUCAUUGUGGAAGUCGUUCACCCAGAGUGGUUAGCCAACCGGUGCUUGUACUAAAAAAUAACGGCACCUGGCGUAUGUGUGUGGAUUACACCGAUUUAAAUAAGGCUUGUCCGGCUGACCCUUUCGCUCUCAUCCGUAUUGAUCAGAUCAUUGAUGCUACGGCGGGUUGCGCACGUUUGAGUUUUUUGGAUGCCUAUUCAGGUUAUCAUCAGAUCAAGAUGGCAGUCAAGGACCAGGAGAAGACAGCUUUCAUCACUCCGUUUGGAGCCUUCUGCUAUGUGUCUAUGACCUUCGGGCUCAAGAGUGCCCAGGAAACUUAUCAACGGUGUAUGCAGAAUUGCCUUCACAAUCAGAUUGGGCGUAAUGUUCAUGCUUAUGUGGAUGAUAUAGUGGUAAAAUCCAGGAAAGACGAAACCUUGGUCACAGAUCUGAAAGAGACCUUUGAUAACCUCCGGGUCUACAAAAUGACGCUUAACCCGGCCAAGUGUGUUUUUGGAGUCCCAGCUGGCAAGCUCUUGGGUUUUUGGUGUCCAACCGAGGUAUUGAAGCUAACCCGGAGAAGAUCAAGGAAAUCACAUCCCUGGCCAAACCAACAUGCACUACUAGAAUCAGGUACUUUGCCAUCUGCCAGCUCUUUGCCGUCAGCUAGGGGACGGCAAAGAAGCUCUUUGCCGUCAGCUAGCGGACGGCAAAGAAGCUCUUUGCCAUCAGCUACCAAAAAGCAGACGGCAAAGAACUGGCUGAUGGCAAAGACCUAAUUUUCCAUCAGCCAGUUCUUUGCCGUCGGCUAGCGGACGGCAAAGAGGGAGGGGGCCCCACUUACGAGCUGCUUAAAAAAAACCUAAUGGCCCCCCUCUUUGCCGUCCGCUAGCAGAUGGCAAAGAGAAAAUAAGAGGACGGCAAAGGGGGCGGACAGCGAAGAGGGAGGGGCCCCACUAACGUUAACGGCCGCGCCCCACACCGCCCCCCUCUCUCUUUCUCUUCUUCACACGCGCGCCGCCNNNNNNNNNNNNNNNNNNNNNNNNNNNNNNNNNNNNNNNNNNNNNNNNNNNNNNNNNNNNNNNNNNNNNNNNNNNNNNNNNNNNNNNNNNNNNNNNNNNNNNNNNNNNNNNNNNNNNNNNNNNNNNNNNNNNNNNNNNNNNNNNNNNNNNNNNNNNNNNNNNNNNNNNNNNNNNNNNNNNNNNNNNNNNNNNNNNNNNNNNNNNNNNNNNNNNNNNNNNNNNNNNNNNNNNNNNNNNNNNNNNNNNNNNNNNNNNNNNNNNNNNNNNNNNNNNNNNNNNNNNNNNNNNNNNNNNNNNNNNNNNNNNNNNNNNNNNNNNNNNNNNNNNNNNNNNNNNNNNNNNNNNNNNNNNNNNNNNNNNNNNNNNNNNNNNNNNNNNNNNNNNNNNNNNNNNNNNNNNNNNNNNNNNNNNNNNNNNNNNNNNNNNNNNNNNNNNNNNNNNNNNNNNNNNNNNNNNNNNNNNNNNNNNNNNNNNNNNNNNNNNNNNNNNNNNNNNNNNNNNNNNNNNNNNNNNNNNNNNNNNNNNNNNNNNNNNNNNNNNNNNNNNNNNNNNNNNNNNNNNNNNNNNNNNNNNNNNNNNNNNNNNNNNNNNNNNNNNNNNNNNNNNNNNNNNNNNNNNNNNNNNNNNNNNNNNNNNNNNNNNNNNNNNNNNNNNNNNNNNNNNNNNNNNNNNNNNNNNNNNNNNNNNNCCCGACACCGACACGACACCCCGACCCCCGACACCUCCCAAAAUGGUGUUCUUUGGCCUUGCAGAGGCCGACGGGGUCAUAUAUUUGUGAAUUAUUAGUUAGGUCAUAUAUUUUUCGAUUUUGUUAUGAAAAACAUCAUAUCUAAUUGUGUUGAUCGGGUAGUUUUAAAUGUGCAGUUGUUUCAUCACUGCGAGGUUUGGUGUUCGACGACCUAUUAGAGUGUAGGUUGCAUGGACGUAAUAGAAUUGACAAAGUAGAUCAACUGAUGAAUAUAUACAGGGUGAAUUACAUAUAUAAUUGUUGUGUGUCCAGUAGCUCUGAAAGUCAAGAUGAGUGACCGUGCGUGGAUGUAUACUGGUCACACUGGUCAGAACAAAUGGAGCGCUGAAUGGUUCACAAAAACCAAGGGGUUUGUGCAAGCCGCAUUUGCAAAUGGCCAAAAGAAAACCUGGUGCCUGUAUUUCCGGUGCGACAAUUGGGUAAAGAAGACAUAGGCUGAAAUGGGCAAACACCUGCAGAAGAGUGGUUUUAUGCCCGAUUAUACGGUGUGGACAUUUCAUGGUGAGUCUGCCCAACGUGAACGAGCUGAGGUGGAUCGUCGUCGCACCGACGAGCAUGGUACCGGGAUAGAAAACAUGGUGCAAGACUAUGAUGAUGCUCGGGAUCCGGACGAGGAGAUGGUGGAAUCUGCAAAGGCCUUCAAUGAAAUGUUGGAGUCUUCAAAACGUCCGCUCCACGAGCACACUGAGCUUUGUCAGUUGGAUGCCAUCUCACAAGUAAUGGCUAUGAAGGCUCAGUUCAACUUGGGCAGAGAAUGCUAUGACGCAAUUAUGACAGUAUUUGGACGCUUUCUACCCAACGGCCAUGUAAUGCCUGCAAACCUGUACCAGUCAGACAAAAUCCUCCAUGCACUAAAGAUGCCCUAUGAGAAGAUACAUGCCUGUGAGAAAGGAUGUGCCUUAUUUAGGCUUGACUAUGCGGUCUUGAACUGUUGUCCCAUUUGCAAGUCUUCCAGGUAUAUUGUGGUAGACAACGGUAUGGGUUAGAAGACACAGACCAAAAUCCCCGUUAGUGUUCUUCGGUAUAUGCCAAUCGUACCAAGACUUCAACGUCUUUUCAUGGUCGAAGAGACGGCUAGACAGAUAACAUGGCACAAAACAGGCAAAAGAACCGAACUAGAUGUAGAUGGGAAUCUGAUGAUGGUACACACAUCAGAUGGUGUUGCAUGGAACAAGUUUGAUGAAUUACAUGCUGACAAAGCGGCAGAUCCGAGGCAUCCUCGAGUCGACAUCAGCACGGAUGGGUUCAGUGUGUUUGGUAUGAUGGCAGCCCAAUACAGUUGUUGGCCCGUAUUUGUCUUUCCACUCAAUCUCCCCCCCGGACAGAUUAUGCAAAGAAAGAACAUUUUCCUGACGUUGAUAAUUACAGGGCCCAACUAUCCGGGGGAAAAUAUGAAUGUGUACAUGCAGCCGCUUAAGGACGAAUUGCAAGAAGCCUGGGAUACUGGGUUCAAUACAUACGACGCCUUUAGCAAACGGAACUUCAUAAUGCGUGUCUGGUACAUGUACUCUACGCAUGACUUGCCGGCGUAUGCGCUAUUCAUUGGCUGGUGUGUGCAUGGAAGGUUCCCGUGCCCCACAUGCAAGGGAGCUCUUGAGUUUCGUUGGCUUCAGGGCGGUCGCAAGUUUUCUUGCUUCGACAUGCAUAGACAGUUCCUGGAUCCUCGCCAUAAGUUCAGGAAAGACAAGAACUUCAUCAGGGGUAGAGUUGUCAAAAACUCUACACCACCUGCAUUGACAGGCCAACAGACCCUGGAUCAGUUAAACGCUCUCGUGCCAGAUCCACAACAUCCAGGGUACUUCAAGGGGUAUAAUACUAAGCACGUGUGGACUCACAAAACAUGCUUAUGGGAUCUGCCUUACUUCAAAGACCUCCUUUGCCCACACAACAUCGACGUGAUGCACACUGAGAAGAAUAUCGUCGAGGCACUUUUUGGUACAUUGUUCGACAUGGAUGGGAAGUCAAAGGAUAAUACUAAGGCUAGAGUCGAUCUGGAGGUCAGGUGAGUGGUGUUGCAGGCUGCUAUAUAGAGUGAGAGAGAUAGAACGGAGAAACUUCUGGCGGGGGCGGCGGAGAGGCAGCGGGAGUUGGAGGAGAGGACAACAAAGAUGUUGGAGGAGGAGAGGGCACGGAAUGACAUGCAGGCAAGGGCCAUGUACGAGCUCCUUGUGGUAAGUUUCUUUUGCAGAUUACUUGCUAGUCUUAACAUUUGAGUCUUAUUACUAACUAGUAUGACUCUGUUGUGAAAACCAAAUGUGCAGUCUGUGUGCGAGAAGUCUGGUCAGACCGCUCCGCCGAUGCCAGUGAUUGCUCCUGGGAGCACGGUGAGUUUAAUUUGAAUGGACAUUACUUGCUAGUCUUAACAUUUGAGUGUCAUAAUGCUAAUGAGACAUUGGAAAUGAUAUUUGGUGCAGCUUAACUCCAGAAACGCAUCGCACGAUCCUUCUCCAGCUACCGGCGCGAGCCAGCCUGCUCCUACACCUUUGUGAUCACGGUAAGUUUCUCUAGUGUUUUGCUUAACAAAUGCAUAAAGACCUAGACUUAUCUUUAUUUCCUCCAAUAUGCUUACCAUAAUGACCUAGAGUUAGCUUAUUUUCCUCCAAAAUGACUUAAUAAGCUUACUGACCUCAUAAACCAUCCAUUUUACCUAAGUUAGCUUUAAAACGAUAUGUACUUAGCUUACUUAUGUCAAAAAUUGCAUAAUUAACUUAGUUAGCUCAUAAACGAUCCAUUUAACCUAAGUUAGCUCUAAAAUGACUCAUUUUACCUUAGUUAGCUUAUAAGUGAUCCAAUUUAUCCAAGUUAGCUCUAAAAUGACCCAUUUUACGUAGAUUAGCUCCUAAAUUAUCCAUUUUACCUACCUUAGCUAUAAAAUGACCCAUUUCACCUAGGUUAGCUCCAAAAUGACCUAUUUCACCUAGGUUAGCUCCAAAAUGACCCAUCUUACCUAGGUUAGCUUAUAAAUGAUCCAAUUUAUCCAAGUUAGCUCUAAAAUUACCCAAUUUACCUAGAGUAGCUCCUAAACGAUCCAUUUCACCUAAGUUAGCUAAAAAUGAUCCAUUUCACCUAAAUUAGGUCUUAAAUGAUCCAUUUCACCUAAGUUAGCUCAAAAACGAUCCAUUUCACCUUAGUUAGCUCAAAAACGUGGCAUUUCACCUUAGUUAGCUCAUAAACGACCCAUUUCAACUAAGUUAGCUCAUAAAUGAUCCAUUUUACCUAAGUUAUCUAAAAAACGAUCCAUUUCACCUUAGUUAGCUCAAAAACGAUCCAUUUCAGCUUAGUUAGCUCAUAAACGACCCAUUUCAACUAAGUUAGCUCAUAAAUGAUCCAUUUCACCUAAGUUAGCUCAUAAAUGAUCCAUUUCACCUAAGUUAGCUAAAAAUGAUCCAUUUCACCUUAGUUAGCUCAAAAACGAUCCAUUUCACCUUAGUUAGCUCAAAAAUGAUCCAUUUCACCUUAGUUAGCUCAAAAACGAUGCCCUUCACCUUAGUUACCUCAUAAACGACCCAUUUCAACUAAGUGAGCUCAUAAAUGAUCCAUUUCAACUAAGUUAGCUCAUAAACAACCCAUUUCAACUUAGUUAGCUCAUAUAUGAUCCAUUUCACUUAAGUUAGCUCAUAAAUGACAUAUACUUCUUGUUCUAGUCUUCUUCUGGUUCUAUUCACCUAUUUCUAACUUUCUUAUUUACCAUUUUGCAGAUUUCACUCACUUCAUGGAAGCUAGCUUGCUAUGAUGGAGUGCUUGCUUUUUCUUUGCUAAAACUUUGCAUUGUAUCUAGCUUGCUAUGAUAGAACUUGCUAUGUUGAUGAAACUUUGCUAUGUAAUAUGUAUAUGGAACAAUGUGUACGGAUGGAACUUGAUGGAACUUGCUAUGUUGAUGAAACUUUGAUGUGUAAUAUGUAUAUGGAAUUAUGUGCUGGAUAUGUGAUAUGUUUGCUGUUAAAUAUAUCUAUAUAUGUCAUAUAUAUUUGCUGUGAAAAUUGUUGGAUUAAAAAAACAGAAAAAAAGAGACAAUAUGUAGGCUCUUUGUCGUCUGCCACCGAUGGCAAAGGGCUCUUUGCCAUCAGCAGCCGACGGCAAAGAGGCCACGUGGCAGGCAACUGUGCUUCCUGGGAGGCUGACCAAUUUGGUCAGUUUACCUACAGUGGCUGACAGCAAAGGCUUUGCCGUCGGCGGCGGACAGCAAAGAGUAAAAACUUUGCCUACAGUGGCGGACGGCAAAGGCCUACCGUGUAGUGACGUCGGCUGACAUCAUUCGGCGGACGGCAAAGGCCUUCCGAAGUUUGCCGUCAGUGGCGGACGGCAAAGGCCUGCCGUUAACCACCUAAUGGAGUAAUAGCGCAUUUAUUGUCGUCUGCACUCUUUGCCAUCCGCUGCUGAUGACAAAGGCCCCUUUGCCGUCAGCCGCCCAAAGCAGACGACAAAGUAGCUCUUUGCCAAACCUUACUUUGCCGUCCCCUUUUGCCGUCCGCGGCAGACGGCAAAGACCUUUGCCGUCGGCCAUCCAUGCCUUUGCCGUCUGCUGUGGCAGAUGGCAAAGUAGCUGAUUCCUAUAGUGAUGCAUCAAUGACGUUCAAUGGCUGGUGGGUCGUGUUGCUGCUUUAAGCCGGUUCAUAAUCCGGUUAGGGGAGAAGGCAAUGCCUUUGUAUCAAAUGAUGAAGAAAACAGAUGAUUUUAUUUAGAGUGAGGCUGCGAACUCUGCUUUUCAGGAUCUAAAGAAACAGCUUGCUGAGCUGUCGGUCCUGGCUGCUCCAGUUGAGAAACAGCUGCUAUUGUUAUAUGUAGUCGCCAACUCACGUGCUGUUAGUGUGGCAAUUGUGGUGGAACGCAAGGAGGUCGGCAAGGAACAUCCGGUUCACCGGCCGGUUUACUACGUCGGUGAGGUGUUGACUAAAUCUAAACAAAGAUAUCCACAUUGGUAGAAGCUCAUAUAUGGGGUGUUCAUGGCGAGCCGAAAGCUUAAACAUUACUUUUAGGGUCACCCAAUCACUAUGGUUAGCUCUACUCCUUUGGGGGACAUCAUUCAAAAUGGAGAAGCCACUGGUCGAGUCACCACGUGGGCCAUUGAGCUUGUGUCCCACGGGUUGAACUAUGUGCCACGUACUGCAAUCAAAUCUCAAGCACUGGUUGAUUUUAUUAAUGACUGGAUAGAGAUGCAGAUGCCGGAGGAGAAACCAGACAACACAUAUUGGACUAUUCACUUUGAUGGGUCCAGACAGUUGGAAGGGUCUGGGCUGGAGUUGUUUUAACCUCCCCUCGAGGUAACAAAUUUUGUUAUGUGUUGCGGCUGAUGUUUCCUUACACUAACAGCACAGUGGAAUAUGAAGCGUUGCUCCAUGGUCUUCGAAUGGCUAAAGAGAUGAGCCUGAGCUGGGUCCGGUGUCUUGGCGACUCAGGUUUGGUAGCUCAACAGGUGCCAGGCAAGUGGGAUUCCAAAGAUCCUCUCAUGGCGGCUUAUCUCCAUGAAGUUGAUGCUAUUGUAGGGCAUUUUAAGGGUUAUCAGGUGCAGCACAUUGACCGUAGGAAGAACGAAGCGGCUGAUGCUUUAAGCCGGUUUGGAUCUCAGCGUAAGCCGGUGCCACCUAACACCUUUUUGGAUGUUUUGCAUAACCCGUGUGUUAAGUUACCUACAGAAGAAGAUCUAGACGUUCCUGACCCUGAGGCGCAGUUGGUGGCGGCUCUUCACGUCAUCCCAGAUUGGACUGUAUUGUUCUUGGAUUACAUGACCCGGGGUAAGCUGCUAGCGGAUGAGACCCUGGCCCGAUAGAUAACCCAACGGUAUAAGUCAAUGACGAUUUCUAACGGAGAACUAUACCAUCGCAGUGUCUCUGGAGCGUUUCAGCGGUGUGUUUCCUCGGAAGAAGGCCAAGAAAUACUUCGUGAGAUCCAUGAAGGUGAUUGUGGUUAUCACGCCGGGUCAAAGUCUCUGGUGGCCAAAACUUUUCUUCAUGGUUUUUAUUGGUUGACGGCUCACGCUGAUGCAGAAGAUCUGGUCAGUAGAUGUGAUGGAUGUCAAAAAUUCGCACGACGAGCACAUGUGCCGGCUCAAGAUUGCGGAUGAUUCCAAUCACUUGGCUGUUUGCGGUCUGGGGGCUUGACAUGGUUGGACCUUUCAAAAGGUCUAAGGAUAAAAAGACACAUCUUUUAGUGGCAGUUGACAAAUUCACAAAGUGGGUUGAGGCAGAACCAGUGAGUAAGUGUGAUGCGGCGACAGUGGUCCAGUUCAUGAAAAAGGUGAUCCUCCAUUUUGGUUUUCCACAUAGCAUCAUCACUGACAAUAGCACUAAUCUAUCCCAAGGGGCUAUGGAGGAGUUCUGUCAGCGCAAGCAUAUCUGGCUUGAUGUUUCGUCUGUAGCUCAUCCUCAAUCCAAUGGUCAGGCUGAGAGAGCAAAUCAGGAAAUCUUAAAAGGUCUCAAGCCCCGGCUUAUGGUUCCCUUGCAGCGAACGUCGGGUUGUUGGGUAGAGGAGUUACCCUCAGUGCUGUGGAGUAUCAACACCACCCCUAACAGGUCUACAAGUUAUACACCUUUCUUCAUGGUUUACGGAGUGGAAGAAGUGUUGCCUAGUGACAUCCGUCAUGACUCGCCCCUUGUGGCGGCUUAUGUUGAAGCUAACAAUGACCAAGCCAGAAAGGAUGCACUUGACUUGUUAGAUGAGAAAAGACUUAGCAGCGGCUCGGUCAGCAAUUUAUCAACAGGACCUGCGCCGUUAUCACAGCCGCCGUGUUAAAUCCAGGACUUUUCAAGAAGGUGACCUGGUGCUCCGGCUCAUCCAGGAUCUGUCAGAUGCACACAAGCUAUCCCCACCUUGGGAAGGACCCUUUGUGGUCAGCAAGAACUUAAAUGACGGGUCAUAUUACCUCAUUGAUGUUCGAGAGCACAAAGACUCACGUAAAUCGGAAGAAGAGACCCGCCGGCCGUGGAACAUUGCUCAACUUCAGCCAUACUACACCUGAGCCGCCGGCUCUCAUCAUGUACAUACGUUGACAUUAUAUAUACUAUGAUAAGUAAUAAAGUAGGACCAUUGGCCUCUUUUCUUUUCAGAAAGAUUAAACAUCUUUAUUAUUUUACUACUAUUUUCAAAUGACUAUUAAGGAGCUGAUCAUAUUUGAAUCAAGUCUAACCUUUUUUGGUCUGGCUUAUGAUCAUAUUCAAAUCUAGCUGCAACUAUCAUGGUCACUAGGGGGCUUCCUGUUCAAACAUAGGUCGUAUUAAAACCAAAGAGAACAUAGAUGUCGUAACCCUUUUGAUCGGCUCAAAGCCAAACUCACUAGGGGGCUUCUUGAUCGUAUCCGAAUCACAGCUUAACUCCUUUUUGGUCCGACUUGGAUCGUAUUCGAAUCAGGGUCGUUAAAAACCUCUCAAGGUCAUUUGGAGGCUUCCUGUUCAAACAUAGGUCGUAUUUGAACCAAAGAGAACAUAGCUGUCGGUACCCUCUUGAUCGGCGCAAUGCCAAAGCCACUUGGGGCUAUAUGGUCGUAUUCGAACCUUAGCUUAACCCCUUUGGUCCGGUUUACUGAUCUUAUUUGAAUCAGAAACCCACAACCGUUAAUUGCAAGGUUAAUUUUGUUUACCACCUAUUAUUUGCCUUAUUGAUUUUUUUGUCUCAAUUUCACAAAUAAUCAGCAUGGUCUUUUCACCGGCUGGACUAUUUGACAACAAGCCGCCAGGGCGUGAUAAUCAUUAAGUAUUCAGAAGCAUUGACUUCUCAAAAAAGAGAUCGGAUUAUCAACUUCAUCACCCGGGUCAUUUAAACUGGUGUUCAGGAGAUCAAAGGUACAAGUGUGGCUAUUGUUUAUGAACAGUUGCUUUCUGUAUUAAGCAAAGGUUAUUUCAGCCUUGUUUUCUUUUUACAUCUGGUUCUAUUUUAUCCUAUGAUAAAAAUAUUGGAUAUAAACCGGGUGUUCUGACCUGUUUGGUACUAAGCCGCCAAGCCAGUCUUUUCCUUUUUAUCUACAGGACCAGAGUUGAAGUAUUGCAGGGACAACCAUAAAUAUGAUGCAUAUAUUAACAUCAGAAAGCACAGAGUAACACACGGUUUCUUAUGCGUGAUGGCAUAGGCAGAAUAUGCAGUGUUUUCAAAACUAAUCUAUUACAAGGCUUUUACAAGCACAUGAAGAUGGUCAUCACUCCUCCCUCGCCGGUUCACCACCCUCUGCUGAUUGGAAGCUGGGCUUUGACCAAUCAAACCCGUUCAUAGCAAUAAAUUAUGCUUCUUCGUCAGUCAGGCCGGCUGGAUCAACUUCUGGAGCAAAUGUAUGUUCACAAACAGGCGGGAUUAAAUCGGUCACUUUGUUGGAGGGAGUCGCCAUAUUCUUAUUAUCCAAGUUAAAACCCGGCUGGUAUUUAUCGAUAUUUGUUUCAUCUCCAAGAAUGGUGGCCUGAGGUCGCACCUCCCUCACGCAAGCAAAGAAGUCUUCCUGUUCAAACAGUGACCCGUCUUCCUUUACUGUGGGGUACCCUCUGGCUACAUCUGUCGGGUCUAGAUCUGGCACCCAAGCCUUGGAGUGGCUUAGGGCAGUCAAAGCUCCGGCUCUGGCACAUGAGCACUUGACUUCUUGGAAUAUGGAGGGUAAGAUUGACAGCUUCUUUAAGACAUCACUGAGCCAGUUGGGUCCUUGAUUGGCGGGAGAAAUAGCGGCAAGUGCCCAUUGUGCCCCAAUGUACAAUUGCUCUACCAAGGUAUACACCGCCUAUAGUUUAAUCACAUUGUCUUGGCUCAAAUUCUUGCUUCGUGGGCCUGCACAUGUUAUAUAAACAAAGGAUCAGCCAGCGGUUUAUUUUCCAGGUCAGCAUAAGGUACAAAAGGUCAGUACAGAUGGCUUACCAAAGAUGGCGGACACCAUUUGAGAUACCCAGUUCUUUAAGCUGGCCAGCUCUGUAGUAACCUCCUCAAGAGCUGCUUCCACCUUUUUGGUGUGUUGUGUCAGAAGUGUUUCUCUUCAGUCCAGGUUUUCUUCUUGGUAGUCAAGAUGUUUUUCAGAUUUUCCGUCUCACCAAGACUUAAUUGAAGCUUGGAGUCGGCAUCCUUGAUUUCUGCCUCUUGAUCUGCCAACCGGGUCUUGGCGUCAGUCAAUUGUGAACCCAAUUCAGAUAGGGCGUUCUGCAAGACAUAUACGGGUGUAUUAAAUCUCAAAAUUCAAGAUUUAAGUCUCAAGUGUCUUUGCACUGCAAAGCCACUUGACACUUGGGGGCUAAUGUAUGCCAAAACUAAUUUUUAUGAUUCUACUAUACUUCAAGUCCCAAGUACUUUACAAAGUAACAACACUUGACACUUGGGGGCUAAUGUAUGAUAUUCAACAAGUAUCUCAAGGGUAAGCCGGACUAUAGUAUUUGUUGAGUUCGGCACAUGACGGUUAUGAAAAUUCAAAGAACCGACUCAUUUAUGGUCAACUGAACAGGCCGUUGGGGAAUAGAGGUGAAGCUUUGUUCUAUUUAAUUGAACUCCAAAAAAAUCGAAAGGUAAAGUCUAAGCCUAUAUCAUAAAGUCUACAGAUCAUUCUGGUUUUCUCAUAAUCUGAAGACUAGGGGGCUGGCAGAAUAUAAGUAAGUUGGAAGAACAUACCUCGUACUUCAUUUGCAACUGCUCGACCAUUUCGAUCUCUAAGUCACGGCUGGAGUGCACAUGGCUGAGAUAGCUGGAUAAUAUGUCAUCGACAUUCAGAUGGUCAUAAUGCAAAAUAUCAAAACACACUUUUUGUCUUUCCAGCGCAUCUUGUUUCGCAGUAUGACGAGCCAACAUGGUGGGAUUCCCCGGCUCAGUGAAGUGGCUCCCAGUGAUCAGAACUUGAGCAGACGAUGAUGGCGGGUUAGCCGAGCUGGAUGGUCAAGUGGCAGAUGGGUUAACGGUGGUAUCGUCAACCGACGGCUCAGGAGGAUUUACUUCUCCGUUGACAUGCGGGUCUUCUGGAGUGUCAGUUAACAGAGGAGAAGAGGGCAUGGCCGGUUCAGGGACAGGAACUGGCGGGUCUUCCACCGGCUUAGUUGCCUUUGCCUUCUUGGACUUACCUUGACCACUAAGAGAAAUAUUAUAGGACUGUUAGUAUAAAGAUAUAGUUUGAAAAACACGGAGGAAAGAGGAUUUUUUCCUUACCCAGGGGCACUCUUGAAGGCCGGAAACUGGGUCUGAGACGAGUCGCCAGAAGAGCGAGACAUCUCCUGCAAAGAUAAAGUAAAGUUAAGUAAUGCAAGGGAAAGGAUCUAUUAAGCAGAAAGUCGAAGACAAAGAACUAAACCUCAUUCCGGCGCUUUUGAGGAGUUUGUUGAAGAAUAAUAGGCGGUUCGUCUUCGUUCCAGGCUUGACGGCGGCUCUCAUCACUAAAAAAAAUACACUUCCGUGAUGAUACGUGUUUGUCACAGUAGGUCGCGUUUUUUUCAUGCAUGUACAUCCAUGACAAAUUUAUGACAGAAUCAAGAUAGUCAUACAUGUGCUGUCGUAGAAGUGUUCCAUGACAUUAACAAAAUUAUCAUCACGGAAGUGUCCACUUCCAUGACGAUAAAUCGCGCGUCACAGAAGUGCUUUCAUCAAGGGUGACCGACACGUGGCAUCCACCGUAACGGAAUGCCGUUAAGCUAUCGUGUCGGGUUUUGGAUCCGAUAACCCGUUAACAGCCCCAACCAAUGGGGAUUUUCCACGUGUAAAAUCAUCAUUGGCUGGAGGAGACACGUGUCAGGUCCGCGUUGGCACAGGUGUCACUCAUCCAAUGGGCGAGACGCGCCUAUGAUAUGUUGACACGUGGACCGACCAAUCAAGUUUAAAUGGGCCGGCCCAACUGAAGGCCCACAAGAUUUUGCGGACCAUAAUGGGCUGGCCCAGCUAAAGGCCCACAAGAUUUUGCGGGCCAUAAUGGGCCAGCCCAGGUAAAGGCCCACAAGAUUUUUGUGUGCCAUAAUGGGCCAGCCCAGGUAAAGGCCCACAAGAUUCUUGCGGAUCAUAAUGGGCCGGCCCAGCUAAAGGCCCACGAGAUUUCUCCGACAUUAAUGGGCCAGUCCAGCUAUAGGCCCACAAGAUUUUGAGGACCCUAGUAGGCCGGCCCAUUAACUGACUGCCAUGUUUUGGGCCAAAUGCCGGCCAUAUUUGAUCCGGUCCAUUAAUGGCCUGCCAUGCUCCGGGCCUAAUAGUGGCCCAUAUGAGAUCUGGCCCGUUAAAAGCCUACCACGUUCUGGGCCAAAUUACGGCCCAGAUCAGGUCCGACCCUUUAAGAGGCUUUGGGCUCAAUUAUGGCCCAUAUCAGAUUCGGCCCGUCAACUGGACACUAUGCUUUUGGGCCCACUUGUUGAAGGCCCACUUAGUAAUUCGGCCUGAAUUAGUUUUGGCCUGUUAAGUGCCCAUUUAAAAUUUCGGCCCAAUAUUAAGUUUGGCCUGUUAAAAGCCCAUCAUAUAGUUGGACCUAACUACGACCCGGUUUGCAUCCGGCCUGCUCGCAGUCGAUAUCUGAUUUGGGCCAAACAAGGACCGAGGCAAUUUUGUCCUGUUAAAAGCCUGUGAUUUGAUUCGCACAAUAAUGGGCCAUGGUUCAUUUCGGGCUGCUGCCGGCCCGUGAGCUGUUCGGCAUGUUUCAGGCCAGCUAAAAACCUGGCCCGUUAGAGUUGAAUGUUUCGGUCCGGUGGACUGCAUCUGUUUUUUUUCAGGUAGCGAUUGAUGGCAGUAACUAGUUGGAAUUAAGAACAAACCUACUCUAUACAAUAAAGAAAUUACGGCAUAGUAACUAAGAAUAAACCUACACUAUACAAUAAAGAAAUUACGGAUUUAAGGUAUAUUACAUCCACUGGGCAUCGAAGUUCGCCACCAGUGAUCAUAAAGCGCAAUGAAGAAGCAGAUUACAAAAACUGGGCACCAUUGCAGCGUAACAAAAUAAUACUGAACCGAGACCACUUCCAAGACAAUUAAAGAAAGGUUAGCCUUGCGAGUGAACUGCUGCGCAAGCUGCUGAGCAAGGCUGUGAGACCGUCCUAGCAUGUCGGUCAUAGCUUCCAGGUAUAGCUGUUUAGCGAUGAGGUUCUGAUUGGUGUUCUCCACAAUCUUUCUUAGAGAUAGGACUUCAAGUCGAACUUGAGUUGUAGAAUGCCUUUCUGCUAGAACUUGGGACUGAAGAAGUCGAACUGAUUGAGACAACGAAUUAUGUGAGCUUGUCUGACUGUUAGUCUCAAGUAACUUGAACACUGCAUCAAGACAAGACUUUGGGGUUGUCUCGCUAUCUUCAAGAUGUUUUGCCUUCUUUGCUGCAAUAUAUGUUGGGUUUGUCUCACAUCCUUCAUCAAACUUGUGCAUGCCAUCAGGCAUAUCACCCUGAAACAAAGCAGAGAGAUGACAGGUUUUGCACGUGUAUAACAAAGAUGAUAAUUGUUCUGUCAAUUCUAUCCAAUUUCAAAUUAGAAAAUAAAGAGUAAGUUCAAAAUAUCAAUAGCAUAAUUUGGCAUUGUUCAUAAUGCGGGGAGCUUCACCACACUACUAGAUUACCAUGUCAACAUAACAAGCAUAGAUGAAGGGCAAAGAAAAUCAUUGUAUCUAUUUUGGAUAAUGUGCAUGGCAUGUUGUUCAUAUCAUCAGCCACAUCAGUAAGAUAAAACAGGAGAUGACAAGGUGCAAAUGUGGGCUGCUUCACCACACACUGGAUUAUAGAUCCACAAAAACUAGCAUACAUAUAGGGAGUAUUAAGUAAUGUGCAUGGUAUGAAUAAGGAAUUUGGUUUUACAAGUAAAACUUAGAACUUACGGUUCUUACAAACAUGCAUUUUGGUAGAAACAGCAAACUAAACAGCAGUAAACGAUAGGGAGUAUGAGCAAAUGAAACAGCAGUUGAGGAUAAAGGCUUUAGAAGUACCGACUUACAUUAACAGUUAACACCGGCUUUGUAAUGCCCUUCUCCAUGUCAAGGGAAGGAUAACUCAAGAAUUUCAGCACAUAAUCUUCUUCAUAAGCAUUGCCUAUACUCUACAUUUUGUAGAGAGUAACUAUAGAUAUGAUAAUACUGGAAGGGAUAGAGGAUAAUGAAGAUAAGAUGUAGAUUGAUGCUACAUAAUCAAUUACCAAUCCCUGGAAGUACAAGCGUUACAGGACAAAAUGUACUGACAAGAGAAAUGGGCUACACUUCUGCAUUGGCAUUGUCUAUGUAUUCUACUUGUUGGUAAGAUUAAAUAUAGAUCUGAUCUUUUUUAGUAAAUGGUGGGCGAGGGAGAUAAGAUGCAGAAUGCUACAAAAUGAACCAAUCCCUCUUCCCAUAAUUCAAGAGUGUUUUGAACACUUGUGUACUGUACAAAACGUUCUUAUAUUAUGGGACAGAAAGAGUAGCUGUUAAUGUAAGUAGAGUGAUAGACCACGUUCAGUCCUUACAAGAGGACUGCAGAGCUAAACCUCUUCAAAAGCAUUGGGUUGAUUCUAAAUUUAUGUAAGAGUCCAUAUGGAUCUUAUAAGGUCCACCAAAUGGACGAUUACGAGGCUAACAUGUGCAGUGAUGCUACAUAAUCAAACAGCUAUGAAAGUAAGUAUGGUCAUACAGGGCAAGAGGUACUCACAAGAGAAAUGAAGUGUGCAGUAUAGUUGCGAGAUUCUGUGGUCCCUUGAGAACGAAUGUUAUUCUGCUAACAGUUUUCGUACAAGUGAGACAUUAAGGCAAAUGUAGAAAUGUAGUUCAAAUUGUGAUGUGAUAUCAUAUACAGUACCUUACGCUGCAGCCGAGACCAAUGUGUAACAAGAUUAUUCCCGUCACCGUCGGAUAAAUGUAGCACCGGUGACGUUAUAGAAAUUUCGUUCAGAGGCUUUCCAUCGAAGUGAGCUUGCCUCAGGUAGGAACGAUACUAUAACAACGAGUGCUUGAAAAGCGCAACCAACCCUUGCUCGUCAUCACAAUCCAGUUUGCUCCUCGCCUAUUUAAAAGAAUGAAAUCUUGUGUAUUCUGUCAGUAGAAAAAUAUGCAGUAAUGACCAUGGAUAACAUUAGUACAUUACUUACGCGUAAGUUGCGGAGGAAGACUGGAAAUUGUUCCAUGUCUGCGGUAUAAUCUUUCCAUGAAGGAAAGAUGCGCACAAAGUUCCUGACAACAACAUAAGCUUCGUCUUCUAAACUGGGAAGAAAUGGAACAGGGGUCCUAUUUGCUGCAAUUAGGGAUCUCUCUCGUUCGAAAAGGAUUUGGCAACUGGAUUUGGUGUACUCUUUGCUGGAAUGGGGGGUUUUGCGUCGUACAACUGGUGCUAUGUCAAUUGGCAUAAUCAUAUUGUUUGCUGCAGUUGGGGUCUGCUGAGUUGGGGCAUCAGAAAUGACCAGUGUAGUAGGGCUAGAGUCUGCUAGAGUUGGGGUAUUUUGUGGGUCAGGUUAUAUUGCAACUACACCUAAUGGGCUAUUUGAUUUAUCAGGUGCCACUACCUUUUCCAAAUACUUUGCUUGUGCUCCUCCACGAUCAGGAAUCGCCCUCUUCCUUUUGAACGUCUGAUACACAAGAACAACAUUUGAAUGGAUAAAUAUGGUAUGAUGAUAGAUGGAAUAUGUAUUGAAAAUGGAUAGGAAGGGCGUAUUCACAUGCACGAUGUGUAAACUAAGCUAAUGGCAGUUCAACAAAGUAGAAGCAAUGCAAAGCAUCAGUUGCAAGAUAUGUGCGAGGAAUGUAACCUUGGAAAGUUAGAGCACGUACCUUGAUGGGUGAAUAAGAUAGGGCAUCUUCCUCUGACUCCUCCACUAGGGAGCUACAUUGACUUAGGUCACCCUCUAGCUCAGAAUCACUGUUAUGAUCAUAUUCUGAACAUGAAUCUAUAGGUGGAGAGCGUUUGCAUUGCACUGCAUCCAUACUUGAUUUCAGUCCGUUAAUGCCAAGUUUGACAGCCAUGGCAUUGUUAUGCUUGUAUUCUUUUCAUGUGCGCAAGCUCAUAAUCAUUAUGAUGCUGUUCAGAAUCUGAGAUUCAUGAAAACAUAAAAAGUAGUCAGAUUAUCUAUUCCGAGGGCCGGAAUUUUGAAAACCCUGUGAACUUUAGAGGUACUAAAGAUUAUCGAAAUACAUCUGAACCAUUAAGUGUAGGUAGCACUGAGCACACAACAAACCCUAAUGACAGUCCUGCCUAAUGAGUAAUGAAUCAAUUAGAAAAUGGGUGAUGAGGAGUGGCUGCUGAGUGUUGAGGACAUAUCUUAGGAUCAAUCGGGUUGGCUUGGUGGGUGCUGCAUGCCUGAGCCCUGAACGGACUGGGAAGGUAGGCACGGCGGCGCGCCCGGGCAGCGGUGACGCUGUUGGGUGAGCGGCUCCUGGCCUCCUGUUAGUCCAGCGUCUCCUCCUAUAGUCAUGCCGUCCGGGGAUGGCAAGUCGCCGGUGAGGUAGGCGGCUGGGGGUGAGUAGAGAUCGGAAGCGCGCAACAGAACAGAGGGGAAUCGGGGCCUGGGACGACCCAAAAUCCCAGGGUGGGCCGGCCCACCGUGGGCACCCUGUAGAGAUACACACCCGAGCGAUGAACAUGCAUUUUCGAAACUAAUUUAGGAACAUUUAGCUGACCAAUUAAACAACUCGGUUUUAAUAAUAUCAUAUUCGUAUUUGAACAACUAAGCUUGUUUAGCUUGAUGGGUGGAGCAGUGUUAUUAUGACAGAAGCACGUAUUCUGAUGGUAUAGUGAUCGUAAAAGAGGGAAACUCUAAGCAUAUAUUUUUAGCAAAAGAGGGUUUCCCCUCCAAUUUCUAUUAAAGAAACCACCAUGGAACCAACAUGAUCAAUUAAAUCGUAUUAUGGCUGUGCCAUGGAACAUUUGAAGCUGCAAACCAAAGAAAUGAUAUUUAGCAUCCAUUGUUUGCUUCGAACUAAGAACUAAAUUCUAAGAGCUGAAAAGAAAGUAGAGUAACCAAGUUAAGAUCUAUUUUCUGGUUGAGAUCAAAAAGUUGAGGAGAUAUGAAGUACCACCUCUCUUGCGGCACCGUGUCGGCAUCGGGGGUGUGAUGGCUGUCGGUGCCAUUGAAGCAGAUCUGCGACGGUAGACGGGUGCAUUGGGGGAUAAGUCCCAUUGCGGUGGAAGAGAAGGUCAUGUGAGUGGCCCCGGCAAAGAGGACGACGGCGCCGAUGAAGCGGGAGGACGUGAUGCAAGGCUAUUGGUCCGUCGCCGUGGAUGAGAAACGUCCAUCUCUAGCAGUGGACGACACGGUCUUGGUAGGCGCUCCGGCAUGCUGGAGGACAGUGGCGAUGGAUGUGGUGGAGGACGGCGGCGAUCGAUGGGGUGGCGGACAGAGGCUGGUGUGGGGAUGUGGUGUUCUAGCGCGGACUGUGUAUGAAUGGGAAAUGGAGGGAGAGGUAUGGGGAACCAUGUUUAUGGGACGCGCCUGUCUGAAAUAUGAUAAAAUUAGGAACUUAUCCCCCGUUUAAAAUUUGGACGUCUCGUCGGUUGGGGAUAGGACGGUAAUCUCGCAUCUCGCCAAUAUUUGCCCAGAGUGAUUUCGAGCGAGGAGAGGGUGGUUGGCGCCCAUGGUUAGGGCCUACGGUGUAUGAAUGGGGCUGACAGGUAGGGCGGUUGUGUCAUGUCUGAGUGAAGUUACAAACCUGCCCCUAUUGAAAAUAUUUGCCUACAUCGAUUUCAGCCGAGUCGAGUUUGUUUUGCCGCCCACCGUGUAUGAAUGGGUAAUGGAGGGAGAAACAGAGCUCUUUCGGACGAGCUUGAUUCAAAUAAGUUUUGUCGCCCAUGUUUGACGCCCACCGUGUCGGAAUGGGCUCAGAGGCGGUCGUGUCACGUCUAAUUGAAGUUACUAACCUACCCCUAUUUACAGCGGUGGAAAUCGGGCCGAUGGAUUGUCUGUGUAAUGGGUAGACAGUAAUUUCCAUCUCCCAAACACUGGCUUCGGGCAGCCGAUGUGGGAGUGGACAUUUUGCUGCUUCUUUCGAAUUUUGGGACAAUAAUCAUCCACGUUUACCCUGGCAACUAAAUUCGAAUCCAUUUUGUAUUCCUAUAUGAAUCUUUAUAAAUCAUUCUAUGUGUUUUUAUAUAUCUUCAAAUGGAUGACAAAGAUGUAUUCCACUGUCAUAUAUGAAUAUGGUUUACAAAUGGCGAUACUCAAAUUCGGAAACUAGAAUCCAGUUUAAGGUGAAUUCGAAUAUUUGGAACACUUCAUGUCCAACUCAAAUGUCACACACAGCAUAAUGUGUACUCCCAUUUAGAUAUGUACACAAGCGAUGUAUCAAGAUUCAAAUACCGAGUCAAUCAACCAAGAAUGUACAGAACUAACAGACAUAUAAACACUUAUAGAGUAUAUGGAUCAAUAAUAUCAACUAACAUACAUAAGCUAAGCCGCUGUACUUUUUUUUGGCUACAACAUCAUCCUUUUUUAGCCAGCAUGUUGGCCCUUUCCGAUUCGUGCCACUUAUGGUCCAUCUAUACUACUACUAUUGCUGAAUGCACAUUCAGCCCGAUUGGCAUAUUUGUAGGCCUGGCACAGCAAUCCAAAUGAAAUGUUUCCGAGUCUUAUCAAUUAAUACAGACUUGUGCUCAAAUAAAAUUACAAACCAAAAAAACAAUUAUUACAUGAUCUCUAAAACAAAUGGUUUGAUUGAUUACAUUAACACACAACACAAAGGUUAUUCAACUAUGGAAAGAACAUUUCACCUAUGAUGUACCAAGUAGGAAUUUAAUUUCCUUUUUUCCUUCAGGACCUUAACAAUCUGGUCAGUCUCAGCUUGCUUCGUUUUAAAAUCCAUCAAAUUUUUAAUGGUUGUCUUGAGUACUGCUUGUGAUUAUAUUGUUUGCUUCCUCAAAAUGUCAACUUCAUCUCUGAGUGCAGAAGCAGAAUUUCUUUCUACCACUAGUUUAGCCUUUAGAGCAUCAGCAGUUGGAAAUUCAUAAUGCACGAUUGGGCCGGUGCCACUGCAGUGAGAUGAUGCAACGUCCAUGAGGACCUCGCUCUUUGAUCUUGGGCUAACUUGUUUUGCCAUUAAAGUUCCGAUUGGAUUCAUAAAAGUUUAAGUUAGCAAAACAUCUCAACUGGGAGUUAUAACAACAAACCAGUUAAACAAACAAGGAAUUAAAGAGUUUUAAUUGGAUGCUGAAAUGUAGUUAUUAACAUCAUUGUCACCCGCUGUUGCAGCAGCAAAGUAGUUAAACAAACAAGUAGAUAUUUAAUUUAAGGCAAACAUGUAAUUCUUAAUAGUAAGUAUCAAACACAUAGAUAGGCGCAGUCUACGAUAUGAUUAACAGGUUGUACCAUUAUGUAAUCAGUAGCAAACUGAAUUAAGCCAAGCAACAUAAUUGAACAAUUUGGCAAUAAGUGCCUAACUAAAAUUCCGAGAAGCUGGUAACUGAACUUACGCUAGUUCUUUGUACAGGCACACUGCAACUUCUUUUUCGCUUACAAGAUUGUACUAAGGAGUCCAUGGCAUCAAUUUCUUGGAUACGCAGUCCCAAUACUUCUUUCUUUCCACACUACAUGGGUAAGUCGAAUGGUUAAUCUGGUAAGAUGGUGUGUCCUUGUUAUUAUAUAUGAAGACGUGUAGUCAGACUAGUUGUGGCCAAACACAUCACACUGGCUUUUACUGUAUAUUUUAUGCGAUUACUUUUGGCAUAUCAAGAUCUAAGCAAUCUACAAUAGGAUGAAAAGACUGGCAUCCUUCACAUUAUUGGUGAACUCAGUUCAUAGAAACAAGCAAUUCAACCAUUCUGUGGGUAAAUCAAAAGCGCCACUGGAAUAUUUUUCACUAUCCAAUCAUACAAGCAAAAAGGGGUGACGCCACCAUAGGGGCUGGUAUGGGCGACCGCCUCAGGUGGCUGGAAAGUGUGCACCUAGUUUGAGUCGUCCAGGUUGGCCCAUGCUAGUUUUGUUCGUCCCAACGCACGAGCAGGCAAUGUAAAAAAUGAAGAAAAAUGUUUCAAUUUGGACGGGCCAAUAACAUGAGUGCAAGGCAGGCCCUAUAGCAGGCUCGCGGCCCAAACGAGCGCCUCCCAUAUCGAUCGACAGCAGGAAAAAUUCCAAUUCAUUCGCUCUAGCCUCCAGUCUGGUUCGCUCCUAACCUAGCCGCGCUGGACAGACCGACACAGCCCUUCCUCGCGCCCUCGUUGGAGGGCGGUCACCAGGCUUCAAGCAAACGAAAGGACAAGAAGAUGAAGAUCCAACCCUGGGUGUAGCCUGCGUGGGAGGCAGCGGCGGCAGCACGGGCAUGGUAUCGUGCUUGCGCAAACGGACAGUCGCAGCUUGCAAGAGUAGCAUGUGCAACGAGCAGGUACAUCACAUCCCUGAUUAUAUCUAAUUCAACUCUUCAAUUUCUGGACAAAAGUUAAACCUGAUGGUGUUGUAAAACUGCUUGUAUAUAGGGAAUCUAUGAGAAAAUGAAACCAAUUUCUACUUAUUUUAUAACUCCCCCAAUCAAUACUGAACUGACUGAAUCUGAUGUAUCUAAUCAAGUUUCCGGUGCAAACAUACAAGCUCAUGUUGUUCUUGAGCCUGAAGUGUCUAAUGAACAAAUGGCUAAUGAAGGAUUUGAUGCAAACAUUUUACAUGCUCCUGGUGAUGAACAUAUAGUGUCUAAUGAGGGAUCUAAUGCAAGCAUUUUGCAAGCUCAUUGAAGGAUUUAGUGUCUAAUGAUGAUCUACUAUGUUGAGAGAGGCAGAGAUUUGCAGGCAUUGAUGACAAGCAAAUUAUAGUGCAUUUUCAUAGCUUGAGGAAACGUCGAGGCCAUCUACCAGAAAGUCCCCGUAUCAUGACAACAUAGCAUAAAUACUUUUCUAAUCUGUUGUUUGAAACUAUUGUCAUACUUGUGCAGGAUAGAUAUAUUGAUAUGCAGUUUGCGCACUGAUUAUACGUGUAAUUACACUUCGAUAUUUUCAGCCAGAGAACGAAUAAUUCAAGCAGGUACAAACCAUGUUUGUAGUCCUUGUACACCAUGUUGCAUUUUGUGUUUUUUGGUGCUUGCAUCAUUUAGUGUUUAUAAUCUGAACUACUUUGGAUCAUUAGCUGGUUUUCAAAGUGCAUGUAGCUUCACAUUUCUCAAGUUAUGUUGAUUUCCGGAGUGCUAGUGCCUUCGUAUUUUUUAAGUUAAAUGUUUGCCCCUGGUAACUUGAAUUCGUGGAUCACCCACUACACACAAAUCAUACAUGAAUGCUAGUACGAAUUAAAUGAAAUGCAGGGACUUACGCUAGAUCAUUGUACAGGCUCACUGCAGCUCUGCUUGCGAUUGGGAUGUUCCAUGUACAAGUCCAUGUUACCACUUGCUUGGAUGUGCAGGCCUUGUGCUCCUUGCAUCCACCUCUGCAUUUUUGACACGACGAAUGGUUGAUCAAAUAAGAGGAAUCAACCUUGAUGUUGUACCGGAGGAAAGAUACCUACAAGGUUAUACAGGUGUGAAGGAUGUGUACCAGAUCCCGUAGCGCCGUCAUGCUUCGCUAAAAAUGAAUUUGCUUGUUUCAGAUGAUAUCUCCAGAAGAAAUAAGAGUUAAGGUCAGAGUUUCAUAGGCGUGUAAGCUAAGAGAGCAGUGAAAGGAUAAUUAAGCUACGGGGAGCACCUAAUAUGAGCACCGGGGAGCCAUUUGAUUGAAGAUGCAGCGGCACACACGAGGCAUGAAUGUUUUAUUUGCAAAAAAAACCUUUUGAGACUUUGGAAAUUGGGCAUAAUUACAAAUACUACUCCCAAGCCAUUGGAUCUCACUUCCAACAGUGUAAAAACUCGUAUCACCAUAGUAUCUAAGCUGCGGGGUGGAUGUGAUAUUCUAUGCUGCUGUCAUUUUUGUUUAUAAACUUGCAAAAUACGUGUAACUCGUGCUGUUACUUGUCUAACAGUGUAAAGUGUUUGUUCAAAAAAAGCAUCCUACACUGAAAUAUUGGAACAACACACGGGGGUCCCACUUGUCAUUAAUCAAAUUGGGGCCUAAAACUAACAGAUCUGAAAGACGAGAUUCGAACUGGCAAUCUGGACUACAAAGCAUAAGUCGAUAGCCUGAAAAAACGAACAGUUGUUGGCUUUGUCCCAUAACUUGAUUUUAUAUAGUACUUGCAUUGAGUAGAGUAGAGGGAGUGCCUCGUCAACACGUGCAUGACCAUUGUCUCACUUACUGGUGGGUCCUAGGUCUGCGAUCUCAAUCUCUCUUCUCUCCAUCAUCUAACCUUUACACGGGCACACACGAAGAGCGGCGCUAGCUUGCCGUGGUGUUAUUACAACUAAAAAAGCUUGGAAAAUAGAAGAAUCGCCUAGAACCAGAGACGUUGUGGCUGUUCGAGACGGAGCUAACCACAUCUAUCCUCCGUGCCACGUUUGCAUGAUGAAGCUGUGUGGCUAGUAGGGUGUUUUUGACCGACUGGCUGGGUCCCGAGGUCGAACCAUAGGUACUAUGUCUGAUACAGUAUAUUUUUACACGCACAUUUUUCCUCCGUGCUGAGACAUGGCAAACCCUGCCGUGCGGUUUCGGGGUCCUCUCGGGUAGUGCACGCAUAUAUUCUUCCUGAUAUGGGAUGCCCUACUGAGCGUUUUCUGGGUCCUCCUUGGUUGUAGCACUGAAGCAAGUGAAUGAGUCGUGGAAUCACGAAAGACCACCUUUCCCGCCGAGUACAUUAGUGAAGCUCGGUGGCUAGCUAGUUGGGCUAGUUCGACCGAUUAGCUAGGCCGCCGCCACAUUUAUUUUUUCACCCCUUUUUUAUCUACUUGCCGGCAGGUAAAUUUAAAUAUCCACCGCGGCGUUGCUCUGGUGUUUGGCUGUCGCAGGAUUUUUAAUUUUUUGAUUGACGGGAGCAGGCGUGGCAGGAUUUUUUAAUUUUUUGAUUGACGGGAGCAGGCGCGAUAGCAAUUAGUCACGAUGACUCUGCCUGUAAAAACCCACUGCUCCCUCCGCCUUCUUGUAGAUUGCAUUGCCUUUCAGCCGUUUCACCCCCUUUGCUUCCUCUCCCCAUUUCUUCUACUUGGUGCCAUGGCGUCCCACAGAUCAUGGAGUCCGAGGUGAGGCUCCUGACACAGGAGCUCCAUGCCAAGGAUGCGGAGCUCAGGGCCAAGGACGUGGAGCUCCGUGAGCUCAAGGAGGAUAGGAGUGACAUGCUCCUCUGUUAUGUGAGGGAGUUCACGGAGUUUCAAAAGUGUCAGGCGUCCAACACAAAGAUGCUCGAGGCGUCGGCGGCGUUGCUGCAGAAAGCGGGAGAUACAAUAGGCCAUCAGGGGAGCCGGCUGGAGCGCGAGCGGGCCGAUCGUGACGAGGUCCAGGAUCGCCUCAGCCACUUGGUGAACCAAGUUGCCACGCACGUGUUGCAGCUGCGCGAUGCCUACCGUCGUGCCAGCGCGAUGAUGCCGGCCGUCGGGCUAAACCCGUUUGACCACCCGGUCGACUUCAACGAACUGCGGCUUCCUGACCUGGUCUCCUUCUUCACCUAUAUCUCCGAGGAGCUGAGCCGUCUCCGCGCGAUGGUGGGUGCUGGGCUGGACAAGGAGGGGAUGCGGGCUGCCGUCGCCGUUGCCGGGCGAAUCCUUUCAGGGCUCCGUCACCGGAAUUCAUUCUUGCUUCAUAUGGUUCAUGUUUCGUGGAGUACUGUAGCACCGUACUCUCCGUGCGCUGUGGACCUAGUUCUGUUAACAUUGAUCUCACCGUUCAUUUUCAACCAGACAGUCGGAAAAGCGGUACUAUGUUACAUAUAGGAGUAGUUGACAUGCGGACAACAUCAUUUGUUAUCGUCAUAUCUUACUACACUAGCAACAAGAUUGUGUAGUACUGACGUAUGAACCACUACACAUGCCUAGUCGUAGGAGCACUGUGUAUGUUCAUGUGGCUGCCGUGUUUCGCACUCCUCCAUCGUAAGAGUGGAAACACUUGCCGUAAUCAUUUUUUUCUUCAGAAAAAUAGUGGACAUGCUCUACCAUGCAGAUCCUCCUCCAGCCAUGCACUAAAUUACUCACUUUCAUCGACGUGUGGGACAGCCUGCACCUGGUGAUGUAGACACAGACCUAGGGUAGGGUAAUAGGCCUGACCUAUACGCCCCACAUAAAGUCUUGUCCUAAGAACUAAGAAGUUCAAGAAUCAGAAGUAGAGGACCCGCAAAGGUGUCGAGCAAAGUCCACUCGACCUGUCAAUCACUCGGAGACCUCUCUUACCCAGGUCACUCGACCACCAAACCACUCGACAUAUCAGAAGACCUAAAUCCGCUCUGCGCAGCAACGGUCAAGCAUUCAUUCACGUACUUAAUGAUCAUUUGUAGCAAUUUAAUAUAGGCGUUACCUGUAACGCCUCCUCUUAAUGCAUAUUGAACCCUGUGUAAUGGAGGGGAGUUGGGGUCCUGGCGUACUCUAUAUAAGGCACCCCCUUCUCUGGGACAAGGGUUCGCACCCCCUGUAACUCACACACGUAUAAUCCAGUCGACCGCCCCCGGGUUCCGAGACGUAGGGCUGUUACUUCCUCCGAGAAGGGCUUGAACUCGUAAAACAUGUGUGUACAACUCCUCCAUAGCUAAGAUCUUGCCUCUCAAUUCCUACCCCCAUAUUCUAUUGUCAGACUUAGAACCACGACAGUUGCACCCACCUUAGGGCCGGUGUCUUAGCGACUUGUUGGAGAAGUUGCGAUUUUUCUGAUCCCCUUCAUCAUGGUUUCAGGUGGAGUUUUGGCGGAGGGCCGCGAGAUCCGUCUCGGCGCGCUCACGUUCAUCGCCGACGACUCCGCUUGGCUUCAGGAGGCUCCGCUCGAUGUUGAUGCGCUCCCUGUACGCGGGGAAAUGCACUUUCGCCCGUGCGUCCGUGGCGUCCUCUUGUGGCAGCCGUCGACCCAGUAUCGGUCGGCCCCUGUGUCGUCCUCCCUCCCUGUUUCCCGCCAGCGCAAGCGCUCUGGUCGGUCGAGACUUCAGCGGUGGGUGAGACACGCGGUGGCUCGCCAGUCGGCCACCCCCCAAGUCGUGGCAAUCGAGCCCGACAAAUCUCUCUACGGCCUGUCGAACCGGAUCUGCAGAGACUGCUUCCGAGUGCGACAGCAGUGAUCCAGCGGCAGAGGUUGAUGGUCGACGAACCACGCAGUCCUCCCGGCUUUCCCUGCACCGACGGAGGCGACGGCAGAGGCGGUCCGUCGCAGGCCCAUGAAGAGUAUCUCCCCGAGCCCCUUACUUCGCUGCAGAGAGAAGAACUUCGCCGCCGGAACAUGGGUGCACUGCACACUCCUAUCGUUGGAGAAACCCCCGAAACCCGUGCCUUAGAGGACGCGCGCUUGGCCAACUUGGCUAAGCGUACUCGACUGGAGAACCUCCAGCGAGUACUCGACGAGCGUACGCGACAACGGAUUCCAACAUUUAGUCGACGUCAGCUCUUUCCGCCACCGACUCAGGUAUAUCGAACUCCGAUUCAGAAUUUAGCAGCUGCAUCCCGUAUAGCAGAGUCGAUUCAGCCUUCUCAGUCAGAGGCUGGCAGAGGCUUGUUACAGAUCAGCGCAUUACUCCGGGCGGCAGGAGAUCAAAAUUCAGCUGUAUCACAGUCGCGAGAUAGGAUCCACAACAGAUCUGUCGCUGUAGAUAGAGUCCAGUCGGCCCACAGCCCAAGAUCGCCCCCGAGGCAUGAGGGACAUGGGGAUCAGCGUGAUCAGAAUAGGAACCAUGAGCAGUAUGAUCAUUGACUCAAUCGAGAUGAUCGACGUCGAGUAACCACCCCUCCCCUAAGGAGUGGAUCGUACGUGCCUCGACAGCAGGAUGACAGACGCCCUCACUGUGUUGGGCGAAGGAUUCCAGUCGACCCCAGGGAACCAGGCUUUGAUGCGAGAUCCAUUCUCAUUCAGGGUUUGGUUGACAGGAACAGAGCCCACCGAGAAGGUCAUGACAAAGACAUACCCACCAGCAGCAGAGUACACAUCUUAGGACCGGAGUGCUUCAGCGGAGCCAUCAGGGCCGCGGUGAUUCCUCCCAACUUCAGGUUGGCGACUGGAGUCAGUAAGUUCACUGGUGUGUCCAAGCCUGAUACUUGGCUUAAGGAUUACCGAGUGGCUGUUCAGAUUGGCGGCUGUAACGAUGAAGUGGCAAUAAAACACCUGCCUCUUAUGUUGGAAGGUUCGGCCAGAGCAUGGCUGAAUCAGUUAGCACCCAGCAACAUUUACACUUGGGAAGAUUUUGCCCGAGUGUUUGUCAGAACAUUUGAAGGAACUUGCAAGCGACCAGAAGGGUUGACAGAGCUGCAAUGUUGCAUGCAGAAGCCGAAUGAAACUUUGAGGGCCUACAUCCAGAGAUGGAUCACAUUGCAUCAUACAGUAGAGAACAUAUCUGAUCACCAAGCAGUCUGUGCCUUCAAGGAAGGCGUUAAGUACAGAGAACUGAACCUGAAAUUCGGUCAAACCAGAGACAUGUCUCUGAGUCGAAUGAUAGAGAUUUCCACCAGGUAUGCCAAUGGUGAAGAAGAGGAUCGGCUCCUGAGUGGCAAGCACAAGUCAGACGCCCACGAAACCGGAGGAGGGAACUCCAGUCGGAAGCAGAAGCGGAAAGCUGAACCAGCUGCUCCUGGGGAAGCCUUGGUCAUGACUCAAGGAAAGUUCAAGGGGAAGCCCAAAGGGCCUUGGAACCCCAAGAAGGUGAAAGACCAAGACGGAAAUGAUGUGUUGGAUCUACCAUGUCACAUUCACACAAAGAAAGAUGAAGAAGGUAAACUCAUUUAUCCGAAACAUACCACUCGACAGUGUCGGCUUUUGAUCCAGCAGUUCCAAGGGAAACAACCCAAUGAUAAGGAAAAGGAUUCAGACAAAGUUGAGUACAAGGAAGAUAGUGAUGAUGGGUACCCCCAGGUCAAUUCUACACUGAUGAUUUUUGCUGAUGUUGAAAGCAAAAGUCGAUUGAAAGUUAUCAACCGAGAAGUGAAUAUGGUCACUCCGGCGACACCCAGUUAUUUGAAAUGGUCUCAGACUGCCAUCACAUUCGACCAGUUCGAUCACCCGACGCACAUAGCCACCCCUGGGAAGCAAGCUUUGGUGGUCGACCCAAUUGUUGAAGGCACUCGACUGACCAAAGUUUUGAUGGAUGGAGGCAGUGGCCUGAACAUACUGUAUGCAGAGAAGUUGAAAGGGAUGGGCAUUCCGAUGUCCAGACUCAGUACCAGCAACAUGAGUUUCCAUGGAGUCAUUCCUGGAAAGAAGGCUAAGUCACUCGGCCAAAUUGCUCUUGAUGUGGUUUUCGGUUAUUCCAAAAAUUACCGCAAAGAAAAGUUGACGUUUGAAGUCGUGGAUUUCCAGAGUGCUUAUCACGCUAUUUUGGGAAGGCCAGCUUAUGCAUGAUUCAUGGCUCAACCAUGUUAUGUGUACCUCAAAUUGAAGAUGCCUGGUCCCAGAGGUGUGAUCACUAUUACGGGCAAUCAGAAGAAGGCGGAAGAGUGCUUUCAGAAAGGCUCAAAGAUCGCCGAUGCUCAGAUGGCAGUGGUAGAGCUGCAGGAAUACCAAAAAACUGCAGACCUGAGUGAUUUGUUGCAAGCCAAGAAGCCCGCUACAGAAUCAGCGUUCAGUCGUCCGGUGAGACAAAGCCGAUUCACAUUCACCCAACUGACCCCAGUGCUGCUCCGACUCAUAUCUCUGCGACACUCGACUCCAAAUAGGAAGAAGCGCUCAUCCAGUUCCUCCGUGAGAACUGGGACAUCUUCGCAUGGAAGCCUUCUAACAUGCCGGGUGUUGCCAGGGGGCUGGCUGAGCACCGUCCAUGAGUCAACUCAAAAGUGAAACUUGUCAAAGAACAUCUUUGACGGUCCGCCGUCCAGAAGAGAAAGGCCAUUGGCGAGGAGGUGGCUCGGCUCUUAGCAGUAGAGUUUAUCCGAGAGAUUUACCACUCCGAGUGGCUCGCCAAUGUUGUCAUGGUCCCCAAGAAGGACAAGUCACUUCGCCUGUGCAUUGACUUCAAGCAUAUCAAUCGGGCCUUCCCAAAAGAUCAUUUUCCUCUCCCCCGCAUCGACCAGAUAGUUGACUCGACUGUGGGAUGUGAGCGCCUAUCUUUUUUAGAUGCCUAUUCCGGUUACCAUCAGAUCUGUCUGUAUGGUCCCGACGAGAUCAAAACAGCUUUCAUCACUCCAUUCGGGUGCUUCUGUUAUGUUACCAUGCCAUUCGGCCUUAAAAAUGCCGGAGCCACAUUCAUGAGGAUGAUUCAGAAGUGUUUGCUCAUUCAAAUCAGUCCAAAUGUGGAAGCAUACAUGGAUGAUAUUGUGGUCAAGUCACGGAAAGGUUCCGACCUGCUGACUGACCUUGCUGAGACAUUUGCCAACCUCAGGAGGUAUGAUAUCAAGCUUAACCCAUCAAAGUGCACAUUCGGAGUUCCUGGCGGAAAGUUACUCGGUUUUCUUGUUUCCGAACGAGGAAUCAAUGCCAACCCAGAAAAAGUCGGUACUAUACUCCGAAUGAAGCGCCCUGUGCGCGUGCACGAUGUCCAGAAGCUUACUGGUUGCUUGGCCGCUUUAAGUCCAUUUCUUGUCUCAGUGAAAAGGCAUUGCCUCUUUACCGAUUGAUGAAGAAGUCAGACAAGUUCGAGUGGACUCGUGAAGCUGAUGCAGUGUUUGGAGAGCCAAAAGCCCUGCUCUCCACCCAGCCGGUGCUUGCUGCCUCAAUCAGAAAGAGCCUUUGCUGCUUUACAUUGCAGCCACGGGACAAGUCGUCAGUUCAGUACUUAUGGUCGAGCGGGAAGAAGAAGGAAAAACCUUUAAAGUCCAGCGCCCAGUAUAUUAUGUUUCUGAAGUUUUGAGCCCAUCAAAGCAAAGAUAUCCUCAUUACUAGAAGCUUGUAUAUGGGAUUUAUAUGACCACGAAGAAGGUUGCACAUUACUUCUCUGACCAUUCCAUUACAGUCGUCAGCGACGCUCCAUUGUCAGAGAUUCUACACAACAGAGAUGCAACUGGUCAAGUGGCAAAAUGGGCGAUUGAACUCCUUCGCCUAGAUAUCAGGUUUGAGGCAAAGAAAGCUAUCAAGUCCCAAGCAAUAGCUGAUUUCGUCGCCGAGUGGAUUGAACAGCAACUGCCGACUCAAGUUCACUCAGAGCACUGGACUAUGUUCUUCGACGGUUCUAAGAUGCUGAAUGCUUCUGGUGCUAGGGUAGUAUUGGUUUCCCCCCGAGGACAUAAGCUCAUAUAUGUUCUCCAAAUCCACUUUGAUUCCUCCAAUAACGAAGCAGAAUAUGAAGCACUUUUGUAUGGGUUGCGCAUGGCCAUUUCACUCGGCGUCCGUCGCCUCAUGGUCUAUGGCGACUCAGAUUUGGUGGUGAAUCAAGUAAUGAAGGAGUGGGACGUCAGAAGUCCAGCCAUGACUGGUUACUGCAAUGCAGUGAGAAAGCUAGAGAAGAAAUUCAAGGGGUUAGAGCUGCAUCAUAUACCCCGACUAAAAAAUCAAGCAGUUGAGGAUUUGGCAAAAAUAGGUUCCAAGAGAGAAGCCAUUCCCAGCAAUGUGUUUCUGGAACACAUCCACAACCAUCAGUUCAAGAGGAUCCUUUCACCAAAGAAGCCCCGCUGCCUAAAAGUGCCACGGAUCCGACUGAAGUUGAGGUUCCAGCAGUGGUCGACCUGAUCAUGGAAGUUUUGGUCAUCACUCCCGACUAGACAGUGCCGUACAUCGCGUACAUCCUAAGGAAAGAACUCCCAGAGAAUGAAGAAGAGGCUCGACAGAUCGUCCGUCGAUCUAAGGCCUUUAUUGUGAUAAAGCUACAGUUGUACAUGGAAAGCAUGACUAGAGUCGGUCAAAAAUGUAUAACACCAGAAGAAGGUCAAAUAAUUCUUGAUGAUAUCCACUCAGGGACCUGUGGCCAUCAUGUGUCCUCUCGGACCAUCGUGGCUAAAGCAUACCGAGCGGGAUUUCACUGGCCAAAAGCAAAUGAAAUGGCAAAGGAGAUAGUAGACAAAUGUGAAGGAUGUCAGUUCUAUUCCAAUAUGUCGCACAAACCCGCCUCAGCCUUGAAGACCAUUCCACUCAUCUAGCCCUUCGCUGUUUGGGGAUUGGAUAUGGUUGGACCGCUAAGAACUGGUAGGAGCGGCUUUACCCAUGUGCUGGUGGCAGUCGACAAAUUCACUAAAUGGAUUGAAGCUAAACCUAUCAAGAAUCUUGAUGCCUGCACUACUAUCAGCUUUAUCAGAGAGUUGAUAUUCAGAUAUGGAGAGUUGAUAUUCAGCUUUAUCAUAGCAUCAUCACUCACAAUGGGUCAAACUUUGAUUCCAACAAGUUAAGAGCUUUUUGCGCCUCUCAAGGCACACGAGUCGACUACGCGUCAGUCUAUGGAGCUGAAGCAGUUUUGCCGAGUGACUUGCUUCACAAUGCACCCCGAGUCGAACUCUACUCUGAGGAUGAAGUAGAACAAGCCCGGAAGGACGCAGUCGACAUCCUAGAAGAGGAAAGAGAGAUGGCCAUGAUCCGAUCGACCAUCUAUCAACAGGACUUGCAUCGAUUACAUGCGAGAAAUGUGAAGAGUCGAGCCUUCCAAGAAGGAGACUUGGUCCUUCGAGUGGAUCCACAGAAACCACACAAGCUCGCUCCUACUUGGGAAGGUCCUUUCAUCGUCACCAGAGUUCUCCACAAUGGAGCAUACCAUCUUUACAAUGUCGAUCGCCAGAUUGAUGAGCCACGAGCUUGGAAGGCGAAGCUGCUCCGCCCCAUUUAUACUUAAGUACUCACUCGGAUGAGAUGUAAUAAGAGAGACCUUUGUAGUUUAUUUAUCAAAAGACAAAAGUGUUAUAAUUUUCCCAGUGAUUGUUGUUGCUUUGUUUUACGUGAGAAAUCCCCAGUGGGUGGCUUAGCCGCGAAUCCGUUUCGCCUAAGUUCGUAAAAAUCCUACCGAGUGGUGAGCAAGGCUCUCACACGGGGGCUUAGCUGCGAAUCCGAUUCGCCUAAGUUUGAAAAAUCCUACCGAGUGGUGAGCCAGCCUCCCACUCGGGGGCUUAGCUGCAGUCCAAGUACUUGCCUACGUUUUAAAAAUCCCACCGAGUGGUGAGCCAACCUCCCACUCGGGGGCUUAGCUGCAGUCCAAGUACUCGCCUAAGUUUUAAAAUCCUACCGAGUGGUGAGCCAGCCUCCCACUCGGGGGCUUAGCUGCAGUCCAAGUACUCGCCUAAGUUUUAAAAAUUCUAUCGAGUGGUGAGCUAGCCUCCCACUCGGGGCCUUAGCUGCAGUCCAAGUACUCGCCUAAGUUUUAAAAAUCCUACCGAGUGGUGAGCCAGCCUCCCACUCGGGGGCUUAGCGGCANNNNNNNNNNNNNNNNNNNNNNNNNNNNNNNNNNNNNNNNNNNNNNNNNNNNNNNNNNNNNNNNNNNNNNNNNNNNNNNNNNNNNNNNNNNNNNNNNNNNNNNNNNNNNNNNNNNNNNNNNNNNNNNNNNNNNNNNNNNNNNNNNNNNNNNNNNNNNNNNNNNNNNNNNNNNNNNNNNNNNNNNNNNNNNNNNNNNNNNNNNNNNNNNNNNNNNNNNNNNNNNNNNNNNNNNNNNNNNNNNNNNNNNNNNNNNNNNNNNNNNNNNNNNNNNNNNNNNNNNNNNNNNNNNNNNNNNNNNNNNNNNNNNNNNNNNNNNNNNNNNNNNNNNNNNNNNNNNNNNNNNNNNNNNNNNNNNNNNNNNNNNNNNNNNNNNNNNNNNNNNNNNNNNNNNNNNNNNNNNNNNNNNNNNNNNNNNNNNNNNNNNNNNNNNNNNNNNNNNNNNNNNNNNNNNNNNNNNNNNNNNNNNNNNNNNNNNNNNNNNNNNNNNNNNNNNNNNNNNNNNNNNNNNNNNNNNNNNNNNNNNNNNNNNNNNNNNNNNNNNNNNNNNNNNNNNNNNNNNNNNNNNNNNNNNNNNNNNNNNNNNNNNNNNNNNNNNNNNNNNNNNNNNNNNNNNNNNNNNNNNNNNNNNNNNNNNNNNNNNNNNNNNNNNNNNNNNNNNNNNNNNNNNNNNNNNNNNNNNNNNNNNNNNNNNNNNNNNNNNNNNNNNNNNNNNNNNNNNNNNNNNNNNNNNNNNNNNNNNNNNNNNNNNNNNNNNNNNNNNNNNNNNNNNNNNNNNNNNNNNNNNNNNNNNNNNNNNNNNNNNNNNNNNNNNNNNNNNNNNNNNNNNNNNNNNNNNNNNNNNNNNNNNNNNNNNNNNNNNNNNNNNNNNNNNNNNNNNNNNNNNNNNNNNNNNNNNNNNNNNNNNNNNNNNNNNNNNNNNNNNNNNNNNNNNNNNNNNNNNNNNNNNNNNNNNNNNNNNNNNNNNNNNNNNNNNNNNNNNNNNNNNNNNNNNNNNNNNNNNNNNNNNNNNNNNNNNNNNNNNNNNNNNNNNNNNNNNNNNNNNNNNNNNNNNNNNNNNNNNNNNNNNNNNNNNNNNNNNNNNNNNNNNNNNNNNNNNNNNNNNNNNNNNNNNNNNNNNNNNNNNNNNNNNNNNNNNNNNNNNNNNNNNNNNNNNNNNNNNNNNNNNNNNNNNNNNNNNNNNNNNNNNNNNNNNNNNNNNNNNNNNNNNNNNNNNNNNNNNNNNNNNNNNNNNNNNNNNNNNNNNNNNNNNNNNNNNNNNNNNNNNNNNNNNNNNNNNNNNNNNNNNNNNNNNNNNNNNNNNNNNNNNNNNNNNNNNNNNNNNNNNNNNNNNNNNNNNNNNNNNNNNNNNNNNNNNNNNNNNNNNNNNNNNNNNNNNNNNNNNNNNNNNNNNNNNNNNNNNNNNNNNNNNNNNNNNNNNNNNNNNNNNNNNNNNNNNNNNNNNNNNNNNNNUUAGCUGCAGUCCAAGUACUCACCUAAGUUUUAAAAAUCCUACCGAGUGGUGAGCGAUCCCCCCACUCGGAGGCUUAGCUGCAGUCCCAGUACUCGCCUAAGUUUUAAAAAUCCUACCGAGUGGUGAGCGAUCCUCCCACUCGGAGGCUUAGCUGCAGUCCAAGUACUCGCCUAAGUUUUAAAAAUCCUACCGAGUGGUGAGCGAUCCUCCCACUCGGAGGCUUAGCUGCAGUCCAAGUACUUGCCUAAGUUUAAAAAUCCUACUGAUUGGUGAGCGAUCCUCCCACUCGGGGGCUUAGCUGCAGUCCAAGUACUCGCCUAAGUAUUCUCCACCUUAGAGCUGCAUUCCAAGCACAAAGAGUAUUCCGAGUAAAAAACAAAUUCCAGUCGAAAGCAAACACGAGCAUAUUCAGAAAUAAGCCAAGUUGGGAUAAACCCCAAGGUUCCAGACGGCAGAUCAAAAGUAUUGGAACAUCAAGCCCAAAGAAGUUUAACAGUUACACAAUCACUCGGCAUUCCGAGGCAAAUAAAAGUGGAGCAUAAUGUUUUUCGGUCACGCAUUAGGAGAAGGACUGGCUGGGUCGAAGAAACUGUCGAGGUCAAUGCUGUCUACAAUGCGAGUGGUGGCCUCAAGGAAGGUGUCCAUGAAAGACUGGAACGUGUGCUUCCUCGUGUUAGCAACCUUGAGCUCCGCCAGCUUGUGUUCUUUUACAUCCUUGUAGUGCACUCGAACCAGAGACAGAGCGACGUCGGCACCACAGCGAGCAGAUGAUUUCUUCCAUUCUCGCACGCGUUCAGGGAUUUGAUUCAGUCGAGCCAUCAAAGACUCGAGAUCUUGAGACAGCUCCGCCUGAGGCCAAAGACCAGCAUCAACUCGAGUCAUUGCAGCUUUCAAGCGUGCCAGAUAAGCAACCGCGUUGUCCAUGCAAGACUCCAACCGCAACACGUUCAUUGCAACAUCAUCUUUGACUAGACAGUUGAUGGGAUCGAGACCCGUCUCGACCCGCCCGGUUUCUGCUUCAAAGUCUUGGCAAAGUUCUGCAUGAUCGAGUGAAUUAUGAGUCGACGGAACAACUAGACUUGUCAAUCGACACAAAUAAGAGAGAUUAGUCAAUACCUUCAAGUUUCAAGACUAGCUUCGCAGCAAGUUGGCCCAGAUAAGACUCUAGCUCGCCAUUCUUGGCCUUGAGGCAUCCAAGUUCGUCGGCCAACUUCUCUUUGUUCUUCUUCAGUCGCUCGACCUCCUGAUUGGCGUCAGAUACAACAGUCUUCAGCUUGGAGUUUUCUUCUUCUAACUUGCCGACUGAAGCAAGCUUCUUGUCAGCAAGCGUUGUCUUCUCGCGCGCCUCCUUUUGUGCUGCGGCAAGAUUCAGAUCCUUCUUCUCCAAAGCUUCCUUCAUUUUCUCUAAAGAACUAACAUUCUUCAGGAGAGCUUGGAGUUGGCGGUUUUCACUACAUACAUCUGCUCGAGUGAAGCCACUCGGUUCAAAGAUGGAAAGGAAAAGUGCCAGUGUUGGGAUAUGAAGGGGUCGAUUGGUUACCUCCCAUGGAAGCUACUUCAUCAUGAGUGGUCUUGAGGUUCUUCUUGGCCAGUUCCACAUCAGGGUUGAGGCUGAUUUGUUGUUCGUUCAUGUCAGAAAGUUGAGCCCCAAGAUCACAAAAUUUCUGCAGUCACAGCCAUAUCAGUCGACAGAGAUAAAAAGAGAUAAUUAUUCUAAGAAUACCUCCGAAUCAAACAUUAAACGGCAGUCUCGGGGACUACACCCAGUGGGUGCACUUAGCGUGCCCCCACUGAUUUUCAGACCACAUUCGACGGUCGACUGGCUUUCAAAAAAAGACAUAUCCAAAUUCUCAGACCACAGUCGACUGCCCGCAGUCAACUACGGUCUCGGGGACUACACCCAGUGGCUGCACUCAGUGUGCCCGCACUAGUGCAAAGAGUCAGUUCGAACUGACACAAAGAGAUAUACUAUUUCCGAACAGCCACACUCCAGUGAGUGAUCAGACAAGAAAAACGGACAAGAAAAACGGUCGAUCGAAAAAUCAACUAACCUAGAAAUUGGCUUGCAUGGCAGCUCCGGCGUUGUAGGCCACCUGACUAGCCUCAUGGACCACCUUCAGCUGCCCCAUCACAAGGUUCAGUUGAAGAAGAGCUUCUCUGGCAGCAGCCGGUGGAUCGUCCGGAGUUUGAUAUGCAGUAAAAAGUGACGGAGGUAGAGCAAUGAAGCAGCCACCGGAUCUGAAGCAUGGAGUGACGUUGGUGCAGCAGGAGCCUGAGCAGCUGAUCCCGAGGGACAAUCAGUUGACAGAGCAACAACGAAGGUGACGUUGGUUCGAGCCGGGUCUGUCGAUCGCUCGACCGUCGCCCCAGGCGUCCGAGUCGACCGAAGAACUUGGGCUUCAGACACCUUCCUGCCCAGCUCCUUGUCCUUCCUCUUCCUUCCUCUCAGCAGUACUUCCUCUUCAUCGUCUGGGAGCACAACAAUGUCUCGUGCGGCUGCAAUAAACAGAGAGAUCCAUUAGGACAACUGACCAACAUUCCAGUCGACCAGACAAACUUCGAGUCGGGCAAACUUACUGGCUUUGGAGGUGACAGCGUCAUCAACUUCCUCAUCGGCAGGGGUCUUGUCAACAUCCAUAUCAGUCGCAGCCGAGGUCGGGCUAUAUAGGUUCAUCAUCCGCUCGGUCAGAACAAGAAAACCGAUCAGAACGAGAAAAUAUGAGAAGAACAUUUACCCAGAGGCAACAGGGACGUCCAUCUUGAUCCUGGGCAAGGUCUUCCGAGCCUUCAAAGGAUUAGCUUUGGGCUGCUUGGGGACCGUCUCAGUCAACUCUGGAGUCGGAGAUCGAGUACGCUUGUGAGAUGGAGCACUCGAUGCCACAGCUUUGCCGCGUCUGUUCACGGGGUCGUGCCGCUGCUUGGAUCGACGUUCAGAGCGAGGCGGCGAGUCGGCUACCUCCUCAUCACCAGACUCAUCACUCUCAUCAUCAUCAUCAUCAUCAUCAGCUGGGGACUCCCACCCGUCGCUCUCCUCGGCGCUGUCCGCCCUCUUGAUCUUGCUCCAGGGCUUGUUCACCAUUGGGCAUCGAGUACAUCUCCGUGUAAAUCUGCAAAACCAGGAACUGAUCAUAAGUCAGUCGGAACCUCAAUCAGUCGGAAAAUAUGUUCAAAAAUUCAGUUAUGAUGACCAUACCUUGUCUGGCAGGUUGCUGUCGCUGAAAGGGUCGACUCUCCUGGCACCCUUGGGGUUGUCUUUGUUCCCGGUAAUGCUCAUCAGCCAAUCGGCCACGGUUUUGGCCGCCACUUCCUCCGGAUGAACCCGAGCAGUGUUGCCAGCCCCGGAGUACAUCCACAUAGAGUGAUCACGAGCUUGGAGGGGUUGGAUCCGCCGACUGAGGAACACCUCGAGCAGGUCCAUACCAGUGACGCCCUGAUUGAUUAGUUGGACUACUCUCUCAACUAGCAUUCCUGACUCUGCCUUCUCAGUGGCGGUCACUUGCAAGGAAGAUGGAGUUUGGACACGGUCAAAAUAAAAAGGGGGAAGUCCGAUCGACUGGCCUGGGGUCGCGGUAUCCUGGCAGUAGAACCAGGUCGACUGCCAGCCCCUGACCGAUUCAGGAAGAGUCAUUGGAGGAAAAGAGCUCCUCUUCCUCUUCUAAAUGCCCAGGCCCCCACACAUCUGGAUAACGUGGGUUUUCUCGUCUUUCGAGUUUGCUUUCUUCAUGGUUUGGGAUCGGAUGGUAAAGAUGUGUUUGAAGAGGCCCCAGUGCGGUCGGCACCACAAGAAAUUCUCACACAUAGAGACGAACGCAGCAAGGUACGUGAUGGUAUUGGAGUAAAGUGAUGGAGUUGGGCACCAAAAAAGUUUAAGAAGCCCCGAAAGAAAGGAUGUGGUGGAAGCGAGAAACCGCGAUCGACCUGGGUGGUGAGCAAGACACACUCACCCGGUUGCGGCUACGGCUCCGAUCCCCCCUCGGCAGGUGCGCGGACUCAUGGACGAUCAGCCCUAACUCGGCCAAAUCAUCCAAGUCCUCUUGCUGGAGCGAAGAUCGGAUCCAGUCUGCCUGGAUCCAACCUGACGGCAGCCCUGAGCGCGAUGAAGACCCCCGAUUCAUCUUCUUGUUCUUCGCCGCCCCCGUCGCCUUCUUCACACGCUCUAACGCCGCCGUUUUGUCCUUCCCCAUGGCGGCAGAACAACGGUGUCGAGAGUGGUCAUUCUAGGCGAGGUGGAGAUGCAAGAGGAAGAAGAAGGGGAAUGGGCACGCACAAUACGAAUACCUUGGCUUCGCCGCUUUUAAGGGCCUACUUCCGUGUGGCUGACGCGUGGGCCCGAUCAAUCCUGCUAGAUCCCCCCAAUAGUUGCACACGUGAUACGUGGCGAAAAAGGUGGUGGGGAAAUCGAAACGUCCGAUUUAUCUACUCCACUUACCGUGGGACGCUCCGCCUGGCGCGCUUCCACCCAAAUUUUGAAUCCCGUGAGAUCUGGGAUCCUCUGUAACCGAUCUCACCAAAGAUUCCAAUCAGAAAUAUCACUCGACAGAUGCCACUGAACAAACCAGUCGGUGAUUUUUGAAUCGAUCAAGGCGACUAAACGAAGUCGAAAGUUUCAGCAGCUGAACUCACUUGGAGAAGAAGACAAGGCAGAGCAAGGGCGGGAACCAGGUCAACUACCAUCCUUCUUUUUCACUCAAACCUUGAUCCAUUCGGGGGCUAAUGAUGUAGACACGGACCUAGGGUAGGGUAAUAAGCCUAACCUAUACGCCCCACCUAAAGUCUUGUCCUAAGAACUAAGAACCUGUCGAUCACUCGGAGACCUCUCUUACCCAGGUCACUGGACCACCAAACCAGUUGACAUAUCAGAAGACCUAAAGCCGCUCUGCGCAGCAAUGGUCAAGCAUUCAUUCACAUACUUAAUGAUCAUUUGUAGCACUUUAAUAUAGGCGUUACCUGUAACGCCUCCUCUUAAUGCAUAUUGAACCCUGUGUAACGGAGGGGAGCUGGGGUCCUAGCGUACUCUAUUUAAGCCACCCCCUCCUCUGGGACAAGGGUUCGCACCCCCCGUAACUCACACACGUAUAAUCCAGUCGACCGCCCCCGGACUCCGAGACGUAGGGCUGUUACUUCCUCCGAGAAGGGCCUGAACACGUAAACCUUGUGUGUACAACUCCUCCAUAGCUAAGAUCUCGCCUCUCCAUUCCUACCCCCAUAUUCUACUGUCAGACUUAGAACCAUGACACCUGGGUCCACCACCCAUGCACUAAAUUACUCCGUAGUAGAGUGACGGUAGACUACCCCGAUUGAACCACCGCAGUAAUGCCCAAUGAGCCGUCAAAUGACAAAACCCCCUCCUUUCUAGUAGUAAGUUGGAUGGACGAAGAAACCAUCAAUUCACUCUUCUCUCUCAGCUUCCUCUCUUGAAGAAAACCCCACUCGCUUCGCUUCUCCCUCUUCUCGUUCCUCCUUUUACUCUUCUCUCUCAGCUUCCUCUCUUGGAUGGACGCCGGAGCACCGGUUGACGUGAUGUCUAUGGCUCUGGCCAAAACCGUCGAGGCUCAUGGUACGAAGAAGUGCAAGCGCCCCGCAGAGACUACCGCAGACAAGCUCAAAGCCAUCGCCAUGUCCAAGCCCCCCUCUCCGGGAUCCCUCAUUAAGCAAGUCCAGGUAAUAUCUCUUGUUGAUGAUAUUUUUCUCGAUCUUGAUCGUGUUUUUUCAUCUAACACGUUGUACUAGUACUGGUAGUACAACUUUCUGGGUGAUCUUGCAUGUGAUUUUAGUGUGCCAAAUGAUGGUUCUAAAUUCCUCUUUUGACCAAAACAUGCGGGAGGUUGACACUAAUUUCUUAUAGAUUACUUUCAACUACUCCCUCUAUCCCAAAUUUCUUGUCUUAGAUUUGUCUAGAUACAGAUGUAUCUAAUACUAAAAUGUGACUUGUUACAUCUGUAUCUAGACAACUCUAAGACAAGAAUUUUGGGACGGAGGGAGUACUUUAUGAACAUCAAUGCUACCUUUUAAGAGGGUAUAUUUGCCUCAGUAACUUGUGUUAUGGAUAUUGUCGUGGUUCUAUCUCUGAUAGUGAUGUAGGUGGGUAUGUAUGGAGAGGCUAGAUCUCAGCUAUUGGGAAGUUGUAAACACACCAAGAUGUACGAGUUCAGGCCGUUCGCGGAGGAAGUAACAGCCCUACGUCUCGGGGCCCGGAGGCGGUCGACUGGAUUACUGGCGUGUGAAUAAUAGGGGUGCGAACCCUUCAUACUAAGGAGGGGGGGUGGCUUAUAUAGAGUUCGCCGGCCCCCUCCUGCCCUCAGUAAUGCAGGGUUUAAGGUACAUUUAAGGUUGGGCGUUACUGGUAACGCCCCUAAUAAAGUGCUAUAAUGGCCAUAAAGACUACUUGAUAGCCGAGCGUUUGCCUGCGGAGUGACUUUAGGUCUCCUGGCGGUCGAGUGGUUGGCUUCAUGGUCGAGUGAUAGCUUCUUGGUCGAGUGUCUUGAACCCGUCGAGUGGGAUACCUCCAAGUCGAUUGAAAGGUGACUUCUUCUAGGGAUGUCCUAGGGUAGGGCUUUUUGGACAGGUCCGUGCCCCUACCCUAGGUACAUGGCUUCAUCAUUAGCCCCCGAAUGGAUCGAGGUUAGAGUGGGGAAAGAGUUGGAGAUGUUUCUGACUGGUUCCUUGGGCUACGUGAGUGCCUCGUUUUGGGUCAAUCGUCACGGAUGACGUUGCCAACCUUUUUCAGUCGCCUUGAUCCAUUCCAGGCCUUUCGUCGAGUGAAUUUCUUUAUUUGUGACAUACCGAGCAUCGGCGCGGGUGGGGUCUUCCAUUUUGACAAGUUGUUCUGCAGCCCGCGGAUGUCGUGGGAUUUCAGAUUUUGGGAAGCGUGCGGGACGGGAGCGGCCGCAGUAAUCGGAAGCGAUAAAGCGGAAGCUCCUCGAUCCCCGCGUCACCUUUUUCGCCACGUACUGCAUGCGCGUCCGCUGCGGGAUUUGACUGGAUGGUUUGGGCCUACCAGUCAGCCACUCGGGAGUGGCCUCUUAUAAAUCGCCGGCUCGGGGUUUCCAAGCAGUGCGCUCUCUUCUCCUCCUUUCUUCUUCCUCCCUCCCUUCGCAAGUCCUUCUGCCACCUCCGUUCUUGCCCCGGCGCAGCAGGCCCGUGCGAGACUUCGCCGGCGACGAUGACGAAGGGCAAGACCUCCGCUCUUGGACACGCGAAGAAGGCGACGGUGCAGGGGAAGGGGAAAAGAUCCGCUCGGGGCGGAUCCUCCUCAAGGUCCGCUCUGCCCAAGGGCUGGAUCCAGGGCGAUUGAUGCCGUUAGUGAUCCGGAAAGAGGAUCUCGACGACAUGGUCGAGGGGGGAGUCAUUCCCCACGAGGCUGCGCGUCUUCCGGGGAGAGAGAUCGAACUUCAACCCAGCGAUGGUGAGUGCGUGCUCCUAGCCACCCACAUCGACCGAGGGUUUUCUCUGCCACCCCAUCCUUUUUUCAGAGCUUCUUGAACUUCUUCGGAGCGCAGCUCCACCACUUUACUCCCAACUCCAUUGUAUACCUUGCCGCUUUCAUUUCCAUGUGUGAGGCUUUCUUGGGUUGCCGCCCCCAUUGGGGACUUUUCAAGCACAUCUUUACCUGCCGUUCUCAAUCGGUCAAGAAGGCCAAGUCGAGUGACAAGAGGACGCAGGUGAUCCAGUUGUGUGGGGGCUUGGCGAUGCAGACGAGGGAGAAGAGCUGUUUUCCAUCCAUUACUUUCCCGCAGUCGGUCCGUGGCUGGCAGGCGACCUGGUUCUACUGUCAGGACCAGGCGACCCCAGGACAGUCGACUGGUCUUCCUCUUUUCUCCCUCGACCAAGCUGAAAAACCUGCUUCUCUGAAAGUGGCGCCGGAGGAAAGGGCUCAAGUCAAAGUGCUGGCCGGUCGAGUGGUUGAGCUUGUCCGUGAGGGAGUGACGGGCAUGGAUUUGCUGGAGGUCUUCCUCCGGAGGUGCAUCCAACCGCUCCAGGCUCGUGACCACCCGAUGUGGCUGUACUCGGGUCUUGACGACACCACUCAGAUCCACCAAGAGGAGGUCACUGAUGAGAUGCUGGAGGGGUGGCUAUUGAGCAUCACAGGAAACAAGGACAACCCCCGAGGAGCCAGGAGGGUAAUUCCACUCGACAACUCGUACAACGUGGACCAGGUAUGUCUCUAUGCUCCUGACUGAGGUCUUGUUUUUCUUCAUUGGCCUACUUUGAGCUGGUCGAUCGACCUUUGUCUUGUCUGUUGUUUUUCAGGCGACUACUGAAAUGUACUCGACGCCCAAUGGGGCACAGGGGCCAACUGAGGAAGGGGAGGCAAGCGGAGGUGAGAGCGGGGACGAUCAAGGCGAGUGGCGGUCCGACGGUGAAGGAGAGGGAUGCGACGACGUCGACUCCAGCGGAGAGGAGGAGGAGGAGUUUGAACCCCCCCCCUCCCGCCCGGAGGGGCGAUCCAAGCUCACACACGACCCAGCGCGGGAGCAUGGUAGUGCGACUGCUCCUGUUGGGCAGUUGUCGAAACGCCCUCGGACCUCUUCUCCUACGCCGACUGGAAAGGCUCCCAAGCACCCGCGCGCAGCGCCGUCCAAGCUGCCCAAGGCUCUGCCCAAGAUGAAGAUGGCCAUCCCCACCAUUUUUGGGUAAUAAUAAAACUUGUUAUCCUUUGUCGACCAUGGACGGAUCCUUGGUCGAUUCAUUGAGCCGGCCGACUGACUUUCGAGGCUUGUAGUGCUGCUACCUCUGAGAUCUCUGCCAAGGACGACGACCAAGAGAUGGAGGAUGCUGUCCUCCAACCCUGGAACGAUUACUGACGUUCCGCUUUGAGUCGACUAAACAUUUAUUGCAACCCUGGUCGAUUGAACAUUUCCUUUGUAGCCCCUCCUCAUGUUAUCGACCUCCCGGAUGACAACAACAACGAACCGCUGAGAAUGCGGAGGAACAAGAGGUCGACGGCUGACAAGACCCCCCAACCUGCUCCGGCGUCUGAGGCCAUGGCUCGGGAUGAUGGUGACACCACUCGGGCUUCUGUGACUUUCGCCAUUCCUCUGACGAGCGUGCGGCCUUCGGCGUCGACUGCGGAUCCACCUUCGCUUUUUGCUGCGUACCCCGUCCCUGAGGACCAAGUGGCUGCUGCAAAGGAGGCUAUACGCCAGGCGGGGAUCAUGAUGGAGCAAGUGAAGAUGGCUCGGGAGGCCAGCCAAGCAGCCUAUGACGCGAGUUCGACUCUUAAGAGCAACGUCCAGGUCAAUCGACUCAACACUUGGUCUGUUAUGAUAUGCUGUUUGAAGAGUCUCUUUUCCGAAGAUCUUUUGUAUCUGUAUCUGUACACCCACUGGGUGUGUCUGCCAAUUCUUGGACGAGUGGGGGCACGCUAAGUGCACCCACUGGGUGUAGUCCCCGAGACUACGGUGGACUGCUGGCAGUCGACUGUAGUCUUUACAUUGUGUUGCUGUAGCUGUAUUUCUUCACUCGGUUUUUCCCCGAAGAUCUUUUUUUUGGUCGAACCAGUGGGGGCACGCUGAGUGCACCCACUGGGUGUAGUCCCCGAGACUACUGAAGAAUGUUUUUGAUUCGACCGUGGUCUUAGAAACGUCGUCAUUGUCUCUUAGUUACUCGGAAGCAACUUAUCUUGGACGUCUGUCGACUGAUUUUUCUUUUACAGAAAUCCUGCGAACUUGUAGCUCGCUAUACUGAGUUGGAGAAGCAGAAGGUUCAACUGAACCUUGAUUUGGAGCUGGCCAGAACAAAGCUGCAGAAGGUCACAGACGACGCCGCAGGUAAGACGACUUUGUCGACUGGUUAGUUUUUAGGCUUGAGUACCCUUCUGCUAUUUCCGAGUCAAUCAUCACUUCUUUGCAGAAAAACUAAGCGAAGCUCUGGCGAAGAAGGAUUAGGACUUGGAUGCUGCCCGUAAGGAGGCUGACGACAAGACCGCUCUGGCCGAACAGAAGCUGGCUUCGGUCGGCCAAUUGGAAGAAGAGAAUGCCAAGCUGAAGACCGCUCUGGAUGAAGCCAACCGGGAGUGUACACGUUGGAAGAAGGAGAACCUCACCCUGAGCGAGAAGGUGGAAGGCAUCGCUCGCAGGAGGGACGACCUGGAGAGCUACUUGAGGAGCCUCGCCAAGAAGUUGUACAUCAAGCUUGAAGGUGCACAUUCAGUUCCGACUGGUUUUUUUUGUGUCGACUCAGUCUAUGAAAAUUGACUUAUCCUUGGAUCGUGUAUGCAGAGCUUUGCCAGAACUUUUAAGAGGAGACUGGGCGGAUCGAAACAGGUUUGGAUCCACUCAACUCUCCCGUGAAAGAUGAAGCUGCCAUGAAUUUGCUCCGACUGGAAUCUCGCAUUGACGGCGUCGUGGACUACUUGGCUCGACUGAAGGUUGCCAUGUCACGGAUCGACCUGGCACUUUUGGCCAGAGGCUACGCUCCAAAACGAUCUCGAGUCUCUGAUGACUCGACUUAACGGAAUCCCUGACUGAGUGCAGGAGUGGAAGAAGUUUUCUGCUCGGUGUGGCGCUGAUGUGGCUCUGUCUCUGGUCCGCGUCCAUUGCAAGGAGGCGCGAGAAGAGAAGCUGGCCGCCAUCCAAGUGGCCAAUACCAGGAAGCACAACUUUCAAGAUUUCAUGGAGACUUUCAUCACUGCUGCCACCCGUAUUGCAGACGGGAUCGACUUGGACGAGUUCGUCGCCCCUUCCAGUCCUCCACCUGAGGAAUGAAAAACUUUUAAGCUCCCCUUUAAAUUUGCCUCAGAAUGCCGAGUGGAUUUUGUAACCGUUAAACUCCGUCGAGCUGAGGGCUCGAUUACUUUGGCCUGAGGUCUGGGACCUUUUAGGCUUUAUCUGAUCUCGAUUUCUCGUUGAAUGUCUUCAUGGUUUGAUUCGUCGAGUGGAUCUUGAUGUUCACUCGGAAUAACCUUGUAUUUGCGGCGCAGCUCCGAAGGGGAAGGUAGCAGUCGACUCACGGAUUGGGUUGUGUCUCGUACUUAGGAGAGCACUGGGCUGCAGCUAAGCCUCCGAGUGAGAGGUUUGCUCUCCACUCAGUAGGAUUUUUAAACACUUAGGCGAGCGUUGGGCUGCAGUUAAGCCCCCGAGUGGGAGGAUCGCUCUCCACUCGGUAGGAUUUCUUCAAACUUAGGCGAGUGCCGGACUGUAGCUAUGUCUCUAAGUGAGAGAACUUAGGCGAGUGCUGGACUGCAGCUAAGCCCCCGAGUGGGAGGAUCGAUCUCCACUCGGUAGGAUUUUUCCAAACUUAGGUGAGUGCCGGACUGCAGCUAAGUCUCUAAGUGAGGGAACUUAGGCGAGUGCUGGACUGCAGCUAAGCCCCCGAGUGGGAGGAUCGCUCUCCACUCGGUAGGAUUUUUUCAAACUUAGGCGAGUGCCGGACUGCAGCUAAGUCUCUAAGUGAGAGAACUUAGGCGAGUGCUGGACUGCAGCUAAGCCCCCGAGUGGGAGGGUUGCUCUACACUCGGUAGGAUUUUUUAAACACUUAGGCGAGCACUGGGCUACAGCUAAGCCUCCGAGUGGGAGUCUGGCUCGCCACUCGGUAGGAUUUUUAAACACUUAGGCGAGCGCUGGGCUGCAGCUAAGGCCCCGAGUGGGAGGUUUGCUCUCCACUCGGUAGGAUUUUUUAAAUACUUAGGCGAGCACUGGGCUGCAGCUAAGCCUCCGAGUGGGAGUCUGGCUCGCCACUCGAUAGGAUUUUUUCAAACUUAGGCAAAACGGAUUCGUAGAUAAGUCACCCACAGGGUGAUUUCCUAUGCAAACAAGAGUGACAACAAUUAUUGGGACGCUCUUGUCUUUGGUAAAAAUGAACUGCAGAAAUUUUUUCUUAUUACAUCUCGUCCAAGGGAGAGCUCAAGUGUAAAACGGGCGGAGUAGUUCCGCAUUCCAAGCUCGUGGCUCGUCGGUCUGGUGAUCAACAUUGUAGAGGUGAUAUGCUCCAUUGUGGAGGACUAUGGUGAUGAUGAAGGGACCUUCCCAAGUAGGAGCAAGUUUGUGUGGUUUCUGUUGAUCCACUCGGAGGACCAAAUCUCCUUCCUGGAAGGCUCGACUCUUCACAUUUCUGGCAUGGAAUCGAUGCAAGUCUUGCUGAUAGAUGGUCGAUCUGAUCAUAGCCAUUUCCCUCUCCUCCUCUAGGAGGUCGACUGCGUCUUGCCGGGCUUGCUCUGCUUCGUCUGUGUUAUAAAGCUCGACUCUAGGGGCGUUGUGAAGUAGAUCACUCGGCAGGACGGCUUCGGCUCCGUAAACCAGAAAAAUGGCGUUCUUUCGGUCGAUCGGUUCGGGGUGGUCCUCAGCCUCCACAAAACCGACGGAAGUUCGUCUACCCAAGCGCCUGCUGCGUGCUUGAGAUCACGCAUCAAUCAAGGCUUCAAUCCUUUGAGAAUCAGACCAUUUGCUCUUUCAGCUUGUCCUUUCGACUGAGGAUGCGCGACCGGCGCGUAGUCGACGCGCGUGCCUUGAGAGGUGCAAAAAGCUCUGAACUUGUCUGAAUCGAAGUUUGACCCAUUGUCGGUGAUGAUGCUAUGUGGGACCCCAUAUCUGAACGUCAGCCCUCUAACGAAACUGAUAGCAGUGCAAGCAUCGAGAUUCUUGAUAGGCUUGGCUUCAAUCCAUUUGGUGAACUUGUCGACUGCCACAAGCACAUGCGUGAAUCCGCUCCUGCCUAUUCUCAGUGGACCGACCAUGUCUAGUCCCUAGACAGCAAAGGGCCAGACGAGUGUAAUGGUCUUCAGGGCUGAUGCAGGCUUGUGUGACAUGUUGGAGUAGAACUGGCAACCUCCACACUUGUCGACUAUCUCUUUUGCCAUCUCAUUUGCUCUUGGCCAGUAAAAUCCUGCUCGGUAUGCUUUAGCCAUAAUGGUCCGAGAGAACGCAUGGUGACCACAGGUCCCCGAGUGGAUAUCAUUAAGGAUCAUCUGACCCUCUUCUGGUGUUAUGCAUUUCUGACCGAUUCCAGUCGCGCUUUCUCUAUACAACUGUCCCUUUAUGACUGUGAAGGCCUUGGAUCGGCGGACGAUCUGUCGAGCCUCUUCCUCGUCCUCCGGGAGUUCUUUCCUCAAGAUAUACGUGAUGUAUGGUACCGUCUAGUCAGGAGUGAUAGCCAAGACCUCCAUGACUAGGUCGACCAUAGCAGGAAUUUCGACUUCAGUCGGAUCUGUGGCACUUUUCGGUUGCUGGGCUUCUUCUGCGAAGGGAUCCUCCUGGAAUGACGGCGAGCGGAUGUGCUCAAAAAACACAUUGCUGGGAAUGGCUUCUCUCUUGGAGCCUAUCUUUGCCAGAUCAUCUGCUGCAUGAUUUUUCAGUCGGGGGAUGUGAUGAAGCUCUAACCCCUCGAAUUUCUUUUCUAGCUUUCUUACUGCAUUGCAAUAGCCAGUCAUAGCCGGGCUUCUGACAUCCCACUCCUUCAUCACCUGAUUAACCACCAAAUCUGAGUCGCCGUAGACCAUGAGGCGCCGGACGCCGAGUGAAAUGGCCAUGCGCAACCCGUACAAGAGUGCUUCAUAUUCUGCUUCAUUGUUGGAGGAAUCGAAGUGAGUCUAGAGAACGUAUCUAAGCUUAUCUCCUCGGGGGGAGACCAAUACUACCCCAGCACCAGAACCGUUCAGCAUCUUAGACCCAUCGAAGAACAUGGUCCAGUGCUCCAAGUGAACUUGAGUCGGGAGUUGCUGUUCAAUCCACUCGGCGAUGAAAUCUGCAAUUGCUUGGGACUUGAUAGCCUUCUUUGCUUCAAACUUGAUAUCUAGGGGGAGGAGUUCAAUCGCCCACUUAGCCACUCGACCAGUUGCAUCUCUGUUGUGCAAGAUCUCUGAUAGUGGAGCGUCGCUGACGACUGUAAUGGAAUGGUCAGAGAAGUAGUGUGCAACCUUCUUCGUGGUCAUGUAGAUCCCAUAUACAAGCUUCUGGUAAUGGGGAUAUCUUUGCUUCGAAGGGGUCAAAACUUCAGACACAUAAUAUACUGGGCGCUGAACUCUGAAGGCAUUUCCUUCUUCUUCCCGCUCGACCGUGAGUAUUGUACUGACAACUUGUCCCGUGGCUGCAAUGUACAGCAGCAGAGGCUCUUUACUGAUUGGGGCAGCAAGCACCGACUGGGUGCAGAGUAGAGCUUUGAGCUCUGCAAACGCUGCGUCAGCUUCUUGAGUCCACUCGAACUUGUCAGACUUCUUCAUCAGUCGGUAAAGAGGCAACGCCUUUUCACUGAGACAAGAAAUGAAUCGACUUAGAGCGGCCAAGCAACCUGUAAGUUUCUGGACAUCGUGUACACGCACAGGGCGCUUCAUCCGGAGUAUGGUGCCAACUCUCUCGGGAUUGGCGUCGAUUCCUCGUUCGGAAACGAGAAAACCGAGUAACUUUCCACCUGGAACUCCGAAUGUGCACUUUGAUGGAUUGAGCUUGAUAUCAUAUCCCCUGAGGUUAGCAAAGGUUUCGACAAGGUCAGUCAGUAGGUCGGAACCUUUCCGUGACUUAACCACAAUAUCAUCCAUGUAUGCUUCUACGUUCCGACUGAUCUGAGUGAGUAAACACUUCCGAAUCAUCCUCAUGAACGUGGCUCUAGCAUUCUUGAGGCCGAAGGGCAUGGUGACAUAACAGAAGCACCCAAAUGGGGUGAUGAAAGCCGUUUUGAUCUCGUCAGGUCCAUACAGACGGAUCUGAUGGUACCCUGAAUAAGCAUCUAGAAAAGACAAACGCUCACACCCCGCAGUCGAGUCCACUACCUGGUCGAUGCGGGGGAGAGGGAAAUGAUCUUUCGGGCAGGCCCGGUUGAUGUGUUUAAAGUCAAUGCACAUGCAAAGCGACUUUUCCUUUUUGGGGACCAUGACUACAUUGGCGAGCCACUCGGAGUGGUAAAUCUCUUGGAUGAACUCCGCUGCUAAGAUCCGAGCCACCUCCUCGCCAAUAGCUUUCCUCUUCUGGACGGCGGACCGUCGAAGAUGUUCUUUCACAGGCUUGAACUUUGGGUCGACUUGUAGGCGGUGCUCAGCCAGCCCCCUGGGAACUCCAGGCAUGUCAGAAGGCUUCCAUGCAAAGACGUCCCAGUUCUCACGGAGGAACUGGAUGAGCGCUUCUUCCUAUUUGGAGUCGAGCAUCGUCGAGAUUUGAGUCGGAGCAGCGUCGGGGUCGGUCGGGUGAAUGUGAGCUGGCUUGGUUUCACCGGACGACUGAAAAGCGGAUUCUGAAGCAGGCUUCUUGGCUCGUAGCAAUUCACUCGGAUCAGCAGUCUUCUGGUACUCUUAUCGCUCAACAACUGCCAUCUGAGCGUCAGCAAUCUUCGAUCCUUUCUGAAAACACUCUUCUGCUUUCUUCCGACUGCCAGUAACGGUGAUCACACCUUUGGGGCCGGGCAUCUUCAACUUGAGAUACACGUAGCAUGGCCGAGCCAUGAAGCGUGCAUAAGCUGGCCGGCCCAGAAUAGCAUGAUAAGCACUUUGGAAGUCCACAACCUCAAAUGUCAACUUUUCCCUGCGGUAAUUCUUUGAAUCACCGAAAACCACGUCGAGAGCAAUCUGGCCGAGUGACUCGGCUUUCUUUCCAGGAAUGACUCCAUGGAAGCUCAUGUUGCUGGCACUGAGCCUGGACAUCGGAAUGCCCAUCCCUUUCAAUGUUUCACCAUACAAUAUGUUCAGGCCACUGCCACCAUCCAUCAGGACUUUGGUCAGUCGAGUGCCUUCGACAACUGGGUCGUCCACCAAAGCUUGCCUCCCAGGGGUGGCAAUGUGCGUAGGGUGAUCGGACCGGUCGAGUGUGAUGGCAGUCUGAGACCACUUCAGAUAACUGGGUGUUGCCGGAGCAACCAUAUUCACCUCACGGUUAAUGACUUUCAGUCAACUUUUGCUUUCGACAUCAGCAAAAAUCAUCAGGGUGGAAUUGAUUUGGGGGUAUCCGUCAUCGCUAUCUUCCUUGUCCUCGACUCUGUCCGACUCUUUUUCCUUAUCUUUGGGUUGUUUGCCCUGAAACUGCUGGAUCAGGAGCCGGCACUGUCGAGUGGUAUGCUUUGGGUAAAUGAAAUUACCCUCUUCAUCUUUCUUGGUGUGGAUGUGACAUGGCAGAUCCAAAACAUCAUUUCCAUCUUGAUCCUUGACUUUAUUGGGCUUCCAGGGGCCUUUGGGUUUUCCCUUGAAAUUUCCCUGGGUUGCUGCCAGGGCCUCCCCAGGGGCGGCUGGCUCGGCCUUCCGCUUCUGCUUCCGAAUGGAAUUGCCUCCGGUUUCCUGGGCGACUGCUUUCUGCUUGCCACUCCGGAGUCGAUCUUCAUCUUCUCCGUUAGCGUAUUUGGUGGCUAUUUCCAUCAUCCGAUUCAGGGACAUUUCUCCGGUCCGACCGAACUUCAAGUUUAACUCUCUGUUCUUGACGCCUUCUUUAAAGGCACAAACUGCUUGGUGAUCCGGUACGUUCUGAACUGUGUGAUUCAAAGUGAUCCACCUUUGGAUGUAAUCCCUCAGAGUUUCACUCGGCUUCUGCAUGCAAGACCGCAAUUCUGUAAGGCCUGCGGGUCGCUUGCAUGUUCCCUCAAAGGUUGUGACAAAUACUCGAGAGAGAUCCUCCCAAGUGUAGAUGCUGUUGGGUGCUAACUGAUUCAGCCACGCUCUGGCCGAGCCCUCUAACAGGAGAGGCAAAUGCUUCAUAGCCACCUCAUCAUUGCCACCGCCAAUCUGUACAGCCACUCGGUAAUCUUCGAGCCAAGUGUCAGGCUUAGACUCACCGGUGAACUUGCUGACUCCAGCCGCCAAUCGAAAGUUGGGAGGAAUCACCGCGGCCCUGAUGGCUCGACUGAAACACUCUGGCCCUGAAACACGUAUUCUGCUGCUAGCGGGCGCAUCUCUGUUCUGGCCUUCCCGAUGAGCCCUGUUCCUGUCAACCAAGCCUUGAACGAGGACAGAUCUCACGUCAAAGCCUGGGUCCCUGGGGUCGACGGGAAUCCUCUGCCCAACGCUAUGACGGCGCCUGUCAUCUCGAUGUCGAGGCACAUAUGACCCACUCCUCGGGGGAGGGGUUGGCACUCGACGUCGAACAUCACGAUCGGAUCGGUGAUCAUACUGCUCAUUCCUUCUGUACUGAUCAUGCCGGUCGCCACGUCCCUCACGCCUCGGGGGCGACCGCGGGCUGUGAGCCGACUAGACUGUAUCUGUUGCAACGGAUCGACUGUGGAUCCUAUUCCGUGACUGAGAAACGGCGGAAUUCUGGUUUCUCGCCGCCCGGAGCAACGCUCUGAUAUGUAACAAGCCCCUGCCAGCCUCCGACUGGGAGGGCUGAAUCAAUUCUGCUAUACGGGCCGCGGCGGCCAAAUUCUGAACUGGGGUUCGGUAUACCUGCGUCGGCGGGAAGAGCUGGCGUCGACUAGACUCGGGAGCCCGCUGAAGCGCUUGCUCGUCGAGUGCUCGCUGGAGAUUCUCCAGUCGAGUGCGCUCGGCCAAAUUAGCCAAGUGCGCGUCCUCCAAGGCCCGGGCCUCGGGGGACUCUCCUACGAUAGGAGCACGGAGUGCGUCCAUGUUCCAGUGGCGAAGCUCCUCUCGCUGUAAUGACGUGAGAGGUUCGGGGAGAUACUCAUCGUGGGGAUGCGAUGGGUCGCCCCCACCCGCGCCUCCAACAGCGCGAGGGAAACCGGGAGGACUGUGCGUUCCAUCGACCGCCAGGAUCUCAGCCGCUGGGUUGUUUCUGUCGCACUCGGAUGCGGUCUCCGCGGAGCCAGUCGACAGGUCGAACAGGCCGCAGAGGGAUUCGUCGGGCUCGAUUGCCGCGACUUGCGGGGCGGCCGACUGGCGAGCCACGGCAUGCCUCACCCACCUCUGAAGUCUCGACCGACCGGAGUGCUUGUGUCGGUGGGAGACAGAGCGGGGAGACGAUACGGGGGCCGACCGAUACUAGGUCGACGGCUGCCGCAGGAGGACGCCACGAACGCAUGUGCGGAAAUGCGUUGCACCGCGGACGGGGAUAGCGUCGAUGUCGAGUGGCGCCUCCUGAAGCCAGGCGGAGUCGUCGGCGAUGAACGUGAGCACGCCGAGGCGGAUCUCCCGGCCCUCCACAAAAACUCUGCACGAAACCAUGAUCAAAGGGAUCGGAAAAAUCGCAACUUCUCCAAUCAGGUGCUAAGAUUCCCGCCCCACAGUGGGCGCCAACUGUCGUGGUUCUAACUCUGACAGUGAUGUAGGGGGGGUAUGUAUGGAGAGGCUAGAUCUCAGCUAUUGGGAAUUUGUAAACACACCAAGAUGUACGAGUUCAGGCCCUUCACGGAGGAAGUACCAGCCCUACGUCUCGGUGCCCGGAGGCGGUCGACUGGAUUACUGGCGUGUGAAUAAGAGGGCUGCGAACCCUUCAUAUUGAGGAGGGGGUGGUUUAUAUAGAGUUCGCCGGCCCCCUCCUGCCCUCAGUAAUGCAGGGUUUAAGGUACAUUUAAGGUUGGGCGUUACUGGUAACGCUCCUAAUAAAGUGCUAUAAUGUCCAUAAAGACUACUUGAUAGCCGACCGUUUGCCUGCGGAGUGACUUUAGGUCUCCUGGCGGUCGAGUGGUUGGCUUCAUGGUCGAGUGAGAGCUUCUUGGUCGAGUGUCUUGAACCCGUCGAGUGGGAUACCUCCAAGUCGAUUGAAAGGUGACUUCUUCUAGGGAUGUCCUAGGGUAGGGCUUUUUGGACAGGUUCGUGCCCCUACCCUAGGUACAUGGCUUCAUCAGAUAUUGCAUGUAAUCCCUCUGCUCUCAUGCUUUUGAAGACAUAUUCUAGUGUCUUUGUUCACUCAUUUUUGUGCGUAUAUGUAGUCAUAUAUGGAGUAUAAUAUCGAAAAUCAUCUUAUAUUUGUGAAUGGAGGUAGUAAUAAAAUAUGGUUUUUGUUUGAAUUAGAACCAGGUCCGCGGUGGAGAUGAAGUUCUCAAAGUCAUGCCGUGUGAACUGGAAGACCUGAUGAUGAGUUCUACUACUGAACUAUCUAGCUGCCGUGUCCUUGUCGCCACGUGUCCUGAACUAGUGUUUUCCUGUAGCAUUGUUGUCAGGCGUGUUAUCGAGGUUGUACUUGACCACAACAAUUUCCUGGUUGUGCCUUCGAUUACGAAUGGUGUGGUUCUUGUAAAGCUUCCCAACAAAUCUGAUGCAGCCUGUCUUCAUCAUCAUGUUUAUGAGUGGAAAGACCAAUCUGUUAGGUUCUCCAAGGUUGACAAGAUGGUGAUGGUGCAUGUAGACAUCUCGCACGAAGUCCAUGGCCUAGUCAGUUAUGCGGGGUUCAUCACGUAGGUCGGUGGCAAGAAAUAGUCUGUAGAGUUUAGUUAGUGCAACUUUGCUUGUCUGUAGUAAGUACUAUUGUUCAGUACUUAAUUUGUGUUUGUGAACCCUGUAUUGUUUAUUAGUACUGCCGCUUUUGGUGUGUGGUCAGUCCAGAGAACGGUCUAUGUUAAUGUCUGUCCACUCAAUUCAGUCUGUAUAUUUUGAAGUAUCCAGAUCAUAUUUUUUUGUGAGGACGGUUUAUCAAUUAUGGUUACACUCUAAUAUCUGUAUGAAUUGCAGGGUUUAUCGCACCCACUAGGAUUUCUAGUCCAAUGGAUGUUCGGUCCAUACGAUUUGUCACAAACUUUGGACUGUCCUGCUUGUGGGAGUAGGCUGGGCCCCUGGUCACGCAUAGUUGGACGAUCAAUCUUCUGUUUAGUACUUCAACAUAGUGAUUUCCUCGUAGGAUUCAUUCAUGUCGCAUCAAGUAAAUCUUAUUAGUUUACUGUCUAAAUCUUAUUGUUUUGAUGUCAUGUUUUCUUUCUUUUCCUGCAAUUUUACGAUGUAGGUUUUUCCAUGUGACAUUCAUCAUAGAAUAAACCGUUUGGUUUGCUCUACGAUGGCUAUUUUUGCAGGUCUCACUUCUUAUGUCGUGUCAGUAACGAAGGCACUGUCCAUCACUUAUAUUACUGGAAAAAAUUGGAUCAGUCUGUUGUCUGAGUACAAGCUGAAUCCCUAUGAUGAACUGCAGUUUGUUUUAACAAAAACGCCACAAUUAGACCUUCUCGCAUUUAAAAAAAAUGAAGAAAAAAAUGGUUCAAGGUCACGGAUCCUAGUCGAGUUAGAAAGCUGAUCGUAGCAGACCAGACACGAUCGCCACUGUCUUGCACAGAUCGAGCACCAGCAGUUGCUCUAGCACUGAGAGCGACAACAACUCAGUCUGAUGAAGCUGAGGAUUGGGGACCGACCGCGUCAGCGGAUCAGUCUGAUCUACCGGAGGAUCGGGCAUCGACACCGACACCUGCUCUGACACUGGCACCAGCUCUACAAGGAGCACCAUCUCCGGCAGCAGAAGCGUCUUCGACACCUGCACCAACACUUGCACUUGCAUCUGCUCCGGCCCGUGCAGUUGCACCGGCAACAAACUGGGCUAUUGUUCGCACUUCAUAUACCAAAGUCCUUACAAAAACUGACAUGUCCACCUUCUUGGUACGCAUUGGCCACCCAAGUGCUUCGUUCUUUUUUCUAUCCAUGUUUUUUCACAUGAUUCACUGUGUUGAUCUAACUGUUUGGGUAUGUCUUCUUGUUUGCAAACAGAGAAUUCCUAGAGCAACCAGUGAGUCGUUCAACAAUCCGGGCGACCGCGGCCAAGUUUCUCUUACCAUGCGUAGCCUUGGUGUGAAUGAACAUGCUCAAUAUGCCGUAAGUACAAAGGAUGGUCGCAUGAUGAUUAAUGCUAAAAGAUGGUCAACGUUCAAAUCUAAUUCAUAUCUUGCGGUAGGGUAUGAUGUCAAAAUCGAACUUUCUCGGCAAGGAGAGCUGGUCCAAAUCAACUUUGAAAUUCUUCAGUAGCAGCACGCAACUGCCGAACUGAUCUAUCCUCCGAGAGAUUUUGAUGUAAUAAUCUGGCAUGGUGAAACAAGUGUCCUGUGUGUAUAAGUAGUACGACAGUAUUAUUUAUCACAUGGUAUAUUGUUGAUAGAAUUGCAACUCUAAUUGCUGGUUAGGAACUGUCAUACGAUUUCAUUCCAAUAGCUGCCGUGCUUUAUUCAAUUUUGUGUAUUCGCCUUGCGACAGCAUCUAAAACCAGCAUCGUACCGAUCGCUUGCAAUAUGAAAAGCGCUGAGGUAGAACACAUGGGCACCCAAACAUGCAGGGUCGGCCUGCGGCCCAAAGUCCAGAACCGUGAGCCUAUCUGAGUAUUAUAUUCUCAGCUAAACCCCCAUAAAAAAAGCUGAACCCCCAUAAUGCCCGUGCAUUGCAGAGCGGCAAGGUGAGCCUGUGAUAUAAAAGCUUUGUCUAUUUCUUUACAGAGGAAGUAUCUCUCUGUCAAUAUAUAUAUUUAUGUGUAACUAGUUACUCCUGUCUUUCUACUUCCUUUCGUUGAUAUGUGGAGCAACCGGCAACGGGGUCCACGUGCCAUAUGCACAAAUUACAGUCCACAACUUCACGGUAGACACACCCCAGUCGUAGCGCUGUAGUAAUGCCCAAUGAGCCGUCAAAUCACAACCCCCCCCCUUUCCAGCUUUAGCAGUAAGCUGGACGGAUGAAGCGGCAAUAUUUCACUGGGCCUGAAUCCCCUUCUCCCUCAUCUGCUUGUUCAGAGAAAACCCCCUCUCGGCGAUUGCAUAGGGUUUUCUCAUGGAGAACCAGGUACGAAUUCUUCAUCCAUCCCCGAUAAAUCCAAGUCCCUUGGUCGCAGGUAAUCCUAUGAUGGCAGCCGCCGCCGUUGAUGCAUUUUUCUUCCAACGGAAUCUAGUGUGUUUCAUGUGAAGUGCCCAAAGUGCGAGUACCCUACAGGUUUCUGCGCCCUCGGUGAGACGCCACACUUGUGCCUUCUCAUCCUAAGACAUCAUUUUGAAACACGCACAGUAUGUUUCUAGAAUCCUCUUUUCUAUCCGGGAGGGUGAGGUUUUUUUGAGGGAGAUUUUACGGUGCAUUAUAAUACACCAGAGCACAUGUAUUAUAUGGCCGAUCUAACGGAUGAGAAUAAUUGGGCCUUUUUAAGCCCAAGGGUAUUUUCCACCUAAUUUUUUUAACCUUUAAUCGGCGCAAUUUGGUCCAGGGGUUUUCUUGUCCUAAAUUUUUUGAUUAAAUUAAUUGCAUUAAUAAAGCACUUCAUUAUAGAGGUCCCAUCAUCGUGCGUACUCUUUUGUAUUUCGGUUCGAGCGGUUCGUCCACUCUCCCCUCUCGAGCCCUAACCUUGGGCCCCCUCGAUCGCCUUCGAUCACCUCCGGCGCCCUCGAUCGCCGCCGAUCACCCCCGGCGCCCUCGAUCGUCGCCGAUCGCACUCGCCGUGUCUACCCCUCCUGCUCCUACUCCCCCUCACUCCCUCCAUCGCAAGUCACCCCAGUCGGGUCGCAGCGCCAGAUCUUCCAACGAGCCGCUAAUCCACUCCUUCCCCGAGUAGACGCCACCUUCCCCGACCCGAGAGGCCACAUCAUCCUCAUCGACGUGCAUCAACUUUUUCACGCUGGAUAUGUCAUGUGAGGUUUAGGGUUUAUCGUUUCAGAAAGUUGUGAGGAGAUUUCAGUCGGACUUGGUUAGGGUUUAGGAUAUGUCAUCUGAGUAUUAGGGUUUGUAUUUUUAGAAAGUUGUGAUGAGAUUACGAUUGAAAGGAAGUGUAAGUCGGAUGUAGCUAUGACAUACUGAAGGACUUAGUUAGGAUUAUGUGGCAUGAGAAAGUUGUCAGCAGAUUUGGAUUCAAAGAAAGUUAUUUUGGAUUUAGUUAGGAGAUACUUUUGAAUUGAGUCUCGAGAUAUUUUGGAUUUAGUUACGAGAUAAUUAUUUUGUAUGGAGUUUGGACUUAUUUUGGAUUUAGUUAGGAGAUAAUUUGGAUUUAGUUAGGACAUACUUUUGGAUUUUGUUACGAGAUAAUUUGGAUUUAGUUAGGAGAUAAUUUUGAAUGGAGUUUGGAGAUAAUUGAAGGACUCGUGGACUUUGGAUUUAGUUAGGAGAUCAUCAGUUAGAGCUAGUACAAUCAAUUACAAAUUUCUGGAUUUAGUCAGGGCAUAUUUACUUAUAGCUUUUGAAGGACUGAGUUAGGUACAUGAAUCUGAUAUGAAAAAUUAAUCAAUUAUUUAAGUAGAGUAGUGCAAUCUUUCGGUAACGUAUGCUAUCCAUCCGUAAAAUUGACUAUCUAUUUUCGCUGGCAACAUAAUGACAUGGAUGAUAAAGGCAACAAUGGCAAAAACUUGGGUGAUACAGGCAAGGAUGACAAGGACAUGGGUCAUAGAGGCAACGAAGGCAAAGGCAUGGACCCCAAAGGAAUGGAUGGUAUGUGCAUGGAUGAUAAGGAUAAUGAGGAUGCAGGAAAGGAUGGCAUAGACAUGGAUGAUGUACACAUACAAGGUAAAGGAAUUGAUAAUAAAGGCAUGGCUGGUUCAGACCUGAAUGAGUGUAUGGAAUACUUAGAGAUUGUGAAGAAGACGUUCAGGACUGAGGAAGAAGCCUACAUGUUCUACGUAGGCUAUGCGAGAAAAAAAGGAUUUGGUGUUAGAAAGGAUGAUCUGAAGUACAGGGGUCCGGGUCCAAAAUAAAAUGCAUAUAGAAGGACAUACAAGUGCUGCAAACAAGGAUGGCGGGCCCUUAAGCACUUUAACAGAGCUGAAAGAAAAAGAACACUGAGGGGUCUUUCUCGGUGUGGGUGUCCCGCUCUUUUUCAGAUUGAGCUACAAUGUAGCAGUGGCCUCUCGUUCGUCAAGAAUUUUGUGGACAAGCAUAAUCAUCUGUUUGUCCCUACUGACCUGACUCCGUACUUGUCUGCUCACCAUAGAAUGACUGACGCACAAAAGGCUGAUGUCAUCGAGUAUGCUGUCAGUGGACUUUGAACACAUCAGAUUAUGAAUGUAAUAGAGAAGAAUGCCGGAGGUCCUGACAAACUUGGAUUUAUAGAUCGAGAUCUAUACAACCAUGUUUUAGUCCAGAAGAAGCGCAAGAUAGAAGGCAGUGAUGCUAGAUAUUUGCUCACCUAUAUGAUUGCACAGAAAAAGCAGACCCAGAAUUCUUUUUCAAAUACACAAAUGAUAGCGAAGGCCAUUUGAGGAACAUAUUCUAGGCUGACUCACAAUCCCGCAUUGACUAUGUUGCCUUUGCUGGUGUUGUGGUGUUCGACAGUACAUAUUGGUCUAACAAGUACAGGCUUUCGUUUGUUCCAUUUGUUGGUCUGAACCAUCACCGCAACACAGUUUUGUUUGGAGUCAGUCUAGUGUCAAACGAGACAGUUGCAUCAUACCAGUGGCUUCUUCAAGUAUUUUUGGAGGCAAUGUCCUAGACGGCACCAAUUUCAGCAAUCACCGAUGAGGACGGUGCAAUGGCUAAAGCAAUAGCUACUGUCUAGACCGGAACAGAUCAUCAUUUGUGCACGUGGCAUAUCGAGGAGAAUAUGGUGAUGCACCUCCGCGAGGAAAAGCUGGAGCAAUUUAGGGAAUUCAUUUACCAUCGUUGGGAUGUUGAUGAGUUUGAGAAAAGAUGCGAGGCUUAUAAGGUUCGGUUCAAAAUAAAACCAACGGGCAAGAGGUCGUCAUGGGUUAACAUGAUGUACGAGCUGUGACACAAAUGGGCUGUUGCGUACACAAAUGGUAGAUAUUUCCUAGGCAUGAUAAGUAAUCAGAGGAGUUAGUCUCUCAACUCAAGGCUUCAUGUGCACCUGAACAGGAAGAUGCAGCUUGUUGAUUUGUUGCAGCAUGUUGAGCACUGUGUAUCGCUAAUGCGUAAGACUGAAGCAGCAUUAGACGCAGUAGCAACACAUACGAUACCCUUCACUAAGCUGAAUGCACACCCUCUGGAGAUUGCUGCCUCUUAUAUUUAUACAAUUGCGAUGUUUCCAAAGGUAAAGCGUCAGAUUGUCGAAGGGACAAAUUGGCAGGUCACGUACCGGGUAGCAUGUGAUGGUUUGGUCGUGUUUGGAAUUUUGCACAAAGCCCCAUAUAAUAAAUUCCCAUAUGGCAGGGAUGCUAGAGAAUUGCAAGGUAAGGAAGGUAAGUAUGCUGAGGACUUGCAUGCAAAGAAAAUGGAUGCUGAGGAUCCCAAUGACUUGGAAGGUAAGGAUGCUGAGGACUUGCAUGCAAAAAACUUGGAUGUUGAGGAUCCCAAUGACUUGGAAGGUAAGGAUGCUGAGGACUUGCAUGCAAAAAACUUGGAUGCUGAGGAUCCCAAUGACUUGGAAGGCAAGGAUGGUGUGGACUUGCAUGCCAAAAACCUGGAUACUAAGGAUCCCAAUCACUUGGAAGGUAAGGACAGUGAGGAGUUGGUGGCAAAAAAUUUGGAUGCACAAGGCAUGGAUGCUAAGCUUGUGGAUUUUAUAUAUCACGUGACUUGUCUGUUUACAGGAGAAAGACUGGAUGAUGCAGCUUGUAAAUGUAAAAAGUUGGAAAGUCAAGAUUACCCAUGCGCACAUAUAUUCUGCGUUCUGGAUCAUCUUGGUGUAUGCACAUUUCCAAAAAAAAUUGUCAAGAAAAGAUGGACAAUGCAGGACAAGCCAGCGUUCCCUUCUUCGAGGACUACGAAUACUCAUGUAUGGUCUGAUCACAUGAAUAAGUAUCUUCAACUACGCAACAUGGCUAGUGACGCUUUAUUCACAGCCGCAGCUAGCGAUUCACAGUCAGAACAGGUGAUGGAGUUCCUUCGGAGUAUAUUGGUUGACGGAGUUCCUCCGGAUGAAGGCGCGAGCGGAUGAGAGGGAAAAAAGCAAUGAAGUUAGUGCACAUGUUUAUCUCAUUGUUCAUUUCCAUACAUGCUUACAAUGUUAAUAUGUUCUCUCUUUUUAUCUUCAAUUUACUCAGGAACAAAUCGGGGAAAUCAGAGGUCACAAGGAGCAAGAAGCGAAAAGACAAAGACUCAGAGACAUAAGAAGACACAGAUUUAGAUAUAGAAGAAGAGGAAGAUUCAAAAAAAGCAACAAAGUUAUUGCACAUGUUAAUCUCAUUGUUGAUUUCCAUACAUGCUUACAGUGUUAAUAUGUUCUCCCGGAGAGUGUUCACAUGUUUUUCUUCAAUUUACGCAGGAAAAAAUCAGGGAAAUCAAACAACACAAGGAGGAAGAAGCAAAAAGAAGAGACAGAGUCAGAUACAGAAGAAGAGACAGAGUCGUAUACAGAAGAAGAGACAGAGGCAGAUACAGAAGAAGAGGAAGAUUCAGGUACAGAAGAAGAGGAAGAUUCUGGUACAGAUGAAGAGGAAGAUUCAGAUGCAGAAGAAGAGGGAGAUUCAGAUGCAGAAGAAGAGGGAGAUUCAGAUGAGGAAGAAGAGGAAGAUUCAAAUGCAUAAGAUGGUGGGCUGAGGAGGGCUAGAAAGAGACCAUUGGAGGUUGCAGAAGAGGAUUACGCAAAACCAAACAAGUGGGCAUUAGCACAAUUGUGCGUACUUAAACAUGUUUUCGAAUGCUGGCUGCAGAUUCAUCUAUUUUAUUUUUUGCAGGAAACGCAAGGGCGCUCCAAAUGUCAAUGUUGGGAGGACGAAAAAGAACGAUGACAAGGAUGCACGAGGAAAACCAGUGAAGUUAGUGUCUGUACUUACAUGUCCGCUCUAGAAGUCGGGUAUUUGCUAGUACUGUGUUGAAGUUUCUUAACUUUUUCAGGAAAGACUCUAGUAAGGGCAGUAAAGGACAGGCCAAAGGGGUGAUGAAGACAAAAAGGCCUGAUAGGAAUGUACCACAGGCUGAGCGAAUAAGAGCUAUCAAGUUAGCUUCUAUAGCUAUGAAGAGAAAAUGAGUGAAGUUAGUGUUUUUUCUGUUAUAGUGUACUGUACAUGCUCAAAUCUUCUUUGCUAUCCUAUUAACAAACGUUGUUUCAUGCAGGAAAGCUAAAGUGAAGUCGAGAUAGGAAGUUUAGAUGCACAGGGUCAAGCAGAGAAAACAAAAGUAUUUCUGGGGUCGAAAAAUUGAGAACAAACUAAAGUUGAUAGUUUUCCAUGCCGUGAUCCACCUUGUUUCUCAUGUAUUAGACCUAUUUGAUGGACUACCACUAUUUUUCUGAAUUCCUCAUUUGAUUGGUACACCCUAUUUGAUUGGUAGACCCUAUUUACCAACACCGAUGAAACAAUGCAUUUUUAGUGCAGUUGGUUCCUGUAUUUUUUUCAUUUUUUACAUAAUAUAUUGCUGAAAUUUGUUCAAAGUGUAGUCAAAUUUCAUACUUGAAAUAUAAAAGAGAAACCGAAAAUUUAUAUAUAUAAGAAAAUAGAACGUUAAUAGAAACCUCGUUUUCAAAUAACAUUGAAAAUUGUUUAUUUUCAAAUAGAAAAUAAGCAUACUAAUAUUUUAAAAAUAGCAUGCUCAUUUGAAAAAAAACAUGUUCAAUUGAAAAUAAAAUAUAAUGAAUAUGCUGAUUUAAAAAUAUCAUGAUGAUUUUAAAAUAGCAUGCUGAUUUUAAAAUUAUGCUACUUUUAUAAUAACAUGCUAAUUUCAAAAAUAUCAUGCUAAUUUUAAAAAUAGCAUGGUACUUUUAAAAAUAUAAUGCUCUUUUCAAUAUGCUACUUUUAAAAAUAGCAUGAUUAUUUUAAAAAUAGCAUGCUUAUUUUAAAAAUAGCAUGCUUAUUUUAAAAAUAUAAUGCUCUUUUCAAUAUGCUACUUUUAAAAUAGCAUGCUGAUUUCAAAAAUAGCAUGCUGAUUUCAAAAAUAGCAUGUUGAUUUCAAAAAUAGCAUGCUGAUUUCAAAAAAAUCAUGUUCUUUUGAAUUUGUUAUUUUGAAAAAUAGCAUGCUAAUUUCAAAAUAACAGCCUCAUUCUAAAAAUACAACGCUGUCUUUAAAAAUAUAAUGCUGUUUUUAAAAAUAUAACGCUGUUUAUAAAAUGAUUUCAAAAGAUACAUGCUUUUUUAAAUAUGCUGUUUUGAAAGCAGCAUGCUGAUUUUGAAAACAACAUAUUUUUAAUUAUGCUUUUCAAAAGAUAGCAUGUUUUUUUAGUAUAUAUUGUUUUUCAAAUUAAAAAACAUCAUUUUGAAAAUAGCAUGCCAUCUCGAAAGUAACAGAAACAGGUCCCGCUCUUUGUUUUGCAUUUCAUUUUUUGUGCGACACACAUACAAACCGCAUUUUCAAAAUAACUCGUACUAGCCAACACAAAAACCUCAUUCAAAAAUGAAAGUAGUGUCUAAUCCAUUUGAAACCCGGUUAGAUUUGAUUCUAAAAAUACUAGCAUCACUGUGGCAAAAAAAGGAAAUAUAAUUGCAGUCCAUAAAGGUAAUUAUAUCAAGGAGGGUACCAGGGUGCGUUAUAUAUAUAGACUUGCAUAAUAAGUACAUUACACCACAUAGGGUUCAUACUACCACCAAGUUACUGCCAUGUUCCACUUACUGGACGAUCUUCAUAUCCACUCAGACCCAAAAGUUAUACCACCAAAGUACCAGUUACUACCAAGUACCAAUUACUACUAAGUUGCACUUACUAGACCCUAAAGCUGAUACUACCAACUUGCAGUUACUAGCUAGUACAUACAGAUCAUAAAACUAGCGUCAAACUAUUGCGGAGGGUCAACUAAUCCUCAUGCCACUAACCAUGUUCACCCUAAGCCCACCUCCACACCUUUCCAUGAACCUGAAGAUAGCCAUUUGAUCUUCUUUCAUUCUGGCGCCCUCAACGACUUCUCUCCAGUUCUUCAUCAUGAUCGCUCACCCGUCCUGCUUGCCCAUCUUGAAGAAGACCUUUUUAUUACCUUCAAAAUAUUCGCUGGUGAUACGCACAACCAUGGGGCUUUCGCAGAUAAUCUUUGAGGUAGGCCUGACUGUACUCCUUUGAGAAGCACUGAUUGCACAGGGAAAUAAAUAAUCUUACAUAAAAAAUGAAGUAUGAUUUGCACAAAAAAAGUAUGUAUGAUUUGCACAACCACGCCAGUCCUCCUCUCUGUCUCUACAUGAUGGCAUUUUCACUAGUGAAGUAUGAUUUGCAAAAAGAAAAGUCCAAGUGUUUACCAUCCGGCUCUUCCCUCUGAUGACUGCCGAGCGAGUGACGGUGCUGACAUAGUAUGGUAUGGGACGUUGGCACUGCUUUACUAUGGAUUUGAGAUAGUCCCACCAAUCCUCGUUUAGCAAUACAUGCUUGCCGUAUAAGAUGUGAUCCUCGAAAGUUCCUUUUCUCACAUGGUAUCCCGGACCUGUGUCAAAAAAAAUUAAGAUGAUAGAGUAGUAAAUAAUUUCAUAUGUAAGAUCUAGAACAUCAGCACUGGGUUAAUGAUCAAUGCCUACUCCAAUGAUCAAGAAAUGAAGGACAUAGAUAACCCAAUCACAUCCACCCAGCAAUAUCACGUAGAAACAUGGGCAAAUUGAAUAUUUGAUUUAUUUAAACUAACAACUAAACACUUCUCUAUGUAAGCUCUAGUUCAGUCAAUGUUGAUUUGGAAGGUCAUUUAGAACCCAAACAGAGUAAUGUGUGGUAAUCAAGUGUCACUCAAACAUCAACUUUCGAUAUUUUACGGUUCAUUUAAUAUCUGACCAGCCAAAAAGAACUUUACCCCGAAGUGCCAAGAUAGGAUCAUGGUCCACAUCUCCAUCUCCAUCAGAACUAUCAUUAGUGUCAUAGUCGCUAGAGGUGUCGUCAUCACCGCUAUAGCCGUCACUCCCACGUGAAGUGCCAUCUGAAGCAUCAUCUGAGGUGGUCCGGUGAUCACUCUCUUCACUGCUGAUGAGGAUGGUUUCCCUUGCCAUUCAAACCUGUUGCAUGCAUUGCAAUGAACACAUGUUAGUUAUUGAUAUAUAAAAUCAGUCUUCCAUUAUGACUUGUUAGCACCAUAUACAAUGUGAAUAAUCUUUUCGCAUACUUCUUGCUAAGUACGUAGUUCAUGUAUAAACAUCUACACCAAAAAGCUAGUCGACAACUAUUCGCACGACUAGUCAACACUAGUGGUUAGACUCAUAAUCAUUGGGCAGACAUAACCAAUUAGGAUAUUCAAGGUUACAAUUUUGUGAGUUGGACAAGAAAACUUGGUAACCAACCAAUUAGUAGCCAUGUAAAAAUGAACCAUGAUUGACUGCUCUCAUCGAGCAAUACAUGAAACUAUAACUGAUCUGCCUUUGAUCACUGCAAAUUUCCUGAUGGGCUGUUGUGUGGUACCAUCAGGUAAUAAAUAUAAAGUCUUUAAAUUGUCCCAACAAAACAAAUAAUGCAUCUGCUGCUGUACAUAACAUUUUUAGAGGUAGUUGUGGAGGUUAAUUUUCCAAUUUCCAGUGAGAAUAAGGACAUGAUAGAAUCUCUCAAGCAAGAUGACAGCAUAGUGAAGGCUAUGAGAACGAGCAAGGUAUGCUGACCAAUAGUCACCCUUUUGUAUACUUGAUAUUUAUUUACUCAUUACUACCCAUACCAACAAGUAAAAUCAUGAUUAUGAAGUAUAAUGUCAGAAAAUCCAACAGUGAGGAAUUUGUUGCAAUGUGUACUACUAGCUCACAGGAAAUUGUCAUUGACCCCAACAAGCCCAUACCAUAUCUUGGAGAUAGGCUGACAUAAUUGAAGUAAGCAGUAACAACAAUCAGCAAAAAUAUGCACCGACCAAAAAUAUUACAUGUGUGCACAUAUCAUCAAAAACAUGCACCAAUCAAGAACAGUCUGUACUUGACAAAUCCUUCAAAAUAUGCACUAAUCAUCAUACUACCGUCGAGUAAUACAAGAAACUAUAACUGAUCCUCAUUCCAUCAUUACAAAUUUCCUAAUGGACUGCAUCUGUGCUCGCCUUUUUAGUUUUUAAUAACUAACCAUCAACAAAUACAUAUACACAAUCUUCAAACUAUCCCAACAAACCAAAACAUGUGUAUGCUCCUGUGAAUAUACUUUUUCUAUAUCUAGCAGUGGGGGACCAUUUUCCAGGGGAAAAAGUACUUGAUAGCAUCUGUCAAGCAAGAUGAUAGCAUAGUGAAGGCUAUAUCGAUGAGCAAGGUAUGCUGGCCAACACCAGCCUUUUUCUCUUACUUGCAUGAAAGUGUUUACCCAUUACUACCCAUAUGAACAAGUAAAACCAUGAUUACAUAGUACAUUGUCAGAUUAUCUUGUUGUAAAAUUACUUGUUGCAAUAUGACCUACAAGUUGACAGUAAAUCUUCGAAUACCCGAAACAUGCACACAAGCAAGUGUCAGAUUUUAACUUGGGCGGUGCUGCUAGAUCGCAAAAUUAAGCUCAGAUCGACAUUAGAAGGGCAGGGAAGAUCAAUCUUACCUGCGGAGUGGUACCAGAUGGAGCUGGAGUAGACUUGUUCAAUGCUGGCACCACCGAAGCUUCGGGCGGCGCGACAAGGAUUAGGGAGAAGAGGUGCUGUUGUCGGACCUUGCUGUAGAUGAAGCAGUGGAGAAUCGUGGCCGGAGCAGGGGGAGUGGGUGGCCUCGCGGAACCGGCCGAUUUGACGACGACGGGGGCGGCCAAGGUGACCGCUUGGCAAACCCUAGCCGUCGCCCUCCGCGUCGCCUCUUUGUCUCUGCAAAGAACGAAGUGUGGUGGGAUUGGGAAUGGGGGUGCGGUUGGGGUUGGGGCCAUCGCUCGCUUUUCUCUCUGCCUCCCACUUGUGCAGGCCCACAAAAGGAACAGAGUGUUGGGCCGGAUCAGAUGCAGAUUUGGCAGCUUUACCAAUUCUGGCCAAACAGAAAAGAUCAGCAUGACCACAUGUGUUCUUUUAAAGAAACCCUAAAAAUACACUGCUGUUCAUAUUGCAUGUGGAUGAGUCUUUCAGUACCAAUUGAUCUUGAAUAAUUUUAAGCACUCACAGUAUAUAUAUAUAUAUAUGAAAAUAAUGGUUAACCAAUAAAAUGGUAAACUAUUAGAUGCAAGGUUGCAAAUAUUUGAAAAAAUGAAUAAUUGAAUUGUAUGCAUUUUUAUGAUUAAAUUUAAUAAAUGUAACAUUUGUGCAAAAACUAUGAUAAAUUAAAAUAUUCAUUGGUAUUUUCAAAAAAACCACGAAUGACUACUUAUGCCAACCAGAACUUCUUCAUGGUUUCGUUUAUUCAUCUAUUCUUUGGCAUACUGGUUCUCAUAACGCCUUCUUCGGACCUUCUCUUUGUCCGACAAAUUCCUGAGCUAGCGCCUUGUGUUUCGCCCUCACACCAUGCUUCAUUUGGUAUCCUUUGGCAACUCCUUCGGCGUGCUCAAGAAUACUAACGAAAGCCGGGUCCAGAUAUUUGCCACAGAAUGUGCAACGAUAUGCCAUACGCUUAAGCACGUUGCACUGUCCAUUCUGCAAUUCUUCAAGGGUUUUCUGAGUGUGUGCAUCCAUCUCUCCUUCAGAAAUGUCCGCAUAAUCAUGAGAAUAAGGCUGCAAGUUUAAAUUAUGUAUGAUAUAAGCUGCACCAUUGUUUACAGUACCUAAUAUUCCCUAAGUUUCAUACUGUAGUGCCUAUAAAUUAUUUUAAAGUAAAUAUUUAUUAACUUUGAAAAUUUAAGGAGAAAAAAGCAAUAUCAAAACCACAUGAAAGCAUAAAUCAUAUGAUGUACUUUUAAAAAAAUUGUCAACAAACAUGCACAACCUUUAUGAUGUCCGACUUUUAGCAUAAAACCAAAACACACUAAAUUUUGGAGUGGAUGAACCAUUAAUUUCUCAAAGACUGAUUGAAUAAAUAAUGAUCAUUACGUACGAAUGAUCAACAUUAUAUUUAGAGCUCGAUUCCAUUAUGCCAAUUCAAAAAUUAUUGAUGGUUUAAUGAUUAACCACUAACCUUAAACUUGAAGACAGAUCUAGGGUUCAAAAAUUAAAAUUACCGUAACGGAAUUCCAGUCCAUGUCGUGCAUGUGCUGCUGCUUGUGAUCGACGAUGGAGUACUGCACCUCGUUGACACGAUGCUUCUCUGGGUCAGACACCGAGUAGUCCAAAGCUUUCUCAUGGGGAUCCUGAUCCAUGCGAUGGACGACGACGUAGGUUGUUAGCUCCGCAAGUCCACGAUCUGUCACGAUGGCGUCCAUGACAGGCCCCCACGUCCAUGGCCCCGCUCUGUCACGACGGCCAAUUAACCUCCACGAGUGGAUUUCAUAUCCGGCGGCAGGGAGGCGGGCGUGUGAACGGCCGCGAUAGUUUUAGAGCAUGCCCUAGGGGGAGAGAUGCGGGGAGUAAUUGGUAGUUACCUACUAUAGCGGAAAUACUUCGGCGUUGGGCACCUCAAUGCAGCCGACUUAUUUAGGCGCUUAAUUAGGAUCCUGGAAAAAAAUCACAAUCGUAGGCGCUUGGGGCAGGCACUAGGAACUGGAUUUUGUACAUCUACGUGAUGCAAUCCAAAGUUCGUGUCCGGGGUGGAUGGGUUGGGGAUUCAAAAUUUUGUACAUAAACCCUGGUGCUCAAGACUUGUGAAACAUCAGAUCAAAUUGUCAUCAAUUGAUCUAGAAAUUUCAAACUGAGAAAGAAAUGUACGCAGAGGCCACUAUAGUAUUACUUGGAUCGAGACUUUGUGAUCAUCAUGUAGCCACGCCACAACCAACACGAUGGUCUCCGUGGCCAUGUAGACAUCACACCAUGCACCGUUGGCCGCCUAGAACCUCUAGCCAUGCAUUGAUAGUCGUCACGUCUCACAUGCAUUUGUGAUGCUAGCAAUGUCAUCACGUGAUGUCAUAAACUGAAAGGCGUGUGACAAUAAUUUUAAAAAACAACAAGAAAAUACUCCAUCCCAAAAUUUUGACUAAGACAUGAUUUGAUACGUCGGUAUUUACACAAAUCAAAGACAAGAAAUUUGGGACGGAUGGAGUACUAAAGCAUCAUUAUUCCAAUCCUAGGUUGCUAUAAGAGAAGCUUGGAUUUCCAUCUACCAAGCUGAAUGCAGCUCAAGGCUACAAUUCCAUUGCACUGGUACGUGAGAUAUGUAGUCGACACACAACUUAACAUGCAUAGUUGUACCAUAGUUGAACAGUAAGCAUACGGUACUUCUUAACAUAGUUCAUCCAUAAAGUCUCGCCAACAUACCACAAACUAAGGUAGUACUUAACCUAGUUCAGACCAAAAGAGCUUCCAUUCUGGCUGCCAGGGUGCACGCACUGCCCUAAACCCCCUCCAAGAACUCAGCAAGGGCCACGUGUGCCAUCCUGGAAGCAUAUCCAUGGGCGUGGCUAGCGGCUCGUCCGAGUGCAUGCUGGAUAAUACUCAUACGGGUGUUAUUAACCUUGCGGUUGCAGAAAGGGCAUCCAUAGCGCCCAGCACUAGGACUAACACGUCUGGCAUGCACAUUAGAAUCUGUUAACGAGCGCUCACAAGCUUAACUAGCUUCAAACGAACCUAGCCAAUCAGGGUUUUAUGCUACUUAAUCUAAAUGAGCCGAUGAUUAAUGAGCACGAGUUUAACAAGCAGAGAUGCCAAACCACACACCAAUUAACAUAGUUCUACCUUAGUUCAACACUUCCAUAUAUACAAAAGCAAGCACCACUUAGUAGUACCGGUGCACAUAGUUCGACCAUAAACGUUCACCAACAAAGUAUAGCAUAGUUAAAACCAAAAGAGCAUCAGUUCUAGCUGCGAGGGUGCGCACUUCCCUAAAGCCUCAAAGAAGCCUCAUCAAGUACUCGGCAUACGCGGCGUGCUUCACCCUGAAAGCGUAGCCAUUCUUGAUGCUGCCUUGGGAUGUACCGACUGCAUGGUUGAUGGUACUUCUCAGGUCACCUUUCAUCAGCUUGUUGCAGUAAGGGCAUCCGUAGCCCCCCCUUCCAAUUCUUGGCCUGAUACGUUUCUCGAGCACACCACUGUUCAGCUCCCUCGCCUUCUGCCUCCUGUAGAUCCUCUGGGUUUCUUGGUCGCUGUCGACGUCGUCACUUAGGACCUACAUGUAGUACCAAAUGUUGCAUAAGUAUAUCUAAUAUGAGAAUUCAGCAGGCACAGAGUCUAUGAAACAUAAUGUAAUUGAUGACAGCGUAAAAUAUCUUCAAAUGACGUUGAAAAAAUAAAUGCAUAACUUAUUAGUUGGUACAUAAGAAACUAAAUGGGAUAGUACCAUAUAGUAAAAAAACGAAGGAUCAACCAUACAUGUCGAAGAGAGCACUAGCAUUGCCACAUUUUGCCACACAUUUUUCCCAAGCUUGCCUAAGGUUAGUUCAUCAAAAUGAGAGCCACAAGUUGGCAAGCCUAAGGGAACCAUGCCACACUUUUUGUGUGUAUGCCAUGUGGGACCCAAGUGUGGCUUGCCUAAGGUGUGGCUGGAACCAAACACUCACUUAAGUUGGUCAAACUUGCCUAACCUUAGGUAUGGCAAUCUUUGGCAAAGUCACUAACCAAACAGCCUUUAUUGCAACAAAAUUCAUUUGUUACGUAAAAAUGCAUGAACUGAUGAUGUAACAUGGCAGAGCAGCAUAUAGAUGUACUAAUGCAAAAAAAGACUUAUAACUUACAUGCAUGACUAGAUAAAAUAGCUCGUGAGCUGUAUCUAUUUAGGGUUAGAAUUUUGUGUGUUUAUGAUGAUGGAUAUUGAAAGUCCACAUGUUAUCGUCGUGGAAGUUUCCCCUGUUGAUCGAUACCCCACCCAUCAAUGUUCCUGAACCAUUGAAUGUUCUAGGUAAAGUAGUUAAUUAUUAUGAAUUCUGACAAUAAGUGAUCCCAAAUGUUGUACUUACAAAAAAGGGUUUUUAUCAUUUAUGCCACCAGUUUUGUCCCACAAUUAAGUAUCACCACUAGGAUUUUCUACUGCUAAAAAAAGCCAUCGCUUCUUUAGACACAUGCUCAAAAAUGCCACUGCACAUCAUUAUUGUGAUAUCAAAUCUAUCUUGACAUGCUAUAACGGCAUCAAUACCUAUGGACCAACAUGCCAGCUCUCCCUCUAUCCCACUACAAUAAAGUGUGGGCCCACUUGAUCCCAAUAGUGUUCUUAUUUUCCUGUAAAAUUAUUCGCUUACUUACUCCUCACAAGUGGGGCCAUACUUAUCAUUGUGAGAUAGAGAGAACUGAAAUGUGGGCCUGGGCUUUUUUUGUCAUAUUGGAUGGUCAACAAGUUUUAAAUGAAGAUAACAAUGUCUAAUGGCAUUAUUGAGCAAACAUCUAAUGGAAUGAUGGCAUUUUUUAUACAUCUAAUGGCAUUUCUGAGUAAGCAUGUCACGAAUCGAUGGCUUUUUUGAGCGGCUGUAACUUCUAAGGGAAAAACUGAGUAGUGGGAUACAACUGGUGGCAUUGAUGAUAUCCAAUUUCUUUCUAAAAUAGCCAUUGCUUAGAGAUAAUCAAUGUUUAAAAUCAUUGCCAUAGCCACUUAUGGAACAUUUAAACCAAAGAUCGAUCAAGUGCAACCAAACAUGUACUCAACAUUUUAUUACCUUAUUUGCCUUGUACUGACCAGAGAAAACCUAGGAUAUUAGAAAAUAAAUAAAUAAAUAAAUAAAGGGGAUAGAUGACUAACCUCUUCUUCGUUCUCGUCGGCGACGACCACAUUUGGGGGCAGGGGAGGCAACAACCGCGGCAGACGAACACCCGGCUGAGGCUGAGGAGCCACCACCUGCUUUGGCAGAGGAGCCAGAGGAGCUACCUGUUCCGGAUUAUUAGCAGAAUAAUUUAUAUAGGUCAAAAACUGACAUAUACAUGCCUCAAUAAAUGUAAUCUAUCUACACAGCUUCGGAUCCAGGAUUUCAUACUUGGGUGUUCAAAAAUUUAUAUUGCAAACUAGAACCACAACAAUAUGUUUCAAAUGGAAGGAGUAAUAUCUAAAAUUUUCAUGUGAAAAGAUUCUUAGUCCAUCGUAAUGACAGUACUAACAUGAAUGACAGAAAAUGAAGAUUAUUUACUUCAUGACCAUACAAUAUGACAUUUUCAUAAACAAGGCAUGGUGUUGUUAUCCUUAAGUUGCAGAAAAUAUUUUCACAAUCACCUACGUAGGCAAUUCAAUUCCAAGGUCAAGCUACGUAUUUGUAUUAGCACAGACACCAAACCUAGGUGGAUUUAUUAGCAGAAUAAUUUAUCUACAUCAAAAUAUUGCCUAUACAGGGCUCAACACAUCUAACCUAGCUAGUUACCUAACAAAUCUACAGAAUAUUGAUAUGGAGUCCAUCGAUCAAAGAUAAAAAGAAACCCUGGCCUUCCCCAAAAAUAGAGAAAAAGGAUUGACUAGAGCACACCUAGGAUUUUACAAAAAACUAAAGGAGAUAGAUGACUAAUGUCGUCUUUGUUGACGUUGCCAGCGACCACAGGCUCGGGCACCGAAGGCGUCACCCGCGGCAGAGGAGACACUUGCUCCGUCUGAGCAGCCAGAGUAGCUACCGGGGCCCACAUAAAUGGUUGUGCAAGGACAGUUUCAUGCCGGUCAAGUACCAUAUAUUAGAAAUUUCGGCCAAAAAAAAUUCGAGUGCAGUACUGUACGUCUGUACCGGUGCUGUUUCUAUCAAAAUUUGGCAUCAACACAUUUUGGAUGCACGAGAACCAUGAGAUCCGAGUGGUUCGUAGAUCUUAAAUAAAGAUAAUCUAUACAAUGAGGAGCCGACCCCCACACCCAUGCACCCACACUAAUGUCCUCUUUGUUGACAUCGCCGACGACCACAGGCUCGGGCACAGGAGGCGUCACCUGCUCCGUCUGAGGAGCCAGAGCAGCUACCUGGUCCCACAUAAAUAGCAGAAUAUUUUAUAUAGAUCAAAAAAUGUCAUAUACAUGCCUAAACUAAUGCAAACUAGCAACACAUCUUCGGAUCCAGGAUUUCAAAGUUGGGUGUUCAAAAGUUAAUAUUGCAAACCAAAACCACAACAAUAUUUUUCAAACGGCUGAGAUUAAGUUGGCUUUUGAGUCCAGAAGGCAUUCUUCUGCCUUUGCUUCUGUUACUCAAGAAAUUAAAGAGUUAGGAGUAAUAGCUAAAAUGUUCGUGUCAAAAUAUUAUUUUUCCAUCAUACUGACAGUACAGACAUGAAUGACAGAAAAUGAAGAUUAUUUAGUAUGACAUUUUCGUAAACAAGGCAUGGUGUUGUUAUCCUUUAGUUGCAGAAAAUAUUAUGCUGAAAAUAAGCAACCAAAUCAUAUAUUUCAAAUAGGGAUGAUAACAAGUCAAUAAUAUUAUAGCCUAUGGUAAUUGGACUCCAGGAAUCAAGCAAUUGGUGUUGAGCAAAUUGAACGACAAAAAAUUUGUCUGCUGGAUUGAGCGUAACAGGCUAGUUUUAUACAAAUUGACAUGAAGUUUAGUGCAUAAACUACACCACUUUUAGUACAUUUAAAAUAAAAGAACCAUAUAUAAGAAAUUUGGGGCAAAUAAUUUCGGGUGGUUGGUAGAUCUAUCUUAAAAUUUGGCAUCAACACAUUUUGGAUGCACGAGAGCCAUGGAUCGGAGUGGUUGGUAGAUCUUAAAAACAAGAUAACCUAUACAAUGAGGAGCCGACCCCCACGCCCGUGCACCCAUGUGGACCCGCCCUUGAAACCUACCUGAUCUAACGAAUCUAGGUACGGAUUUCAUAGAUGGAAGAAAAGCAGAAACCCUAGCCAUGCCCAAAAAUAGAUAAGGGGCUGAACAAGGAAACCUAGGAUAUUUCCUAAAAUAGGACUGAUCUCUUCUUCUUCGUCGUCAUCGCCGUCAACCUUGACCGCGGGCUGCGGCAGAGGAGGCAGAUGGCGUGGCAGAAGAGUCACCUGCUCCGGCGUAGGUGACACCUGCACUGGAGCCUGGACAUGGUCGACGACGUCACGGCCGCCUUGCUGCCAGCUGCACCCCUCGCCGGCUUCUCCAUGUCCAGCUUCGCACGGCGCUUGGAUGCUUCGUGCGCCAUGGCGUCGGCCUUGGCGUCAGCUCUCCCUCCCAUGGUGCGCUUGGGCAUCUCGACGGCGGAGGUGCAGCGGUGGGAAGGGAGCAGCGGCGGGGUGGAAAGGCGAGUGGUGAGGCGUGGGAGGAGAAAACCCUCGAAUUUGUAGAUGGGGAAGAGGACGGGAAGAGGGCGGCGACGAUGAGAUAAAUGCUAAUGGGGAAGAAGAGCGUGCUAUGGGGAAGCAGAGCAGCCGAUUUAGUCGUGGGCAGUCAAAAGGAGUUGUUGCCAUGUUCACACCUCCCCGUGCGUUGUUCACACCACCAUGUCUUGCCACGUCAAAACGUAACUUCUCACUUCUCACUAAAAUGAAUAGCCCGAUCGUGCACAGCCAUGAUUUAGGAGUAAUGCAACUUCCCUUCAAAAAAUUGUGUAAUGCAACUGCUCCCUCAUUACACAGAACAAAGUCAUACAAUGGGACCACUGAAUUUGUAGGCUUGUUUCAUCUGCACGUGUCAUGUUUUAUAUUUGUCCUAAAAUAUGUUGUAAAACUUUACAAACAAUGGAUUGUAAAAUGGAUGUGACAAAACUUCAUCAGCAACCACGCGGAUUCGUCUGCCAUAUAUCCAAUGUCCGGUACCGAGGAGGGGAAUGUUGAUCCACGCGAUGCCAUGUGUUUCGUCUGGACCCAUAUCUUGCACCCCGAGCCAACCGGGCCAAAACAUGCGCUGCUAGCCUUCACGAUCCAAACAACGAGCUAGUGUCCACCAUGCGCAGAUAUUCUCACGUGAACAGGUUUGCUAGCACUAGUGAAUGACGUCGGAUCUCGGUGUGCAAUAUGUGUAGCCGCGUGUCUCUUUGGCGUGCCUGGCAUACCGAAGGGACUCGUCGAAGGUCCAAUGACCCGUGGUGGGGUCAAUGCUGGAUGUAUGGUGUGGGUUAACCUGGCUAACGGUGCAUGGUUUGAGUUUAGGUGGCUAAGUUUCCAUUGCUGGGGGCUAGAUGGCUAAUGAGUGCGCAUGCGUCAUCUGUACAUUAUCAAGGUUGAAUGGUGGUUGUCUACAUGGCCAUGCGUGCAUUCAUGGUGUGGGUCCAGUUUGCGUUCAGCGCACGGGAUGUGCCUUGGUGGGUAGGGCCCACAACUUGCAACACAGAGUUCUGAAGCAGAUGAAGGGGCGGGCCCCGAUCUUCGUCAACAAGCAGGACUUGUUCCCUCUCGAUGGCUAGCUCCGGGAUGCGUUUUGGUCUCGUUUACACACAACCUAUGUGAAGGCUUAUGCAUGCCGCUCUCGAUGUUCGACCACACCCACACCGUGAAAGGUCCCAAGAAAUUUGGAUCCCCCAUGAAUUUGCAUGGAUUAUAGCGGCGGCAGACGAGGCCCGGCAUUUUUUGCCCUUUGGCCCUGCCCAUUGGUCGCACAUGGCACAUAUAUGGACCAGAGCUUAGCAUGGAACUGUCACCCCCAAUCCCUACUGUGAUUUCAUGUGGCCGCGGUAUAGAUCCUGAAUUUCCGAGGAUACUACCCUAGAAAUGCCGCAAAUGUCCCGAAUAUGGCAAGCGCGGGCUCCGAGAAAGGCCGGGACCUUGCAUGCGCUUUUGGAUUGUUCUCCAUUGACCCGAGAGAGAGCAUUGACGAAAAUGGAGGAACGGGCCCGCAUUCAUUGCGCAAACCGGACACGUUACCUCAAGGUAGCUAGAUCCAAACGAUGCACCCCCGCCGUCUAGACCCACGCGGUACACCACAUAGACACUAGACCCACAUCACUUACGCCGGCCCCCAAGCCAACCAUUCCCCGUGUAGACUCAUAUGCCACACCCCGCUAAAUAGCUUAGCACAAGAUUUUCACCCCGAUUUCCACAACAUGCACCACUACACGUAAGUGUCCAAAAAAUGGACUAUCGCAUUAUCAACAUUUUUUUGCCAAAACAAGUAAGUUGUUUUUAAAUUGCUUGAAAAUAGCAAGGUUUCUGUUAAAUUAUAAUUUCAUUAAUUACACAUUAUAACGUGCAUUUGUUGUCCCUCAAAAGGGGUGCAUUCCUUUGUGUAAACCCACAAAAUUACUUCCUUUCCCUCGAAAAAAUGAAUCCUUCUUCACCCUCUCACGAUCACGUUCACGGUGGCCUCGCCCUAUAAUCUAGGAGUGGUCGUUCCAAUCUCCCCACGGGGGACAACUUCCACACACUAUCUAUCUUGGUUGGUUGCAACCAUCUCGCCAUCAUGGUUUUUUAUGGGAAAAUCACAUUCUUUUAUUUUUCCUUCCAAAGAUAUGUGGCGAAAAAACGUGGAACAAAAAUUGUAGAAGGCAUGGUGGGAUACGUGCACAUGUUGUCUUUUUGUACUACAAGUGCACUUGUUGGCAAGUUGCAUGUGCACAUGUCAUGUAUCAUUUUUUAUUGAAAAUUAUGUUGUACACCUUUACAUAGACGCUUGAAUUAUUGUUUUCGUAUGUUAAUAAUUCCUAAAUAUUGAAAUUCAGCAUGCACAUAACACAUGGUUUCCAUGCUUUGUCAGUGACAGCUGUCUGGUAUUGGGCAGGGGAAUGUGGAUCCAUGCGAUGCCAUGCGUUUCAUCUGGACCCAUGUCAUGCACCCCAACCAAUCGGGCCGACAUCAUGUGCCGCUAGGCUUCUCGAUCCUAACCAUGUGCUAGUGUCCAACAUGGCUAGAGAUGCUCAAGUGCACAGUUUUGGCUGGCACUAGUGAAUGACGUCGUAUCUCGGUGUGCAAUAUUUGUAGUCGCGUGUUGCUUUGACAUACCUGAAAUGCCGAGGGAAGGGACUCGUGUCGGAGGUCCAACGAACCGAGGUGGGGUCAAUAAUGGAUGGAUGGUGUGGGUGAACCUGGCAAACGGUGCACGGUUUGAGUGAAGUUGGCUAGGUGUGCAUGGCUGGGUGCUAUAUGGCUAAUGAGUGCGCAUGUGUCUUGUGUACAUUGUCAAGGUUGACCGGUGAGUGUCUACUUGGCCACGCGUGCAUGCAUGGUGUGGGUUCAGUUGGUGUGUGGCGCGGAGUUGCACGCAGUAGAUAUUUUUGGUUGGUUGCAAAUUUCUCUCCAAAACGGUUUAUUAUGAGAAAAUCACCUUAUAUUUUUUUACUUCCAAAGACAUGUGGCGACAAAAGCAUGGAACAAAAUUGUAGGAGGCACGGUUGGAUACGUGCACAUGCUGUCCUUUUCUACUACAACUGGACCUGUUGGCAAAUUGCAUGUGCACGUGUCAUGUUUCAAUUUAUCUUGAAAAUUUUGUUGUACACAUUUACAUAGGUGAUCGAAUUGUUGUUUUCAUAUGUUAAUAAUUCCUACAUAUUGACCACGUGACACAUGUAGUAAGCAAUCCAAACAAUUCAAAAAAAAAUCCCUAAAUAUUGAAUUUAAGCAUGCUCCUAGAAAUUAUCAGUCAUAGAACCAACACCUCUUUCGUAGAGAUUAAGGUACUUCCACAUUAAAUCUAACACAAUAAAUUCAAAGGAUCAACUUAAUACAUUAAUAGCACAUAGGGAUGUAGCCCAUGAAUCCAACGAGUAGAGAUAAAAGGAGGAACAAAAGCUCGAAGAAGAUGGAUUAGCCAGCAGCAGCGCCAGCAGCAGCGCCAUCAGCCUCCUAGCCUCACAACUCCAGGUCUCCAGCCUUGUGAACUCCAGUUUUUUCCCGCGAAACACGAAUGGCAAAGUUACUAUUACAGGUUAGGACUUAGUGAAAAUUACAGUAUUGUUGAAACAGUUAUAAUGACAAACAGUGUUGACAUGAUGGUUACAACAAGCAAACAAAACCAAGCUCACAAGUGCAACUUACUUUUAACAUCAAACAAUUAUAUUAACAUGGCCACUUUAGAGCGAGAUUUUACCAUGCAACAUAAACUUGUCAUAGCAACAAAAGGCAUGGCAUGAAAGUAUUGACAACAUAAUGCAAAUAAAUUUUAGGAAGCAUGGCCAUAGAAGUUAUAUUUUUAGUGGCAACCUUCAAGCAAAGUUACAUAGUUUUAUAACAGAAAGGGGCCACAUAACUAGGAGCAUUUGUGUGUGCGUGACUGCCAUGGGACCCGGAUGUUAGUGGCUUACUUUCAAAACAAAAGGGGGGUUUAUAGUUUAGUGGGAACCAUCAAGCAAAUUCGCAAAGUUUUACAGCUGACAGAUUUAGACUUGCUGAGAUGCACAGAGUAAAAUGAUGGCAUGUUGGAGGCAAUAAAUAAAUAUGCUACAUGGCUUGUCAUGGCAUCUAAUUGCACAGAAUGCUAAUUACAAAUAAUGGAUAAUAAGACAUACAACAUGAGCAUCUCCAUAAGACCUGGUAGCUCUACCAAAAAGAAAUCAACAACUAAAAAAAGGUUCAAAUAUAGUAUCAAGCACUUAAUAAUAGAAAGACACAUAACAAAUUUUUGGAGUAGAAGUGCAGGUGAAAAUCAAAUACUACCACUACAACAAUACAAAUUUAGCCUAGGGUUCAUAUACAUCAUAAUCCAGCCCCCAAAAGCAUGUACUCAAUCACUAACACCGCAACUGUAAGCACGAGCAGUAGGAAGAUUAGGAGUGGGGAAGCUUACCCUAAACAACGGUGCCGCCAUCGUUCAGACGAGGGGAGCAGCGAGGGAAGCAUGGAGAACGGCGGGGAAGCGAUGUCGCGACCACUGUCCUCCUCCUCUUGCGCUUCGAAGUCAUCUCCGACUCGGUUGGAGGCUCCAUAAUAUGCAACGGCACCUCGUGCACCAUGGGUUCCUGAUCCAGUGGAUGCUCUACCCUGGAUCUGAACGCCCACCACCUGCGCCUGUCCCAUGGGCUGGACGAAUUGCCUACUCCAUCGCCCACAGGAGGAUCUAGAUGUCGUGCCUCGGUUGUGCGGGCGGGGGGGGGGGGAAGCUUUUUCUUCUCCCAGGAUGUCAUUUCCCUCAAAGUGGCCCUUGCCGUCCAGUGCAACUGCCUUAUGUUGUUAAACCAAGUACGGAUCGCCAUCAACCUGGCCAUCUUUACCUGGUCGCCGCCGGUGAUCUGCUCCUCCAUCGAGGUUCUUGCAUGGAUGGAAGAAGGGGGUGGGAUGUGGAAGAGGAGACGAGCAAAGUUGCGGCCGCGAGAAGGAGGAGAAGGAGAGGGAGUAGAUGUCGCGGUUAUAAUGGCGAUAGGUGAGAGGAAGGACGAUUGCGGCGGUGGUUCUGCAUUGGAUGAGAGGGGCGGCGGUUCUGCAUUGGAUGAGAGGGGCGACGCGUGAUUGUUUUCUUCCUAUGAAUUUUUUUGAGACAAAUUUUUCCUAUGACUAAAAUUUCAGUGAUUAAAACGGUUCCAAAAAAGCCCAACCACUGUAAAACUUUGUAUAAUAAAUAUAGAUAAUUCGGGCCAACCAAAGCCCACAACAUGAAUUAAUAGUACACUUACAACUUAAAUAACACCAAGACAAAUAUAGAUAGAUAGAUUUUUAGCUAAAAAGAUAGAUAGAUAGAUAGAUAGAUAGAUAGAUAGAUAGAUGGCCGUUGAUUCUCCACCAGGCUCCUCCUUGUUCCUCCUCCGGGCGCCCUUCACUGCUCCUACGCGGUGUUGUUGAUGGGGUACGGCAGAGUGUGCAUGCGCUCGUCGGUGGGGAAGACGUUGUCAUAGUCCGUGAAGAUGUUAUGCGUGGUGAAAGCUAUGAACUCCCAGCCACACUAGAACACGUGGCCGAGGAGGUAGAACGCGUCGAAGGGGUUAGUGAAGUGGGCAAGGAUAGCAACCACAACCCCGUUGUGGAUGACCUCCCCGACUCGGUACAUCCUUGGAGAUCCCCGAGGGACGUGCCCGUAGCCGGCCCGAAGGAAGAAGUCGGUGAGCCCCCUUGCGCCCCUCCACCUUGACCUUGACGUACACCUCGGCGGGUAGAGCAUCUCCAGCACGGUGGGGGGGAAGCAGUAGGUUGGCACGUGUACUGCAUGGCUGCGGCGGGCUGGUUCUUGGGGCUGUUUGUGGUGAAGAAGAAGAAGAAGGGCAGGCGCAAAAUGCAGGUGGGAGAGUAUGGGAGAUGGAUGAAGGGUGUGGGAGGACGAGAAACAUGAUAGGUGGCUUAAAUAGCCACCGUGGGAGUAAUGGGGUCAAAUGUGAACAAAUUUUCCACCCACCGCGGCAUCGGGAGUGCACGCGUGGGAAACUGUAGUGUGAAUCAAAAUGCGAAGUUUAAGUGCUGGCCUAUGUGCCGUCGGUCGGGUCAACCGGGGACGGCUCUGCGGCGUGUGCUCCUUCGCGUAUGUGCACGCAUGCAAUGUAGGCUGAAGCGGACGCAUGCAUGUAACCGCAUGCAACGUAGGCUCGCUCGGGCGCAUGCAACAACGGCGGACAUCGCUCUGUCCAAUGGGUGGGCUUCUUUACAUAGCCCAACAACACGAUGCAUGGCAGCCCACCCUCGAGCGCAGAAAAAAAAGAAGUAAGUAUUAGUAUGAUUUAUCGACGCGAAAGCCCUAGAUAAUCCUUACAAUGUCAAAAAGCUACGAAACUUGGCAAUGAUGCUAGUCAUGUUGGUACAAGGUUGUUGGUCCACUUCAAGGAUGUCGAAAAAAUUAUGCUUCGAGACGGACCCUUCCCGUCCCGAAAGGCCUCCCAUGAAGCAGGUUCAGAAUGACACCGAAUUUUGCCAGGAUGUAAGACAAAUGAGAUCCACACUUGUUCAUGUUGGCCAAUGUGGGACUGACUGUCGAAGGAGAUAAAGAUUGAUACUUGUUCAUGUGGGCCCAUAUUUUUUUUACAUUUGGUGUCGAUAGAACACAAAAAACAAACAUGACUAUAUGCUUUUAGGUCUUCACCCUCCCCAAUUUGUUGGCCAACUCAGCAGGUUUUGCCUUAAGAUGCCACCUCUUUCUGUAAGCUGCAAUUGCUGUGGUUUUGGAAUGCUGGUUUUCUUUCCUGUAGAAUGGGCAUUUAUAGAGACCAUUACACCGAUACACAAUCUUUGCAGCCAUGAGCCACUUGAAGAUUUUCUUUCUGAAAGCUUCCUUUAGCUAUAGGUAGUUCUCCCAUUCUUCCAAUUCUGCAAUCUGGUAUUAGAAGAAAAAAAAUCUCAUGCCAGCGAAUUGUACAUUAUAUCAAAGGCACGUAAUAGAUUAUUUUUUCUUUGUAUUGGUUUCCUAAAACUUUGGUUAUAUGAAAGACAUGCAUAAACUGGAAUACAAAUGAUCCAUUCAUCUAAAUUUGCAAACCCUAGGACUGAUAACCGUACGAUUAAUCAAAAAAAGGCGAACUGUACGAUUGUCUAUACGAAUAGCAAGGAAUAACAAGAGAGCAAUUUCUAGGGUUAACCUCGAGAAGGAAAAAUCUAUGGUUAAUAUCUACAGACACUGACUGAUUAGUCGUCGUUGGUGCUGUGUUGGACUAGUUGCGGCUGUGAAUCGGCGGCGACGACGUCCUUGUCGACCAGUUCCUUCAUGGGGUCCACAUCCGCCGCACAGAGCGCACCAGCCAUGCACCCUCUCCCGAUAGGUAGGAUCAUCCUCAUCGGCAAGAAUGUGGGCUUUUUGGCGGCGGCGAGUAGUGGUCUGCGACGAAGACAUGGGUGGAUAGGUAGAGGCGAUCGAGCGCUGGAGGCGGGAGCGAGAUUUGGGGAGUGAAAAUUCAAUUUGAUUGGGAGAGACAGGUCAAGGCCGCGCACAAUUCGUCACUUUUGAAAUUUAGGUACAAACAUGCACGUAUACAACAUCGUGCACACUGAGAGAUUUGCCCGAACCAACCAAUCAACCAACCAAGUAAAAUAAAAAGUGCACACUAUCGGUCCACAAACGUGGCAACAUAAACCGAACAACAAAAUAGCAUGUUAAAAACAAGAAAAAUAGGAGGGACGUUUUUUUGUUUUGCGGAGUACUACUAAAUACUAGAAGGGAGAAUUACUGAAAAAAAUACUAGAAGGGACAGUUGGCACAUUUAAUUUCACAUGGGGUCUACUAGCUUUUUUGUUCAUCGCUAGCUAUGCUGUACCGAUUAGGUAAAAUGAAUGGAUAAUUAUUAAACCCUAGCUAUUGUCAAGGUUUAUCGGUGUGUGUCUACGUGGCCAAGUGUGCUUGCACGGUGUGGGUCCAGGUGUGUGUGAUGCACGGGACGGGCCUUUGUGGUUAGGGCCCACAUGAAGCGGCACCGAAUUUUGAGGAAAGUGAAGGAACGAGCCCCACACACCGUCCGCAUGCCGGACUUGUUCCCUCCCAUUGGCUAUAUCCAACAUGGGAUAUGGCCUCAUUUACACUUACCCCGCGUGAGGGUUUAUGCAUGCCCCUCUCGGUGUUUGACCAUACCCUUCAUGGGCAUAUGAUGAGACCACGCCAGCCCCGUGAUGCACCGCCCAGGCACAAACCGGGCGCGUUACCUCUCGGUAGCUAGAUCCAAACCAUGCACCCCCGCUGUUUAGACCCAAGUGGAGUAGCACCUAGACACAUGACCCGCGACACUUGUGCCAGCCCCCGAACCAUGCAUCCCCGCCGUGUAGACUCAUAUGUGGCCAUGUGUGCAUGCAUGUUGUGGUUCCAGCUUAGUGAGAUGCACGGGACGGUCCUUGGUUACUAGGUCUAACAUCACGCGGCACCGAGAUUUGAGGCAAAUGAAGGAACGGGCCCCGCACUCCUUUCACAGGACGGACGCAUUCCCAUUAUGUGGCUUGAUCCAGCAUGGGAUAUGGCCCCAGUUGCCCAUAGCCUACGUGAGGGCCUACGCAUGCCGCUCUUGAUGUUUUAGCACACCCUCUAGGGGUCGUAUGAUUACACUUGCGCUAGGUCCCGUGAAUUUUCGGCCCCUUGAUAAUUUGCAUGGAUUAUAACGGCAGCUGAUGAGAAUCAUAGCCUAGAGAACGGCGUCGAGGCCACCCCUCCCUUUGGUAGCAUAUGGUGCAUAUAUGGACCAAAGAGCUUAACAUGGGGCUUUCAUCCCAAUCCUUGCUAUGAUUUCAUGUGGCUGACGUAGAUCUUGAACUUUCAAUGUUAAAACCCUAGAAAUGCGGUAAAUGUCCUGAAUAUGGGAGGGAGGGGGGAGGGGGGAAGCCCACACAAUAAACGAUCCCCAUAAUUUUAUGUUUGUUUUAUCUGGCAAGACAAACAAGUUUUUUAAAAUAAGGGUUUUUAGCAUGUUUUAAUAAGGAUUUUAUAAUUGCACAUUAUAAGGUGCUUAUUUUUUCCUAAAACAAAUGUGUUGUAAAUGCAUAAAGCUCCCCAUUGAGCCUCUCACCAUCACGUUCACAUUGAACUCACCCUAAAAUGAAGGAGAGGUAGAUCGAAUCUCCCCACGGGGUGCAACCUCCAGCUAGUAGAUAAAUAUGGUUAGUUGAGAAUUUCUCCCCAACUCGUUUUUUGAGGCAAAAUCACUUUCUUUUUUUCCUCCAAUAUUGUGGCGAAAUACAUGGAAGAAAAAUCGUGGGAGGCACGGUGGAAUGAGUGCACCUGUUUUCCCCUCCAAAAGUGCACUAGUUGCCAUAUUGCAUGUGAACGUGUCACCUGUACAAACAAUUGAAUUGUCGUUUUUAUUUUGUUAAGAAUUCCUAAAUAUUGAAUUUUGGCAUGCACCUACCCCAUGUCAGUUAGGUCAAAUUUGUUUUAUCCAAGCUCCGCCAGCGACCGUGCAGGUUCUUGUACCAUGCACGUGCUGCUCCGGGCCUCUGGCGUCCGGUACCGGACAGGGGAAUCUAGAUGUGAUGCAAUACAAUUCAUGUUGACCCAUAUCAUGCGCCCUUAGCCAACCAAGCCGACAACAUGCAUCGCUAGCCACCUCGAUGUAGACCAUGCGGUACUGUCCACGACGGGCAAACAUGCUCAGUUGGACAUGUUUGCUGGCACUAGUGCAUGAUGCCGAAUCUCGGUGUGCAAGACGGGUAGCCGUGUGUCGCUUUGACAUGCUUGGCUUACGGAGGGAGGGACUGGUUGGAGAACUAAUGAACCGAGGUGGGGUCAAGGGUGGAUGGAUGGUGUGGGUCAACUUGGGUAAAGGGGAACGGUUUGAGGCCAUUUGAACAAUUUAUGCCAUGGCUAUGGUCAUGAGCUACCUCACUUGCCGUACCAUGAAAUUUUUCAUAAGGGGACAGUGUAAACCUAAAAAUGUUGAGUUUUAUUUUUGGAUAUCCUGUUUGUUACAUUUAUGGCAUCGUGUACAACAAAUUUAGCGUUAUUUUGGAGAUGGUCAAAAAAAUCACUUCAUUACAAACGGACCGUUUGGUCUCACUUAAGCGAGUUUUUCUAACAAGGUGGUUUUUUCGACCACAUCCAAAUCACCUGAAAUUUUGUACACAUGAUCUUUUCAUAAACAUAGACGGAAUUUUUAAGUUUUCCAUUUUUUUAGAAUUUUAUAUAAUUUAUAGUGGCUCAAAGAAACUCAGGAACAUACCUCUGACUUUACCCUAAAGGGACAGUGCAAACUUCAUUAUUGCUAAAUUUUCUUUGAUAAUCAUGUUUAUUACAUGGAUGUGACUGCGUUAAAAAAAUUGGGUGAUUUGGAAAAGAAAAAGCACACCAACUAACAGGAGAUAUCAAACCCCACGGCCUGCAUACGACUAGAAACCUGACAACCAUAUGGGCCAGGAUGCAGGCCCGUGGGACGUUGAUUUCUCCUGCUAGUAGGCCCCAUAGGGCAUACAGAGAAGUGGAUAGGGAACUUGUUGUUUUAGUGAGAGAGGCUCAUGCAAUUGUUGCCUCAGCCGCGUAUAUAAGUAGGUGCGUGCGCGUCUCGCUUGGCGAGGUGGCACUAAACUCCCACCACCCGUCAGUUGCGCCCGGUGCGUCACAGCGUUGGGCCAAAUUUUGUUGGGUUGUCCCAGGCGAACCUCACCCGCGUGCUAGACCACGCGUCCCUGUAGAUGGUUGGUCUGACCCAUCAUGUACGCAUACCCUUUUUCUUUUUUGUUUUUCACAUAUUCUUUUUCAUUUAUUAUUAUACAGUUCUAAAACAAAGGUUGUUAUAAACGCACAAAACUCCUUCUUCAGCCUCUCACCAUCACGUUCACGUUGAACUCACCCUAAAAUCAAGGAGAGGUAGAUCGAAUCUCCCCAUGGGGGACAACCUCCAUGGAGUAGCUAAAUAUGGUUACUUCAGAUUUUCUUCCCAAGUCGUUUUUUGAGGGGAAAAUACAUUUUUAUUUUUUCCUCCAAUAUUUGUGGCGAAAUACAUGGAACAAAAAUCGUGGGAGGCAUGGGGGCUACCUGUUUUUCCCCUCCAAAAGUGCACUUGUUGCCAAAAUGCAUGUGAACGUGUCAUAUUCCCCAUUUUCCUUAAUACAUGUUGUACACCUGCACAAACAAUUGUAUUGUCGUUUUCAUUUUGUUAUCAAUUCCUAAAUCUUGAACUUCAGCAUGCACCUAUCUCAUGGCGUCUCAUCCAAGCUCCCACAUCAACCACGCAGAGUCUUCUACCAUGCAUGUGUGCUGCUCCGACGUCCGGUACAAGUUAGGGGAAUCUUGAUCCGAUGUGAUGCGAUUCAUGUCUACCCAUAGCAUGCACCGCUAGGCAAACGGGCCGACAACAUGCACCGCUAGCCGCCUCGAUCCAGAUAAUGGCAAAGAUGCUCAGCUGGACAUGUUUGCUAGCACUAGUGCAUGAUGCGCCAAUCUUGGUGUGCAAGACGUGUAGUCGUGUGUCGUUUUAACAUGCUUGGCAUACCAAGGGAAGGGACUCGUCAGAGAUGCAAAGAACCGAGGCGGGGUCAAGGGUGGAUGGAUGGUGUGGGUCAACUUGGCUAAAGGUUUAUGGUGGGUGUCUACGUGGCAAGUGUGCAUGCAUGGUGUGAAUCCAGCUAUGUGUGAUGCACUAGACAGGCCUUUUUGGAUAGGGCCCACAUGAAGCGGCAACGAAUUUUGAGGAAAAUGAAGGAAUGGGCCCCACACUCCGUCUGCAUGCCGAACUCAUUCCCUCCAUUGUCUACAUCCAGCAUGCGAUAUGGCAUGCCUUACACAUAGCCUGCGCUAGGGCUUAUGCUUGCCACUCUCGGUGUUUGACCACAGCCUUCAUGGGUCAUACGACGAGACCACGCCAGGCCCCGUGAAGCACCGCCUAGACACAAACCGGACGCGUUACCUUUUGGUAGCUAUAUCCAAAGCACAUGCAGACCCGCCAUCUAGACCCACGUGUGGAGCAUCACGUUGACAUUUAGACUCGUAGGUGGACAUGCAUCCUCUUGGUAGACAUUUAGACUCAUGCGUUACCUCUUGGUAGCUAGAUCCAAACUGGACUCACACCACUUACGCCAGUCCCCGAACCAUGCAUCCCCGCCGUUUAGACUCAUACGUGGACAUGUGUGCAUGCAUGUUCUGGGUCCAGUUGAGUGCGAUGCACAAUACAUACCUUGGUUACUAGGUCUAACGUCACAUGGCAUCGAGAUUUGAGGUAAAUGAAGGAACGGGCCCCGCACUCCUUUCACAGGCUGGACGCAUUCAAUCUCAAUGGCUUGGUCCGACAUGCGAUAUGGUCUCGUUUGCACACAGCCUAUGUGAGGGCCAAUGCAUGCUGCUCUCGGUGUUUUACCACACCCUCUAGGGGUUGUACGAUGACACCACACCUGGUCCGGUUAAUUUUUAGCCCCUCACGAAUUUGCAUUGAUUAUAACGACAGCAGACGGGCAUCAUAGCCAUAGAGAACGGCUUCGAGGCCACGCCUCCCGUUGGUAGCAUAUGGCACAUAUAUGGACCAAAGAGCUUAACAUGGGGCACUCAUCCCAUUCCCUGCUAUGAUUUCAUGGUGGUCACAUAAGAUCAUGAACUUUCGAGGUUACAACCAUAGAAAUGAGGUAAAUGGCCCGAAUAUGCGAGGGGGGGGGGGGCGAGAAACGCGAAGCAAUUACCUACCCCCAUUAUUGAAGUUUGUUUUUCUGGAAGGAAUCUAUUUUUUAUAAAUAAGGAAUUUUCAGCACUUAUUAAUAACGAUUUUAUAAUUUCACAUUGUAAGGUGCAUUAUUUCUCUAAAACAAAGGUGUUGUAAACGCACAGAACUCCUCCUUGAGCCUCUAACCAUCACCUUCACGUUGAACUCACCCAAAAUGGAUUUCCCUCUUUUUUUAUGAUUUUCCUUUGUUUUUGUUUUUUAGACAAAAGGAUUUUGCUUUGUGUUUUUUGUAUUAGUAACAUAGGGUUUUACUUUGUGUCCGGUAUGCGGCCUAUGGGCCUGUUUGGUUGUUUCUUUACAAACUGGACCCACGGGCCGUUAUUUUUUGUGCUUGACACGGAUAGGGUCCGUGUCAUCACCCCCAUCGCCCACACACCCCCGCCCCCUCACUACCACCCUCCCCACAAACCACCCCGCCGCCUACUCGCCUGGCCGCUCUCGACGGUUGGAGCAGAAGAGCGUGGAGUGAGAUUGGGAGGCCGUCAGCAAGCACCUAGCGACUACCGGCGACUAGUUGAAGUGAGAAACCCUAACUUGUAAUCUUCGACUUCUUUGUUCCUUGUUGUGUUGCCAUUUCGGGAGUUGGAUAUGGUUUUCAAAGUCAGAGAUUAGAUAGUUAGCAUUUUUAAAUCGGAGGUUAGGUGGAAGGCAAUGCAGAGAUUGAAGGAAGUUUUCUACAUCUAUGGCUAGCUGGGUAUUUUUUUAGGGUUUCGGUAUUCCAGGGUUUUCAUAACAAUGAACAAGUGCAGAUGCGUAACACAAUAGCAGCAAAUUUCAGCAAACAGACCUUUAAAAACUUUAAAAAAUAUUGGCCUUGUGCAGUGGCGAAUCCCGGAAGAAACCAAAGGGUGGGCUCAAAACUUAUAAGCUGGCCUAGUGGAUUAAAUUCCUUUUUAGGCCGAAAUUAGGUUGGGUUUAGUAAGGCAGCCAUUAACCUGUAGUCCUAGAUUGCAAGUCAACUAAACAUUUCUCAGAAUAAUAUUUACUGGAGUGUUUUUUUUGUAGAAUAUGAAAUUUGAUCCAAAUAUUUGUAUCUUUGUAGGGAAAUAGCAAUAAACUCUUAAUUCUGUUGCCCAAAUUAGUUCAUAUUUUAAAGAUUAUAAAUGUGAGGGCGUACAAUAUAUCAGAGUUUUUAGGAAUUAUUUUAGUCUUUAUUUUGUGUGGUUAUGUAGUACCAGGAAAAAGUGAAGUAAGUUCAUUUUCUCCAACAUGACAGACAAGUGGCUAAUUGAGUUGGUUACCCUGACGAUCCUACGUCCGUCCAGAACAGAUUUUCUUUUCUUUUUCAAGGACCAUAUUGUUGGAUGCGGAUGUAUGUAGAUGGGCUGUAUGUUGAAGGUGUGCGUGUGUACAUUCGGGUGGGCCGAGUAACAGCAGUAGUAGGAUUUAUGUUUUCAUAGGACUUUUCUCAGAGAUUACUUCUCAGUCUCAGACACUACCUCAGUUGUGCUGUAGAGGAGGAGGGGCCAAUGCCGCGCGUUGACGCUUGGGGUGAGACCAUGUUGCCGGAAAAGGAUGAAGAGAAGGACAUGUCUGAACAAGCUGUGGUGCGGCGGGCACGCGCUAUGUUGCGGGGUUAUGAGGAGUGUAGGGCGAGCCACCCGCUCAGUUCAAGUGCAUGAUUGUUGAUUACUGAUGCAGUACCUUCAUUGAUUAUACUGUAUGAUUAUUGCCUAGUGUGUUUACAUGCAUACGCCGUUCUUAAAUUCUCAUCCUUUGCUUUUCUUCAUUUUAUUUUGUUUACACAGGUGGUGUGCAUAACCUGUCGACAUGAUUGCAACAGGCCCAAUGAAGAUGGGUUGACAUUUACCAUUAGGCUAGAUGGGGACACUUCAGCUCUGGUAUAAAUAAUCAUGUCAAUUUUACUUGUACAGUGUUUGUUCCCCUCUACUUUGAAGAUUAACAAUAUGUAGGAAAUAAAUAGCAAUUAAAUUCUACAUCUAUAGAUCAUGCCAUCCUAGACAGUUCAUUGCUUGUUUAAGCGAGAGGGAGCCGCAUGUAUGAUUUUGGCGUGUACAAAGGGAAUUCAAGGGCGAUCAUCUGUGGUAAAAACUGGUGCAGGUUUGUUGAAGACUUCGACCUGCGAGAAGGCGACCUUGUCUCCUUCGAUUUGACUGAAGACAUUCCUAUGGUGUACUGCUGCAACCUGCCAAGGACAUGUGAUCAAAACAAAGAGCAUAAAGAUGCUCUAGAAUUAACUGUCAUAACAAAGGGAAUUAAUCUUACGAAGCAAGAGGAGUGUAACCUACAUGACCUUUUGGCGAUGAAGAAAGGUUAUAUAGGUGCAUUUUUUGUCCACCGCUUCACCAAGUCGAACAUAGCAGGAAAGACGAUGGUAUGUUUUUGGUGUACUAGUAUUUUCUAUUUUGUAUGCAUUUUUCUUUGUUUUUUCAUGGAGAGAAAGUUUAAUGAUAUGCUAUUGUUGCUGAAACCAGUGAAUACACUGAUGUGUGUUUUUGCAUAUCCUUUUGUUUCCCAUAACUGAAGAUCCUUAUGUAAUAUAUGUAGAUGUAGCUGAAGAUCCUUUUGUUUACUACUCCCUCACAUAUUUGAUAAUUUUUCUUCCUAUGACGGUGCAUACAGAGAUUACCAGUGAAACUUUUCGACGCCCUGAAGACCCCAGGAGAUGGGGAGAUACCGAGAGAUGGGCUUGUUGGCAUUCGGCUGUGCAAGGACAGUUUGAUGCCAGUAAAAUACCACAAGUGUGAUGAUGGCCGCAUCAUCUUCGGCAAGGGAUGGAGUGAUUUUGUUGACAGUGAAGAUCUUAAGGUUCACCGUUCUUUUCAGUUUCAAGACCACCACCCGUGCAGAUCUUCAGAUCGAGGUGGUUAUGAACAUGCUGACCGAGGAUCCCCAAAUGUAGCACGACAACGCAAGAGUGUCCUUUAUACUAGGUAUAGUGCGAAAACUAUUUUGAUAGCAGUUAUCCAUCUAUGGGGUUAUGUCUUCAUUAUGUCUUGGGUGAUGAUGACUAUGGGAGGAGGACAUGUUGUAGUUAGAGUAAAUGCUAGGAUUCGGCCCUAUUCAGGACUCAAAAUAGGUCUUUCGUAGGUGGUUGCUUUAUUGGCUACUGUUUCCCUCGCUAUAAUCAUGAACGAUGGUAAUGCAGAUGGAAUCGUUAAGGGGGUUUUAUUAAUAUUUUAAAUCAUGGAGUUAAGAUGGUAGAACUACCUAUGAGUGUUUGUGUAGGAGAUGCGGGAAGGGCAUCAGUUGUGUUUUUGACUCUUUGGCAAUGCAGGAAUAAUGUGAGAUUACAAAAUAAAUGGUAUAGUGAUCUUAUGAUUCUUGUUUAUCUAAUUUGCUAUGAUUCUUGUUUAUCUAAUUUGCUUGUGAAUCAUGGGAUGGUCUAUAUUGCAUAUGAAGGUGGUAAACAAAGAGGUGCUGAUGUUGGGAGCAAAGAGGUGAUGAUGGUCUACAUGCGCACGCUAGAGCAUGUAGCAGGUGAAUUGUACAGUUCAUCGCAAGUGUGGAGUCACAGGGUACUGCGGUGUCGCCUGCGCAUCUCUGCCGUAGUUUUAUUUUUUGGAUCUUCAUGUUAAGUCUAGUUGGGCUUACUACCAUGUAUGAUUUGUGUUGCUAGUUGAUUACUUUAGUUUCUAGCUGUAGUUUGUAUCAGGGGCUUGAAAGACCAUGUGUUUUCUGUUAAUGGAAAAUUAGAGGGGGCGGCCCUUCUUUUGAUUAAAAAAAUGAACUUUCUCUAUGCAAUUAAAAAAUAAAAUUUCUCUAUUCAAACCCAGUUGAGAACAAUAUUCAUUAUAAAUCUGAAAUAAUCUUUUGGAAAAAAUGGCUAUCGCAUUCUAUGUAUUCAUUAUAAAUAUGAAAUAAUCUUUUGGUAAAAAUGUCUGUCGCAUUCUGUAUCAUAGCUAGCGAAACCGAAACAAAAUAAAUGUCUUAAGUAUAAUAUCUCAUGAACGUGGAUCAAAUUAGGCGAGACAGCUAGAAUAAAGGAUGAUUCAACUUGCAGGAAAUUUGAACCUACGACUUACUAGCAGUAUAAUAAAGUUUACAGACUAUCGGCUAGAUAAAUAGAAGAAACAUUUUAUGUUGAUUCAUUCUUCCUUCCGGACUUCUUUGACCGCCUAGAUGGUUUGGCGAGAUGCUGGCGCUGACUCUGGAACCCCUUCUGGAAGUUCACCAACCGCAUGUAUAUGUCAUAGGUGGCAUACGCGUCCAUGGAAGCAUAAUAGAUGUUCUUCAAGGGCAAGGGCGCUUCUGCCCAUAUAUGGUGGUCAUCUUCUGUGAGAGUGUCCUUCAUCUUGUUGUAGAUGUGGUGGAUGAUGGAACCAGCGUAGUCAGCCAAGCCAUACUUUGGCUUAGUCCUCACUGGAUCAUGCACUCUCCACAUAUUCUGGAUAUCCACAAAGUUUUGUACCACCAGAUCAACAUGCUUGAGUUUUUUCUUGUCAUUGUCAAUGUCCCCCCCAACAAAGGUGUACUCCUCGUCGAGCAGGAAGGUGGCAAGCAGGCCGCAGUGCUCAUCAGCAACGCUUAUGUGGUACACGAGGACGUAGAUGCCAAUGCAUAACUGGACCAUGGCCGCCAUCUGUGUCGGACCACGAGGCCAGGUGUACUCCACAUCCAGUGCAACUAUCUUCUGGUCGUCGUUCCGCAGCCAGUAUUUGAAUCUGCCAAUACAGUACUCAACACAACUAGCCUUGUUCGUGUACUUCACACAAAUUUCGGUAUUUCCAUCUGCCCUAGCAUCAUAAUCAUUAUCGAACGCCAUGCAGAAGGACUGUAAUUGAUGAAACCAGCAUAAGACAUGAAGCAUGACAAUAACAUGAUAACAAUAAGCCGAGAUGAAUAUGACGGGAGAUAGUAUGGGAAUUCUGGCGCUAUUGAAAGUUUAUGUGAACAAGUGCAUGAACAAUUUAAACUAAACAAGUACUCCCUCUAUAAAGAAAUCACUAAAGUAGUGAACCAAAAGUUGUUAUAUUUCCUUGCAGAGGGAGUAUAUGCGAAUUAACAAUCAAAAUUUACGCUCUUGAAAUAUUUAUCUAAACAACUGCAUCAACAAUCAAGAAUAAACAUGUAUCUAUGAAUUGUUCAUCGCCCAUGCAGAUGAAACUGUGUGUACAAACUAAAGAAGCAGGAGAAAAACAAGAAAUUGACAAGACAACGGACUAGAUGUUGCAUGCAGAUGAAUCUGUGUCCAAAAUUCUCAUAAGGCAACGGACUACAUGUUGCAGGAAGAUGAAUCUAUGCGCACAAAAUAAAGAAGCAGGAGAACAAGAAAUUGAAAAGAAGAAGGCCAUCGUAUGUGAUGCUACUCGAGAACUACUAAAAGAAUUGACAGGAAGAAGAACUCACCGUUCCAGAAGGCAGAUUGUUGGGAGAGUGAGCGAUGUAGAGGAAGAGGGAAUCGAGAGCACGCAGAGGUAGAGGAACCGUUUUUGGAGAAUCAUGGCAGUGAGGACGAAGCGCCCUCGCGCAUGCCCGUCCUAAAUAAUUGGGACGGGGCUCGUCCCACCUGUUGGAGUCCUCGCUUCCUUUGUCAUGUUCACAUUUAAAAUGGGCUCACCCAUAGGCCCGUAUAAGAAAGCACAAGAAGCCCAAACUCUUCACGGUUGAGAUUACUGAUCUAAACUUGCUAAAAAAUUCUCAAAAUAAAAAAAUAGCUAAAAAAACUGUACAUGAUCUAAAACUACCUCUUCGUGAGAUCCAAAAUUCACAAUAUUUCCUUCUGGUGGGUUGUUAGAGAAUCCCCUAUACAUAAACAUUAUGUGAUCUAAAACUACCUCUUCGUGAGAUCCCAAAUUCCCAAUAUUUCCUUGUGAUCGAUUGUUAGAGAAUCCCCUAUAAAUACGAAGCUUUUCAUGGCAUAGAUCGUAUACUUCCACCCCACGCCUCCCAUACCUAGCCUUCCAUGACUACACCGAAUUACCACCCCACGUCGCCCAAAGUAGCUCCCAGGUCGGUGAAGCCGACGGAGCCGUCAUCUUCAAAGCCUGCGUCGGCGAAUCCUGAGAUGAAAGAGAAGGGCACGUCAGAGAAGCCGACGAAAGAGAAGGGCACGUCGGAGAAGCCGGCGAAUCAAAAGAUGAACGCGAACGACAAUGGAGCCGGUCGCCAUUGAGAGAAUCCUCCAGUAAUGAUCAAGAUCCUUGUAUUGUGUAUACACCCUCCUUCCCAAGUCUGCAUGUAAUCCCAUUAUUUACGGUGCACUUCUUUUUGAUCUCGUUUAGUUACAGCCAUAACGAACUAUCCCUAUUUUACCGAAGGGAGAUUGGUGUGUAGAGAAAGGCUUGCACGAAUCUUAGCAUAAAAUCAAUGACAUAGGACUUAGAUAAGCAAUACUUAGAGCACAUCUACAUGUGCUUUAGCAAAACUUAAGGGAGAUCGUGGAUACCUUCCUGUCUUAGUUUUUAGUCGUGAAUGCCUCUCUCUGUAAUGAAACUUGCGCUAAUUUUCGUGCUGGAAAGUUCUAUGUGCAACGAUAUGGAAAGGAAGGACUAGUAAUUCAAUUUUGUUUAAAACCAGCAAUCGAAUCAACAAAAUAAUCAUAGUACUCCUAAAUGCCUUAUCAAAUAUGCAGUAGACAGAAUACAAAGUAGUUUUGUACGUAAGUUGCACGCCUCACUUAUUUGGCAUUGAGAACAUUAAAUGUAUGUACUAUAUUAAAACUUUAGGUUGACAAGAAAUAAAGGAGAAAACUAAAGAGAAAGAUGGACAGUAGGAUCACAUGUUACAUUCCUAGUAUGGUGAUUAUCUAUAAACUAUUGAUCUUGUGAUCAUGUAUGCAAUUAUUUUUGUAAGCGUGACGCCUAAAACUUUAGUAGUGUACAUAGAACAAAGUCUGCUCUUUGUACUAAAAACCUAUACUAUUAUCAGUCAAUUUGCUGACAGAGAUAACUUGUUUUUCUAUGUCUGGUGUUCAUUAUAUGGCCUAGAAGCUCUAUAAUUUCAUGCAGUACUGUAGAGCACAAAUUUGAUAUUAGCAUAGAUUAGAUCUAGUCGGUUCUAUGCGUGUUUAAAUGAAUACCCCUACAGAAUCUAAUCACACUAUUUGUACAUUUAGGGAACUCAGGUUGCUUCAUUGCUGCAAUACGAGAAGUUCAUAAAAGAAUUAAACGCACAAAAACUGACAUACAUCAAGUUGAUUGGACUGGGUGAACAUCUCAAGACUCCUGGCAUGAGAAUGAGACGUCUACUAUGCCAGGCCAUCGCUUAUUCAUAUGAUGCAGAGCCUUUGUAAUUAAUGGGAGACCAUGUAGGAUCACACUAAAAGAUGUGGAGCAUAUAACAGGCCUGCCCUGCAUGGGGAAGAAUCACGUCUCUUCAAAUCACAACGAUACUUUGGAGUUGUGGAAGGAACUGAAAGACCCCAAUGACACAAAAGUAACUUUGAAUGGAUUGUUAGCCAAGAUGAAAGGCAACAUCACACCUAAUUUUGUCAGGCCAUUUGUCUUGUACACCAUAGGCAAAUAUGUAUGCCUGACAACACAGCAGUAUGUGGAUAACAGAUACCUUGGGAUUGUUAGAAACGAUGAGACAAUAAAGAGCACCAAUUUUGGACAGCUUACACUUGACCAUCUUAUGACUAGCAUCAGGAAAUUUGUAAAUGGUGGAGCAAAUCUGGAGGGCAACCUACCAUUGCUGCAAGUAAUACAUUCAUUAUUAACAUACAAUACAUUUAAUUUUAUGGAAAAUUUUCUAAGUUGUUUUUGUUGUAAUGCAGACGUGGUACUACGAGAAGUGGAGGGUGCACCAAUUGGACUCUACCAUCUUGUAUGCAUCAAGGUUAAGGCCGCUGAUCCAAAACUGGAGUGACGAGAAGGCACAGAAGGUUGACAACAUAAUCAACAAAAAUUAUAUAGGGGUUGGAGAGGUAAAGUGUUAGUACUGUGUGCCUGGAUUAUCUACCAUAUGUUUUGAAUGAUACUAACGACACUAACAUACAGUAUGUCGAUGACCUGCUGCGGCCUUUCAAUCCGCCACCAGUUGGGACGCCGGUCAAACCAAAGACUGACAGUCAGGUAAAUGAUGAACAUCAGACACAAAUAUAUAUUGUAACUUUGCAAGUACAAUCGAAGUCAUAUGCUUCUAACUGCUUGUAAUUUGCAGGAUAAGGCACUCAUGGGCCAUGUAUUGGCCGAUUUGAAAGAAGUUGCCUCCAUUGUGCGGGAAGCCAGUGCACAACAAUUUGAUAGGAUGAGCACCCUUGAAAAAAAAUGGACGAGUGCCUUAUGCGUGCACUUGCGAACGGCAGACGCACAGACGACCUCAUCACAUAAUUCAAUGUAAGUAUACCAUUAUGAGUUUAUAUAAAUAUUUUUACUAUCAAAACUCUCCACACUAACAUAUUUGUUUUAGAGAACCACCGCUAUGGAAUAUUUGAUGCUGAUCGCCUAGGAGUAGAGGACAUACAACUAUCUGACCUGGGAGUACUUGCGGACCCAAUGGAGGUCCCAGGAGAGAAUACUACUUACCAGCAAAAACAAAAAAAGACACGGAGGUCAUUGCCAAAGGCAUUUCUGCUAAGGGAAUACAAAAAGAUAACAUGGAUGCCCCCAUGAAGAACGUAGCUGAAGACUUGCAGCCUGCUCCUAGUUUGCAAACGCGAAAGCAUUCAAAAACCACCACAAGCCUUUAAGCUUUCGUGGUGGUACACAUUUCACAUCUAACUAAUUUUGUUUUAAGUUAAUGAAGAUUCGUAGCUAACAUAUGAUCUUCCAUGUUCAGGACGAAGAAGACAGAGUUGUUGCUGCAGCUUGCAAGGAGAGUCUCAAGAAUGUUUCACAGCUUUAUAAAGAGCUGGAUGCUUCACAGGGUGCUUCGAGUUUGGAUUCGCGAAAGCAUUCCAAAGCCACCACAACCCUUGAAGCUUUUCCUGGUGAUGCACAUUUUACAGUUAAUUUGUUUUUUUUAUUUCAUGCAGAUUGCAAGCUAACAAGUGCUUUAUUUCGAAUCACAGGAUCCUCUGAAUUUGAGGCACAAUGAGAAUAUGUGAAAGGCUGAAGAAAGAAGGGAUCAAGAUGAUGAAGAUGUCAGUAUUGAGGUGGGGGGAGAGGCAGGUACCAAAAGCAAGCACCGGUCUGCCAAGGCUAAGGCAAUAAGGGAGCCGGAAGAGACCCAUGUCUUCCCAGUUGAUGAGGACAACUAUGAUGAUUCUUUAUCAAAGCAGCGACAAGAUAGUGUGGUUGAUUCCAUGCUACCAUCUCGUACGAGCAUCCGAAAAAGAGUGGCAUAUUCAUUAUUGUGCAAUGAAGAUUAUGUUCUGUAAGAUAGUGAUAAGAAGAGAAAGAGAAAGAGGACGCCAUCGGAGUCUACCAAGGAUUCCAAGGACACAAAGAAUACGAAGAGGAAAAACCGUGCAAGCAUUUUUAAAGAUACAGACACAGGUGCUUCGAGGGUGGAGAGCGACCUUGACAAGUUUCGACAGAAUCACGUGGCCGAAAUUGUCAACACCUCAGAUCUUGGUAAACAAUUGGUGGUAAUUGAUGACAUUGUUCUGCUACAGAAGCAUUUGCAAUGCCUCACCAUGACAAAUGGGGUUUUAGAUGACAAAUGGUUGGGUGAUGAAGAUAUUUGCCAAAUUAUUUUAUAAAUUUUCUUUUGCACAGUACAAUUAAUUUGAAUUUUGUUUUACUUGGUUGAUGCUGUGAUUCAUAUCAUGCAUCAUGAUCAUCCUAAGGACAUAAGGGACGGGCAACUGGUUUACAUUGAGAGGGUGGUCGCCGUCGCUAUGCUCGAAAGAGAUGGUAAGGUAGAGAACUGCCACGAGGCCGCUUUGGCGGGCAGUCAUGGAACAACAAAAGGAGACAACUACCUCAGACAUGAUCUGGUACCAUCUAACCAUGACAUAAACACAUUUUUUUGUGAUCAUUAUGCAUGUUGAUGUAAUCAUCUUUGCUGUCCAGGUUUUUCUACCUACGAACAUGGCGAACACCCACUAGUUCCUUGUGGUUGUAAACCCUAGAAGGAGGGAGAUUCAGAUUCUUGAUUCACUUUUCAGCUACGUAGUAACACAAGUGGUUCACGUGGUGAGAUUUUAAACGUCUUUCAAUAUAACACAUCAUUUAGCAUCAUACCUAACCUUGAACUAUGAGAAACUUCUCAUACCAUGGACUUUGGCAAAUACGUGGGGUGGAAGCACAUCUGAGAGCAUCGCUGUGAAUCAAUGGACCACAAAGCCAUGCAUGGCAAGACAUUAACGUGACCCAAUGGAUAGUAAGGCAUGUUCCUGUGCCAAGACAAGAUGACAAGUCAGUCAACAGUAUUAGCUUCUAAAAUAUGUUUUGAAUUUUUAAUACGUGAAAUGGUGCAAACAGAAUUAAUUGUUGUAGUUCUUCUUGUGCACUCUACAUGCUGAAGAACAUCGAAAUCUUUAUGGGAGAAGAUCUUACGCUGCGUUAUGACCAAGUACGUAGAGUAACACCUAAAAUUCUGUCAAUUUUGUAAACAUAUGGAACGAUACUAACAUAUCCUCCCAUGCAGGCAUACAUUGACAAUUAUAGAAGAGAGGUACCUGUUGUCCUUCUUACUUUGCCCUACAACAAAUUGAAGUCCAUGAAAAGGCUGAAGACGUACAUUGCUAGCCUAUCGGAUGCAGCUGCGGUUGAAUAUCAUGAAGAUGCAAGUAGUUAGUCCAGCAGUGGUUGAUUCUUAGAUCUGGAGUGUACACUUGGUUAUGAAGCGGUAGAGUAGGUUAACUGAAUUCUUAAAUUUAUAUUUAAGUGUCUUCGGAGUCUGGACAAGAUUCAGAACAAUUACAUCGCUAGUUAGAAGUUUCAGAAUUUUUUAAACAUCGCUAGUUAGAAGUUUCAGAAUUCUUUUAACAUCGCUAGUUAGAAGUUUCAGAAAAAUUUCAGCGAGUGCUGAAAUAUUUUGGCAUCGCUAGUUAGAAGGUUCAGAUUUUUUUAACAUCGCUAGUUAGAAGUUUCAGAAAAAAUUUCAGCGGGUGCUGAAAUAUUUUGGCCGAAAUUCAGUGAGGAUGAAAUAUUUUGGCCGAAAUUCGGUGAGGCUGAAAUAUUUUGGCUGAAAGGCAAAUAUUGCAGUGAGUGCUGAAAUGAAUGAAGUUCAAUUAUUUCAUCGAAAUCUCACCGAAGUGAAAACCAUGGUGUCGUGCCAUCUUGAGCAGCACCAGACAUGAUUCAGUAUUAUUAACAAAAUUUGGUCUCACAUAUACGAGGAAAAAAGGUGUGAGCAUGAGCAUGCAAGAUCGGAUGGGCAAUAAAAUAGCUUCACAAGAGAGUAAAAUACUUCACGUGUGAAGACUCAAUCUUAGUUGACUUUAGAACUAGUUUUCAUCCUAAAAGAGGUCCAGUGAACUACUUAUAAGAAAUAAUAAAAGCGUUUCAGUUCUUUCGGCUGAUUUUCAAAGAAACGGGAAUGAUAUCUUUUUGAAGAUCGUGAUUCUCAAGAGACCUAUGUGUUGUUACGCAACUUACCUUGUUUUUUUUAAACCAUAACUUACCUUUGCUAAACUCUCCACGCCUCCCCCUAAUAUUCAACCAGGUGGGUCCCCUCCCUUGAUUUCCUCCAACCAAAAAAAUCUAUACGUAGAUAUAUGCCCGGGUUGUUACAAUCCCUAUAAAUAGGGAUCCUUUGAAACCUCGUAGAUCAUAUAUCAUCCUUCUGCGCCACUCAAACCAGCAAGACAGAAGGACGGAGCAACCCAGGAAUCCAGCAAGACCGAAUGACAGAGCCAAACAUGAAUCCUCUCGUAACUCCCCACGAUCUCAGCCACUGCUAUUUUUCGUGCCACGAUCUUCCUCGCAUGAUCUCUUGCUGCGACCCCACUCGUUGUUUGCAUAUUCAUGUAACUCAGCAUGUUUUUAAACAAAUUAAGUUGGGGCGUUAGGGGAGGGCGCUAGGAUUUGUUUCCUACCAGAUUGGCAGUUCAUUGAUUAAUUCCAGGCUAAAUCUUAGCGUCUGGUCUUGUCGAUGCCAAUUAGUGCAACGGGCGCUUGCCUUCUCUUUUUCCUUCCGCACGAGUCAUGGAAGGCAUCGAUGGCCCAUGUUUUAAUUCCAUACUACUGACCAUGAUUACCGCCUAGAGUUGAGGAGACCACGGUUGGAUAGUUUUUAUUUUCCAAUAUUUAUUUUAUUUCAGAUAAGUGCUUUGCAAUGGAGGUUACCUUAGAUGACCGUUCAAACGUAACCAAGUUGAAUCACAUGAUAGUAUUUGCACAUACAUGGAACUCAGCAUGCUUGUACCUCAUGCAGUAGCGUAGACCACAAUUUUUAUGUUGGUAUAUAUACGUUGUAUUCGUCUGUAUGAGUGUUUAAAUUGUAUACAAUGUUGAAUCUAAUCACACUUGUACAUCCAUUGAACCCAGGAUGCUUCUUUGCCGCCAUAUGAGGAGUUCAUAAACGGAUUAAACACGCAGCAAAGGUUGUACAUCCAGUUGAUAGGACUGGGUGGACUUCUCAAGACACCUAGCAUCAAAAUUAGACGUGUACUCUGCCUGGCCAUCGCUAAUUCAUAUGAUGCAGAGCAGGAUGCCUUUAUCAUCAAUGGGAGACCAUGUAGGAUCACACUAGAAGAUGUAGCGCAUAUAACAGGCAUGCCCUGCCAAGGGAAGAAGCAUGUCCCUUCAAAUCUUGAUGAUAAUAUGGAGUUGUGGAAGAAACUGAAAGACCGUAAUGACACCAAAAUAACUUUCAAAGGAUUGCUAGCCAAGAUGAAAGUCGACAGCACACCAAAUUGUGUCAGGCCAUUUGUGUUGUACACCAUAGGCAAAUAUGUAUGCUGAAAAAAAGAGGAGUAUGUGGAUAACAAAUAUCUUGGGAUUGUUAGAAACGUUGAGAUGAUAAAGGGCACAAAUCUUGGACAGUUAACGCUUAACUAUCUUAUGGAUAGCGUGAAGAAUUUUGUAAAUGGUGAGGCAGUUCUGGAGAUGAAUCUACCAGUGUUGCAGGUAAUUCGUAGUAGUACAAUUAUCAGUUACCUAACAUACAUUACAUAAUGUACGGGAAUGUUUGUAAACUGCUUUUGUUAUCAUGCAGACAUGGUACUACGAGAAGUUUAGAGUGCACCAAUUGGACUCUAGCAUCUGGUAUGAAUCAAGGUUAAGGCCGCUGAUCCAGAACUGGAGCGAGGAGAAGGCAAACAAGGUUGACAACAUAAUCCAGAAUAAUUAUCUGGGAGUUGGAGAGGUAAAAUGUCAGCACAUUGCCUGGAUUAUGUAACAUACAUAUUUUCUAAAUCAUACUAACGACACUAAACUGUAGUAUGUUGAGGACCUGAUGAGGCCUUUCAUUCCAGCACGAGAUGGUACUCUGGCCAAACCGAAGACUGGCGCUCAGGUAAAGGAGUUACAUAAGGCACAAAUAUAUAUUGUAACAUUCCAACUAGUAUGAAGCUAUACGAUUCUAACUGUUUCAAAGUCUCAAAUUAAGGUACUCGUCGGAUUUGUAUUGACUGAUUUGCAAGAAGUUGCCUCCCUCGUGCGGGAGUCCGGUACAGAACAAAACCAUAGGAUGUGCAUCCUUGAAAAGAAAAUGGAUGAGUGCCUUAGGUGUACCCGUACAAGUGGCAAGCUCACGGAGGACCUCAUCAAAGAAUUGAAGGUAAGCCUAGAAUUAUGAGAUUAGUAUAUAUAAUUGGAAAUUUAUGUGUACAAGUUUUUUUUCUAAUUUAGUUUACUAUCAAAACACCCCAGACUAACAUAUAUUUUUUAUAGAAAAAACAUGAUGGAAUAUUUCCAGGAGUGGACGACAUACAUCUAUCUGUCCUCGGGGCACCUUCACACCCAAUGGAGGCCUCUGUUGAGAAUGCUGAGCAGGCUUCUGACCAGGGGAAACAAAAGGAUGUCACGAAGGUCGCUGCUAAGCACGUUUGUAAGCAGGGAAUAAAAAAUGAUGACAUGGAGCCCCCCAUGAAGAACCUUGAUGAAGAUUUUGACAUACGCAUGUUAACUUAAUUAUGAAACAAUCAUUGUCGUUUCAGAAAUAACAUUUGAUCUUCCAUGUAUAGGAUGAAGCAUUCGAAAGAGCUACUGCAAAUAUCAAACAUGAUCUCAGAGGUAUCCAUAAGCUUUUGAAAGAGGUGGAUGAUAUCCAAGGAGCUCCUAGUUUUGAUAAGCAAAUGCAUUCCAAAGCCACCACAAUCCUUGAAGAUUUCCAGGUGAUGCACAUUUGACCUAUAAUUGAGCAAGAAUCUGCUAAAGGCUAACACGCGGUUUAUUUUGUCUGACAGAAUCCGUUCAACAAACGAAGUAAGCAUCACUCUGUGAAGGCUUCGGGAUCGCGAGAUCCUGAAGAGCCCCGUGCCUUCACAGAUGAUGACAGCCAUGAUGAAUCCUUUGAAAAAUAGCAACAAGUAAGUGUGGUUGGAUCGAUGCCACCAAAUCAUGGGGGCGAAAAGAAAAGGGUGGUAUUGCAAUUAUUUAAGAAUGACGAGUAUCCUUCGUACGACACUGAGAAGAAAAAAAGGAAAAAAAGACUCCAUCAGAUUGUACAAAUGAUUCCGAGGACACGAACAGUAAAAAGAGGAAAAUCGGCUCUAGCAACUUAAAAAAGAGGUCAGAAGUUCAUGAAACCCAGAGGGGCCAGCUAGACGUGGUUCGACAGUAUUUCGUGGCUUCACUGAUCAACACUAUAAAUCAUGAAAAACAAAUGGUGUUAGUUGAUGACAUUGGCGUGCUAUCAAAGCAUUUGCAAUGCCUCACCCAUAAAGAUGAAUCUGAAGAUGGCGUAUGGUUGGGUGACGAAGUAAGAUAGUAUUUCACAAAUUUGUUUAUGAAGUUUCAUUUUUGUACAAUACAAUAAACUUGAUUAUUGUUGUAGGUGGUUGAUGCUGCGAUCUAGCUCAGGCGUAAUGAUCAACCAAUUGACACAAGGGACGGCCAACUGGUUUACAUUGAGAGGGUGGCCGGCGUCGCUAAGCUCGAAAGAGAUGGUAGGAUAGAGGAGUGCUACGAGGAUGCUUUGGCAGGCAUUCCUGGAAUAACACAAGGAACCACCUACCUGAAACAUGAUAUGGUAUAUUAAGCUGACGUAGAACAGGUUUUUUAUUACUAUGCACAUUGAUCUAAUUAUCUGUGCACCCCAGGUUUUCCUACCUACGAAAAGUUUAUACACCCACUGGUUCCUUGUGGUCGUAAACCCCAUAAGGAAGGAGAUUCAGGUUCUUGAUUCACUUUUCCACUGUAUGAUACCCAAAGAAGUAAAUAACGUGGUGAGAAUUUCAACAUAUUUAAUUAUAAGAAAGGAUUUAACAUCGUAUGUAAGUAUUAGUCGUAGGCAACUUCUCAUCCCAUUGGGCUUGGAGGUACGUGGGAUGGAAGCACAUGUGAGAGCAGUGAUGCGAGUCAAUGGGAUUGAAUGCAAUGCAUGGGAAGACAUUAACAUGAUGAAAUGGCCAGUACGGAAUAUUAAUGUGCCAAAAUCCGAUUAGACGUCAGUCAACAAUAUUAUCUUUUGUUUUUGUUUUAGAUUGUUAUUAUCUGAAAUGCUGAUCUAACAACAUAAAAUGUUGCAGUUCUUGUAGUGCACUGUACAUGCAAAAGAACAUCAAAUUAUUUAUGGGAGUAAAACUGAGGUUGCAAUAUGACGAAGCACAUAGAGUAACACCUAAAAUUUUGUCAUUUUCUGAAACAUAUGGAACGAUACUAACAUAUCCUCGCAUGCAGGCCUACAUCGACAAAUUCAGAAGAGAGCUACCUGUUGUGCUUGUCGAUUCACCCUACAACAAAAUGAAAUGCGGGACUAGGUUCAGGCAGUACCAUGCUAGGUAAUCGGAUGCAGCUGCAGUUGAAGACGGCGAGGAUGCAAGCAGUUAGUCCAGCAUUGUGGUUCAUUCUUACAUGUGGAGUGUACACUUGGCCAUAAAGCGAUAGAGUAGGGUGUGGUUGGGUUUUAGUACCGAAGAAGGUUUCCUAGCCGUGUUAUUAGUCCAUUGCACAUGAGUCAAGUUGUAAAACUUUAGUAAUAUUGGUUACUAUAUUUGGCUUGAAACAAAUUUGGUCUCUACGGGAUCUCGUAGAAAUCUAUAUUUGCUUUUUACUACCAUGUGACAAUAAUGGUGCCUGGGGCAACCCUAGAAGAAUAAUGGAUUAUGAUAUGUCUAUUUUCAUACGAGAGAAAAUUUUAUUAAAGCAUGAGCAUAGCCUCACAACAGAAGUCAAAAAUAUUGCCUGAUUCAACACGCAAUCCCAGCUAUGUCUCGUAGGCAGGCCGCAAAGCCAAAAAAAUAGAGCAUAGGAUAACAAGAGUAAAAGCAAGUACCUUAGGGGGCCUAUGCAUGUGCUGCAACGUUGAAUUGAAGCGAUCACCUUCAGGAGCACAGUGGUGUGGCCAUGGUACAUCCAUCCUGCCUCGGGGAAUCACAUAGCAUGUUCUUUCAUAGCCCUGCAAAACAGAGGAAAAAUUACUACUUGUACUAACCUUGUCAAGUGUGUGCAUGUAACAAAUGUUGGACAUAACUAAAUACGGAAGAAUGAAAUGCAACAUAUGGAAGAAUCGAAUGCUCAUUCCUUUCUCUCUGCUUUUUGCGAGGACCAUUACUCUCCCUUUAACAAGGCUAAAACAUCAUAAUAAGACUUCACAGCAAUCUUGAAAAGGUGGAUAUCCCAUGUGAAUAUAAUUUUUCAAAUAAAGCACAUGCCAAGUCUGUUGAUCCCAGUCUAGCAAUUGCACAAGAAGAAGCAAGCAUCAUAAAUAUUGAGCAACAUAAGCUAUGAAUUGUUUAUAGUACAUUCCAAAAAUAAUAGCUUAUCAUCUCUAUUGAUCUCCAAAUCUCACCUAUCAGCCAAAUUGAAAGAAUAGAUGUUGAAUGCAACGAUUGAACAUUCGUAGAUCAAGCAGUCGGGGCUGGACGAAUGGGGCUGGCCGUCGAGGACAGCUGUCGGCUUCAUCUUGUCCCGCAGAACAUGAUCCAUACCCAACCCCCUUACCAUUGGACGAGAUGCAUGGCCAGAUCAAAGCUGCAGCCAAGGCUGAGAAAUGAUAUGUAGAGGACGCAAACAACCAAUUGGGGUGCGGGAAAGAGGUUGCCUAUAACCUUGUGGCUAUAGGCACCCGCAUGGAGAACUGGGAGGUGGGGUGGCGCCGACUUUUUGCCGGCAGCCGCCGCAGGGAGGGCAGUGGGCCUCCUCUCGUGUUCAUUUAAAAUGCAGAGCGAGAUCGCGAGGGAAUUGGGGUGGAGGAAGGGAGGAGCCGUGACGCGUGGCUAGAUCCUGCCGGCGACGAGGGAGGGAGGGGCCGCGAUGAGCGGCUAGAUCCUGCCAACGACGAGGGAGGGAGGGGCCACGACGAGCGGCUAGAUCCUGCCAGCGAGGAUCAAAACCGUAGUGGCGGAGAGGCAUAAACCCUAGCGAACGGGAUAAAUAUCGAACCGAAAAUAGCCCUGAAAUUCAUACUGACAAUACCCUCAAAAUAUUUGGGAGGGAAAAUCAGAUCAGUUCAAAAUAUUUUUUUCUCCUGAAAAUGCCCCUCGGGGUCUGAUAUAAUACAUGUGACAUCAGUGUAUUGCAUCGGAUCUGGACCGUCGAUUUCGCUCCGACGGACGGUCCACAUCGUCCGGAUGCACUAUAAAAUGCCUCUUUUUUGAACAUGCUUCGUUCUCAUAUUAUUUUUCCUGCAGUGUAUUAUUUGCUCUGCCAGAACACAUGUACUCAAGAUGCUCGACCUUGCCAUAACUGAAUACACUAGUUUAAUGGUCAAAGUGAAGACAAGCCAUGGAUAUAAGUUCCGAGUUGGGUUCAUGAACCAAGAAGAUUGCUGCUUUUUUUAUGGUCAAACUUGGAUAAGCUUUCUCAAGUGUUACAGACUAAAAGUUGGCGCACGAAUGUUGAAGGAAAUAGCAGAACCUGGUCUCAUCUUCACUGCGAUCUUACACCCCGACGUCGUUCCAAUUGUUAAUCCAUGUUAGUUUUGUAUCUGGUUCUUGCUUGUUGCCUCGAUUACUUCUUAAUCCACCUAUUCUGUCUAACUAACCACAAUUUAACUUUAGAAGUAGAAACGCAUCUCUCACGAAGAUGCUACUUCUAACUAAUAUUUUCUUAUAAUUGGUGGCACGUGUAGGUUUUUUCAGAGUUAAGCAGUCUGCUCCUUUGUUACUCUGUAAUAAUUCGGCUGUUACUAAUGGCACUAAAGUUGACUGGAUCGACAUCCACAAGUUCCUACACUUUAUUGAUCGUCUUGAGGUCCUUGUGGGGCGUUUCAAUGCUGGAAGGCCACGUGGGAUAUGUGUGCCACUGCUGCACUCGUUGAACAUGUCCAACUGUGUCGAGAAACUUAUGGUACGAGUUGUUUUCUGUUAUAUAUGUUGUUCAUAAACUAUUGCUUAUACACAGUUUUACAACUGUGAUCUUCUUGAAACAGGAACUGCCGAGUUUUGUUGUUCCUAUACAGAUGCCUGACCAUGGUCGGGUCAGACUUGCGCUUGGUCACAACAUGAUGUUUAUGUCAACCUACUCAAUUCCCCUUGGAGGUGAAAAGAUACGUAUUCAUGGGUGGUCUCAAAUAAUGAAGGCCCGUCCAUCUUGGAUAAUAUGACAGAAGAUUAUGUCCAUGCUUUUCCAUGGCUCUAAAGCGAAUAUCCUGUUUAUUGACCAUGUUGCGAGAUGAAUCCGCUUUCAGAAGGUUGGGGAUGCGCGGGGUGGCGCCCGGGCCUUGUCUUGGGGCUUGGCGGCCUCACUCUUGGUUAACUAUAGGCAAAGUAGCACUGUUCGAGGCGUGCUUUGUACGGUUGAACCUGUAUAAGUACUCAUACUGCUUUCAGCUUUGGUUUUUAAGUGCCCCUGCUGGUUUCAGUUAAGGUUGUUAAGUACUCCUGCAGCUUUUACAGUCUGUCGUGUUUCUUCAGUCCUAUCUUCCUCCAGCCACCAAAACCAAACCAGCGCCGGCGGGGCCGCCUGCUUCCGCCUCCCACGGCUGGCUGCGCCUCAGCGCAUGCAUCGCCGCCCCCACCGUCUCCAAUAUCGUUAACGUCGACGUCCUCCGCGCGCUUUGGUCUGCUCGCCGCGGCGUCGCCCUCUUGCGUUGUCAACAUGGUCAACAAACAACAGGAAUCGGCAGAAGUACAUGGAGAGGACGACAGUAGGGGCCCACCACGUCAGCGUAUGGUAAAAUAAGAUGCUUCCUCCUAGUGUUUUCCUGACAUCUGGGACCCAUGACAUUGUGAGCGUAUAUAGUCAAUAGACAAGAGAACAGCACAAGAUCGGCUGACACCUGGGACGUAGCUACUCGAGCAGUAUUUUUUUUGUUUGGUAUUGUUGAGACGGAGUAGGGUUUGAACUGGGCUGUGGCCCGUCUAGCCCAGGCUUAUAUUUUAUGUUCACCAUGUGACUAGCCCAGCUAUUUUUUCUUUGUGAAAAUGAGCCCAGUUUAUUUUUUCUGAAGAAUACCCAAUCCAGGCCUACUUAUUUUUCUACGCCCUGAUGGGCUACAACUCUUUCAAGAUGCCUGCAAAUCUGGAAAGUAAUAUGAAAUGGGUCGUAAAUAUAAAAACAGAUGACAAAUUGGCAAUUACUCCCUCUGUAAACUAAUAUAAGAGAGUUUAGAUAACUAAAAUAGUGAUCUAAAUGCUAUUAUAUUAGUUUACGGAGGGAGUACUUUAUAAUUUCUGAAUUUUUUUUCACAUUUUCAGAUUCCUAUUUCACUGGGCAUUAACCUAAUUUAAAUAUAUCUUCAAAGUACUUUAAAUAUGGCUCGAAAUUCUGUUAUUAAAAAUAGUUUGGAACCCACAGAAAUAUGUGAAAUUGGCCUUGGCCAACCAAAAAAACAACUGCAAUAAAUUGCAUAAGUAGUUGCCAUGAGCUAUAUAUAAAUUAUUAAAAAAAAGAGGGAGUGGUCUGACUUGUGGGCCUGUUUAGUUGACGCGUAUGCAAAAAAAAUUUAGUUAUUAUAUACGUCAACAAACGAUUCUAGCAGACGUAACCGUUGGAUGUCAAUCCAACGGCCGUCGUGUUUCUUCAAUCUCUGAUCUUCUUGCUCCAGCCGCCAAAGCAGCGCCGGCGGGAUACAUGGCCGGCUGUGCUGCCGCGCAGGCCUUAAUGCCCCCUACUACUCCCACCACUGGCCAGGGCAUCCCUCUACUCACCCACACCCCCUGUUAUUCUGCGGCGACGGCAGCCUCACAUCAUAGCCGAACCGGUGAACCCUCGUACUCCUCUCCGUGCGGGCUUCCACUGCCGCGUCUUCCCCGGCUCUGCGUCUUCCCCUUCCCAGGCCUGGUCGUCGUCCACCGCCGUGGUGCUCUCGGCGUGGCGUGGUCAAUGUGGUCAACGACCGACUACCAUCGGAAGAGUACUGUAGGUGGAGAGGAUGACAGCUGGGUCCACGGCACCCGCAAGGAAGUGCCUCCUUAUUAUGCGGAAAAUAAUUAUUCCUCCACCUGACAGCAGGGACCCACCAAACAGGCCACCAGUAUUUCGUGAAAAAAAAGUUUCCCCCUGACUGCUGGGACCCACAGGACCGGCCACCGUAUUUCGCGAAAAAAUGUUCCCCCCACUGUCAGCUCGGACCCACCGGAAGUGCCUCCUUAUUACACAAAAAAAAUCAAUAGCCCCGGCUACCUGGGACCCACCUUGGUGGGAGGCUGACUUGUGGGCCUACUAAGUUGACUGGGAUGGAGGCCUUUGUCAAUUUUAGUCAAUAUAUGAACGAUUCUAGCUCCAGUGACCGUACGAUUUCCAUCCAACGGCCGUAGUGCUUCUUCAACCUCUGGUCUUCUUGCUACACCCGCCCAAAGCAGCGCCGGUCGUGCCGCCUGCUCCUGCCGCCCGUGGCCAGCUGUGAUGCCGUGGAGGCCUCACCGCCCCCUACUACUCCCACCGCUGGCCAGGCCAUCCAUCUAUGCACCCACACCCCCUGUUAUUCUACGGCGAUGGCAGCCUCACACCGUAGCCGAAUGAGUGAACCCUCAUACUCCUCUACGCGUGGGCAUCCACUGCUGUGUCUUCCUCGGAUUUGCGUCGUCCCCUUCCUAAGCCUCGGCGUCGUCCAUCGCCCUGGUGCUCUUGGCGCAGCGUGGUCAACGUGGUCAUGGAAUGGCUUCCAUCGGACGUUGACUGUACGUGGAGAGACUGACAGCUGGGUCCAUGGCCGCAGCAAGGAAGUGCCUCCUUAUUACGCGCAAAAUAAUUAUUCCUCCACCUGACAGCGGGGACCCACCGGACGGGCCACCGUAUUUCACGAAAAAAACGUUUCCCCCUGACUGCUGGGACCCACCAGCUACAUCUUCGCAUGCAAGGAAGUGCAUCGAAAAAAACAUUUCGCCCCCCUUAGUGCCAGUACCCACCAACUACAUCUUCGCACGCAAGGAAGUGCAUACGAAAAAAAUGAUUAGCCCCACUAACUGCUGGGACCCACCAGCUACAUCUUCGCAUGCAAGGAAGUGCGUCCGGGCAAAAAAACAAGACGAUUCCCCCUGACUGAUGGGACCCAGCAGCUACAUCUUCACACACAAGGAAGUGCGUCCGAGCAAAAAAACAAACAAAACGACUCACCCCCCCUGACUGCUGGGACCCACCAGCUACAUCUUCGCAGGCAAGGAAGUUCCUGAUAGUCAAGACCCAUCUGGUCGAAGCGUAUGUAGCGUUGUCAUUCUGGUAGGGAACGUGUACGUACAUAUAUACUGGUCGAUGUAGAGGCGCGCACGUGUCGUAGUAGAGGCGCAUACGUGUCAUAGUAGAAGCGCGCACGUAGCAUGUACACGUACGUACAGCGGCCAGCUGGAUGCAAGAAAGAAAAUACGGUCACGUACGUACAUAUGGGCAUGGUCUCGAACGCCUACUCGCGCAUACCUACGGCCAGGGCUUGUGUACAUUGCUGGGUCGGAACGGAGAAAUAGCGUCGUCGUCGUGUUCAUUGGGAGGCAACAGGAUGCAUCGUGUUCAUGGGGGGGCAACGGAAUGCGUCGUGUUCAUCAGGAGGCAACGGAACGCGUGAAAGCCAACUGGCUGGUCAGAACAGAAUGCAUGGUCGUGUUCAUCGGGAGGGCUUGGACGGAAUAGGCGAUGGAAACUAGGUCUGGCGUCCCGCAAAACGGAGGAAACGGCCUUGUGUUCGACUGGCCACGUUUGAAAAGGGAUCCUGUUCAUCGGGAGGGGUCUGGCGUACCGCAAAACGGAGGAAACGGACCUCCUGCGGUCGAAACGGGGGUCAUGUUCAUCGGGAGGGGUGUGGCGUAUCGCAAAACGGAGGAAACGGACCUCCUACGGUUGAAAUGGGGGUCAUGUUGAUCGGGAGGGGUGUGGCGUACUACAAAUGUGACGAAACGGACCUCCUACGGUCGAAACGGGGGUCCUGUUCAUCGGGAGGGGUGUGGCGUACCGCAAAAUGGGACUCCACGGGAUACUGUUCAUCUCCACCGUCGACCUCCUCCACCCUCCACGGGCUCUUGUUCAUUCAGCCUCCACCGCGCGCUACUCCACCGGCUACUGUUCAACCACCCCUCCACCGUCUACUGUUCAUCUAGCCCUCCACACCACGGGGUCCUGUUCAACCACCCCUCCACGGGCACCCCUCCACCGUCCACUAUUCAUCCAGCCCUCCGCCACAGCACGGGGUCCUGUUCAUCCAGAGGCAACGCCACCGCUCGCUGUUCAUCCAAAUACCCCGCAACGCUCACUAUUCAUCCCAGAGGCAGCAUCAAUCGGCUUCAGUUAGCAGCAGUAGCGAAGGAAUCGCUCGAUCGGGUUCAGUUAACAUCUAUCGAUCGAUCGCUCGUGUUCAAUUGCUCGGGUUCAGAUAAUUAGAUCCCAACGCCUCGCUCGGGUUCAGAUAAAGCCAACGCCUCACACACACUUGUGUACGUGUACGAGAGAAACGCGCAUAGCUCGGCCCCGACCUCCCACCGUAACCGGGAACUCCUCGAAAUUUUCUUUCCCCUCGCUUCUACCAUGGUUUUUUCUGUCAUGGAAGGCCAAAAGAAUGUCAUGCAGCUGCGUCUCCGGCCCGUCCCGGACGAAAAGCCCAUUUUCUGUCAUGAUUUUUUGUCAUAGAAGUAGGAUCCCACCACAUCUAUGAUGAUACCUGGUUUUGUCACAAUUAUCAUCAUAGAAGUGUCAUAUGUAUGGCAGAAAAAAAAUUCGUUCGGCCCAAAAUGUCACGGAUGUGUCUUUUUUUUGUAGUGCAUGUUGCUGCUUUUUCAAAAGAAUGUGGGGAUCCAGAUAAACCAAAGGUGUGAAAACCUUACUUUCCGGGUUACGACUCGAAGUUUCUGUCUUGGCAAAUGGGCUGAGUCAGAGGAAAUAGUUACCUCUUCUUCCACGGCCUGACUGGCCCCUGUGUCGUCCUGGCAAUGAUCAGUGUUAAUAAGAUUAUUAAAAAGUUGGCCAAGGGAGUCAAGGGCUACCUCCGACUCAGAAGUAUCAUCAAGCUUCAUCAUAUCCUUAGCGGUACUUUUCUUCUUUCUGGACCGCCGAGUCGUUCUCUUGGUGUUGAUAGCAGCGGCUUUAGCCUUCUUGGCGGCUUCAUGAGCGUACUUAACUUUCCAGAAAUCAUAUCAGGCCUGUGGAUGAAUAAACAAGGAUGAAAGAUCAAACAAGUACUUAAGAUGGCUGGGAAAAUACAAAGGAAUCAAAGGUUCAUUACCUCUGGCGCCGGGUUAAGUUUGUAGAAGGGGUUUAACCUGACCUUACUGCAGUCUUCAUAUUUGCCGUUUACCAGAAGGGUUGACAUUGCAACAAUAUCUUCUUCGGGUAAUUGGAUGGAGCUGUGACGAAGAGAAUCAUUUGGGCCUCCACCAUAUUCACACAUCAGUUUUGAUCGGCGGCUGAGGGAGUCCUGGAUUAGGGGGUGUCCGGAUAGCCGGACAAUAACCUUUGGCCGAACUCUUGGACUAUGAAGAUAUAAGAUUGAAGACUUCAUCCCGUGUCCGGAUGGGACUUUCCUUGGCGUGGAAGGCAAGCUUGGCAAUACGGAUAUGUAGAUUUCCUCCCAUUGUAACCGACUUUGUGUAACCCUAGCCCUCUCCGGUGUAUAUAUAAACCGGAGGGUUUUAGUCCAUAGGAGGAACAUCAAUCAUACCAUAGGCUAGCUUCUAGGGUUUAGCCUCUCUGAUCUCGUGGUAGAUCUACUCUUGUACUACCCAUAUCAUCAAUAUCAAUCAAGCAGGAGUAGGGUUUUACCUCCAUUGAGAGGGCCCGAACCUGGGUAAAAACAUUGUGUCCCUUGUCUCCUGUUACCAUUCACCUCGACACAAAGUUCGAGACCCCCUACCCGAGAUCCGCCGGUUUUGACACUGACAUUGGUGCUUUCAUUGAGAGUUCCUCUAUGUCGUCACCUUUAGGCCCGAUGGCUCCUCCGAUCAUCAACAACGAUGCGGUCCAGGGUGAGACCUUUCUCCCUGGAGAUAUUUUCGUGUUCGGCGGCUUUGUACUGCGGGCUAAUUCGCUUGGCCAUCUGGAGCAGAUUGAAAGCUACGCCCCUGGCCAUCAGGUCAGAUUUGAAAGUUUGAACUACACGGCCAACAUGUGCGGAGACUUGAUCUUCGACGGAUUCGAGCCACAGCUGGGCACGCCGCACUGUCACGAUGGGUAUGACCUAGCUCUGCCGCCGAAUAGUACCCUACAGGCCAUGCCCGCAUCAGCUCCGACCCUUAGCUCAGAGCCGACAGUGCCGAUCGAGGACGGGUGGCUAGACACCACCUCGGGGGCUGCAGUCUCAACGGCGAUCGAGCCGAACACCAGCCUUAUCCUUUGCGAAGCCCGUGACUCCAAGGCGCCGGACUCUUUUCCUGAUUCCGAACCUUCCGCGCCCCUGCCAAUCGAAUCCGAUUGGGCGCCGAUCAUGGAAUUCAUCGCCACGGAUAUCUUUCAGCACUCGCCCUUCGGCGACAUUCUGAAUUUACUAAGGUCUCUCUCUUUGUCAGGAGAGCCCUAGCCGGACUAUGGCCAACAGGAUUGGGAUGCGGACGACGAAGAAAUUCGACGCCCACCCACCACCCACUUCGUAGCCACUGUCGAUGAUUUAACUGACAUGCUCGACUUCGACUCCGAAGACAUCGACGGUAUGGACGACGAUGUAGGAGACGAACAUGAACCAGCGCCUAUAGGGCACUGGAAAGCCACCUCGUCAUAUGACAUAUAUAUGGUGGAUACACCCUAAGAAGGCAAUGGCGACGGAACAACGGGGGAUGACCCCUCCAAGAAGCAACCCAAGUGCCGGCGUUAGCGGCGCUGCUCUAUGUCCCGCCAAAGCAAAAGCGGUGAUGCCGGCACGGGAGAUAAUAACACCCCGGAUAGUGCCGAAGACAAUUCCCUCCAGCAAGAUUCAGCGCAGGAGGAUGGAGAAGGUAGCCCCCCUGAGAGAGCGGCAGACAGAGAAGAAGAGGAUGAUAAUUACAUGCCUCCCUCCGAAGACGAGGCAAGCCUCGGCGAUGACAAAUUUGUCAUGCCUGAGGAUCCCGUCGAACAAGAGCGCAGGCUUAUGGCCACGCCGAGUAGCCUUAAGAAAAAACAGCAACAGCUUAGACAUGAUCAAGAAUUGCUAGCCGACAGAUGGACGGAAGUCCUUGCGGCCGAGGAAUACAAACUCAAACGCCCCUCCAAGAGCUACCCAAAGCGCAGGUUGCUACCCCGUUUAGAGGAGGAAGCACUUAAACCUACAUCACUAGCCCAUGAUGCGGCUGACCGGCCACCUCACAGCCAUGACAGAGAGUCUUCCCGGCCCUCCACUCAAGCCGCAAAACGGAGUGGUGUGGCGUACCGCAAAACUGACGAAACGGACCUCCUAUGGUCGAAACGGGGGUCCUGUUCAUCAGGAGGGGUGCGGCGUACAGCAAAACAGGACUCCACGGGAUACUGUUCAUCUCCACCGUUGACCUCCUCCACCCUCCACGGGCUCCUGUUCAUCCAACCUCCACCGCGCGCUACUCCACUGGCUACUGUUCAACCACCCCUCCACCAUCUACUGUUCAUCCAGCCCUCCACACCACGGGGUCCUGUUCAACCACCCCUCCACGGGCAUCCCCUCCACCAUCUACUAUUGAUCCAGCCCUUCGCCACACCACGGGGUCCUGUUCAUCCAGAGGCAACGCCACCGCUCACUGUUCAUCCAAACCCCUCGCAAUGCUCACUAUUCAUCCCAGAGGCAGCAUUGAUCGGCUUCAGUUAGCAGCAGUAGUGAAGGAAUCGCUUGAUCGGGUUCAGUUAACAUCUAUCAAUCGAUCACUCAGGUUCAAUAACGCGUUGCCUGUAGUGCAAUCGCUCGGGUUCAGUUAGAGCCAACGCCUCGCACACACUCGCGUACGGGUACGAGAGAAACGUGCGUCGCUCGGCCCACGACCUCCCACCGUAACCGGGAACUCCCCGAAAUUUUCCUCCCCCUCGCUUCUACCAUGGUUUUCUCCAUCAUGGACGGCCCAAAGAAUAUCAUGCAGCUUCGUCUCCGGCCCGUCCAGGACGAAAAGCCCAUUUUCUGUCAUCAUUUUUUGUCAAAGAAGUAGGAGCCCACCACAUCUCUGAUGAUACGGGGUUUUGUCACAAUUAUCGUCAUAGAAGUGUCAUAUGUAUGAUAGAACAAAAUUUCGUUCGGCCCAAAAUGUCACGGAUAUGUCUUUUUUUUGUAGUGCAUGUUGCUGCUUUUUCAAAAGAAAGUGAGGAUCCAGAUAAGCCAAAGGGUGUGAAAACCUUACUUUCCCGUUUAUGACUCGAAGUUUCUGUCUUAGCAAAUGGGCUGAGUCAGAGGAAAUAGUUACCUCUUCUUCCACGGCCUGACUGGCCCCUGUGUCAUCCUGGCAAUGAUCAGUGUUAAUAAGAUUAUUAAAAAGUUGGCCAAGGGAGUCAAGGGCUACCUCCGACUCAGAAGUAUCAUCAAGCUUCAUCAUAUCCUCAGCGGUACUUUUCUUCUCUCUGGACCGCUGAGGGAGUCCUGGAUUAGGGGGUGUCCUGAUGGCCGGACUAUACCUUCAGCCGGACUCCUGGACUAUGAAGACACAAGAUUGAAGACUUCGUCUCGUGUCCGGAAGGGACUUUCCUUGGCGUGGAAGGCAAGCUUGGCGAUAGAGAUAUAUAGAUCUCCUACAAUUGUAACCGACUUUGUGUAACCCUAGCCCUCUCCGGUGUUUAUAUAAACCAGAGGGUUUUAGUCCGUAGGGCAACAUAUAGAACAACAAUCAUACCAUAGGCUAGCUUCUAGGGUUUAGCCUCUCCGAUCUCGUGGUAGAUCUACUCUUGUACUACCCAUAUCAUCAAUAUUAAUCAAGUAGGACGUAGGGUUUUACCUCCAUCAAGAGGGCCCGAAACUGGGUAAAACUUCGUGUCCCUUGCCUCUUGUUACCAUCCGGCCUAGACGCACAGUUUGGGACCCACUACCCGAGAUCCGCCGGUAUUGACACCGACAUUGGUGCUUUCAUUGAGAGUUCCUCUGUGUCGUCGCCGUUAGGCUUGAUGGCUCCUACGAUCAUCAAUAGCGAUGCAGUCCAGGGUGAGACUUUCCUUCCCAUACAGAUCUUCGUCUUUGGCAGCUUCGCACUACGGGCCAAUUCACUUGGCCAUCUGGAGCAGAUCGAAAGCUAUGCCCCUGGCCAUCAGGUCAGAUUGGGAAGUUUAAACUACACCGCUGACAUCUGCGGGGACUUGAUCUUUGACGGAUUCGAGCCACUGCCGAGCGCGCCGCACUGUCACGACGAGCAUGAUCUAGCUCUGCCGCCGAAUAGUGCCUUGGAGGCCGCAUCCGCAUCGGCUUCGACCCUUAAUUCGGAGCCAACUGCGCCGAUCGAGGAUGGGUGGUUGGACGCCGCCUCAGGGGCUGCGAUCCCAACGGGGAUCGAGCCGGAAACCAGCCCUGCACUCCGCGAGAAUCAUGACUCCAAGUAGCCGGACUCCACUCCGGACUCCGAACCCUCCGCGCCCCUGCCGAUCGAAUCCAAUUGGGCGCCGAUCAUGGAGUUUACUGUCGCGGACAUCUUUUAGCACUUGCCUUUCGGCGAUAUUCUGAAGGCACUAAAGUCUCUCUCUUUAUCAGGAGAGCCCUGGCCAGACUACGGUCGGCAUGGUUUGGAUACGAACAAUGAAGAAAUUCAAAGCCCACCCACCACCCACUUUGUAGCCACUGUCUACGAUUUAACCGACAUGCUCGACUUCGACUCUGAAGACAUCGACGGUAUGGGCGCCGAUGAAGGAGACGAUGAAGAACCAGCGCCUAUUGAGCCCUGGAAAGCCACCUCGUCAUAUGACGUAUACAUGGUGGACGCACCAAAAGAUGAGGACGAGGAGCGGAAGGACGCACCGAAGGCUUGUUCCCUCGAGAAGCAGUCAAAGCGGCGACGCAAGCGCCGCCCCAAAUCCCGCCUCGACAGAAAUAACGAUCACACAGACCCAGCGCUGGAGCAGGGCGAACCGCUGCCGGACAACGGCAAUCCGGAUAAUCCAACCGAACAAACAAAUUCUAUCAAGGAUAAUGGUCCGGAUGACAUAAUGCCAGACAGGCACCGGGAGCAGCAGAAUGCCCGUAAAAGGCUUGUUGCCACCGCGAGGAGUCUUAAAAAGCACAAGCAAAGGCUCAAGGCUGCGCAAGACACACUCCAAAUCAGAUGGAGUAAAAUAUUCAAAACAGGAGCAAGAUACGGCGACAAUCGCCCCUCCAAGAGCUACCCAAAGCGGAAGCUGCUACAUGAAUCUGAUGAGGAGGCCUCAGACCCCCACAACCAAAUAUCAAAGCAGCCACCUGCCGGAUAGACGACCCCUCUACCAACACAGAGCGUCUUACAACGCCACUCACAAUACAACACGCGAUCCAUGCGAGGGAUCACACCCAAAGGACGGCGCAACAAGAUCCAUCUAGGGACCACACAAGCAUGCCCCAGCAUACAAUGCAACACAACAAACAUCCGAACAACGCGGUACACCUAGCUACAGGGGUGCCGCACACCCCCUAUGUUUCACCGAUGAGGUGCUGGACCAUGAAUUUCUAGAGGGAUUCAAACCCGUAAACAUAGAGACAUACGACGGAACAACAGACCCUGGGGUCUGGAUUGAGGACUACAUCCUUCAUAUCCAUAUGGCUCGAGGAGAUGAUCUCCACGCCAUCAAGUACUUACCCCUCAAGCUGAAAGGGCCAGCUCGUCACAGGCUUAAAGGCCUCCCCGAAAGCUCCAUUGGAAGUUGGGAAGAGCUCGAAGACGCCUUUCAGGCAAAUUUUCAAGGGACUUAUGUCCGACCUCCGGAUGCGGAUGAUUUGAGUCAUAUAACUCAACAGCUCGGAGAGUCAGCCUGAAAACUUUCAAACAGGUUUCUUACUAAAAAGAACCAGAUUGUCGACUCUCCGAACGCCGAAGCCUUGGCAGCUUUUAAGCAUAGCGUCCAUGACGAAUGGCUCACCAAACACCUCGGCCAAAAUAAUCCGAGAACGAUGGCCGCAUUAACAAACCUCAUGACCCGCUUUUGCGCGGGUGAGGACAGCUGGCAAGCCAGAUGUAGCACUAGCAACCCAAGUACAUCUGAAGUUAGAGAUGGAAACGGGAAAUCACAGCGCAACAGCAAUAACAAACGCCGGAAUAAAGAAGACAACACGAAGGGCACGACAGUAAACGCCGGAUUCAAAAGCUCUCGGCCAGGUCAGCAAAAGCCGCCCUCUAAAGGCACCAGGGAUGAACUGUCCAGCCUCAAAAAAAUUCUAGACCAAGUAUGUCAGAUCCAUAGUACCCCUGGUAAACCUGCUAAUCAUAGCCACAAAGAAUGUUGGGUCUUCAAGCAGUCCGGCAAGCUCAACGCCGUACACAAGGGGGAGGAUACACCAAGUGAAGACGAGGACGAGCCUCCCAAGCAACACACUGGGGAACAAAAGAAAUUUCCACGAGAAGUCAAAACAGUAAACGUGUUACACGUGAUCAAGGGAAAAACAACGCGGCACUCCCAGGAAAAUAUACCCAAGUGCCUGUCACCGCGGAGUCCUGCCACUGGUCGUCUCAACCGAUCACUUUCGACCAUCGCGAUUACUCAGCAAGUAUCCGACGCGCUGGAUGGGCUGCCCUGGUAUUAGACCCAGUAAUUGGCGGAUAUCACUUCACACGAGUCUUGAUGGACGGUGGCAGCAAUCUAAACCUAAUAUAUCAGGAUACAAUCCGCGGGAUGAGGUUAGACCCAACAAAAAUUUGCCAUAGCAAUACUACCUUUAAAGGAGUAACGCCAGGCCCAAGGGCUCAUUGUACGGGCUCCCUCCUACUACAAGUUAUAUUCGGCUCCCCCGAUAACUUCCGUCAUGAGCAUUUAACCUUCCACAUCGCUCCGUUCCAAAGUGGCUAUCAUGCACUGCUCGGACGCUUUAAUGCAAUACCACACUACGCCUCCCUCACACUCAAGAUGCCCGAUCCAUGUGGCAUCAUUUCAGUGAACGGAAAUAUCAAGUGAUCUCUGCGCACCGAAGAGGGUGCGGCUGCCCUGGCAGCCGCACACUAAAGGCGCCCGGACCAGCGAAAGCAUCCAAUAGGUUGUCAAGACCUCAGACACAACUAAUCAAGUCCGGCGCCGCUAUUUAUACCGAAUAAGUGGUCACACCCCUAUUUGUCAAUACAAGGGGCUCAACGCGCGCAGACAAGUGGCAAUUUUUUCUCAUCUUGAAUUAUAUAUGGUUUCUUUAAAAACUAUCUUUUUGCAUGACAACUUUUUCACCUAAAUUCCUCUCUUUUAUAGAUGAUCAUCGUGCUACACCCGUCCAGGAUACGGCACAACAGAGACACAGGCGCAGACGUGCAGCAGGGACCCGCUCCAAGGAUUCUUUUUAGAUUAAGACCCUGCGUAAACCUUUUUUACUGUCUCUUGUUGAUACAUAUCCACCGUUGAGAAGGAUGCUGACGUCUUGGCAUGUGGCCAUGCCAGAACAAUGCACGUACCUGGACACAAGGGGCUUCUUACAAAGGCCAUUAUUUAGGCCCGGUUUAUACCACAAAGACCGAAUACUUUAGGGAGUGUUCGGCGUCGCGAGUUUGGCCCUAUAUGCAUCAGCUCUGAAUCAUUGUCUUUGGUCAAAUGUUGGGUUUUCCCAUCUCCUAUGUUUUGGUGCCUUACGUUCUGCUUUACCGGCUAAGGUAGCACUAGGAGAACUAACGCGAUUGUGCCCUGGUUCAUCCGGACGAGCACCUCAGUAGAGAAAGCCGAAAACUGACUGUCAUGAUAUAGCGUGAGACUGGUCAACCACUCGAUGACCUGUUGGAAUGUUAGAAUUCCUCCGCCUUAACAAAGAGCCGUUUUCCGGCCAGGCAUGUACACACCCCGGGAUCGGGAGAGUGCGGAGCCACCAGGGGCUAUCUAGUAGCCCCACUGUCAAACUCCUAUGGCUAAGUGAAAGUGCUAAAGCAUUAUAGUCUGGUUGCCUCGCUCGCUCCGCUAUCACCUCCUUAAUAGGACCAAGACGUUGGGUUAAGUGUGAACGCGUGUUUUUUGCGAGCACCUCCGCAUUAUAUGCGUGGGGGUUGAAGCCGAAGGCUGCAAUCUUUCAGGUUAUACACAUGUAUACAUAAACGAACGCCCAGGAGGCAUCAUAUUACUUUCAGGCAAAAGUAUAAAAAUAGCCUUAUAAAAAUUUAUAAAAGCAUUUCGCUUCCAAUGAGAUUACAUAUCACUCAAACAUAAAAAAAUUUGAGUACUGGGUCUCUAUCAAACGAGCACCCUCAAGAACUUCUUCAAAGUAGUGCUCAGCAGCCAUUCGACCUAUGGCCGAAUCCCGCGCUACAACAGUGGUAGCAUCCAUCUUCGCCCAGUAUGUUUUAACACGGGCAAAGGCCAUCCCUGAGCCCACUAUGCACGCCGACCUCUUCAUCGCAUUAAUGCGCGGCACCACAUCAAGGAACUGCUGCACCAAGCUAAAAUAGUUGUUCGGUUUUGGCCUUUCCGGCCAUAGCUGAUCCACAACAGACCUCAUGGCGAGUCCGGACAACCUAUUCAGUUCGCCCCAUUCGGCUAAUUGGUCAGUCAAUGAAAGCGGACGCUCGAGAGAAUGGAAUUGUGUCCAAAACAGCUGGUCCACUUCACGGUCCGUCUGACCCUGGAAGUACUUGGCCGCAUCGGCAGCGCUCGCCGCCAAAUCCAUAUACACAUCCUGCAAGCUCCAUAGCCGAUCCAGAGAGGCAUACCGUGGAUCCCCGAACUUCCUCCGCAACAUAAAGGAUUUCCCAGCUACAAUAUCCCCGGCUUCCCGCAGCUCCUCCUUCUUCGCCCUCGUAGCAGAGCGGAUGUCUUUUCACGUCGCAGUAGCCUUCUCAAGGUCCGAUGCCUUCGCUAGGUUUUCCUUUUCAAGAACCCGGCAACGGUCGGCGGCGGCUUGUAAUUCUAUGGCCAUCUUGGCCAUAUUAUCUCGGCUCUCGCCAUGCGCGGCCUUCUCGGCUUUCAACUCUUCGGCCGCCUUCAAAGCAGCCGCAUUACCAAACCUCGCUUGUUCCUUGGCUCGGGCAAGUUCUACCCGCAAGGCUUCAACAGUGGCAGCUCCAUCUGCAGUCACAACAUAUUAAAGAUACUGGCAUCAUGCUGCUCUUACUAUGUGGCGUUUACCAGAUAAUGACACUUACCAUGUGCCUCGUCAAGCCUUUUCUUAACAAGCUCGAUGUCGGCGUCUGCCGCAUCCAACUGCCGUUUUAAAUGGGAAAACUCGCUAGUCCGGCUAGCCACCGGAGCUUCCAUCACCUGCACAUAGAGGCAGUAUGGUUAUUACCUGGGAAUAUGAUCCUCUAUUCAUUGUCGUUUCCGACGACAACCAGAGUCUCAGGGGCUACUAUCUACAUAGGGCACACCUAGCAUGUGCAGGACUAUCAUACAUUAUUUUACGUACCUCAAAGCCUGUCAGUAGACUCAUAAAAGCUUCAUGCAAUCCGCUUUGGGCGGACGAGAUUCUAUCCAUCACCGUAUUCAUCAGCACAUGGUGUUCAUCUGAGAUGGCCACUCGCCCCACCAACUCCCUCAGAACAUCCGAUCGCACACUAGACGAUGCCGGACUCUUUUGUCCGCUCUCUUCGGGAGCCGGACACUAGGAGCUUCGGGGGUCAAUGGGAUUACCUCCUGGCCUCACCGGACUCGGAGAGGCCCUCCGCGACGACAUUUCGGGGUCGCCCGCUUCCGGAGCGGAGGAGUCCGGAGGAGGCGUUUCGCUCUCCAUCAUCUCUGGAAGAAGAUCCCUCGAAGACGAGCUCAUUUGAGAGGGGCUAAGGCCCGAACUGCAAAGAUAUAUGCGAUGGUUAUUUUCUCAGAAGAAAAAGAUGGCAUACCUGUACUAUUAAAGUAUUUCGGGUCACUUACGACUCGCUGGAGAAUUGAUCCCCCCCGCGGACUUUCUGUGGCUAAGGCACCCCCAAGGUAGGACCCUCUGUGGGAGACUUCUUCUCCCGUUUGGAAGCUUCGGCUUUCGAAUCCCCGGGCGCAGUCCUUUUCCUCCUCCGGUCGUCUUCCUUCAUGGAGACGCUCGCUCCCUCGGUUAGAAUGGGCAGCGUUGGGGGCCCACGUCCGCCUGUAUUAUCCUUCCCAGUAUCUUCCUUCAAAGGCUCCGGGUAGGGUGCGACCUGGAGCAUCUUUUCCAAUACCGGAUUGUCCAAACCCUCAGGGAGGGGGCCGAACACCGAAUCAACUUCGCCUUUGUUAGCUAGUCCUGGUCAAAAAGCGAACUCUCAGAAAUAACUUCGUAACAAAUGAGAGAUAGUAUGUUCGGCCGGAAGAUUCCUUACCUGUUCGGCGGCGCGGUUACUGGUCAGGCCCACGUCCUCGGUGAUUUCCGGACACUCUACCUGAGGUCCGAAGAAUGACUUGUACAUCUCCUCGUGCAUCAUGCCGAGGAAAUCUUGGAUGACACGCGGUCCCUCAGGAUUGAACUCCCACAAGCGAAGGGGCCGGCGUUUGCAAGCCUGGACUUGACGAACCAGCAUAACUUGUAUUACCGCAACCAAACUAAAAUCUCCAUUGAAGAGAUCCCGAAUGCGGCUUUGCAGUAUAGGCACGUCCUUGGCUGGACCCUAGCUCAGACCUCUGCUGAUCCAUGACAUCAGUUGUGGUGGAUGGCCCGAGCAGAAAAUAGGGGCGGCCGCCCACUUGGCACUUCUAGGAGCCGUGAUGUAGAACCACUCCUGUUGCCACAAUUCAGACACCUCUGGAAUGGAACCUUUGGGCCAUGGAGCUCCCGUCAUCUUGCAUAUUGAGGCACAUCCACACGCUCCAUGUUGCUCCUCGAUCAUCUUCGGCUUUACUUCAAAGGUCUUGAGCCACAGGCCAAAGUGAGGGGUAACCCGGAGGAAGGCCUCACACACGACAAUAAAUGUCGUGAUAUGAAGAAAGGAGUCUGGAGCUAGAUCAUGGAAAUCUAGCCCAUAAUAAAACAUCAAACCCCUGACGAAAGGAUCCAGAGCAAGGCCUAGACCUCGGAGGAAGUGGGAGACGAACACGACGUUCUCGUUGGGUUCGGGGGAGGGGAUGGCCUGCCCUCGGGCAGGCAGCCGAUGCAAAACCUCGGCGGUCAGAUAUCUGGCCUCCCUCAACUUUUUGAUGACUUCUUCCGUGACAGAGGAAGGCACCCAUCGGCCUUGAAGGCUAGAUCCGGGCAUGAUUGAAGGUUCAGAGCACCUGACCUGAACUUUGGGUGUUUGAGCUUGAGGUGGGAGAGGAUUCGAUUGAGCACGGGAGGGAAAAAUAAAAGCCUUGUCCCUUUAUAAAGAGGGUGAAUAUCAAGCAUCCUCUCCGUGGCCAUUUGGACAUGCCUAUAGUCUAGGAGUCCUAGAAGCGGUUGGGUUACCCACGCCCGUAUUGAUGAGAAUCCCGGAAUAAGGGGACACGAUCUAUGCUUUAACAAGACGUGCCAAGGAAACUGCCUCGCGUGACACGCUGAGGUGGGAUAAUAAAACAAUUCGAAUAAAGGCUUGGCCGUGGUGCAUCACACUACGGAAUACGUUAGCAGAUUAGAUUUGUGUAAAUAUUAUUCUGUCUAUGGCAAUAUGUGGAAACUUAUUUUGCAGAGCCGGACACUAUCUUUGUGUUCAAAAUCUUCUAUGAAGUACUUGGAGGAGGAACCCGCCUUGCAAUGCCAAAGACAUUCUGCGCGCCAGACUCGUCGUCAUUGAAGCCUGGUACAGGGGCUACUGAGGGAGUCCUAGAUUAGGGGGUGUCCGGAUGGCCAGACUAUACCAUCAGCCGGACUCCUGGACUAUGAAGAUACAAGAUUGAAGACUUCGUCCCGUGUCCGGAAGGGACUUUCCUUGGCGUGGAAGGCAAGCUUGGCGAUACAGAUAUAUAGAUCUCCUACCAUUGUAACCGACUUUGUGUAACCCUAACCCUCUCCGGUGUCUAUAUAAACCGGAGGGUUUUAGUCCGUAGGACAAUAUAUAGAACAACAAUCAUACCAUAGGCUAGCUUCUAGGGUUUAGCCUCUCCGAUAUCGUGGUAGAUCUACUCUUGUACUACCCAUAUCAUCAAUAUUAAUCAAGCAGGACAUUGGGUUUUACCUCCAUCAAGAGGGACCGAACCUGGGUAAAACUUCGUGUCCCUUGCCUCCUGUUACCAUCCGGCCUAGACGCACAGUUCGGGAACCCCUACCGGAGAUCCACCGGUUUUGACACCGACAACCGCCGAGUCGUUUUCUUGGUGUUGAUAGCAGCGGCUUUAGCCUUCUUGGAGGCUUCAUGAUCGUACUUAGCUUUCCAGAAAUCAGAUCUGGCCUGCAGAUGAAUAAACAAGGAUGAAAUAUCAAGCAAGUACUUAAGACGGCUGGGAAAAUACAAAGGAAUCAAAGGUUCAUUAACUCUGGCGCCGGGUUAAGUUUGCAGAAGGGGUUUAACCCGACCUUACUGCAGUCUUCGUAUUUGCCGUUUACUAGAAGGGUUGACAUUGCAACAAUAUCUUCUUCGGGUAAUUGGACGAAGCUGUGACGAAGAGAAUCAUUUGGGCCUCAACGAUAUUCACACAUCAGUUUUGAUCGGCGGCUGAGGGAGUCCUGGAUUAGGGGGUGUCCGGAUAGCCGGACUACAACCUUUGGACGGACUCUUGGACUAUGAAGAUACAAGAUUGAAGACUUUGUCCCAUGUCCGGAUGGGACUUUCCUUGGCGUGGAAGGCAAGCUUGGCAAUACAGAUAUGUAGAUCUCCUCCCAGUGUAACCGACUCUGUGUAACCCUAGCCCUCUCUGGUGUCUAUAUAAACCGGAGGGUUUUAGUCCAUAGGAGGAACAUCAAUCAUACCAUAGGCUAGCUUCUAGGUUUUAGCCUCUCUGAUCUCGUGGUAGAUCUACUCUUGUACUACCCAUAUCAUCAAUAUCAAUCAAGCAGGAGUAGGGUUUUACCUCCAUCAAGAGGGCCCGAACCUGAGUAAAAACAUUAUGUCCCUUGUCUCCUGUUAUCAUCUGCCUAGACGCACAGUUCGGGACCCCCUAACCGAGAACCGCCGGUUUUGACACCGACAUUGGUGCUUUCAUUGAGAGUUCCUCUGUGUUGUCACCUUUAGGCCCGAUGGCUCAUCCGAUCAUCAACAACUAUGUGGUCCAGAGUGAGACCUUUCUGCCCGGACAGAUCUUCAUGUUCGGCGGCUUUGCACUGCGGGCUAAUUUGCUUGGCCAUCUGGAGCAGAUUGAAAGCUACGCCCCUGGCCAUCAGGUCAGAUUUGGAAGUUUGAACUACAUAGCCGACAUCCGUGGAGACUUGAUCUUCGACGGAUUCGAGCCACAGCCGGGCACACUGCACUGUCACGAUGGGUAUGACCUAGCUCUGCCGCCGAACAAUACCCUAGAGGCCGCGCCCGCAUCAGCUUUGACCCUUAGCUCGGAGCCGACUGCGCCGAUCGAGGAUGGGUGGCUAGACACCGCCUCGGGGGCUGAAGUCUCAACAGCAAUCGAGCCGAACACCAGCCUCAUCCUCUGCGAAGCCCGUGACUCCAAGGCGUCGAACUCUUUUCCGGACUCCGAACCUUCCGUGCCCCUGCCAAUCGAAUCCGAUUGGGCGCCGACCAUGGAAUUCACUGCCGCGGAUAUCUUUCAGCACUCGCCCUUCAGUGACAUUCUGAAGUCACUAAGGUCUCUCUCUUUAUCAGGAGAGCCCUGGCCGGACUAUGGCCAACAGGAUUGGGAUGCGGACGACGUAGAAAUUAGACGCCCACCCGCCAACUACUUUGUAGCCACUAUCGAUGAUUUAACCGACAUGCUCGACUUCGACUCCGAAGACAUCGACGGUAUGGACGAUGAUGUAGGAGACGAACAUGAACCAGCGCCUAUAGGGCACUGGAAACCCACCUCAUCAUAUGACAUAUACAUGGUGGAUACACCCAAAGAAGGCAAUGGCGACGGAACAAUGGGGGAUGACCCCUCCAAGAAGCAACCCAAGCACCAGCGUCAGCAGCGCCGCUCUAAGUCCCGCCAAAGCAAAAAUGGUGAUGCCGGCACGGGAGAUAAUAACACCCCAGACAGUGCCGAAGACAAUUCCCUCCAACAAGAUUCAGCGCAAGAGGAUGGAGAAGCCAGCCCCCCUGAGAGAGCGGCAGACAGAGAAGAAGAGGACGAUAAUUACAUGCCUCCCUCCGAAGACGAGGCAAGCCUCGGUGAGGGAGUCUUGGAUUAGGGGGUGUCCGGAUAGCCAGACUAUACCUUCAGCCGGACUUCUGGACUAUGAAGAUACAAGAUUGAAGACUUUGUCCCGUGUCCGGAAGGGACUUUCCUUGGCGUGGAAGGCAAGCUUGGCGAUACGGAUAUGUAGAUCUCCUACCAUUGUAACCGACUUUGUGUAACCCUAACCCUCUCCGGUGUCUAUAUAAACCGGAGGGUUUUAGUCUAUAGGACAACAUAUAGAACAACAAUCAUACCGGAGGGUUUUAGGCUAGCUUUUAGGGUCUAGCCUCUCCGAUCUCGUGGUAGAUCUACUCUUAUACUACCCAUAUCAUCAAUAUGAAUCAAGGAGGACGUAGGGUUUUACCUCGAUCAAGAGGGCCCGAACCUGGGUAAAACUUCAUGUCCCUUGCCUCCAGUUACCAUCCAGCCUAGACGCACAGUUCGGGACCCCCUACCCGAGAUCCGCUGGUUUGACACCGACAUUGGUGCUUUCAUUGAGAGUUCCUCUGUGUCGUCGCCAUCAGGAAGGAUGCCUCGCCCCGUCUUUAAAUAUGGCACCAUUGCUAAGGGAGCUUUGGCUGUCGGCCAAACCCUCAGGCUAGGUGGUUUUCUUAUGAGCGCCUGUUCGGCUUCUACGCCGAUGAUGACCUCUCGAGCCAUCGAAAACAAUCUUGAUGUCAGCUCGGAACUUGCCGAGCAGUUAGAUCCAAUGGAGCUCUCCUCCAUAAAUGAGCUCUUGGAUCGCAUCGCCGCCCUGGGAGUCGCUACGGAUUACGACCAGAUUGGGCCUAAAACCGAUCUGAGAGAGAUUAACUCUCCCCAAGUCACCCAUCACGUUGCAGUGGUAGAAGGACAGUGCAGCGACCCUUCAUCUAUCUUAAGGACUAGCUACAUCCGGAUUCCCGAUCCCUCCAAGCCGGAUACCCGCGGAGGGGAGGAUAUCACUCAAGACCUGAACUUAGAGUCAGGCGACGGGCUAGAUUCAUUGGACAACAUCCAGGAAUCUAAGAUUUUCGAGUUCGGAAAUUCCUCGGCCUCUGAGCCUCAGAUUGGGUGAGGCUUCAGAUUUAAUUCCACCCACCCACCCGAACAUAAGCGAUCUAUCCCAAAUCAGGCAAGAGCCCGAUGAAACAGUACAUCAUUACUGGGCCAGAUUCCUCCUGGUUAGGAAUAGGAUAAGGGACUGCCGCGAGGAAGACGCAAUCUCAAUCUUCUGCAAUAAUUGCAUGGACAAGGGAAUCCUCAACGCCAUAAGUUGCCGUGAUAUUACACACUUCGCUGACUUAGCAUCCAUUGUACGAAAGUAAUAUGCAAUGGAAAGCGCCUGGAAAACCGAAAUAAAAUUCUGGGACGAUCCGGCCCUGAAUACAAACCCAGUCCGAAAUAAAAGGGUGCAUCAUCGCCAGGCACCCGGGUCAAACACCAAAAAGCAAAAACCCUCUAUAGGGCAUGUAAAAUUCACAGUACGGAGGCCGCCAUACCAACUCACAGCCUUAGAGCAUGUUGGAUACUCUGGUAAGUGGCCAAAAUUGGCGAAGUUCUCCUAAUUCCGGACGCCACAGAAAGCCACCCUAGAGACACCAAUACGGUAUUAACAGUCUUCGAGACUUUCACAUCAAAUAAUAUGCGAAAAAGGACACUCCGCAGCCUUGCCGAAGUCUACCAAGUAGCAACAAUGAACCCAUGGAGUGACACUGCUAUUACCUUUAACGCCAGUGAUGAACCUAAAUUCCGAACAGCCCGAGCACCAGCCGCAUUGGUCCUCAGUCCAAUAGUGGACGGCUUUCGUCUUACCAAGGUACUCAUGGACGACGGCAGCGGAUUGAACCUCAUUUAUGAGGAAACCCUUCAAAAAAUGGAAAUAGACUCGAACCGCAUUGAGCGAAGUAGCACAACCUUUACAGGAAUAAUCCCCACUCGGAAGCGUGUUGUACAUGAAAAAUCACACUAGAUGUGGUGUUCGGCACGCCGGAUAAUUACAGGUCCGAAGAGGUCACGUUCCAUGUGGCUCCGUUCAGCAGCGGUUAUCAUGCUCUGCUAGGGCGGGAAGCAUUUACAAUCUUCCCAGCAAUACCCCAUUACGGGUACAUGAAGCUCAAGAUGCUCGGGCCUAACAGGAUCAUCACUCUCUCUAGUGAUCCAGACAUAGCACUUCGCGCCGAACACAAGACAGCCGCACUGGCCCUCGAGGCACUAUCCGAAGCCCUAGCGGCUGAGGAACUGACUGCGCUGUGCUCCAUGGUGAAUAGGGACGAUGUGGUACUCGACAAAAGAUCCAAGUCCACCUCCUUUAAACCGGCGGACGAAAUAGUCAAAUUCCAGGUCCAUCCAACGGACCCCAAUAAAACAGCUUCCAUCGGGGCACAAUUAAACCCUGAUGUAGACGCCGCACUGUGAGAGUUCCUACGAGAGAACUAGGACAUUUUCGCCUGGCACCCUUCAGACAUGCCAGGAAUCCCAUGCAGGCUGGCCGAGCACAGCUUAAAUAUCCUAAAAGGAUUCAAACCUGUCAAACAAGCUAUUCGGCAUUUUUUCGAACCUAAGAGACAGGCCAUGGGAGAGGAGCUAGCAAAGCUAUUGGAGGCCGGAUUCAUCAGAGAUAUAAUACAUCCGGACUGGCUAGCAAACCUGGUGAUGGUACCAAAGAAGGACAAAUCCUGGCGCCUGUGCGUUGAUUUUAAAGACCUUAACAAGGCUUGCCCAAAGGAUCCCUUCCCCCUCCCCCGCAUCGAUCAAAUUAUCGAUGCUACCGCAGGACACAUUCGUUGUGUUUCCUCGAUGCAUAUUCCGGCUACCAUCAAAUCAAGAUGGGAGAAUCAGACCAAGCCACAACGGCAUUUAUCACACCAUACGACCCAUUCUGCUUCAACACAAUGCCCUUUGGGCUCAAAAAUGCCGGCGCAACAUAUCAGCGUACGAUUCAGACAUGUUUGGCAAACCAGAUCGGCAAAACAGUGGAGGCAUAUGUAGAUGAUGUGGUCGUCAAAACAAGACAUGUAGAAUCUCUAGUAGAUGACUUGAGGCUCAUAUUUGAUAACCUCCGAACAUACGACAUCAAGCUCAACCCGAAAAAAUGCGUUUUCGGCGUCCCAACCAGAAAGCUCUUGGGCUUCAUUGUAUCCGGUAGAGGAAUUGAAGCAAAUCUAGCCAAGAUCCGAGCUCUGUCACAAUUGGAUAUCCCGAAGGACAUCAAACAAAUACAAAAGUUAACCGGAUGCGUGGCGGCUCUAAGCCGCUUUAUCUCCCGCUUCGGAGAAAAGGCCCUACCCCUUUACCGCCUCCUUCGGCGCACCAAACACUUCGAAUGGACGGAUGCAGCCACGGCCGGACUCGAUGAAAUAAAAGCCAUAUUGGCAACAAACCCAGUCCUGGCCGUGCCAAACAUUGGCGAACCAAUGCUAUUGUACAUUGUAGCAACACAUCAGGUUGUAAGUGCAGUGCUCAUCGUCGAACGAGAAACGGACAGACACAAAUUCCCCCUUCACAAGCUGGUCUAUUAUGUGUCCACUGUCCUCACUCCAUGCAAAUCAUGGUACUCGCAUUAUCAAAAGAUUGCUUACACGAUAUUCAUGGCAUCCCGGAAGCUACGACACUACUUUCAAGAGUGUUCAAUAACAGUAGCCUCGGAAGUACCACUUAACGAUAUUAUAAACAACCGUGACGCAAUGGGCCGGAUUGCAAAAUGGGCCAUUGAGCUCCUCCCAUUCGACAUAACUUAUAAGCCACGGCGAGCCAUCAAGUCGCAAGUUUUGGCCGACUUCGUCGCAGAAUGGACGGAGGUCGAACUCCCUAAAGAGUACGGCACAUAUUCAAAUUGGAUCAUGCAUUUUGACGGCUCCAAGAUGUUGGUCGGACUAGGGGCUGGGGUCGUUGUGACGUCCCCCACAAGAGACACAGUUCAAUACGUACUCCAGAUUAUGUACACAGACUCCAACAAUGCAGCCGAAUAUGAGGCCCUUUUACAUGGUCUCCGGAUGGCAGUAUCCAUGGGCAUUCAACGCCUAGAGGUGCGCGGGGACUCGAACCUCGCAAUAUCCCAAAUAAAUGGAGACUUCGAUGCCAAGGAUCCAAAAAUGGUAGCUUACCGCAAUGCCGUCCUAAAAAUGCCAGCUCGGUUCGAAGGGCUUGAAUUUCACCAAAUAGCCCGGGAAAAUAAUCAGGCGGCAGAUGUCCUGGCACGCAUCGGCACAAAACACGAUGUAGUCCCCCCACAACAUCUUCUUGGAAAGGCUGUUCAAGCCAUCCGUAGUAUGGAAGGGGAGCCGAACAAUAACAGCCCGGAUCCAACCGCAUUGCCCGACACCGAACAUUCUGACACAAUCGGAGGCUCUGCCAAUGAAAUAACACCUUCAGCCCAUGUAAUAAUGGCCAUCAUCGCCCCGUGGACAGAAUCAUUCCUCGCCUACCUUACUAGGCAGGAACUCCCCAAGGACCAAAAUGAGGCACGCUGCAUAGUGCGGCGAUCCAAAGCCUACAAAGUCCACGAGGGAGAGCUUUAUAAGAAAAGCACUACCAGAGUCCUUCAAAGGUGCAUCUCCGAAGAGGAAGGGCGGAACCUCCUGGCUGAAAUUCACGCCGGACUCGGCGGUCAUCACGCUGCAGCUCGGUCCCUUGUAAGCAAGGCCUUCCGUACAGGCUUUUAUUGGCCGACGGCCCAGGCAGACGCCCAGGACUUAGUCCAACGAUGCGUUGGUUGCCAACUCUUUGCAAACCAAAGCCAUAUGCCACCCACCGCCCUCCAAACUAUCCCCAUCACUUGGCCCUUCGCGGUCUGGGGGCUUGACAUGGUUGGACCCCUUAAAGGCGGAACCCACAAGCAAAAAUACUUACUGGUCAUGGUGGAUAAGUUCACCAAAUGGAUAGAAGCCAAGCCUGUUAAGACGGCCGAAUCCGGACCGGUGAUAGACUUUAUAUCCGGGGUUGUACACCGUCACGACGUCCCCCACAGCAUCAUCACUAAUAACGGCACGAACUUUAGGGCCGACGAGGUAAAACUCUGGUGCAAAAACAUGGGCAUCAAGCUCGAUUAUGCUUCCGUCUAUCACCCACAAACUAACGGCGAGGUCGAACGUGCAAAUGGUCUUAUCAUGAGCGGCAUCAAACCCAGAUUAGUGCGGUCCCUCAAGGAAUCUAACAACCACUGGGUAGAGGAUCCCAACUCCGUACUCUGGGGGCUGCGGACCACGCCGAAUCGCACCACCGGAUACACACCAUUCUUUAUGGUGUACUGCGUAGAGGCAGUUUUGCCUUGCGACAUAAUUCAUGACUCACCUCGAGUGCGCAUGUACGAAGAAAGAGAAGCCAAGCUCGAUCGGCAGGACAGUUUGGCCGCAUUGGAGGAGGAGUGUGACGUGGCAAAAGCCCGUUCCGCAUUCUAUCAACAACAGGCUCGAAGAUACCAAAGCAGAGAAGUAUGGGCCAAAAAUUACAACGUUGGCGAAUUAGUUCUAUGCCUACCGGACAAGAAAAAGGACAAACUCAAGCCCAAGUGGGAAGGUCCCUUCAUAAUUGACCAAGUCCUGACUGGUGGAGCGUACCGCCUGCGAGAUGCAUCGGAUAACUGACUCGAGCUGAACCCAUGGAACACAGCCCGUCUCUGAAGAUUCUAUGCCUAGCGCCGGACUCUGUGUUCGUCUCCUUCCUCUGUCCCUUUUUUAUAUACUGUCUGUCUUACAUUUCUCUCCUUCUCCCCUUCCUUUCUCUUAUAGCCUAUAAAGGCUCAUCAAAUGAUGUGCUAUUCGCACUCAUUAAACCUGGGGGCUUCUUUUAACAGAAGCUUAUUUAUACGGGCUUCAUGCCCAACACAUGUGUUACGCUUCCGCAUGUACCUUUUAUUUCACCAUUAUAUGCAUCGAUAUGACUUAAGUUUUGGCCAAGCUGGGUUGCCUGGAUCCUGUGCUUACCCCUAUGUUCCCGAUUAUUCGGCUAGGUGGUAAAGGGAGCACCUCUGCGAUUAUUACUACCGGAUGAGCCGGAUGUGUACCUCAGACUGGGUGAAUCCGAAAGCUAGCAUUCUUAAGGAAUAUUCGGUCGGUGACCUAAAAGAUGAUCUUUUCACUUAUUUAUUUAUGCGCCCCCAGAUGCUUUUUCCCGCGUCUUUUUCGCAGAAUGGGCAUGCACUUUAGGGCAUGCCUCCCAGGGAAAGGAACCCCUAACAGAACUAUUCUCCCUAGAAGAUGUUUCUUACUAACCAUGUAAUAUAACAUAACUAGUCGGGCACUUGUCUGUUCACACACUAAUGACCCCUACGCCUGGUCUCCAUGCAUUCCCCGGUUCUUAUAUAACCGCAUGGGAAUUCGGGCACACUCCGGACCGUCAGGUCCCGAGGCUGAAGCGAAAAGGUCGGCCAUGACAAACGAUCUACGAUCCGGCUAGAAGGCAUUAUAAAUGUCAAUUAAAUUACAUAGUCAUUCUGACAGGUUGUAUUCCUCCUCAAUACCAUCUAACAGGCUGUCUAAUUUAUGGUCCUGCUAGGAAUACUUUGUGGCCCAUUCUACUUGGCCGUAUACUAAGCUUACAGGGAUCUCCUUCCCAUCGGGCCCCACAGGACCGACCUCGGCCAUGUGGUUGGGGUCAGCCUUUGUGUACCGCGUCUUCACCAUGGCCCAGGCCUCCCUAGCACCUUGACGGCAGGCCGAUAUCUUCCACAAUCGGAAGCACCGUCGUGCUCCCUUUAGCUUCUCCGCAAGCUCUCCAAGACCUUCAGGCAUGGAGAUAGAUGGCCACAAGGCCUGGGCGACGCCUUGCAUCACCUGCCGAACUCGCUCGAGCAGUUGCGAGAGCUCGGGAAGAAGGUCACCCGCAGAACCGGGCAUCUCCUCUGCAGGACGACCUAUUAGCACACCUACAGACAUUACUCUCUUAGUCGACUUCCCCGCCGAACUUUUUUUUCAAAGGUUCAUUCAAGCACUUACUAAAUAUGCUGCGUCGAAGCCGCUGAUUCUCCUUAACGGAGUCUGACAGCUGGGCAUGAACAUCUUUCAGGUCGACGCCCAGCUUUGUGUUGGCAUCUUGGAGAUCGUUCUUCUCCCGCCUCACCUUUGUUAGUACCUUCUCACCAGCCUUCAGCUGGCGUAGGAGUUGUUGCCUUUCCGGACUCAAUCCGGCGCCAUCUGCAAUUUCAUUUGUCAUAUUCGCACCCAUGCCGCGCUUCGCAAAAUACUUAUCUUUCGAAGUGUAUAUUACCAGAGGGGGUCUCCUUGGGCUCCCCUGCCGCGGCUAGUGUGGCCUCAAGUUGGGCUUUGCACUCUUCCAGCUCCUGGGACAGUAGGGAAUUCUUUUCUGUAAGAACCUGCAUAACAAAUGAUCCUUAAAUCAGUUAUUCUAAUUGUUUCAAGUCUCGGGGGCUACUGGUAUAUAUAUAUAUAAUUACCAAAAUUUUCUUACCCGUAUGUCCUUUGCAUAUUGCUCCGUGGCUCUAGCUAGACCAUUUUGAGCGGCACGGAGGUACGCAUCUCCUGAAUUGAAGGCAUCUAAUUCCUCUUGGGAGAAACAAGCGUCGCAAAGAAUUGACCGGCGACGCCUGUGGUUCAUGGCACUCUCCACCUCAGAGUUGGUGGCAGACAAGUUGUCCACAUCCUCCGUCGGAGGAGCGUUCGGUGUGCGCCUCGUGUUCGCCUCCGUCUCCGGACCAGGAUUUGGAGCCUGGCUGGUGGAGGCGCGAUUGGCAGCCUCUCCGGAUAUAGUCCGGCGAGGUCUCUUUGUCCUGAAGAGAGCACGAGCAUUAAUAUGCCUUGAAGGUAUAACACCUGGGAUAAGGGGGCGCGCCAUACCUUUGCGUUAACGCCUCGGUCCGGACUGCACCUCUUUUCUGCUCACGGGGCCCUGUGGCCCCUCGUUGGCUUGUCGCUGCAGGUUCGGCCUCCCAUCUCAAAAACCUCCCCUGCAAAGCUCGGUUGUAAUCAGGAAACUGAAAACACGAGAUUGCGGACCCCUAUUCGGGGUGCUGGGACUUCGAUCUCGGUUACCUGGGAGGCCAGUAUUAGCCCUGGGUAAUCGGCCGUAAUGGCCACCAAGGCGUUGUCCUUGCUCAAUUGAUGGAACACUCCAUCAAUCAGCUCAACAGAUAAGUCCGGAUCCUCUUGAGAGGCCGGGUCGAGGGACCGUCCUGGGUCCUCGGGUUGUGGAGAUGGGCUAUUUAUUUCUUUAACAGCCUGGCACAGUUCCUGCGUUGAAGUCGUUAGACUGAAUAUUUAACAAUGGGAAUAUAAAACGGAUGGGCAAGUAAACCACUUACCCAGCUUGGGGGAUUGUACAUAGAAAAUCCACCCUAUGGGUUGACGCGGAGAAAUUCCUCCUCUUCUCCCUUGUAUAAAGCGGACAAGGUCUUUGUUAGGGAUGGAGCCGAAUCCGGUCCCUUACGGCCGUAGCGGGUGGUGUCGUCCUCCCCAUUGAAAUCCCACAUGGGGUGGCCUCUGUACUAUAGCGACUGCACCCCUCGCAUGAUGCAUGCGGCCAUGACCGUGAUCAUGGUCAGUCCGGAAUGAGCUAGCAAUCUUAUCCGGCCAUCAGGUAACGGACGUCCUUGUCACUUUCCCUCUGAGGGCUCCGUGGAUGCAAACUUAGGCACUUCUUUAGUGGAGCACUGUCGAACUCAAGGAGGCCGAUCCGGACAGGAUCCGGCAGCGGGACGUCCUCUAUGUAAAACCAUUCCGAAGGCCAGUCCUCGGACGCCUUCUUUGGGGUUCCGGAUAGAUAUACGGUCCCGGUGAUGCGCCACACUUCGGCUCCGCCCACUUUAAAUAUUGACCCCUUCUGAGAACGGGGCACAAGGCAGAAUAGCUCUUUCCACAGCCCGAAAUGAGCCUCAACACCCAAAAACAGCUCGCAGAGGGCUACGAAGCCCGCGAUAUGCAAUACGGAGCCAGGCGUAAGAUUGUGUAGCUGGAGGCCAUAGAACUCCAGGAGCCCCCGGAGAAACGGAUGGAUUGGAAAUCCGAGCCCUCUUAUUAAAUAAGGGACAAGGCAUACCUGCUCUCCCUUGGAGGGAUUAGGGGCACUCUCCGCUUGCUCUCCACCAUUAUGGAUGGCAAGACCGGCUCGAACCGGGACCAUAUAGGCCGGGGGAAGAAAUCCCUUGGUCUGGAGCGUUACUAGCUCGCUAUGCGGGAUGCAGCAUCUCUCCCAAUAUCCAGGCUGAGGGCUGGAAGGGCAAAAGGAGGAGUUGUGACGGCUGGCCAUGGUAGAAUGGACCUUUGUCAGAUGCGCUCUGAUGAACACUCGCGAAGGGGAGAAGGUGUGGUUUGGAUCUAAAUCCUCAUCCCUUUAAAUGGGCGGCUCAUUUACGCGGCUAGGGGUGUGGAUGUAAAAAUGCUAAGACUUUUCAUAUUCGUUUGACACGUGGGAAACGGCCAUUAUUGGGCGUAGAAGCCAAGGAGCGCAACAUUUACAAGAAACUGGACUUCAUUCAACAGGUACACGGAAUUUGGAGGAGAACCCGCCUUGCAAUGCCGAAGACAAUCUGCGCGCCGGACUCAUCGUCAUUGAAGCCUGGUUCGGGGGCUAGUGAUGGAGUCCUGGAUUAGGGGGUGUCCGGAUAGCCGGACUAUACCUUCAGCCGGACUCCUGGACUACGAAGAUACAAGAUUGAAGACUUCGUCCCGUGUCCGGAAGGAACUUUCCUUGGCAUGGAAGGCAAGCUUGGCGAUACGGAUAUGUAGAUCAUCUACCAUUGUAACCGACUUUGUGUAACCCUAACCCUCUCCGUUGUCUAUAUAAACCGGAGGGUUUUAGUCCAUAGGACAACAUAUAGAACAACAAUCAUACCAUAGGCUAGCUUCUAGGGUUUAGCCUCUCUGAUCUCGUGGUAGAUCUACUCUUGUACUACCCAUAUCAUCAAUAUUAAUCAAGCAGGACGUAGGGUUUUACCUCCAUCAAGAGGGCCCGAAACUGGGUAAAACUUCGUGUCCCUUGCCUCCUGUUACCAUCCGGCCUAGACGCACAGUUCGGGACCCCCUACCCAAGAUCCGUCGGUUUUGACACCGACACUCAGCGACGGCGAAUUUGUCGUGCCUGAGGAUCCCAUCGAACAAGAGCACUUUAAGCACAGACUUAUGGCCUCGGCGAGUAACCUUAAGAAAAAACAGCAAUAGCUUAGAGCUGAUCAAGACUUGCUAGCCGACAGAUGGACGGGAGUCCUUGCGGCCGAGGAAUACGAACUCGAACGCCCCUCUAAGAGCUACCCAAAGCGCAGGUUGCUACCCCGUUUAGAGGAGGAAGCACUUAAACCUACAUCACUAGCGCAUGAUGCGGCUGACCGGCCACCUCACGGCUGCGACAGAGAGUCCUCCUGGCCCUCCACUCAAGCCGCACCCCGGCGUCGCUCAAAAAAUACCAAGCCAAUACCUCCCACUCAAGCUUAAAGGACCAGCUCGGCAUUGGCUUAAUAGCCUGCUAGCAAAAUCAAUUGGUUGUUGGGAGGACCUGGAAGCCGCAUUCCUCGACAACUUCCAGGGCACUUAUGUGCAACCACCAGAUGCCGAUGACCUGAGCCACAUAAUUCAGCAGCCAGAAGAAUCUGCCAGACAAUUCUGGACAUGGAUCCUAACCAAGAAAAAUCAAAUCGUUGACUGUCCGGACGCAGAGGCCCUAGCAGCCUUCAAGCAUAACAUCCGUGACGAGUGGCUUGCUCAGCACCUUGGACAGGAAAAGCCGAAGUCUAUGGCAGCCCUCACGACACUCAUGACCCGCUUUUGCGUGGGAGAAGACAGCUGGCUGGCUCGUAGCAAUAACAUGACCAAGAGCCCUGGUAAUUCGGAUACCAAGGACAGCAAUGGCAGGUCGCGUUGCAACAAGCACAAGCGCCACAUUAACAGCGACAACACUGAAGAUACCGCAGUUAAUGCUGGAUUCAGAGGCUCUAAGCCCGGUCAGCGGAAAAAUCCAUUUAAGAGGAACACUCCGGGCCCGUCCAGUUUCGACCGUAUAUUCGAUCUCUCGUGCCAGAUACAUGGCACCCCCGAAAAACCAGCCAAUCACACCAACAGGGAUUGUUGGGUGUUCAAGCAGGUCGACAAGUUAAAUGCUGAAAACAGAGACAAGGGGCUGCACAGCGACAAGGACGAAGAGCCCCGGCCGCCGAACAAUAGUGGAUAGAAGGGCUUCCCCCCACAAGUGCAGACGGUGAACAUGAUAUACGCAACCCACAUCCCCAAAAGGGAGCGGAAGCAUGCACUCAGGGACGUAUACGCGUUGGAGCCAGUCACCCCAAAAUUCAACCCAUGGUCCUCCUGCCCGAUCACUUUUGAUCGAAGGGACCACCCCACUAGCAUCCGCCAUGGCGGAUUCGCCGCAUUGGUUCUAGACCCAAUCAUUGAUGGAUUUCACCUCACUAGAGUCCUUAUGGACGGCGGCAGCAGCCUGAACCUGCUUUAUCAGGAUACAGUGCGGAAAAUGGGAAUAGAUCCCUCAAGGAUUAAACCCACAAAAACGACCUUUAAAGGCGUCAUACCAAGACGCCAACUGUACAGGCUUAGUUACACUUGAAGUAGUCUUCUGAUCCCCGGAUAAUUUCCGAAGUGAGGAGUUAAUCUUCGACAUUGUCCCGUUCCAUAGUGGCUAUCACGCACUGCUUGGACGAACCGCAUUUGCAAAGUUCAAUGCGGUGCCGCACUAUGCAUAUCUCAGGCUCAAGAUGCCAGGCCCUCAAGGAGUCAUUGCGGUCAAUGGAAACAUUGAACGCUCUUUCCAAACGGAGGAGCACACGACGGCCCUCGCAGCGGAAGUACAAAGCAGCCGCUCAAGGCAAUUCUCCAGUCCGGCUAUUAAACGUCUAGACACCGUCAAGCGCACCCGGAUUAACCUACAACAAGACCGACUGGCACGUUCCGAGCAACUGUAGCAAUACGGCCCCAAUCCCAGCCCUCGCGAAACUGUGAAAUUAGUACAACGCGUACAUAACUACGCUCUGAAAAUACCAUGGGCACAGGGGGAGGGGCACGACCAUGGCACGCCCAAAAAUGCGGCUCAACCGCACUAGGGGCCCCCGAUUUUGUCAUUAUUUCCUACUUUCAGGACUCCCCUCUUCGGAAGGCCUGUCCGGCAGUACAACUGCCGAACACACGAUGCAACAACCAAGGAGGCAGAAAGCUAUGUCGAAUUCCCAGGUGGUCUCUAUAAUGAGCAAAAUACCUGUCUUACAUACCGUCUCGCAGCUCACCCCUGGAGGGGGACAUGUCAAAUAGUCCCAUCUCUUCCUUAUCACACUAUUUGUAUCAUUCUGCUUUCAGAGCAGCCUUUUAAAACAAACAAUGCUUAGCUUCAGCUUAUUAUUGCAUUCUCUAUUCAUUUAUUUUUCAAUACAUAUGUUCAGUUAUGACAUUUAGCUCCCGUACACUUUGGUACGGUCCAUACGCGAGGGGCUCAAGCACCCCAUAAUACGGCGUGAGAAGUCCAAACACUUUCACAAAGUGCGGCCCUCCGAACUUAUAGCAUUAUAUGCAUCAGCUCUGAAUCAUGUCUUUGGUCAAUAGUUGGGUUUGCCCGGCUCCCAUGUUUUGGUAUCUUACUUUCCGCUAUAUCGGCUAAGGUAGCGCUGGGAGAACUACUGCAAUUGUGCCCCGGUUGAGCUGGGCUAAGCACCUCAGUAGAGAAAGCUAAAACUGACUGUCAUGAUAGGACGAGAGCUGGUCGCUGUUCGGGAGGUUUCGAGUCCCUAAAGACUUAUGCCGCUUAGAGCGAGCAGUCGGCUUUGUCCGGCCUAGGCGUGUAUAGCGCCCCGAACUCGGUCUUCCGAACACUAGGGGCUUCACUGAAAUUUAAAAUUAUAGAAUUCUCUGGCUAAGUGAGAAUGAUAAUGAAUUAUAGUCCGAUUGCCUUGUUCGUUGUGCUGAGCACCUCCCUCGAAAGACCCAAGAAUGGGAAAAAGAGUGCCCAGGUUUAUCCCGAACACCCCAGCACUCGUGGCAUGGGGGCAUAAGCCAACGACUCGCCAUCUCUCAGACUCGAUAAACGGCCGCAUAGAAGGUAAUAUUUUAAAUUAAAACAAGCGUUGCAUAGCGUAUAUGAACAAGUUUUCAGCGCACAGGAUAAAACGAACAAGUUCACUCAAAUAUUACAUCUUUGGAACAUUCGUCCGCCACAACGCGGGCACCCUUCAAGACGCCCUCAUAAUACAUCUCGAGGUGGCGAUGCUCCUUGCCCUGCGGUGGCCCGUCCGUCACAAGCUUCUCCGCAUCCAUCUUACCCCAGUGCACUUUAGCACGGGCAAGCGCCCUACGGGCACCUUCGAUGCAGACGGAGCGCUUGACGACUUCAAGCCAUGGACAGGCAUCCACCAGCCGCCUCACCAACCCGAAGUAGCUCCCAGGCAGGGCCUCUCCAGGCCAUAGCCGAACUAUAAGGCCCUUCACGGCCUGCUCGACCAGUUGCUUCAGCUAGUCUCUCAAGGGCACCGAGUGUCCGGCCUCAGCAUACUAAGACCAAAACACCUUCUCUGUCGAGCUUCCCUCCUCGACCCGGUAGAAGGCGGCGGCAUCUGACACGCUAAGGGGCCAAUCUGCAAAUGCUCCUGGAGAGCUCCGGAUUCGGGUAAGUAACAAGUAAUUCACUUUCACGUGCUUGCUUUGCAUAAAGAAUGCCUUACCCGCCGCUAUCUUCUUCAUCACCUCAACUUCCUGGAGGGCUUUUUGGGCUUCAGCCUUGGCAGACUUGGCGCUUUCAAGGGCCGCCGUGAUCUCGGACUCUCGCGUCUUUGAGUCAAGCUCUAAACUCUCAUGUUUUUUCAUGAGAACCUAGAGCUCUUGCUGCACCUCCACAACCCGCACCUCAUGUUUCUCCCGCUCGGUGCGCUCCGUGGCUGUCGGGACCCCGAUCCCAAGUCACACCGAUCUAGCAUGUAACACAUCAUAUCACUUUGCGGCCUCACGCACGGUAUUCCCACGGGUGCCACCUUACCUGGCCCGGGACUGUUUGCGCCUUUUGGCUCACGUAUAUGAUAGUGUCGCUAACAUCCAUAUGACAAAGAACCCAGGCUGACAUGGCUAGUCGUGAAUCCAAAGCGGCACCAACCCAUGAGGACAGGCAUACAUGAACCACAUCGAGCAUGUCGGUCAUCAACGUGUGAAUUCGGGCUGUAGCACUGGGCUAACAGGACUCCGGAUGUCAGCGCGUGACAUUUCCCCGAAGGGACAGACACAGGAACGAAGUGAAACACAUGCCGGGCAGUCAAGUGUUCUGAGCAAUAGUGCUGGGCUAGCAGGACUCCGGUGAACCGGGCUGUAGCGGACUACUAUGGCUCAAGGAAGCACUAGACUACAUUUCCUAAUAAGAGAGGCUGCCAGGACAAACAACUAGAUUGUCGGAUCCCACACAUAGCAAUACACGAUACACGUACGCAUAUCAUGCAAGUAUGUGAUGUACACCAUGGCAUCACAACAUAACUCAAACUCAUAUAGAUAAAGGCCCAGAAGAGCCACAUAGCAAUCAAUACACACAGGGGUCUCAUGACCCAUCAUUCAGAGCAUACAAGCAACGGAAGCAUUACAUGUCUGAGUACAGACAACUACAAAAGGAAAAGACUAAGAGGCCUAACUAAACACGACCCUCCCAAGGGUACAAGAUCGUAGCUGGGAUACAAGCUACUCGUCGAAGUCACUAGCGUAACCAGCUGCAAAACAUAAAUAAGCAAACGUGAGUACAAAGGUACUCAGCAAGUCUUAUGUCAGAACUAUCUACAUAUGCAACAUUAUCAACAAAGGGGGUGGUGGAGUUAACAGAAGCAAGCCAGCUUUGACUCAGUGGCUAGCCUAUACUACGAGUAUCAGAAAUUUCUUUGGGGUGAGAAGAUGCACACGAGUCCACAUAUUCACCAUAUCAAUACUCCACUAUGGAUCCGUUCCCGUCUCCCUACGAGAAGGCCAUCCAUAGCACUCACGCUUAUCUUGCCGAUUAUAGAGUAUCCACUUCAAGUUGUCUAUGUACUACAUAAGUCCUCCAAGUUUCCAUAUCCGAGGAAAACGGCUAUUCGAAUAGAUAAUAUUGACCCUGCACGGGUGUACUUCGUCACACACGCUCCCGCCACUUAUAGCCCUGUACACGUCAUGUACCUCGGCAACCUUCAAGCGGAAGCCGGGCGAGGGUGUCGGCCACGACCUGACUAACCACACAAGUCUCUCGUCCAGGUUUAUCGCCUAUUCGGGUUCCAUCCGCAAGGAGAUCCAGCCGGGGUGUCGCUCACGGCCCCAAAUGAUGUGUGCAGGGUUCCCAAGCCCACCAUCCGGGUGCCACUUGGUACACCAUGCCACGGUGCCUAGUCUGUCCCAAGCCCGUCCCGUCGGACACCACUUGGUAGACAAGUAGCACUACCUACAAACACUAGAAACUAGUUGCAACUCCUGGACAGAGAUCAAGUGGAUUAAUAAGCCGAGAGGGGCCGGAUAACCGGAACCCAAUGUGUGGUAGUAACUGGACUUGGAUAACAUACACAGAACUCAGUCCUUAGGGACGGUUCCAAUGAGACAACCCACCAUGUACUCCUACAUGGCCUCUCAUCGCUACCUUUACCAAAACGUGUUCACACACUUAGCCUUUAACGGUAGGACAUGUUCACCACUCCGAUUCAUUACCGAUGAAUCAGACCUGACACAACUCUAAGCAUAGCUGGCAUAGAGAAAAACAAGCAUGGAUGAGCAGGCACAUCAAGGCUCAAGCAACUCCUACUCAUGCUAGUGGGUUUCAACUAUUUACUAUGGCAAUGACAGGUCAUGCAGAGGAAUGGGUUCAGCUACCGCAGCAGAAAGUAGUAGUUGAAUCGUUAUUGUCCUAAUCCAGUAUAAGGAGCAGGAGCGAGAGAGUGGGAUUUUAUCGAGAUGCUCAAGGGGGUUUGCUUGCCUGAUAGAUCCACGAAGAAACACUGCUCCUCAGAUAGGUACUCGGGACACCUUCCGGAGCAGAACCUAUCGAGAGGGAACGGUGCCGGCAAUCAAUAAACAACCAUAUGUAACAGUAUGAUGCAUGAAGAUGACAUUUCAAAGAUGCUAUGAUUUGCCCUAAUGCAUGUAGCAUCAAUUUGGUUGAAGUCCAUAUGAACCAAGGAUUCAUAUGCAAACCCCAAUUUAAGUAUAUAACAUGCCAUUAUUACAUUUUCACUUAUACAGCAAGUAUAAGUUGGUUUUUCAUGCAUGAAACUAGAAUAAAUGGAUUCCUUGCAUUUUUCUGAUAAUUUUUCAUAUAUAAUUUAUUUGAUUUGGAGUUACGGUUGAAUUUCUAUGAUUUUUAGAAGUUUUAACUAUUUUCUGAAAUUUCCUGAUUUAAAUUAAUACCAGAAAAUGAUAUAAUGCGUCAGCACAGCGUCAUGCUUACGUCAGUAGGUCAAAGGCGGCUGACCAGGUCAAACCUGACGUGUGGGGUCCACACGUCAGUGUCUGUGGUUAAUCCUAAUCUAAAAAUAACCUAAACUGGUUUAGUUAAUGGGGUUGGGCCCACGCGUUAGUGACCCAAUUAGCUAAACAGGGUUUAAUUAGUUGUUAAACUAAUCCUAACUAAAACUUAACAGGGCCGGGCCCACAUGUCACUGACCCUGGGUAGUCAAACCCCAGGUCAACUGGGGGGUUAGACCGGUCAACCCCACCGGCGUUUAGCCGCCGACGAGGCCGAACGCGGCGGAGGGGCUCGGGAUCGCCGUUCCGGCGACCAAAAGGACGGCGGAGGGGCUCGGCGUGGAGCUGGCCGUGCGCCGCAUCCAUCUGUGCGAACGGCAGGGGCUCAGGUGGCCCGAGCUCGCCGGAAUCAAGCUCACGACGGCGGCCGGAGUUCGGACCUCGACGGAAACGAAGCUACGGUGGACGGGAGGACGAACGGAUGCUUGUUUUGAGCUCUUGGGACCACGCUGAGCACAGACACGCGCUCAAACGCGGGCAGCAGCAACUGUGGCCGCGGCGGCUACGUGGCCGGCGGAGCAAAGCUCUCGGCCGUGACGGCGAAGCUAGCUAGAGGGAGGAAUCGACACUGGGAGUAUAGGGAAAUGACGGAGGGGCUCACUGCGAAAUCGAAGAGAAAGUCGUCGGCUCGGGGGAGUGGCCGGAGCAAGCGAGGCAGCGAUGGAGAUCUCCGGCGUCGGGAGGUUGAAGACGACGGCGUGGAGGCGCUCGGGGGCGUCCGACACUGCGUGGCCUGGCGGAGAGUACUAGGGCGACGAGGCGGACCUCAUGGGUACGUCGGGGAGGCGAUUGGAAGGCGGUGGUCGCGGUGGUGCACGUCGGUGCCCUCCGAUGCGCUCGGUACAGAGGGGAAGAACGAGACAGAGUAGAGGAGAAGCACGGGGGAGAGUGAGAGAGGCUUGGGGGGUGCGUGGCGACGCGAGGAAGGUCCAGGCGACGAUGGGGAGCGGCAAGCAGGAGCUGGCGAGGCGCGUGGCCGGCGCACGGCGUUGUGCCCGGCUUCUCCUCUGCCUACUGGCAAGAGGUAGAAGACGGGGCUGCCCCUGGUGGGCUGGGCCGCCAGGUGGGCUGGCUAGCUGGGCCGCCAGGUAAGAACAGGUAAGUGUUUCCUAUAUCCUGUUUUCUUUUUCUAUUUCUGACAUUUGUUUUGUAAUUAAAAGAAAUGAUAAAACAUUUCCAUAAAUGCUGAAAAUAAUUGUGGCAUCUAGAUAUAAUAUUCUAGAGGCCCUCGCCAAUUCCCAACAUUUUUGGAGCCAUUAAAAAUAUUUAUAUAAUUUAAACAGCUCCAAAUCAAAUAUUUAUGCAUUGAUUCAAAAAUCCAAAAUGUGUAGUAAAAAUGUGCACCACCUCUGGUUGUUGUUCCCAACAUUAUCCAAAGAGCAUGAACAUUUUUAAUAGCAUUUUGGGUUCAUUGAAAUUCCAUUUUUAAUUUGAACCUAUUUGAAUUGGUUUGGUGCUAGGGUUUGAAACAUCCCCAUUUCAAUUUCACUUGAAAAUUAAACAUGAUGCACAAAGCAAGCCAAGGACCAUACCAAACUAGGGAUGUGACAGUGGCCGCCUUCUUUUCGGCCUCGAAAAGCGCUUGCUUAAGGGUCGCCACCUCAGUCGUGGCCCCUAGGACACCAAUAGCGAUCCUGUCAUUUUUGGCAACUGCAUCUUUUUAAAUAUACUCCACAAGGUAUUACUUACCUUAUUUUUCCUCGUGCUCCUUUUUAGCACACCCGAGCUCUUGCUCGGACCGCUCGAGGCUCUGCUUCAGCGCAUCCACCUCCGCAGUCAGUGCGGCAGAGGCCAGCAGCGAAGCCUACAUACGCAUAUUGACUUAAUUAUGUUAGACUCCUGCGAAUCUUGGUAGAUCCUCUAUUCGGCUUUUCUUUACGAACGCCAAACAGAGCAUCAGGGGCUACUGUCUAUGCGGUAAUAUUUUCACAUAUUUUUCACAUACCUCAAAGCCUGUUAGCAGGCUGGCACAGGCUUCAAUCAGCCCACUUUGGGCGGAGUGAACCUUCUGGAUCACCGCACUCAUAAUAGUGCGGUGCUCCUCGUCGAUGGAGGCGCCGUUAAGCACCGCACUAUUGGACGGAGGUCACCGGCGUCGUAGGCUUUCCCUUCUUACUGGGGGGCCGCCUGCCGGACUCCGGAACCGUUGAAGGUUCUGGUGCGGUGUCCGGCCCAGGGCCGGACUUGGAGCCCUUGGGGUUUUUUUCCCCUUUGCGCCUGGAGUCCGGGAGGUCGCCUUGCGGCGCCUCCAGGACCACCUCCUCCUGGCUUGGAACCUUUUGGGACAACACCUCGGCAUCGUCCGUAGGGCGGGGGCAGGUAGCGGUCGGAAGUUAAAAACUAUUCACAUCCGACGAAUCCAGGGAGCCGCUCGACGACACGUCGAGCCGGGCUUUGGGCGGACUGCUUAAUUAUAUUCAGCGUUAGGAGAAGCUGUGCAAUAAAGGAACGCCAUGAGUCACUCAGGUAUCCGAAUACUUACGAUUUUUCCAGUGGUUUGGCCCUGAGCGGCCACUCCUCUUCGCCAUCGUCGGCGUUGGUGGAGUAGUCCGUAGGGAGGGUCCUCCCUUUCUUGGACCCUCCGGCCUCCCCAGUUGGGGCGGCCUUCCUUUUCUUUUCCCCCCUACUGGGGAAGAAACCUCUUUUUCCUCCUCCUCGUCUUCGUGGGAGGAGUGCGCCUCGGAGUCAUCGGACGAUGAGUCUGACUCCACCGGGCGCCGGGAACUCUUCCAGGUUCCCGUGGCCUUCUUCUUGGCCUUCUUCUCUGGCAUCACGUAGGGUGCCGGAACCAGCAGCUCCGCCAAGCGGGCGUCCGCUGGGUCUUCAGGCAAAGGAGCCGGACAGUUGAUCUGUUCGGCUGUCCUCUGCCAGUCCUGUCAAAGGCAUGGGGGCUUAGAUCCCGCAUAGAGUCAAACUAUGAAAGACAAAUAUCAUGUAAGAGGUAAAAAUAGCUUACCGCGUUGGCUUGACGCUGCACGCUGAAUCCGCUAUCCUCGGUAGAGGAUGCGGGAGCCUCGGCGCCCUUGAAUAGCACCUUCCAGGCAUCUUCGUAUGUUGUGUCGAAGAGUCUGCUCAGAGUUCGGUGCUGGGCCGGGUUGAACUCCCACAAGCUGAAAUCCUGUUGUUGGCACGGGAGGAUCUGGCGGAUGAGCAUGACCUGGACUACGUUAACAAGUUUGAGCUUCUUGCUCACCAGGUUUUGGACGCAUGUUUGGAGUCCGGUCAGCUCUCCUUUUUUACCCCACGGCAGGCCCUUCUCUUUCCAGGAGGUGAGCCGCGUAGGGAUUCCGGAUCGGAACUCGAGGGCUAUGACGCAUUCAGGUUCACGCGGCUCGGUGAUGUAGAACCACCCCGAUUGCCACCCCUUUAUGGUCUCCACGAAGGAGCCCUCGAGCCAUAGGAAGUUGGGCAUCUUUCCCACCAUGGCGCCUCCGCACUCCGCCUGGCGGCCACCCACUGCCUUCGGCUUGACAUUAAAGGUCUUCAGACAUAGGCCGAAGUGGGGCUGGAUGCAGAGGAAGGCCUCGCACACGACGAUGAACGCCGAGAUGUUGAGGAUGAAGUUCGGGCCAGAUCGUGGAAGUCCAGGCCGUAGUAGAACAUGAGUCCCUGGACAAAUGGGUGGAGAGGGAAGCCUAGUCUGCGGAGGAAAUAGGUGAGGAACACCACCCUCUCAUGGGGCCUGGGGGUGGGGAUGAGCUGACCCUCGUCUGGGAGCCGGUGCGCGAUGUCGUCAGACAAGUAUAUGGCUUUCCUUAGCUUCUUGAUGUGUCCCUCCGUAACGGAGGAGACCAUCCACUUGCCUCCCGCUCUGGACUUGGCUGGAGAAGGUUGAGGUGGGGAAUCCGGACGUGGGAGCUGGAGCUUGAGUGCGCGAAAAUGGAUGAGCAAAGGAGGAAGAAAGCGUGGAUGGAAAGGCGGAUCCUUAUCCCCUUAUAUGGGCGGACGCAUCUAUGCGUCCCCACCAGCCUGGUAAAACUCGCUUAUCUCCCAAGCACCAUAAUCAAUGGCGCAGUUGGUUUACCCACGCCCGUAUUGAUGAGAAUCCUGGGAUAAGGGGACACGAUCUCUGCUUCGACAAGACGUGCCAAGGAAACUGCCUCACAAAAUGCGCUGAGGUGGGACAGUAAAAAUGGUUCAAAUAAAGGCUUGGUUGUGGCGUGAUGACACACUACGGAAUACGUCAGCGGAUUAGAUUUGUGCUAAUAUUAUUCUCUCCAUGGUAGUAUGUGGAACCUAUUCUGCAGAUCCGAACACUAUCCUUGUGUUCAAAAUCUUCUAUGAAGUAUUCGGAGGAGGAACCCGCCUUGCAAUGCCGAAGACAAUCUGUGCGCCGGACUCGUCGUCAUUGAAGCCUGGUUCAGGGGCUACUGAGGGAGUCCUGGAUUAGGGGGUCCCGAUAGCCAGACUAUAAACUUUGGUCGGACUCUUGGACUAUGAAGAUACAAGAUUGAAGACUUCGUCCCAUGUCCGGAUGGGACUUUCCUUGGCGUGGAAGGCAAGCUUGGCAAUACAGAUAUGUAGAUCUCCUCCAACCCCGACUCUAUGUAAAACUAGCCCUCUCCAGUGUCUAUAUAAACCGGAGGGUUUUAGUCCAUAGGAGGAACAUCAAUCAUACCAUAGGCUAGCUUCUAGGGUUUAGCCUCUCUGAUCUCCUGGUAGAUCUCUCUUGUACUACCCAUAUCAUCAAUAUCAAUCAAUCAGGAGUAGGGUAUUACCUCCAUCGAGAGGGCCCAACCUGGGUAAAAACAUUGUGUCCCUUGUCUCCUGUUACCAUCCGCCUAGACACACAGUUCGGGACCCCCUACCCGAGAUCCGCCGGUUUUGACACCGACAGCGGCUUAGAAGGAUAACCCGCCAUGAGAUCCAGCAGCAGGUCAGGUCAACUCCGGUUAAGCCAUUCCCUAAUAAGGCAUUAAUCCUUUUUAUUGAUGGGAUCAGCUUCUUGCGUUCUGCAGCAGUAAGCUUGUCAGGGAGCAUGAAUUUGGAGUCAAGGCGCUCGGCGCGAUAACCUGGCAGUGGCUUCUCGUUUGCCGGUGAAGUGCCUUGACAAUAGAACCAAGUCUGAUUCCAGUCUUUUGGAUGACUCGGAAAGACUAUGAGGGGGAAGACAGCGCCCUGCCGAUGCUGAAUUGAGAUGCCUCCAAGCUCCAAGCUAAGGCCAUUGGUGCACUCGUUCUUCCGGUUCAGAUUACUCUCUAAAUAGUUCCACGGUCGGCUCUUCCUGAAGGUACACCUCACAAAGUACUUGGAAGUUGCAGAUGUUGGAUAUGGAAUUGGGCCCGAUAUCUUGAGGGUGGAGUUUGAAAAAAUGGAGGACAUCUCUGAACAACUUUAAGCCGGGUGGUGAAAAGCCACGGUUCAUGUGGUCAGUAAAGACAAUGACUUCACCAUCUACUGGAUUGGGCCGUUCUUCGUCCGGGUCAGGUACACGGUAAGACAUGACAUUUUUUCCUGGCAAAAAUCCUACUGAGAAGAAAUCCUUCAAACGUUCCUCAGUUACGGUUGAGGGAACCCAGUUGCAGACAAUCGGCAUUUUGGACGGCAUGGUGUUCAAAAACGUACUGAAAGGAAGGCAACAUGCCGGUUCAAUUCAAUAAAUAUGAUGAAAGUAAAAGAUGAUACAGGGGAGUAAUGGCGGCUUAAUUAAGGGAUAAUGUCAUAUAAGGAAAAGUAAGCCGACACAGUAAGCCGCCAUAACUACAGACAUUUGAGAAAUACCAGCGGCAGAAAUUGGUUAAGUAUGGAGACAAACAGGUUUCUUAAUUUCUGGAUAUUAUUAUGGAUCACAUGGCCGUUCAAGAUGAAAAAAUUUCUAGACCUAAAAAUAUAGUCCAGAUGAGUUCAUCAGUUCUAAUGCGGCCAGGGCCGGCCCUGAGGGGGCGCAGGGGGCGGCCGCCACGGGCCCCCCAAGCCAAGGGGCCCCCUCUCCAGGUAUAUGUGUGCCCUGAAUUCAGCCAUUGGAGACGCUCCAACUGCUGUUCUGUGUCUUAACGAAGGAGAAAGACGAUCUAGCGCAAUGGGCCUUGGGCCUUUAUUUCUUUAUUAGUAUUAAUAUAACGUGAGUUACGUGGUGGUGGGCUGGUUGUCUCAGGGCCUUUCUUAGCACAAAAUAGCGAUCCUGUUUUGGAAGAUUGAAGCCAUCGAUUGAUUUAUACCCUCCUCGUUUCCCUGCGGCGGCCGAAAAGCAGCAGCACACCGAGCCAAACCCUAACAAAGUAAAAUAAACGGCGGUGAUCAAUGAACUGCAUGCACGACCAACGAGGCUUCCUGCCUGGGCGCACAUCGUGGUGAUAGCGAAAUAGAGGCGCGGCACCGUAGGUAAUUUUGUUUUCCCUGCUUUUUAUGGCGUCCAAAUUUAUGUUAUAAAAUACAGCUGAUUGUUUUAUCACUAUAAUUUAGUAUAAAAUUUUCAGGAUCCUUCUCUAGUCCUAUUUUUUUGCAUAGGCUGAUCGUAAUUGUCAUCUGGCCGAUUGUACAUUUUACGCGAUGGGAUUUUCUCAUGCCGUCAAUUUUUUUGUUUGUUCGUGGAUGGUUAUAGGAGGAUAGGUUAUUGGUGGAUAGACAACUUCUUGCCCACCUAAUAUGUGAAGUUUUAUUUGUGUCUGAUUUCAUAAGAGGUGUGUGAAAAUCAAAUUUACCUUUCGUCUAAUAUGACACAUCGUUGCAACUUAUUUCUUGGAGUAAGUAACUUAAGUUUCUCGACAAAUUAAUGAUCCUAUACAUAGCUGUCAAAUGGAAUUUAGACAUGCAUAUUAUUAUUUCGAUGUUGUAUUAAGGGGCCCCGGGUUCUAGUUUCGCCCCGGGCCCCCGAUAUCUCAGGACCGGCCCUGAAUGCGGCCUUCGUACUAGAAAAAUGGUCUACUAAAUUCAAGAGUAGGCACCAAAACAGCCACCGCAUAAGCAUACAUCUCUUUUUGGAUCAAGUAGAAGCGGUAGUGGAAGAACUGCGAAGAACUAUGAAGAACAUGCAGGAAAACCUAGAAGCUCUAAAUGCGGAUCUGAGGAAUGGAGGGUGAAUACUUACGGCCACGGAUCCUCUACGGAAGGUCGCCGCCUUUCUCUGAACUGAGUCUAGUUGAUGCAGCGGCCAAGGUCGACAAUGAUGAGAUGCUCUGCGACAGCGGUAGAGCUCAAGCAGCAGCGGAGGUCGCGAGAGUAGGAAGACAAAGAAGAGAGGAGAAUGAGAAAAACUGGCCGCGUGCCUUUUUAUAAGGAAAAGCGAAUAGACGGGCGCGAAAAUCGAGGAAGACCCAAAUAAUUGUUAUCCAACUAAAUGGACGCCUUGAUUCUCGGGAGGCAUUAAAGAUGAAGAUCCGUUGAGAGAUGAUGUCAUAAAAGUUUUUUGUGUUUUCAAGAGAUGACGUCAUGGCGGGUUAUAAAAAAACCCUGCGAGGAUAAGAAGAUGGAUUCUGUCUAAGUGUUGAAGAUUGACAAAGAACAAAGUUCAAAGUCAACCUGGGGCCUAAUGUUGGGGAUAUAGCUAUCAGUUAUGACCCGCCGAGGAGGGGCCGGGUCAAGACCCAAUGGCGGGUCACAAAGGAAGCCCAGUAAACACUCAAGGCGAUAGUUUGUUAAAUCUUAUAGAAGGCCUAAAGGCCUAGAGGUGGCUUAAGGCCCAAUAUUGUAAACCGUCGUAUGUAAGGAAAGACUUGUAAAGAAAGGCAUGUAAAAGAAGUCACCAAGCCGGACUCGAUUUAUGAGCCGACAAGGACUCUGUAGGCCACCUAGCGUCAACCGUGUAUAUAAGGGGAUGACCCAGUGGCGGCUUAGGGCAGAAAACAGGAGAUCGAUAACCAACCCGGCGAACUAGCCUCUUGGUGAUCGAAACCCCAGCAAUAUCAACACAACUAGACGUAGGCUUUUACCUUCAUCGUAAGGGGACGAACUAGUAUAAAAUCUCUUGUGUCAUUUGUCCCGAUUAAACCCUUAAAGCUUCCUAGUUGCGAUGGCCCUAUGACUAAGUCCUUUUGCUAGGACAUCUACCGUGACAAUUCCACGACAGUAUCCACCCCCAUUGCCCUUGUCCUGGCGAUGAUUCAGAUGUGGUAUAUAUUAUCUUUUAUAACUAUUUGGUUCAUUUAUUGUUUAUUACAAUUAUUCCCAUCAAGUUGACAUAGAUUUUAUUUAUCUAGGAGGUAGUUCAACCGGAAAUUCCAACCGACCCUAUGGUCGAGAGGUUAAAUUUAGUUGAAGAAGAAAACAAUUAUUUGAAAUAAAAAAUAAAAAAAUUGAGGAGGAGAAGAUGAUAUUGGAGUUGCAUGUGGCGGAUGUCAUCAAUGAUCACAAGAUCAAGAUGGAUGCAAUGCGGUUGAAGAUUACAAAGAUUAGAAAAUAUGCCAUUCAUACAGAGGCUUGGUAUCAUUAUAGUUUCAAUGUAUGGUUUAACUAGAUGCUCUGGAGAGCUAUAUGUUGUUCAAUGAGAACUAUGUAUGUACUUUGGUUUUAAUGUGAUGAUGAACUUCUAUUAAUUUGGUCACUUAUCUAUUCAUAAUGUUCUGUAAUGGUUUUUGACACACUUAGUUGUAUAUAAUGCAUGUAGAUAAACGGACAAUGGAUGUACGGUGACAGACACACCUCCGAGUACAUUAAGGGCCUGCAUAAUUUUCUCAAAGUGGCUGAGGCGAACAAGCAAAAUGGUUUUAUCUGUUGUACAUGCCCUAAUUGUGGGAAUACGAAGUCUUACUCUGACCGGAAAAUCCUUCACACUCACCUGCUUUAUAAGGGUUUCAUGACACACUAUAAUGUUUGGACGAAGCACGGAGAAAUAGGGGUUAUGAUGGAAGACAACGAAGAAGAAGAGGACGAUGACAACUAUUUGCCCCCUGAAUACGGUGAUGCAUGCUGCAACGGGGGAAGCUGCUGAAGAUCAAGAGGAACAAGACGAUGUGCCCAAUGAUGAUGAUCUCCAUCGGGUCAUUGUUGAUGCAAGAACAUAGUGCGAAAGUCAAAAGGAGAAGCUGAAGUUCGAUCACAUGUUGGAGGAUCACAAAAAAGGGUUGUACCCCAAUUGCGAAGAUGGCAACACAAAGCUCGGUACCGUGCGAAAGUCAAAAUAAAUAAGUAGAAAUAAAAUAAAAUAAAAAAUAGAAACAAAAUAAAAUAAAUAAGUAGAAAUAAAAUAAAAUAAAUAAAUAGAAACAAAUUAAAAUAAAUAAGUACAAACAAAAAAUAAUAAAAUAAACUUUAAUAAAAUAGAUAAGUAGAAACNNNNNNNNNNNNNNNNNNNNNNNNNNNNNNNNNNNNNNNNNNNNNNNNNNNNNNNNNNNNNNNNNNNNNNNNNNNNNNNNNNNNNNNNNNNNNNNNNNNNNNNNNNNNNNNNNNNNNNNNNNNNNNNNNNNNNNNNNNNNNNNNNNNNNNNNNNNNNNNNNNNNNNNNNNNNNNNNNNNNNNNNNNNNNNNNNNNNNNNNNNNNNNNNNNNNNNNNNNNNNNNNNNNNNNNNNNNNNNNNNNNNNNNNNNNNNNNNNNNNNNNNNNNNNNNNNNNNNNNNNNNNNNNNNNNNNNNNNNNNNNNNNNNNNNNNNNNNNNNNNNNNNNNNNNNNNNNNNNNNNNNNNNNNNNNNNNNNNNNNNNNNNNNNNNNNNNNUAAAAUAAAUAAGUACAAACAAAAUGAACUUUAAUAAAGAAAAAUAAAUAAACUUUAAAUAAAAUAUAUAAAAAUAACAACAAUAAGUAUUUUGUUGUAUGUAGGAACAAAAUAAAAUAAAUAAAGCAACAAAGAAAACAAAAAAGUGCCACCUACAGGGCCAGCACGACCUGAAUACGACUAGAAACCCAACCAUGGGCCAGGCUUCAGGCCCGCAACAGGCCCAGUAGGCCCACAGGCACAAGUGACAGAUUAGGCCCGAAAGCCAGCAGUUGAGAGGAUCUCGAGAGGGUGGGCGCAAUAGCGCUUAUAAACCACUCUCGAACUCUCUCAGCUAGCCAGGUGGGACUAAAGUUUUGACCCGGGGCUGCACAAGGCCUUUGGUCCUGGUUGAUGGCACCAACUGGGACUAAAUGGGUGCAUUGGUACCGGUUUGUGGCACCAACCGGGACUAAUGCCACCCUUUAGUCCCGGAUUUGGUCCUGGUUGGUGGCACCAACCGGGACUAAAUGGGUGCAUUGGUACCAGUUUGUGGCACCAACCGGGACUAAUGCCACCCUUUAGUCCCGGUUGGUUCCACCAACCGGGAACAAAGGCCUCUGCUUCCCGCCCUUUGGGCUGCUGAAAAGAGGCCUUUGGUCCCGGUUGAUGGCACCAACCAGGACUAAAGGGGGUCUUUGGUCCCGGUUGGUGCCACGAACCGGGACCAAUGCUAUGUCUAUAUAAGCCAGCACUUGUGAAAGUUUGUUUCAGUUCAAUCUAUCUCCUUGUCCUCUCCUCCAACGCCGCUAGGCUGCUCCUCGUCUUCGUCAUUGCCGAGCCAUCCGGACCGCAUCAUCGCCUCCCUGAGCCCGCACUGUCCUCGUCGCCGGCAUCCCGGAGCCCGCCGUCCUCGUCCCCAUCGCCGCAUGCCUCCCCGAGCCCGCCUCUUGUCCCCGGCGUCAUGUGCCGCCCCGAGGCCGCAGUCCCUAUCACCGCAUGCCGCCCCGAGCCCGCCUUCCUCGUCGUCGGACUCCAGCCGUCGCCGCCCACCUCAAAGUGAGCCCCCCGCCCUCCCGAGCGCCGAUCUUGCACCCGAGUGCCCCUUGCUCUGCCCCUUCUCCAUGGUCACCACCGGCCCCGAUGCAUUGAAGAGUAGAAUGAGAGGAGAAGGAGAGGAGAGGAGACGGAGUGGAGCAGCAGCAAUGCACUGUCCACUUUUCUGAAUUUUUUGGAAUUUCUUAUUUUUUUUGUCCAUAUAGGAGGUAUUUGAUGAAAUGCUAGAUAGCUUUGGGCAUUUUUGGAAUUUCUAAAAUUUUUUGUGGUGACGUACUGAUGCAACACAAAGGCGAUUGCAAAAUUUCUGAAUUUUUGGAGUGGUUUAGAAUAGGUUUUCAGCAAGUUAUUUGAAUCUGAUUCAAAUUUCAUUUGAAUGAAAUUUGAAAAUUUUGAAUGAUGGACUAGAAGGUUUUUGGUGAAAUAGAUUGUGGGUACUGUCAUGAAGUUGGAGUAAUUUUUCUGGUUGUAAAAGAUUUAGGAAAAUUUAGAAUACGAUAAAUAUGUCAAAAAAAUUGUUCAUAUAUAGAAAGUUUUUAUAUAUGACUUUGGAUAUGAUGUUUUGUGUCCCAUCACCGCCCCGCGGCACCGCUGCCCAGGCGCCAUCGCCGCGCCGCCCCACGGUCCGGCGGCCUUCCGAUGUUUUUUGUGUGAUGAUGUUGAUAGGAUGUUUUUUUCAUAUCAUGUUCAUAUGAUGUUUUUUGUUCAUAAUUUUUUUUGUAUAUGAUGUUUUUUUCAUAUAUGUAUUGGUUUUUUUUAUUUAGGUUGUUAAUUAGUAGAUAUCGAUUUUAGGUUAGUGCAUUUUAUGUUAGUGUAGAGGAAAAAGUAAAAUAAGGAAAAGGAAGAAAAGAGGAAGAAGGAAGAAAAAGAAGAAGAAGAAGAAGAAAAAGAAGGAGUGGAAAAAGGAAAAUAAGAAGAGGAAGAAGGAGAAGAAGAAAGGAGAAGAAGAGGAGAGGAGAAAAAAAUAAAAAGAGAAAAAAAAUCAAAAAAAUGAGGAGAAGAAGAAAGGAAUAGAGGAGAAGAAGAAAAAAUUGAAUAUUUAUUUUUUUCUUCCUCUCCUCUAUUCCUUUGUUCUUCUCCUUUUUUUCUUCUUUUUUUCUUCGAUCUUCUCCUCUAUUCCUUUCUUCUUCUCCUCUUUUUUCUUCUUCGAUCUUUUUUCCUCUUCUUACAUGAGGGUGGGGGGUCGAUAUACUCCCUCCCCGAUAACAUCGACAUGAGGGGGGUCGCCGAGGGUUCGAGGGGCGAGGGUGGGGAACUAGGGUAGAGGUUCAAGGGUCACCAAGGGUUCGAGGGUCGGCAAGUGUUCGAGGGUCACCGAGGGUUCGAGGGGCGAGAGUCGGGAACUAGGGUAGAGGUUCGAGGGUCACCGCGGGUUCGAGGGGCGAGGGUCACUGAGGGGUCGAGAGGUUGCCUAGUGUCAAAGUAUUGAAGAAAUCCAUGGCGUCAUCAUUAGCCGAAAGUAACCAGGGCAUGAUGGUACGAAGUUGUGCAAAGUUGUUUUGGAACGGAGUUUUGAAUAGAAUAAUUCGCCUUUUUGUAUGAAUUUCAGCAAAGGCCUUCCAAAUAGCGAUAUUCAGAAGGCUCUUGCUGAACUUUGUCCGAAAAAGCGAAUUAUCCUAUCUGGAACUCCAUGCCAAAACAACUUUGCACAACUUCGUACCAUCAUGCGCCUGUUACUUUCGCCUAAUAAUGAAGACAUGGUUUUGUUGAAUCCUUUGACACUAGACAAACGUGACAUGACGGGGUCGAGGAUCGGGGGUCGUUCAGUGGUCGAGGGUCCAAAUUUAUCAAGAAUGCCCCCAUUAUGGAUGUGCACAAGUUGAUCCAAACCCUAGAAGAGUUGCCGCGUCCACUCAAAUUUACCAAGUUAAAAGAGUGUUGUCGUCGGGGCCACCCCGAACCCUAGAAGCGUUACAGAGGCCACCCCAAACCCUAGAGAAGUGUCGAGGCCACUAAUAUGAUUCCUUGUUGUGAUUACUAGCUAGGUCUACAUUUGCCACUAAUAUAUCCAUCUAUCAUGUUUGUAUAAUAAUUGUCAUGUUGUAAUAUCUGCAGAAACUAUGGAGCACGGCCGAGACGAGGCUGCAGAACAGGUGUUGGGCGACAUAAUCACAGUCGGAGGUGAUGUCAUGUCGUAUCUCAACGACACCGAUGGUCUGAAAGGAGAGGGUGAAACAAGCUACAGUAAUCGAACAAUGGAGGAGGAAGGACAUGAUUAUGAUGGCUCCGGUGACCGAAUGCCAGUGCAAGAAGGAUACCGUGAUGACGGCUCUGUUGACCGAAUAGAGUCCGGCCAGGUAUAUAUAUAUAUUAAUUAAGCCUGUGCUGACUAGCUAAUUGAUGCAUUUAUUAUUUUGGUAUGUACACAUAUUAACUUUCGUCUUUCUUCUUUUUUCUAUCCCUCCGGAUCGAGCACAACUUUGGUAAAGAAACGAGGCCCGAAGAAAAAGUUGCGCCCGGAUGAAAGGUUCACGAUCACAGCAAUCGCGCGCGAUGGCCAACCAAUUGAAUCCAUCCGGACCAAGGAAGCAUUUGCUGCUCAGUGCGGGGUUCUUGUUAGGGACAAGAUCCCUAUCAGCAUCCACCAGUGGUGUAAGCCUAAGAAGGAAGACCCUGAGGUUUCUUAUGUCAACGAUAUGCAGAAAGAUGAUCUUUGGACCGCGUUGAAGGCAAAUUUCACCCUACCGCCAGAGGAGGAUCCGGAGAACCUAGUUAAAGAGCCGUUGAUCAAGUCUCAUGCUCUUAAGAAGAUGGAAGAACUAUUCAGGAGGUGGAAGAUUGAGCUGAAAACAACGUUUGUCGACAAAGAAGAGACACAAGAAUUAACCGGCUGGUAUGAGAAGAUCAGAGAUCACUGGGACACAUUUGUGGCCCACAAGACAUCAGACAAGAGUAAGAAGAUAUUAGAGACAAACAAGAUAAAUGCUGCAAAGAAGGAGCAUCACCAUCGCACGGGGUCAGAUGGCUACCUCAACGCCCGGCCGUUGUGGGCCAAGGCUGAGAAUGGCCUGCUUGAUAAAGGGGUCGAACUAGAGACAUUGCACUGGCCAGACCGUUGCCAGACUUGGUUCUUCGGGGUUGGCGGAAGCUUGGAACCAAUAGCAGGGAAGUGCGUUUGGACGAACGAGCAAAUGCGAAUACCCGUCACGAAGCUUCAGUACUAUAUCGCCGCAGCGCAACAAGGGACGUUCGUUCCAGACAAAGAGAACAACGAGCUCACAAUGGCCCUCAGCAAUCCUGAGCACCCUGGACGGACACGAGGCAUGCCAAGCUCUGUUCCGUGGAAGGCUGGGUUUUUGGACGCAGGCGGUUACAAAUGCAGGGAGAGGAGGAAGAAAGUGGAGCAAACCGAACUGCAGAAGCUGCAUGCAAGGGUGCAAGCGCUAGAGAAACGAGAUGCAGUUCACAGCAAGUGACCUGCCGAAGCUACCCCGCCAUCUCAGCGGAGAAGCAGCAUGUCUUCCAUCGAGCUGCUUCAGCUGGAGCCUGUCUUCACGGCUCCUGCUAGCUACCCCGUGGAUGCUAUCACGGAUUCUCAACAUUGCCACCUUAUGACGCAAUGACAAAACUUCAAAGUCAAGGCGGCUGUCAGCUCUGUUCGACCUCCUGAACCCGGCGCAACUUUUCACUGCCGUUCAAUUCCAGAAGGAUAUGCUAGGGUGACGGUGGACGAAAUAACGGAAGGAUUUGAGGAACACUAGAUUGACCACCCUACCGGUGAAGGGGUGACUCGGCUUGGUUCUUCUCUGAAGACUCCAUGCCUAUGGCAGAAGGAUCUCGUCAACCUUCCGAACUGGAAGCCUCCGCCUCCUCCUUCUCCUCCGGCUAGUCAGGGCAUUCCGCCUCCUCCUUCGACGAGUGAUCAGGGCACUCUGCCUCCUUCUCCGGCGCGUGGCAGCACUCUACCUCCUUCUCGGCAUGCGGGCUAGCCUAGUCGGGUCGCACUUCCUCUUGGUCGCCGAUUCUAUACAGGAGGUGCUGCUGGUGGCGGAGAUCUAGUUCGGGCGAAAUCCCUGACCGGCCAUGACCGGCUGCGCCGACAGCGAUGCCUCAGGGCGCCGUUUCCCUCCUUGGAGGCGUCGGCAUGGACUAAUCUCCUCACUUCACCUUCCCCUAGGUUUCCCGGGCGAAAGCCUUAACUCUGUUGGGCGGCGGCGGCGAUCACAGCGCCGUUCCCUUCUUGAAGGCGUCGCUUUGGGAACCUUGGAGUUGGGUGGCGCUUGUUGGUGGUGGGUGACAGGGGUGGUGCGGCCCUUUCCUAGCAUGGAUUUAUGUCCGUUGCUUGGAGAUGGAGUCGUGUAGGUGAAGGUCGUUCGCUGGCGUCGAGGUGGCGUCAAUGCCGGAGGACCUGUCAAGGUUGUUCACCACAAUCUGCUCUGAAGAUGGACCAGUGGAAGAUGGCGGCGACGACACAUGUGAGUAUGUUGGACCGGUUUGAGCCCCGGACCCGGAAGAUGGCUCGGUCGGGGCCUUAGACUAUAGAUGUUAGGCUUAGAUGAGAGGUAUAGGUAUGUGGCCCAGCUUGCACACCUUCAUCAUUUGGAUAGGAGUAGCGGCAGAUGCUGCUAAGAUGACGGAUUUAGACAUAUUGUUGUUAUACUUUGUAAUGUCCUCAAGAAUAAUCAAUAAAAUGGACGUAUGCAUCUCCCAGAUGCAGAGACCGAGGGUCAUCCUCCUUUUUGAAAAAAAAGGCCCCUAUGACUCUACAUAGAGAGCGGACAUAAAAAAUAUGCCUAGAAGGUUGCUGUCAUGCUCGUGCUCCACCUCGUCCUCUUAUCGAUCAGGCCACCCCUGAUCAUCCGGGUAGUCAAGCACACGACAAUGAAGGGCAUGCCCGGUAGCAGAUGGGAGGAGGGGACCCGGAGGCGACAGAUGCGAGAGGGCGAUAUUUCCGCCGGCCAAGCAUUGCACUACACCAUUACCGUUGGAACUUGUGUGCUAUAUAAAUCCCUCCCACUCUCCGUGAAGCUUGCUUUGAGUUCUUGCUAUCUGACAUUGACCAAAAUGCAAAGUCUUUGUAAAACUUUGAUCACAUAACCAUGUUACCAUGCAUACAGUACUUGUACCUGCAGCAGAGGUUGCUUCCCGUCCGCAGCUCGCAAGCGCAAUACGGUACAGUACUAGUAGUAUGUAAUCCUGCGUCCAGCGGCGGGUGUGAUCCAAGCAGGCCCCAAAUUAAUUACCAUCCUGCUUCCAGCGCCAGUGGUUCCAUCUUGUGCUGUCACAUGGCUAGUAGUGGGUAACAAUGCUGCAGUAGGCAAUAGUUCAUCGGAACAUUUUAGCAUUACUACAUUUUCUAAUCCCUCCCAAUCCUCGCAUCUUCAGUGCCCACCACUGGACAAUGGCUAUCGUGUUUGGCAUGCAUUAGUAAACAGAUUUCGAGCUGACUUGGCCAUCGUCAGUACUAAGUUAUUCCAUCCCUAGCAAAGAAAACAUCUUUUGAUGUUUGUCGCCCUGGUGUUUCUUAAAAUCCGACUACACUCAGCUUUCUAUGAAGAAGGGCUCCUCCCCUCCUCUUAUAAAGCAAAACUUCAAUGCCAUUUACGGUAGUGCAAGCACUGAAGCAACAAAUUUUACACCAUCCUUAUUUAAGGUGAUGAAUAUCUUCCUAUUUCACCUGCUUUUCUAACAACACGUAAUUUUGAGUAACAAUCGCAUACCUUUGCUUUGGGUAAUUAGAUGGCCGCUUGCGAUUGCGUGUUCACCGUGGUUGUUUUUUACAAGUACCUCCUAUGAACUUUUGGGCAAAAUGAGUAUCACUUUUUUUUUAUAAAGGAGGAUUACCCCUGGCUUGUACAUCAAGCGACGUACAAACCCAAGAUCUUUAUUGCAUUAUUCAACUGGGCCUUAUAGAUCAACCGAAAGACAUCUUCAUGAUGAAAAUUAUCGCCCCACCUACAAUCUGGAGAUCUGCCCGUCGCGGUGAUGGCGCCGCCCUUUGGCGGCGGGGCGGCCUGGUGGCGCUGGUUGGUCGGCGGUGCAUCCCCGGCUCAGAUCUGGGCCCUCAGGGCCCCAUCUGGGUCCUAGCGGGCCGUCCCCCGGGCGUGGCCUCGUUGCCUACGGCGUAGUGAGGAGGAGGAGCGGCUCGGAUUUGGGGCGGCGGCAUCGAUGGCGUGCCAGCAGCAGCGCGAAGGCGAGAGCUUUAUGGGCCCACGAGGGCUCGGCCGGGCCUGUGGGCCCACGGGCCUGGUGUGCUCCUGCUAUUGCGUCCGGACGGCUACCGUCGCGGACGGUGGAGGUGGGGCCCUCCCGCGUGCCGACGGUGCUGAUGCCCUAGUCCCGACUCUGAUUCUUCGCCGUGCUGUACUCACUUCGCGGUGCCGUGGUGAGACGGCGUGGGGCCUCGUGACCGCGUUGGCGCAUGGUGGUGGUUGGUUUGGUGGCAGGCUCCGAGGCGCCCGAGGUGCGGGUUGGGAUCGGGGGAAACCCCUGUCGGCUUGGCCAACACCGGCGCGGUGACGCCUGUGGGUGCCACCUGACCUUCCGGGAGGGCGCCGGGACUACCCUUCCUCUUGCCAUGUCGUGUACUGGGGGAAACCCUUGGCAGCAGCAUCGUCAUCGUUGCGAUCCGCCGGUGUCGGCAUUAUUUUCUUUUGAUUUUCUCUGUCGUCUCUUUUGGGUGUGACUGUGCUGCUUCCGCCCCAGCACCUAUCCAUAUAUGGUUCGGUUGGUUGCUUUGUAUACAAAGCGGGGGGAAACCCUUUCUCGGCAAGCUUCGAGAUCCUAGCUAAUAGUGUCCAUGAGGGAGUUGCACUAGUAGAAAAAGGGUCAAACGUGAAGCACAUUAGUGUCGGUUUGAAUUUGUGUCGGCACUAAUGUGUGCAUUAGUGCCGGUUCCAACGGCUAGCCGGCCGCUCUCAUUAGUACCGGUUCGUGGCGAACCUUUAGCACAGGUUCGUGCCACGAACCGGUACUAAAGUGAGUGGUGGCAGGAUGUUGUCAGUCCGAGGCCCCUCCAGCACCUUUAGUACCAGGUCGUAUCACGAACCGGUACUAAAGGUCGUCCUACAUAGACCCUUCGUCCACCCGAGCUCGCUCUGUUCUUCCCCUUUCCCCUCUUCUCUCUGUUCUUUUCCCUUUUCCUCUCAAGCUCAUCACACAUUUUGCCCAAAAUUUGUCAAUAUUUGAAGGCCCCCAUCCAUUCAAAUGAUCACAAAUGUUAGCAACUUGUCCUUUCAUCUCUCAUUGCUAGAUUAGCUCGUGCAACGCUUUAUAUAGUGAUUGAUUUUUGAGUUUAGUAAUUUGGGAGGAAUUAUAUAUAUGUGCUAGUAUUUGAUUUAUAUGCAAUUUGAGGUCAAAAGUAACACUUAGUUUGCAUAUGUAGGUGUGGUUUACUUAGUACCUUCUAAAUCUCCAUCGUAACCACCGUAGAUCGCUCGCAACGUCCCGUCGCCGGCACCACCUUGUGGUGAGCCUCUUGUUCAUGAAGUUUUAUAUAAAAAAAUUGAUGUUUCUGUGAUUUGGAUAUAUAGUUACUCAUAUAAUUAUCUUACCCAUACGUUGUUUGUUAUACAUAGUGCCAUGGUUUUGAUAUCCGUCCUCGUCGGCCCUCGUCCGGUUUAUGAUUCGGAUGUGGUAUAUUCUCUUUUAAAACUAUUCAUUGCAUUUCGUGUUUAUGAAAAAUUAUGCCCAUCAAGUUGACAUAGAUAUUUGUAUGUAGGAGGUAGUUGAACCGGAAAUUCCAACCGACCCUAUUGUCGAGAGGUUAAAUUUAGUUGAAAGAGAAAACGAGGAUUUGAAGGAAAAAUUGAAAAGAAUUGAGGGGGAGAAGAUGGAAUUGGAGUUGCAUGUUGCCGAUGUCGUCGAUGAUCACAAGAUUAAGAUGGAGAAAAUGCGCUUGAAGAUUAGAAAGAUUAGAAAAUAUGCCAUUCAUAGUGAGGCUUGGUAUCAUUAUGCUGUUGGAUCAAUUGUUACCUUAGUUGCGAUCUUGAUCGCAUUUGUUGUUGCAUUUAAAUUCUUUAGCUAGAGAGUUAUUUGUUUGUUGCAUUUAAGUGUUGUAUGAUCUUUAUGUAUGAACUUUAUGUAUUGUAUUAAUUUGGUGUUUUCGGUGCUGUGUAUUGAAGAUGAGCCGGCAAUGGAUGUACGAUGACCGAUGCUGUCCCGAGUUCAUUAAUGGUGUGUGUCGUGGAAUUGUCACGGCAGAUGUCCUUAGUGUCACGACUUAGUCGCGAGGCCAACGCAUCUAUGUGGUAGCUUGAGAGGGGUUGAGCGGAAUCGAGAUACGCGACACAAGACAGGGAUUUAGACAGCUUCGGGCCCCGGGAAACAUCAUCCGGUAAUAGCCCUACAUGCUGUUUGAGGCUAGGUCUCAUUAUCAUCACGAGGGAGUCGCCGUAAACCGGCUCUCCUCUAAUUGUGUCUAGCCCUAGAUUAUUGUUUGCUUGUAGCCUCUAGCUUGUCCCUCUUUGGGGAGCCCUGCCCCUCCUUAUAUAUGUCGAAGGGGCGGGUUACAUGUGGAGUCCUAUUAGGAUUAGGACUAGUCUAUCUCUAAUACAAACCGAAUAUAAGUCCAGGUCUUAACUCCUUGUAAGACAAAUAUUCUUUAUGCCUUUCCUCUUAAACCGGCCCAUCAUAGCGUGAUCCGGCCUUCCAUAACCGCCAGACAGGCCGUCGGGUCUUUGUUGCUCCUCUGGCCCGCCUGCCGGAUUACCAAUGAACUGUAAACCGUCUGGUCUGGGCAGGUCGCCGGUGAUUCGCCAAGUCCGGCCGGAUUAUCCUUCCGGCCGGUUUACACCGCGGGGUAUAUCCCCGACAUUAGCCCCCAGUUUAAUUUGGAUUCAUCCAUGUUAAACUGAUCUGCAACAUAAACACAAGAACAAAUUCAUCGGGUUGUGCUCCGGUUUAAAUACUCUUGUAAACCAGCACUUGAUCAUCCUUAAAUCCUUGUCACCUCCUUCUAGAAAAUCCAGGUUAAUAACCAACUCCAUAAUCAAUUUGCUUGCAGAAGAUAUUUGUAAAUAAAAAAUCCAUUUGAAUCGGCCUUCAAUGCUUUGACUUGACAAAAAUAUUAGUCUCUGAAAUAUUCAACUGAUAUCCAGCCGGCUUGAAGAUGUAAAACUUGCCAGUUUAUGAUUACCACCAUUGUCUGGUUAUAAAAACUGAUAAUUCCGGGUCAUGAUUGUUGCCAACACCGGUUCAUGAUUGUUGCUAACGCCGGGUUACAGUCACAGGGUCAUAAUGAUUGGUGACGCCGGUUUAAUCCACUUUGCUCAAAACAGAGAAUUUGAAAAUAGUUCUUCAAUAAUAAUAUAAUACCUGUACCCCCCAAGUCUUGAGCAGAACAAAGUGAUGGCUUAAGACUUGCUUCAAUAUAAAUACUGCCACUUAAGAAGAUAUCCAUGUUGUUAAUCCCAGUGACUAGUAAAAACUGAAUACUACAUACUAUGUAGCCCCCAAGUGCCGGGUUGUCAUGUUUGCAGCAACCUGGGACUUGUAAUUGUCUUAUACUCAUAAAAACUUCAACUAGUGUAGCCCCCAAGAGCCGGGUCAUUUAUGCAAUAAUGAGCAGGGACUUUGUAAAUAUAAUCAUGUAGAUUUGAGCAAUGAUGUGUAGCCCCCAAGGGCCGGCUCAGUAAGAUAAUAUUGAGCUGGGACUUGAUAUACACUUCAAUGAAAAUAACAUCAUAUGAUGUAACCCCCAUCAUAGGGCUUGAAUCCACGUCCACAAGGUUAAGAGUCUUGUGCUUUACCAACUGAGCAGUGGACCUUGCAAUAUAAUGGAUAAAAAGCUUUGUACCUUGAACUGUUGAUAGGAGCAAUUGAUAGCCCCCAAGGGCCGGCUCAUUAUAAUGUGAUGAGUCGGGUCUUCAAUAAGAUGAACAAAGAAUGACUUUGCAUUAGCCCCCAAGUGUCAUGGUGCAUGCUUGCAGCGACAUGAGACUUGCAUGUAAUCUCAAUUUGAAUAAUGUAGCCCCCGAGUGCCGGGUCGUGAGCCUGCAGCGACUCGGGACUAUUCCUUCCAUUGUAGAAUAAAUCAUAUACUUUGAUAAAAUAAUAACUGUUGCGCUAAAGCGACUUUGAAAACUCAAUAAUACUGGUUACCAAUAACCAUAAAAAUCCAGCCAUGUUGGCUAUUCAAGAUAAUAUAAUCCGGUAUGAAAAAUUCAUCCAAUAUCAUAAUGAAAAUUCAGCCAAAUUUGGCUAUUUGAAUAAUAUAACCCAAUCAUUUAUAAGCGCAUGACUCCAAUGGCGCAAUCCAAAUAUAUACCGGCGACGUAUAGUCCAAAGCCAGGCCGGUUUAAAAAACUCCGGAUAAUUUCCCAUCAUAUACUGGCGACUUAUCAUCUUAAAGCCAGGCCGGUUUAAUAAACACCUAAUAAUUUAUCAUCAUGCUUUAUUCAACCCGUCCCUGCAUACAACAAGUUUAAAGUGUCCUGGCGGUUUACCGCCGGACGGGUCAUAACGCCCAACAUAUAACCCAGGUUUAUAACCAAGGCUGCAUUUAAGAAUAAUCAAUGAAAUAUAUCAUACCUGUGAUAUUGAAUCACAUCAUUGGUUUACCAAUUUUUUGUAGUAAGAGUGAUAACCCCAAUCUUGAGUAAUGAUAACUCCUUUCAUAUUGUGCCGGUUGAUGAUAAACCGUACCGGAUUGUGAUAAACACCGGUUUAACCAUAUACAAUACUGGCGACUCGUAGUCAAACUAGACCAGGUUGAUAGUCUCCGGAUUAUAACUUGAUCCUGUAUUGACAACUUGUAAUUGAAAGUCAAGCCGGGUGGAUAAACACCGGUUUACUCCAUAAUAGGAUGGCAACAGAAAAUCAACCGGGCAGAUGGCCUCCAGAUUAAAGGGGAAUCAAAUCUAACAGCCGAAUCGGAACAAAUUUGUUUGUCGACAUAAAAGAAAUCCGACAAAAGCAAAGAACAAACAAACCAUGAAAAUAACAUGGAAACAAAGGCAAUGAUAAAAACCAUUUGCAAAAAUAUGUUAUACUGAGCUGUUCAGAUGGUAUUACCAUGGUCGGACAGGAUCAAGGCCCCCAAUAGGAGUGACAAUGAUUCAAGUCAGCCAGGUCCCCAAAUGACUCGUGGCAUAUAUGCCAGAUCAAGAGGCGUGACAAUGGUUCGGGUUCGACCAUGCCCCCAAGUGAUUUUGUGGCCUUAGGCCGACCAAGAGGCGUGACUGGUUCAGACUUGACCAUGUCCCCAAAUGAUCUAGUGGUUGUCGCCUAUCAAAGGGUGUUCGUUGGUUCGGACACGACCAAGGCCCCCAGUGAUAUAUAAAAAACAUAUGUCAAGGGGUAAACCGGAGGCCGCUUUAAACAGAACCACUCCGUGUAACCUCGCAUGAUGAGAAAGACAGGGACCCCACUUUAUGAAGCAGAAGCCCCCAUGUGAUCAAUAAUAUGUUAGGCCAAUAAGGCUGGAUACCCAUGUUUGCACCGCGCAUCAUGGCAGCAGGUCCUCUUCGGUAAUUUUUAACUUUUUUGCAAGAGAUGAAUUCUUCUUGAACCGGGAUCUUGAACCGGAUAGUGAGAGCUUCAAAGCUUUGUGGGAGAACAGAUGUCCCUUAUACAGGAUUGCAAACCGGAAUCUUCAUUUUCAGCCGGGAAUUUUCUGACGGCCUUUCAACUCGAACUUGCGAGAAAUUAAUUCCUUUUUGAACCAGACAUUGUUAAACCGGAUUUGAGAGCUUCAAAGCUUCGUGCGAGACAAAUUCCCCUUGAACCGUAUUGUAAACCGGAUAUUUGAGAGCUUCAGCGAGACUGACUUCCCUUGAACCAGAUUGUAAACCGGAAUCCUUUCUGAUGAUCCGGAACUUCUUCAUUGAGCCGGGAUUUUGUAACUGUCAUAUACUUUCUAAGGUGGAAAUUUUCUGACGGCCUUCAAAUAAUAGUAGCCUCCGGGACCGGGUUAUCUUUCCCUCCAUCGUCCCGGGGUUCUUAACUUUGCUGAAACUGGCAAGAUUUGCUGAGUCAUGUCAUUGUAGCCCCCGAGUCUCAAAGGUGACUCGAGGAAUUGGCUUGAGACUCUCCAUAUGUGACCGUGAUGUAAACCGGCAUAACUGGUAUAUCAUUGGUGUUGAUAGCACGAUGUAAAUCCACAGAAGGUUGAGGUGACUGCAGUGGGUUAUAAAUGAUCCCGUAUGAGCCGUGUCAGCAACUCGGCCAAUGGUUCCUUCCAACUGGCAAUUUGAAGUUAACCAAACUGUAGUGGCGGCGACUUGUGCGCCUACCCAUUGUACCAUCCAGUGAAAACGGCGGUUGAUAGUAUAUGAUAAUUUGCCUCUUUUUGUUUGAAAGAAAAACGGGCUACCCAAGCUGUGACUUGCUCAUACUCAAUAAACAGUUCAUGCAGACAGGUGCAGCCCGGUAUGUUGAUGUAGACCAGGCCGUGAGAGAUGGACGGCAAAAACGACCGCAACAUCAGAGGCAGCUCGGAUAGAUGAGUCGGCGGUGGCAUUGUAAACUGGUGCGGACGGGGAAGAUCGGCACCGGUGUCGUAAACCGGCACGGACGGGCGAGUUAAUCGCGUUGUUUUGAUGUAGUGAACAAUUGUCCUGCAUCAACAAUAUUGCAGACCAAAACAAAGAUAAACUGCUCUUUGACAAAAAAUACUAUGUACCAAUAAAAUAUAUUUUAGAUAUCACCUGACGUGCCAGGCUGAAAAUAAUCCACCAUGAAUGAUGAUCGCUAGGUGAAGUUGAAGUCGCUCACGGGUGAAGCGGCCGCGGCGUGGUAAACCGGCGCGGACGGGUGAGUCAGCCGCGAAGUUUGUAAGCCAGCGUGGACAACGAGUCGGCCACGGCGCUGUAAGCUGGCGCGGACAUGUGAACCGGCCGCGAGGGCAGGACGGGCGAGUCGUCCGUGGCGUUGUAAGGCGGCGCGGACGGGCGUUUCGGCCAAGGCAUUUGUAAGCCGGCGCGGGAGUCCGUUGAGCAAGGACGACCACUUGUGCCGAAUGAUGUUGGCACGCCUCCAUCUCCGCGGUAUAAUGGCAUAAAAAACCUUAUCCUGCGUAAAAUAUUACAGGGCAAAGUAAUUGUUCUUUUGACCAAAAAAAAACAAUAAGUGUUAAUAAAAUAAUUUUUAGACGGAUAUCACCUGAUAAUUUUUUCCGGAUGAACAUGAUACUGGCACUGGAUGAUGCUAGACGUAGUCCUCGGAUGAAAAAGACAACUCAUACAUAUAUUUGUAUGAUUUGAUGUUCCCCUAGCACUCAGUAGUCUUGAUCCACACGUGGAUUAAUAUUGCCAGCACUGUUUUGGGACCGAGCUAGUUCAUCUUCACGUGGACCUUCUCCUUGAUGUUUUCAAAACUCCAUAUAACCUUUGCUAAUGGAUCUUCAGGGUGGGUGUAACAAUUGAACAGAAAAUAAAUCUUCGAUUUAUUCCUCCUAGCACGUUGAAACUGACAGGGACAACCAGGGCGGCGACUGGCGAGCGAUGCACGCAUCCAUCUGGCAGCAACUUAUAGCCAAACACUCAGGCUGCACGUUCGUCCCCCGGGUCUCAUAUUGCAGACAGAUGUUGGUGCAAGCUUUGGCGGGUCAAACGGGCGCGGUCGAUGCACAAUAACUGGUCCGGCGACUUGGCGAAGCAGCUCACAGUAGCAGCGAUCAGCCCGGAUCAGAGAACGAGCGAGAGCGACCCGCCAGCAAAGGUGGUGUGCUGGCGGCUGCCAUAGCGGCUCAGAGGGCAGCAGAGGCUGAAUCGGCGGGUUUGCAUGGCGCAGUAAGGCGCGGUGAAGCAGUGUUUGAAGCACGGACGUGAAAACUUCCGGUGAAGCGGAGGCGUUGGCUGGGCAGCUUGUGGCGUUUCACGGGUCAGUGGACGCGCAAUGAGUCAAACCAUUGAUAGCGGCUCGGCGGCAUCCAGCUCGCACCUGCGGACCCGUCGACUUGUAGCAACUAGUAGAAGCUCAACAGCGCGGCGGCUUAGGGCCGAGCAACAACUCCUCCAUCUUUUUUCCUCACUCUUUGGUUGAUGGCAAAAAACAAUCUUGUGCUCAUUGUGGAGAUCAGCAGAGAUGUCAAGAAAUCAUCCCCAGGAAACCGAACCACAUAGUAACUACUCCAUGUGGAGUAUCACGUGUAGUAUAGCUUUGUCUUUUGACGAUAUAAAAUAUCAACGGCCGGUCGAUCAUCUGGGACUUAAUCUCCUUUUUCUUUUAUUUUGUUAUAUGAUCCUGUCGCACUGUUUACUUUCAACAGUAGGCCACGCGGACAAGCACACACAGGCUAGGACUCCCAUCGGGACUUGAUGCUUGUGAUCCAUGAUUAGUAGUAUCAGCAAACACGCUUGAUCUCCCCGGGAGCAGCAACAACAACUUGACGAAAACGGCUUCACUUGUUGACAGGGCUGCAGCGAUAGUGCGUCCAAUCCUUCCGCCUCGCGGCAUCCGUGCCUGUAGUGACCGGAGUCAGCGUCUUCCAUGGCAGUGCAGGGUAUGUGCAUGGCUUGUGGUAGAGCCGGAUUGAAAAUUCUGGCAGAUAUGGCGCGGCAACAGCCGGUAGAGGAGAGUCGCGGGAUCGACUUAAGGUGGCGACUCCACGGCCGCGACUAAUAGCAGCGGAUGUCUGAACCGGUCAGCGCUGGGCCGGCCGCUUGUGGCAGUGCGGCAGCAUAGCGAUUUGACAGAGAGAGACUCGGGCAUGCCGAGCCAGCCGGAGUGAUGGGCGGCUCGCGGAGGAGCAACGGGCUUUGGCAGAAACAAGUCCGUGUGGUGGACCGACUUUGCACAGCGACAUGAUUGGACUCGUGUUGUCCACUUGCCGACUCGGCUUUUGCAUCGGACGUCCUAAUUGAAUAUCAAUCAGGACCUAUUGACCGGUCACGCGUGGAGGCACAACAGUAGAGUCGGAUUCGUCGGAUCACCGACGCGUGCGACAAUUUCACGCGAUCCUUCUUGAUCUCAAGCAACAUGCAGCGGCUCAAGACAUCUGCGCUGUCCCUCGCCGGAUUAUCUGGUGCAAUCCGUCCCUGCCGGCUCUUGCUUCACCCGCAAAUUUAUGAAUUUCUCGAUCCCUGAGAAAGAUCCCUUCAAGAACUCAACACCAUCGUGCGCAGGCCCCACGGUGGGCGCCAACUGUCGUGGAAUUGUCACGGCAGAUGUCCUUAGUGUCAGGACUUAGUCGCGAGGCCAACGCAUCUAUGUGGUAGCUUGAGAGGGGUUGAGCGGAAUCGAGAGACGCGACACAAGACAGGGAUUUAGACAGCUUCGGGCCCCGGGAAACAUCAUCCGGUAAUAGCCCUACAUGCUGUUUGAGGCUAGGUCUCAUUAUCAUCACGAGGGAGUCGCCGUAAACCGGCUCUCCUCUAAUUGUGUCUAGCCCUAGAUUAUUGUUUGCUUGUAGCCUCUAGCUUGUCCCUCUUUGGGGAGCCCUGCCCCUCCUUAUAUAUGUCGAAGGGGCGAGUUACAUGUGGAGUCCUAUUAGGAUUAGGACUAGUCUAUCUCUAAUACAAACCGGAUACAAGUCCAGGUCUUAACUCCUUGUAAGACAAAUAUUCUUUAUGCCUUUCCUCUUAAACCGGCCCAUCAUAGCAUGAUCCGGCCUUCCAUAACCGCCAGACAGGCCACCGGGUCUUUGUUGCUCCUCUGGCUCGCCUGCCGGAUUACCAAUGAACUGUAAACCGUCUGGUCUGGGCAGGUCGCCGGUGAUUCGCCAAGUCCGGCCGGAUUAUCCUUCCAGCCGGUUUACACCGCGGGGUAUAUCCCCGACAGUGUGCGUACUUUUCUGCUUGCGGCUGAGGCAAACAAGCGGGCGGAUGGUUUUAUGCCUUGUCCAUGUGCUGGCUGUAAGAAUGGUCACAAUUACUCUACGUCAAGAACCAUUCAUGUCCACCUGUUUGAGUCCGGUUUCAUGCCCCACUAUAAUGUUUGGACCAAGCAUGGAGAAAGAGGGGUUAUGAUGGAAGAAAAUGAAGAAGAAGAGGACGACGACAGCUAUCCUGGCCAUGGGUUCCCUGAAUACGAUGAUACAACAAUGAGGGAAGAUGCUGAGCCGGUAAUGCGGGAAGAAGCUGAGCCGACAAUGCGGGAAGAAGCUGAAGAAGAGGCAUCGGAUGAGCCCGUUGAUGAUCUAGGUCGGGCCAUUGCCGAUGCAAAGAGAAACUGUGCAAGUGAUUUGGAGAAGAAGAAGUUGCAGCGCAUGUUAUAGGAUCACAAAAAAUUGUUGUACCCGAAUUGCGUAGGUGACAAGAAAAAGCUGGGCACCACACUGGAAUUGCUACAAUGGAAGGCAGAGAAUGGUGUAUCUGACAAGGGAUUUGGAAAGUUGUUGGUAAUGAUAAAGAAUAUGCUUCCAAAGGACAAUGAAUUGCCCGAGAGUACGUACGAAGCAAAGAAGGUUGUCUGCCCUCUAGGGUUAGAGGUGCAGAAGAUACAUGCAUGCCCUAAUGAUUGCAUCCUCUACCGCGGUGAGUACGAGGAUUUGAACGCUUGCCCGGUAUGCGGUGCAUUGCGCUAUAAGAUCAGCCGCGAUGACCCUGGUGAUGUCGAGGGCGAGCGCCCCAGGAAGAAGAUUCCUGCCAAGGUGAUGUGGUAUGCUCCUAUAAUACCACGGUUAAAACGUUUGUUCCAAAACAAAGAGCAUGCCAAGGCAAUGCGAUGGCACAGAGAAGACCGUAAGAAAGACGAAAAGUUGAGAGUACCCGCUGACGGGUCGCAGUGGAGAAAAAUUGAAAGAAAGUAUGGGAAGGAGUUUGCAGAUGACGCAAGGAACGUUGGUUUGGUUUAAGCGCAGAUGGCAUUAAUCCUUUUGGGGAGCAGAGCAGCAACCAUAGCACCUGGUCUGUGACUCUAUGUUUGUAUACCUUCCUCCUUAGUUGUGCAUGAAGUGGAAGUUCAUUAUGAUGUCAGUGCUCAUCCAAGGCCCUAAGAAACCCGGCAACGACAUUGAUGUUUACCUAAGGCCAUUAGUUGAAGAACUCUUACAACUGUGCAAUGGAACAGGUGUACGUGCGUGGGAUUAGCACAUGGGGGAAGAAUUUGACCUAAAGGCGUUGCUGUUCGUGACCAUCAAUGAUUGGCCUGCUCUCAAUAACCUUUCAGGACAGACAAACAAUGGAUACCGCGCAUGCAUGCACUGUUUGGACGAUACCGACUGUAUAUAUGUCAGGACCCCGACUCGAUGUCACAUCGAUCUAGCCGGUAACACCUCAUAUCACUUUGCGGCCUCACGCACGGUAUCCCCACGGGUGUCGCCUUACCUUUGCCCGGGACCGUUUGCGCCUUUUGGCUCACGUAUAUGAUAGUGUCGCUAGCAUCCAUAUGAUAAAGAGCCCGGGCUGACAUGACUAGUCGUAAACCCAAAGUGGCACAGACUUACAGGGACAGGCAUCCAUGACCCAGCUUCGAACGUGUCGGUCAUCAGCAAGUGGGUCCGGGCUGUAGCACUGGGCUAGCAGGACUCCGGUAAACCGGGCUGUAGCAGGCUAACAGGACUCCGGUACUCAAAGUGUGACAUUUCCCCGAAGGGACAGACACAGGAACGAAGAAGGACACAUGCCGGCCAGCCUAAGUGUUCCAGAGCAGUAGCAAGCUACCAUGGCUCAGCGGUAACACUAGGAGACAUUUCCCGGUAAGAGAGGCUACUAAAGAUAAACAACUAGGUAGUCAGAUCCCACACAUACCAAGCAUUACAACCAUACACACAAUAUGCUCGAUAUGUGCAAAUACAACGAAGCAUCACAACAUGACUCUACAACACAAGUACUUUAUUUAAGGCUCAGGGAGCCAUACAUAACAUACACAAAGGUACGGGUCUCACGACCCAACAUACAAGUCAUACAGUCAUACAAACCAGCAGCGGAAGUACUUUGUCUGGGUACAGACAACUAGUAAAAUAAAAGAGGCUUGGAAAGCCUAGCUAUACUACGUGGUCCUUCACAAGCUCAGGGUCACCACCUGGGUCUUUAGCCUACUCGUUGAUGUCAACGUCUACAUAGAACCCAUCAGAAGGGGUUGCAGCGUCUUCUGUAAAAUUGUAAAUUGUAGCAACAUGAGUACAAAGGUACCCAGCAAGACNNNNNNNNNNNNNNNNNNNNNNNNNNNNNNNNNNNNNNNNNNNNNNNNNNNNNNNNNNNNNNNNNNNNNNNNNNNNNNNNNNNNNNNNNNNNNNNNNNNNNNNNNNNNNNNNNNNNNNNNNNNNNNNNNNNNNNNNNNNNNNNNNNNNNNNNNNNNNNNNNNNNNNNNNNNNNNNNNNNNNNNNNNNNNNNNNNNNNNNNNNNNNNNNNNNNNNNNNNNNNNNNNNNNNNNNNNNNNNNNNNNNNNNNNNNNNNNNNNNNNNNNNNNNNNNNNNNNNNNNNNNNNNNNNNNNNNNNNNNNNNNNNNNNNNNNNNNNNNNNNNNNNNNNNNNNNNNNNNNNNNNNNNNNNNNNNNNNNNNNNNNNNNNNNNNNNNNNNNNNNNNNNNNNNNNNNNNNNNNNNNNNNNNNNNNNNNNNNNNNNNNNNNNNNNNNNNNNNNNNNNNNNNNNNNNNNNNNNNNNNNNNNNNNNNNNNNNNNNNNNNNNNNNNNNNNNNNNNNNNNNNNNNNNNNNNNNNNNNNNNNNNNNNNNNNNNNNNNNNNNNNNNNNNNNNNNNNNNNNNNNNNNNNNNNNNNNNNNNNNNNNNNNNNNNNNNNNNNNNNNNNNNNNNNNNNNNNNNNNNNNNNNNNNNNNNNNNNNNNNNNNNNNNNNNNNNNNNNNNNNNNNNNNNNNNNNNNNNNNNNNNNAUGGCUCAAUCAACUCCUACACAUGCUAGUGGGUUUCAUCUAGUUACUGUGGCAAUGACAGGUCAUGCAGAGGAAAUGGGUUCAACUACCGAAGCACACAGCAGUUUGAAACGCGUUGUCUUAAUGCAGUAAAAGAGAGCAGGAGCGAGAACAUGGGAUUGUAUCGAUAUGAUCAAUGGUUGGUUGCUUGCCUGAUGGUUCGUUGCACUGAUACGGUUCUUCGUUAGGGUAAUCACGGUACUCCUCGGAGGCAGAACCUGUCGCAAGGACACCGAUAUACAACAUCACCAAACAAUGUGCAACAAUAUGAUGCAUGCAUGAAACAUGGCAAUAUGAGUGUGUUGGGCUAAUGCAACUAAAAUCCAGAAGGGUUUGAACAAAUUUGAAUCAAAGAUUCAAAUUUCAAAUUCAAAUAUGGCCUUUUAAAGUGCUUUUCCUUGUUCUGCUUGAAACAUCAAUUUAACUUGUUUGAUCAUGCAUGAAAAUAGUACAGAUGGAUAGGUUGGAUUUUUCUGAUCAUUUUUCAUAUAUAAUUUGUCCAAUUUGGAGUUACAGAAUAAAAGUUAUGAAUUUUUGAAGUUUAAAUAAUAUUCUGGAAUUUCCUAAUUUAAAUUAAAUCCAGAAAUACAAUUAUUGCGCCAGCAUGACGUCAGCAUGACGUCAGUGGUCAACUGCGGCUGGCUGAAGUCAAACCUGACGUGUGGGGCCCACACGUCAGUGACAGGGGGGUUAAACAGGGUUAAAUUAAUCCUAAUUACUAAUUAGUGGCGCUGGGGCCCACUGGUCAGUGUCAGGGGUUUAACUAACAGUGGUUAGCGCUAAUCCUAAUUAGCUACAGGGCUGGGCCCACCUGUCAGGGACUCAGGGGGUCCUGCCGUGGUCAAAGUGGGUCAAACCCACCGGCGACGUGACGCCGGCGAGGCCCGAGACGGCGGCGCGAUGCGGAAUCGCGCUAUAGGGCACGGGAGAGGCCGUGCUUGGGCUCGUUGAAGAGCCCUUGCUCCCGCGCAUCGAAUGGUGGUGGUGGCCGUGCCGGAGGUGGCCGGCAUCGACGGCGGCGAGCUCGGCUGCGGCCGCCGGGGUUCGGGUGCGGUCGGAGUCGGCGUUGCAGGGGGUUUGGGGAGGCGUUGGUGCGUGCUGCGUGCUCCUAGUGAGGCGUGGAGCACGAUAGUGUGCUCGGUUGGGCGCUACGGUGACCGUGGCCACGACGGCGACAUCGCCGGCGGCGUGGAGCUCUCGGCCAAGGUGGGGCUAAGGCCUAGAGGUCGAAAGAGACCAGGGGAGAAGGGGGAAACGACUCGGGGGCUCACCGCGGUUGCAGUGGGCGUCGAAGCGGGCUCGGAGACGCGCUGGAGACGGUGAAUUCGACGGCGAUGAUGGUCGGAGCCCGAAGAGGGGAACGGCGACGUGGCGGCGAUGCAGGGCUUCCGGAGGCCCGUGAAGCGGUGGGGAGGAAGAGGGGGUCGUGGCGGAGCUUCUGAGCUAGUCGGGGGAGCGAGGGGUGGCCGGAGACGGCUGCUAUGGCGAACGGCGGCGACGGUGGUGUUCGGCCGGGAGUGAGGGAGCGAGGGAGAGAAGGGAGGAACCGAGGGAGAGUGAGAGAGAGCAGGGGGGAAGAGGCGUGGCAUCGUCCAGGGGCAUCGAGGCGAGGAGGGGAGGGCAGGCAGGCAGGGAGAGAGGUGGCGUGGCGCGGUGGCGCGCGCGCGCGCCGGCCACACUCCCCUCCCUCUGUCGGGACGAAGACGACAGAGGAGGGAGACGGGCUGGGCCGCCUGCUGGCUGGGCCGGCCAGCUGGAUGGGCUGCACAGGGAGGAGCCCAGGUAAGCUUCUCCCUUUUAUUUUUUUUUCUGUUUUCUAAUUUCUGACAUUUGUUUUGAUUUAAAUAAUAUAUUAAAUCAUUUAUUUAACUUAUGCCAAUUUUUGCAGGGGCUAGAUAUAUUAUUCCAGAGCUCCUUUAUAAUUGGCAUAAUAUUUGGACAUAUAUUAAUAUAUAUAGAAAUAUAUUUCCAAUGCAAAUAUUUAUGCAUUAAUUCCAAAUGCCCAAAAUAAAUGUCCAUGAGCCACUAAAAAUAUUGGUUUGAUUUUUAUCUCUGUCCAAUAUUUUCAGAGAGAAACAUGAGCAUUUUCUUGGACCCUUUUGGAGAAAUUUUUAUUUGGGUCAUUUUCAAAAUGAUUCUGAGGGUUUCACAGAUCCCCUUUUCAAGUUUCUGAUGAAAGAGUAAACAUGAUGCAACACUCUAAUGCAUGACUAGCUAGGGUGUGACAACUCACCCCCACUCAAAAGAAUCUCGCCCCGAGAUUUGGGUUCCUCCGGGAAGAAGGCGGGGUACUCAAGUCGAAGACGAUCCUCCCUUUCCCAAGUUGCUUCAUCCUCAGAAUGAUGAGACCACUGAACUUUGAGAAACUUGAUGUUAUGACGUCGAGUGGUACGCUCGGCCUGAUCGAGGAUACGAAUGGGGUACUCUCGAUAUGUAAGAUUAUCUUGGAGAUCAAGCGUUUCGUGGUCCACUUCACGGAUAGGAUCCGAGAAGCAACGCCUGAGUUGAGAAACGUGGAAGACAUCGUGGACUCUGGAGAGGUGCGGAGGUAGUUCCAACUGGUAGGCAACUUCUCCUCGUUUGGCAAGAAUGCGAAAAGGUCCAAUGUAACAAGGAGCCAAUUUGCCUUUGAUACCGAAACGAUGGGUUCCCUUCAGAGGGGUGACCCGAAGAUAAGCCUUCUCGUCAACCUCGAAAGUCAUAGCCUUAUGUUUUCGGUCAUAUUGACUCUUUUGACGAGAUUGGGCUGUUUUCAACUUUUCACGAACGAUGCGAACUUGUUCUUCUGCUUCCUGAAUCAUAUCCGGGCCAAAGAAUUGUCUUUCCCCGGUCUCUGACCAGUUAAGGGGUGUUCGACACCGUCGUCCAUAGAGAACUUCAAAAGGGGCUUUACCCAAGCUAGAUUGAUAGCUGUUGUUGUAAGCGAAUUCGGCAAAUGGAAGACACUUCUCCCAGUCCAUUCCAAAUGAGAUAACAGAGGCUCGAAGCAUGUCUUCUAGAACUUGGUUGACGCGUUCCACUUGACCACUCGACUGAGGGUGGAAAGCGGUGCUAAAGGAGAGACGGGUUCCCAUAGCAUUUUGGAAACUUUCCCAAAAUCGAGAGGUGAAAAGGCUUCCUCGAUCCGAGUUAAUUUCCAAAGGAACACCAUGGAGGGACACUAUACGGGAGAUGUAUAAGUCUGCCAAUUGACUAGCGGUUAUACUCUCACGAACAGGUAGGAAAUGGGCUACUUUGGAAAGACGAUCGACAACGACGAAGAUAGCAUUAUUCCCUCUCUUGGUCCUGGGAAAACCGGUAAUGAAAUCCAUACCAAUUUUAUCCCAUUUCCAUUCAGGAAUAGCUAAGGGUUGAAGGGUGCCAGCAGGCCGUUGGUGCUCUGCUUUUACACGACGACAGACGUCGCAAUUUGCAAUAUACUGAGCAAUUUCUCUCUUCAUCCUAGUCCACCAGAACCUCUGGCGUAGGUCCUGAUACAUCUUAGUACUACCGGGAUGAAUGGUGAGAGGAGAUUCAUGAGCUUCCUUAAGGAUUAAUCGCCUUAGGUUGCGCACUUUGGGAACCACUAGUCGAUUCCCGAAGUAUACGACUCCUUGAUCAUUAAUGGAGAAACAAUUCGCAAUUCCUUUCUGAAUGUUUCUCUUGAUGCGGGAGAUUCCCGGAUCUACUUUUUGUGCUUUGAUAAUUUGAUCCGUAAGGGUAGGUUUUGCCACCAAGGUGGAAAGAAAACCUUGAGGUACAAUGUGAAGGUUAAGCUUCUGAAAUUCCUCAUGGAGAAGCGGUUGACUUUGUUGUAACAUCAGGUUGUUACAAUAAGAUUUACGACUUAGCGCAUCAGCCAUGACGUUGGCUUUCCCUGGGGUAUAGGUUAUUCCUAAGUCGAAGUCUGUGAUCAAUUCAACCCAACGUCUUUGCCUGAGAUUCAGAUCCGGUUGGGUGAAAAUGUACUUCAGACUUUGGUGAUCAGUGAAUAUUUCGCAACGAUUACCGAGGAGGUAAUGUCGCCAGGUCUUAAGUGCAUAGACUACGGCUGCAAGCUCUAGAUCAUGAGUAGGAUAAUUCUCCUCAUGUGGGUGCAAUUGCCAUGAAGCGUAAGCAAUUACGUGUCGAUCUUGCAUGAGAAUGCAACCUAGUCCUUGUCGCGAGGCGUCGCAGUAGAUAACAAAGUCCUUGGAGAAGUCUGGCGGUACCAGCACGGGAGCAGAGGUCAGGCGUCUUUUCAGUUCCUGAAAGCUGUGCUCACAUUGUGGAGUCCAUUCGAACUUUUUAUCUUUCUUGAGGAGUUCGGUUAGAGGUUUAGCAACUUUGGAGAAGUUCUCGACAAAGCGACGACAAUAGCUCGCUAAGCCUAGAAAACUCCGAACUUGCUUGACCGAUUCAGGUGGAGUCCAAUUAAGGACGGCUUGAACUCGCUCAGGGUUAACAGCAAUACCUUUACCAGAUAUUACAUGACCCAGAUAGGUCACUUCUGACAACCAGAAUUCACAUUUAGAAAAUUUGGCAUAAAGGCGAUGCUCUCGAAGUUUCUUCAACACUAGCCUUAAAUGUUCGGCAUGUUCUUCCUCGUUCUUGGAGUAGAUGAGUAUAUCAUCGAGGUAAACCACGACGAAUUUAUCCAAAUACUCCAUGAAGAUUGAGUUCAUUAACCGAGAAAAAGUGGCUGGAGCGUUGGUUAAACCGAAGGACAUGACGGUGUACUCGUAUUGGCCAUAACGAGUAACAAAGGCCGUCUUAGGAAUGUCCCCGUUUCUGAUUUUGAUUUGAUGGUAGCCCAACCUCAAAUCCAUCUUGGAGAAGACUGAGGAUCCAGCGAGCUGAUCAUACAGGUCGUUGAUCCUGAUAGAGAGAAUAGAUCCUAAUUCCUUAACCCCCGGUGGAAGAAUAGACUGACUCAGAUCAGAAUGUCAUAAGAUAGAGGAGUAAAAAGAGCCUUACGUUCCAACCCACAAACAAUUCCCCUACAUAUAACUAAAGAAUUUCUAGACUCAACAUCGACCAGUUUGGCUUGAAGAACCUACAGGCAGUCCGGCUCUGAUACCAACGCUGUCAGGACCCCGACUCGAUGUCACAUCGAUCUAGCCGGUAACACCUCAUAUCACUUUGCGGCCUCACGCACGGUAUCCCCACGGGUGUCGCCUUACCUUUGCCCGGGACCGUUUGCGCCUUUUGGCUCACGUAUAUGAUAGUGUCGCUAGCAUCCAUAUGAUAAAGAGCCCGGGCUGACAUGACUAGUCGUAAACCCAAAGUGGCACAGACUUACAGGGACAGGCAUCCAUGACCCAGCUUCGAACGUGUCGGUCAUCAGCAAGUGGGUCCGGGCUGUAGCACUGGGCUAGCAGGACUCCGAUAAACCGGGCUGUAGCGGGCUAACAGGACUCCGGUACUCAAAGCGUGACAUUUCCCCGAAGGGACAGACACAGGAACGAAGAAGGACACAUGCCGGCCAGCCUAAGUGUUCCAGAGCAGUAGCAAGCUACCAUGGCUCAGCGGUAACACUAGGAGACAUUUCCCGGUAAGAGAGGCUACUAAAGAUAAACAACUAGGUAGUCAGAUCCCACACAUACCAAGCAUUACAACCAUACACACAAUAUGCUCGAUAUGUGCAAAUACAACGAAGCAUCACAACAUGACUCUACAACACAAGUACUUUAUUUAAGGCUCAGGGAGCCAUACAUAACAUACACAAAGGUACGGGUCUCACGACCCAACAUACAAGUCAUACAGUCAUACAAACCAGCAGCGGAAGUACUUUGUCUGGGUACAGACAACUAGUAAAAUAAAAGAGGCUUGGAAAGCCUAGCUAUACUACGUGGUCCUUCACAAGCUCAGGGUCACCACCUGGGUCUUUAGCCUACUCGUUGAUGUCAACGUCUACAUAGAACCCAUCAGAAGGGGUUGCAGCGUCUUCUGUAAAAUUGUAAAUUGUAGCAACAUGAGUACAAAGGUACCCAGCAAGACUUACAUCAGAUCCUACAUACAUGCAUAGUAUCAAGAAGGGUUGGUGGAGUUAUUGCAGCAAGCCAGCUUUGACUCCUGGCUAGACUAUCCAACGAUACUCCAACUUGAAAUGGUUUUGCGCACACGAGUCCACUACUCACCACUUCAAUACACUACCGAGGGUCCACCUCCGUCUUCCUACGGAAGGGCCAUCCUCGGCACUCACACUUAUCUUGAGGCUUUUAACAGUUUCCAUUUACUUGUCUAUGAACUGUAUAGGCAACCAAGUAGUCCUUUACCGCGGACGCGGCUAUUCGAAUAGAUCAUGUUAACCCUGCAGGGGUGUACUUCUUCAUACACGCUCUCACCACUUAUCAUCGUUUACACGACAUGUACUCGGCAACCUUCAAGCGGAAGCCCAACGUGGGUGUCGGCCACGACCUACCUAAUCACCUAAGCUUCCAGUCCAGGUUUAUCGCCUAUUCAGGUUCCAUCCGCAGGGAGUCCGGCCGAGGUUUCCCAUACGGCCCCGAACGAUGUGAACAGGGUUCCCGAGAUACCUAACGGGUAUUCGGUACACCGUGCCACGUACCUACCGCAUCACACCCCACCCCUACGGUCAGCGCUGUCCACGGCCUCCAGUAGGCUACAAACACCAGAAACUACUUGCAACUCCUGGACGGAGAACUAGGGUGAAUAAGAAGCCGAGAGGGUCCAUUGGUUUCGGGCCCAAUGCAUGGUAGUAGCUGAUUCUUAAAUCACACAUACAGAUCUCAGUGCUUAAGGUCGGCUUCAAUGAAACAACCCACCAUGUACUCCUACAUGGCCUCUCAUCGAUACCUUUACCAAAUCGUGUUCACCACACCACUCUCAUUACCGACAUAACAUUUCACUCUAGCCCAUCACCCAGAUGAACCAGACCUGACACGACUCUAAGCAUAGCAGGCAUAGCAAGGUAGGAACAACACAUACAUAUGGCUCAAUCAACUCCUACACAUGCUAGUGGGUUUCAUCUAGUUACUGUGGCAAUGACAGGUCAUGCAGAGGAAAUGGGUUCAACUACCGAAGCACACAGCAGUUUGAAACGCGUUGUCUUAAUGCAGUAAAAGAGAGCAGGAGCGAGAACAUGGGAUUGUAUCGAUAUGAUCAAUGGUUGGUUGCUUGCCUGAUGGUUCGUUGCACUGAUACGGUUCUUCGUUAGGGUAAUCACGGUACUCCUCGGAGGCAGAACCUGUCGCAAGGACACCGAUAUACAACAUCACCAAACAAUGUGCAACAAUAUGAUGCAUGCAUGAAACAUGGCAAUAUGAGUGUGUUGGGCUAAUGCAACUAAAAUCCAGAAGGGUUUGAACAAAUUUGAAUCAAAGAUUCAAAUUUCAAAUUCAAAUAUGGCCUUUUAAAGUGCUUUUCCUUGUUCUGCUUGAAACAUCAAUUUAACUUGUUUGAUCAUGCAUGAAAAUAGUACAGAUGGAUAGAUUGGAUUUUUCUGAUCAUUUUUCAUAUAUAAUUUGUCCAAUUUGGAGUUACAGAAUAAAAGUUAUGAAUUUUUGAAGUUUAAAUAAUAUUCUGGAAUUUCCUGAUUUAAAUUAAAUCCAGAAAUUAUAAUUAUUGCGCCAGCAUGACGUCAGCAUGACGUCAGUGGUCAACUGCGGCUGGCUGAAGUCAAACCUGACGUGUGGGGGCCACACGUCAGUGACAGGGGGGGUUUAACAGGUUUAAAUUAAUCCUAAUUAGGGAUUAGUGGCGCUGGGGCCCACUGUCAGUGUCAGGGGGGGGGUUGACUAACGGUAAUUAGGACUAACUAACCACCUGUCCGACAGGGCCCACGCGUCAGUGACCCUGGGGGGGUCAAACCUCAGGUCGGACAGGUCAAACCCGCCGGCGGUUAGUCGCCAGCGAGGUCCGCGGCGUGCAGGGGCCUCGGGUUUCCUCUGUGGUGCUCCAAACGGCGUGCGGCUAGGUGCGUUGGAUAGCUAGCUCGACGGCGCGUCGGACGGUGGCCGUGGCUGGCCCUGGGGUGGCCGGAGUCGACGGCGGCGAGCUCGGCUGCGGCUGCCGGAGUUCGGGUGCGGUCGGAAUCGACGUUGCAGGGGGCUUGGGGAGGCGUUAGUGCGCGCUGCGUGCUCCUGGUGAGGUGGGGAGCACGAUAGUGCGCUCGGUUGGGUGCUACGGUGACCGUGGCCACGACGGCGACAUCGCCGGCGGCGUGGAGCUCUCGGCCGAGGUGGGGCUAGGGCCUAGAGGUCGAAAGAGACCAGGGGAGAAGGGGGAAACGAUCCGGGGGCUCACCGCGGAGCUGCAGGGAUGGUUAGCGGGCUCGGGGACGCGCUGGUGACGGCGAAUUCGACGGCGACGACGGUCGGAGCCCGAAGAGGGGAACGGCGACGUGGCGGCGAUGCAGGGCUUCCGGGGAGCUGUGGAGUGGUGGGGAGGAAGAGGGGGUCGUGGCGGAGCUUCUGAGCUAGUCGGGGGAGCGAGGGGUGGCCGGAGACGGCUGCUGUGGCGAACGGCGGCGACGGUGGUGUUCGGCCGUGUGAGAGAGAGAGCGAGGGAGAGGAGGGGAGAGCCGGGGGAGAGUGAGAGAGAGCAGGGGGAGAGGCGUGGCGUCGUCCAGGGCAUCGAGGCGAGGAGAGGGAGGGCAGGCAGGCAGGGAGAGAGGUGGCGUGGCGCGGUGGCGCGCGCGCGCCGGCCACACUCCCCUCCCUCUGUCGGGACGAAGACGACAGAGGAGGGAGGUGGGCUGGGCCGGUUGCUGGCUGGGCCAGCCAGCUGGCUGGGCCGCACAGUGGAGGAGCCCAGGUAAGUUUCUCCUGUUAUAUAUUUUUCUGUUUUCUAAUUUCUGACAUUUGUUUUGAUUUAAAAAAUAUAUUAAAUCAUUUAUUUAACUUAUGCCAAUUUUUGCAGGAGCUAUAUAUAUUAAUCCAGAGCUCUUUUACAAAUGGCAUAAUAUUUGGACAUAUAUUAAUAUAUAUAAUUAAUAUAUUUCCAAUGCAAAUAUUUAUGCAUUAAUUCCAAAUGCCCAAAAUAAAUGUCCAUGAGCCACUAAAAUUAUUGGUUUGAUUUUUAUCUCUGUCCAAUAUUUUCAGAGAGCAACAUGAGCAUUUUCUUGGAUCCUUUUGGAGAAAUUUUUAUUUGGGUCAUUUUCAAAAUGAUUCUGAGGGUUUCACAGAUCCCCAUUUCAAGUUUCUGAUGAAAGAGUAAACAUGAUGCAACACUCUAAUGCAUGACUAGCUAGGGUGUGACAACUCACCCCCACUCAAAAGAAUCUCGUCCCGAGAUUUGGGUUCCUCCGGGAAGAAGGCGGGAUACUCGAGUCGAAGACGAUCCUCCCUUUCCCAGGUUGCUUCAUCCUCAGAAUGGUGCGACCAUUGAACUUUGAGAAACUUGAUAUUAUGACGCCGGGUGGUACGUUCGGCUUGAUCGAGGAUACGAAUGGGGUACUCUCGAUAUGUAAGAUUAUCUUGGAGAUCAAGCGUUUCGUGGUCCACUUCACGGAUAGGAUCCGAGAAGCAACGCCUGAGUUGAGAAACGUGGAAGACAUCGUGGACUCUGGAGAGGUGCGGAGGUAGUUCCAACUGGUAGGCAACUUCUCCUCGUUUGGCAAGAAUGCGAAAAGGUCCAAUGUAACAAGGAGCCAAUUUGCCUUUGAUACCGAAACGAUGGGUUCCCUUCAGAGGGGUGACCCGAAGAUAAGCCUUCUCGUCAACCUCGAAAGUCAUAGCCUUAUGUUUUCGGUCAUAUUGACUCUUUUGACGAGAUUGGGCUGUUUUCAACUUUUCACGAACGAUGCGAACUUGUUCUUCUGCUUCCUGAAUCAUAUCCGGGCCAAAGAAUUGUCUUUCCCCGGUUUAUGACCAGUUAAGGGGUGUUCGACACCGUCGUCCAUAGAGAACUUCAAAAGGGGCUUUACCCAAGCUAGAUUGAUAGCUGUUGUUGUAAGCGAAUUCGGCAAAUGGAAGGCACUUCUCCCAAUCCAUUCCAAAUGAGAUAACAGAAGCUCGAAGCAUGUCUUCUAGAAUCUGGUUGACGCGUUCCACUUGACCACUCGACUGAGGGUGUAAAGCGGUGCUAAAGGAGAGACGGGUUCCCAUAGCAUUUUGGAAACUUUCCCAAAAUCGAGAGGUGAAAAGACUUCCUCGAUCCGAGUUGAUUUCCAAAGGAACACCAUGGAGGGACACUAUUCGAGAGAUGUAUAAGUCUGCCAGCUGACUAGCGGUUAUACUCUCACCAACAGGUAGGAAAUGGGCUACUUUGGAAAGACGAUCGACCACGACGAAAAUAGCAUUAUUCCCUCUCUUGGUCCUGGGAAAACCGGUAAUGAAAUCCAUACCAAUUUUAUCCCAUUUCCAUUCAGGAAUAGCUAAGGGUUGAAGGGUGCCAGCAGGCCGUUGGUGCUCUGCUUUUACACGACGAUAGACGUCGCAAUUUGCAAUAUACUGAGCAAUUUCUCUCUUCAUCCUAGUCCACCAGAACCUCUGGCGUAGGUCCUGAUACAUCUUAGUACUACCGGGAUGAAUGGUGAGAGGAGAUUCAUGAGCUUCCUUAAGGAUCAAACGCCUCAGGUUUCGCACUUUGGGAACCACUAGUCGAUUCCCGAAGUAUACGACCCCUUGAUCAUUAAUGGAGAAGCAAUUCACAAUUCCUUUCUGAAUGUUUCUCUUGAUGCGGGAGAUUCCCGGAUCUACCUUCUGUGCCUUGAUAAUCUGAUCCGUAAGGGUAGGUAUUGCCACCAAGGUGGAGAGAAAACCUUGAGGUACAAUGUGAAGGUUAAGCUUCCGAAAUUCCUCAUGGAGAAGCGGUUGACUUUGUUGUAACAUCAGGUUGUUACAAUAAGAUUUACGACUUAGCGCAUCAGCCAUGACGUUGGCUUUCCCUGGGGUGUAGGUUAUCCCUAAAUCGAAGUCUGUGAUCAACUCAACCCAACGUCUUUGCCUGAGAUUCAAAUCCGGUUGGGUGAAAAUGUACUUCAGGCUUUGGUGAUCAGUGAAAAUUUCGCAACGAUUACCGAGGAGGUAAUGUCGCCAGGUCUUAAGUGCAUAGACUACGGCUGCAAGCUCUAGAUCAUGAGUAGGAUAAUUCUCCUCAUGUGGGUGCAAUUGCCGUGAAGCGUAGGCAAUUACGUGUCGAUCUUGCAUGAGAAUGCAACCUAGUCCUUGUCGCGAGGCGUCGCAGUAGAUAACAAAGUCCUUGGAGAAGUCUGGCGGUACCAGUACGGGAGCAGAAGUCAGGCGUCUUUUCAGCUCCUGAAAGCUGUGCUCACAUUGUGGAGUCCACUCGAACUUCUUAUCUUUCUUGAGGAGUUCGGUUAGAGGUUUGGCAACCUUGGAGAAGUUCUCGACAAAGCGACGACAAUAGCUCGCUAAGCCUAGAAAACUCCGAACUUGCUUGACCGAUUCAGGUGGAGUCCAGUUAAGGACGGCUUGAACUCGCUCAGGGUUAACAGCAAUACCUUUACCAGAUAUUACAUGGCCCAGAUAGGUCACUUCUGACAACCAGAAUUCACAUUUAGAAAAUUUGGCAUAAAGGCGAUGCUCUCGAAGUUUCUUCAACACUAGCCUUAGAUGUUCGGCAUGUUCUUCCUCGUUCUUGGAGUAGAUGAGUAUAUCAUCGAGGUAGACCACGACGAAUUUAUCCAAAUACUCCAUGAAGAUUGAGUUCAUUAACCGAGAAAAGGUGGCUGGAGCGUUGGUUAAUCCGAAGGACAUGACGGUGUUCUCGUAUUGGCCAUAACGAGUAACAAAGGCCGUUUUAGGAAUGUCCCCGUUUCUGAUUUUGAUUUGAUGGUAGCCCAACCUCAAAUCCAUCUUAGAGAAGACUGAGGAUCCAGCGAGCUGAUCAUACAGAUCGUUGAUCCUGGGAAGUGGAUAUUUGUUUUUGAUUGUGACCAAAUUGACAGGUCGGUAAUCUACAACCAUCCGGUCCGUACCAUCCUUCUUCUUGACGAAUAGGACGGGGCAAGCCCACGGAGAUGAGCUAGGUCGGAUGAAACCCUUUUUCAAGGACUCAUCGAGUUGUUUCUUAAGCUCGACUAGUUCUAAGGGUGCCAUCUUAUAAGGUCUUCUAGCAAUCGGAACGGUUCCUAGGAUGAGGUCUAUUACGAACUCAACAUCUCUGUCAGGUGGAACACCUGGCAAUUCCUCUGGGAAGACAUCCGGAAAGUCACGGACUACCGGAACGUCCUCAAGGUCUGGCAAAGGGCUGGCGUUAAGAGAAUAUAAUUGUCGCUUGGCUAUUCGGGUCAAGACAUUGACUAUCUUCCCCGAAGGAUGGGUGAGUUGAACAGUCCUAGAGAAGCAAUCAAUUUGGGCAUGAUGAGCUGACAUCCAGUCCAUACCCAGAAUGAUAUUAAUAUCUGAAGAUUUAAGGGCUAUCAAGGACGCGAGGAAAACAAGUCUGUCGACUUGGAUUUCAUUUCCAUGGCUUACUCUAGAAGUUUUCCAUUUGGAUCCCGGAGUUUGAAUUACCAUAGAGGUUGGCAUAUUACCGAAUGCGACGUUGUGCAAACGAGCAUAGUUUUCAGAUAUAAAAGAAUGAGAGGCUCCUGUAUCGAAAAGAACAGAUGCCGGGUGGCAAUUAACAAGAAGCGUACCGAGAACGACGUUGGGAUCCUCUUGAGCUUCUUCGGCAGAGAUACAGUUGACAUGGCCACGUGAAGCGGUGACCGGUUUGGUGUGGAAUAUCUUUCCUGUCGGCUUGCCACGGCCAACAGCUUUAGCAGAUUGAGUGGGGUUGGUCUGGGGACACUCACGCAUAUAGUGACCAGAUUCCCCACACUUGAAACAAGUCACGGAACUGGUACGUGGAGGAGCAUUAUUGGUUGGGCCCCCAUAGGGCUUGGCCGGUGCAGACUGUUGAACAGGGCGAGGUGCCUGGAAAGAUGGCCUCGGUGUGAACCUGGGUGGCAGGGCGGUGUUGGGUACCCACACACGGUGCUUCUGAGGACCAGCACCGGUUGAGGAACCUAUGUCACGGCCAUGCUUGCGUGUUGCGUCAUAGUCAGUCUGACCAGUUUCAGCACUGAUGGCUUUGUUGACAAGUUUCUGGAAAGAUGUGCACUCAUGCAGACGGAGGUCGCGGCGAAGCUCAGGACUAAGGCCCUUACGGAACCUUGCUUGCUUCUUGGCAUCAGCAGACACUUCCUCAGUUGCAUAUCGUGCAAGAUUACCAAACUCCCUGCUGUAAGCAUCCACAGAAAGUCGGCCUUGGGUGAAACUGCAAAAUUCCUCACGUUUACGGUCCAUGAGACCCUCCGGAAUGUGAUGUUCACGGAAAGCCUCGCUGAAUUCAGCCCAAGUAGUGACAUGGCCCGCUGGGCGCAUAGCUCCAUAAUUCUCCCACCAUAGACUGGCGGGGCCUUCAAGAUGAUAUGCAGCAAAGGUGACCUUGUCAGCCUCCGCUACCAGCGCGGAGCGCAGUUUGUGAGCGAUACUGCGAAGCCAGUCAUCAGCGUCGAGAGGCUCGACGGAGUGGUGGAACGUGGGUGGAUGCAAUUUGAUAAAAUCACUGAGUGACACCACGUUAGUCCUCUGAUGGUGUGUUGUGUUCUGUUCAAUACGCUCCAACAAACGGUUGGUCUCUCGCUUGUUUCUCUCAGCUUCCAUCAUAACCUCGGCUAGGGAAGGAGGAUGAGGCAGAUUUGUAUCCCUGACUUCACUGCCUUCGGCCUGCUCUUGAGGAGCAGGGUUAGUGCGCGUGUUGACCAUCCUAGGUAAACAUGACAAAGGUUUAGUCAGGAUGAUAAAAUUCCGACAUAGGAUAUAGAAUGUAAGGAAUAACUCGAAAUGCAAGAUGAUCAUCCGUAUGACAUGGUAGAUACAGAAACUGCUUCUUUUAUUCCAUCGUCAUACACACCAUACAGGGUUUAGUACAAGACCAAACAAGUACUAUUACGGUGAAAAGAGGAUUACAUCUCAUCGGAGGCAUCCCAAGCUCCUAUACAUUAUUUUUCUACACCUCCGGAAGGAGUACAAGCUAGGUCAUAUCCCAUGAGUCACGCGGGACGAUAGAAGACACAGCUAGUGCGAACUAGUGAUACUCCACUAACUCAGACCGACCCGUAGUAGUCCUCGUAGAAGUCACCUCCAUAGCCUGGAAGCUCAACAUGAUCAUCCGGAAACAGACGAUCUCGCGAAGCUUGUGGACCAUAGGGGCUAGGAUGAGGUCGUGGACCAACAAACGGUGGCCUGCGGGGACCGCGAGGUGGGGUGAUGCCUCCUACAUCACGCCAAACCAUCACGUCUGGCAGAGCAGAUCUCACAGGAUAGAGAUCGCGCAUAUCUGAAUAUCCAGCUUGCACCGCCGGUGCGAACCGAGUCAAAGUGGCCCAGUGGUCAGCACGGGUAUUAAAGAGCUCUAACCUCAAGGCCCGAUUUUCAUGGUCCUUAUCCUCGAGCAUCUCAGCAGUGGUGCGAGUCCGUGAAUCCUCUUGAGUGGGGUCAGCAUAGAUAGCCUGGAGAUACCCUUGUGCUCCCGGAAGUGAUCCUGGCAUAUACCGGAAAUCAGAGUCCCGAAAUAGUCCAGAUCUGACUCGCAUAAUGGUCAUCAUAGAGUAGGCGGCGUCCUGCACAGCCAUCUCAAUAGUAACCCCGAGUCCAUAAGAGCAGUGAAGGGGCUCGGUGGAUCCAGGAUAAGAUGGAAAUAUCCUGACAGUGCAGAGAUACUGGCUUUGAUUAAAGUCUCGGAAUUGCUCUUCGACCGUGUACUCAGGAUACCAGCGGUAUCCAGCCUCAGUCAUUACCCUGACCAACUUGGCAGUAUGGCCGGGUACAUCUAGGCAUCGAGUCAGGCGAACCACUUGAUUGAGGUCGCGAGUGGCCAUCUGAAAGCACAAUCAUAAUGCAAGGCAUUAGAAUUUCUAGCACAAUUUCGGCAGCAUAACAGCUGUAAAUGCUCAAGAAGGAUUUUGAGACAUUUGACAAAGGAUUACAUACACACUCAUCAUCAUCAUAACAAAGUUCUGAAUCCAUCUUAGCAACAUAAUGUGGUAGUAGAACUGAACUAGGCUUGUAUCCAUCAAACUUAUAAGGUACUACUGAUUAGUAACACGUGAUCCUGAUAGAGAGAACAGAUCCUAAUUUCUUAUCCCCCGGUGGAAGAAUGGACUGACUCAGAUCAGAAUGUCAUAAGAUAAAGGAGUAAAAAGAGCCUUACGUUCCAUCCCACAAACAAUUCCCCUAAAUAUAACUAAAGAAUUUCUAGACUCAACAUCGACCAGUUUGGCUUGGAGAACCUACAGGCAGUCCGGCUCUGAUGCCAACGCCGUCAGGACCCCGACUCGAUGUCACAUCGAUCUAGCCGGUAACACCUCAUAUCACUUUGCGGCCUCACGCACGGUAUCCCCACGGGUGUCGCCUUACCUUUGCCCGGGACCGUUUGCGCCUUUUGGCUCACGUAUAUGAUAGUGUCGCUAGCAUCCAUAUGAUAAAGAGCCCGGGCUGACAUGACUAGUCGUAAACCCAAAGUGGCACAGACUUACAGGGACAGGCAUCCAUGACCCAGCUUCGAACGUGUCGGUCAUCAGCAAGUGGGUCCGGGCUGUAGCACUGGGCUAGCAGGACUCCGGUAAACCGGGCUGUAGCGGGCUAACAGGACUCCGGUACUCAAAGCGUGACAUUUCCCCGAAGGGACAGACACAGGAACGAAGAAGGACACAUGCCGGCCAGCCUAAGUGUUCCAGAGCAGUAGCAAGCUACCAUGGCUCAGCGGUAACACUAGGAGACAUUUCCCGGUAAGAGAGGCUACUAAAGAUAAACAACUAGGUAGUCAGAUCCCACACAUACCAAGCAUUACAACCAUACACACAAUAUGCUCGAUAUGUGCAAAUACAACGAAGCAUCACAACAUGACUCUACAACACAAGUACUUUAUUUAAGGCUCAGGGAGCCAUACAUAACAUACACAAAGGUACGGGUCUCACGACCCAACAUACAAGUCAUACAGUCAUACAAACCAGCAGCGGAAGUACUUUGUCUGGGUACAGACAACUAGUAAAAUAAAAGAGGCUUGGAAAGCCUAGCUAUACUACGUGGUCCUUCACAAGCUCAGGGUCACCACCUGGGUCUUUAGCCUACUCGUUGAUGUCAACGUCUACAUAGAACCCAUCAGAAGGGGUUGCAGCGUCUUCUGUAAAAUUGUAAAUUGUAGCAACAUGAGUACAAAGGUACCCAGCAAGACAUACAUCAGAUCCUACAUACAUGCAUAGUAUCAAGAAGGGUUGGUGGAGUUAUUGCAGCAAGCCAGCUUUGACUCCUGGCUAGACUAUCCUACGAUACUCCAACUUGAAAUGGUUUUGCGCACACGAGUCCACUACUCACCACUUCAAUACACUACCGAGGGUCCACCUCCGUCUUCCUACGGAAGGGCCAUCCUCGGCUCUCACACUUAUCUUGAGGCUUUUAACAGUUUCCAUUUACUUGUCUAUGAACUGUAUAGGCAACCAAGUAGUCCUUUACCGCGGACGCGGCUAUUCGAAUAAAUCUUGUUAACCCUGCAGGGGUGUACUUCUUCAUACACGCUCUCACCACUUAUCGUCGUUUACACGACAUGUACUCGGCAACCUUCAAGCGGAAGCCCAACGUGGGUGUCGGCCACGACCUACCUAAUCACCUAAGCUUCCAGUCCAGGUUUAUCGCCUAUUCAGGUUCCAUCCGCAGGGAGUCCGGCCGAGGUUUCCCAUACGGCCCCGAACGAUGUGAACAGGGUUCCCGAGAUACCUAACGGGUAUUCGGUACACCGUGCCACGUACCUACCGCAUCACGGCCCACCCCUACGUCAGCGCUGUCCACGGCCUCCAGUAGGCUACAAACACCAGAAACUACUUGCAACUCCUGGACGGAGAACUAGGGUGAAUAAGAAGCCGAGAGGGUCCAUUGGUUUCGGGCCCAAUGCAUGGUAGUAGCUGAUUCUUAAAUCACACAUACAGAUCUCAGUGCUUAAGGUCGGCUUCAAUGAAACAACCCACCAUGUACUCCUACAUGGCCUCUCAUCGAUACCUUUACCAAAUCGUGUUCACCACACCACUCUCAUUACCGACAUAACAUUUCACUCUAGCCCAUCACCAAGAUGAACCAGACCUGACACGACUCUAAGCAUAGCAGGCAUAGCAAGGUAGGAACAACACAUACAUAUGGCUCAAUCAACUCCUACACAUGCUAGUGGGUUUCAUCUAGUUACUGUGGCAAUGACAGGUCAUGCAGAGGAAAUGGGUUCAACUACCGAAGCACACAGCAGUUUGAAACGCGUUGUCUUAAUGCAGUAAAAGAGAGCAGGAGCGAGAACAUGGGAUUGUAUCGAUAUGAUCAAUGGUUGGUUGCUUGCCUGAUGGUUCGUUGCACUGAUACGGUUCUUCGUUAGGGUAAUCACGGUACUCCUCGGAGGCAGAACCUGUCGCAAGGACACCGAUAUACAACAUCACCAAACAAUGUGCAACAAUAUGAUGCAUGCAUGAAACAUGGCAAUAUGAGUGUGUUGGGCUAAUGCAACUAAAAUCCAGAAGGGUUUGAACAAAUUUGAAUCAAAGAUUCAAAUUUCAAAUUCAAAUAUGGCCUUUUAAAGUGCUUUUCCUUGUUCUGCUUGAAACAUCAAUUUAACUUGUUUGAUCAUGCAUGAAAAUAGUACAGAUGGAUAGAUUGGAUUUUUCUGAUCAUUUUUCAUAUAUAAUUUGUCCAAUUUGGAGUUACAGAAUAAAAGUUAUGAAUUUUUGAAGUUUAAAUAAUAUUCUGGAAUUUCCUGAUUUAAAUUAAAUCCAGAAAUAAAAUUAUUGCGCCAGCAUGACGUCAGCAUGACGUCAGUGGUCAACUGCGGCUGGCUGAAGUCAAACCUGACGUGUGGGGCCCACACGUCAGUGACAGGGGGGUUAAACAGGGUUAAAUUAAUCCUAAUUACUAAUUAGUGGCGCUGGGGCCCACUGGUCAGUGUCAGGGGUUUAACUAACAGUGGUUAGCACUAAUCCUAAUUAGCUACAGGGCUGGGCCCACCUGUCAGGGACUCAAGGGGUCCUGCCGUGGUCAAAGUGGGUCAAACCCACCGGCGACGUGACGCCGGCGAGGCCCGAGAUGGCGGCGCGAUGCGGAAUCGCGCUAUAGGGCACGGGAGAGGCCGUGCUUGGGCUCGUUGAAGAGCCCUUGCUCCCGCGCAUCGAAUGGUGGUGGUGGCCGUGCCGGAGGUGGCCGGAAUCGACGGCGGCGAGCUCGGCUGCGGCCGCCGGGGUUCUGGUGCGGUCGGAGUCGGCGUUGCAGGGGGUUUGGGGAGGCGUUGGUGCAUGCUACGUGCUCCUAGUGAGGCGUGGAGCACGAUAGUGUGCUCGGUUGGGCGCUACAGUGACCGUGGCCACGACGGCGACAUCGCCGGCGGCGUGGAGCUCUCGGCCAAGGUGGGGCUAAGGCCUAGAGGUCGAAAGAGACCAGGGGAGAAGGGGGAAACGACUCGGGGGCUCACCGCGGUUGCAGUGGGCGUCGAAGCGGGCUCGGAGACGCGCUGGAGACGGUGAAUUCGACGGCGAUGAUGGUCGGAGCCCGAAGAGGGGAACGGCGACGUGGCGGCGAUGCAGGGCUUCCAGAGGCCCGUGAAGCGGUGGGGAGGAAGAGGGGGUCGUGGCGGAGCUUCUGAGCUAGUCGGGGGAGCGAGGGGUGGCCGGAGACGGCUGCUAUGGCGAACGGCGGCGACGGUGGUGUUCGGCCGGGAGUGAGGGAGCGAGGGAGAGAAGGGAGGAACCGAGGGAGAGUGAGAGAGAGCAGGGGGGAAGAGGCGUGGCGUCGUCCAGGGGCAUCGAGGCGAGGAGGGGAGGGCAGGCAGGCAGGGAGAGAGGUGGCGUGGCGCGGUGGCGCGCGCGCGCGCCGGCCACACUCCCCUCCCUCUGUCGGGACGAAGACGACAGAGGAGGGAGACGGGCUGGGCCGCCUGCUGGCUGGGCCGGCCAGCUGGAUGGGCUGCAUAGGGAGGAGCCCAGGUAAGCUUCUCCCUUUUAUUUUUUUUCUGUUUUCUAAUUUCUGGCAUUUGUUUUGAUUUAAAUAAUAUAUUAGAUCAUUUAUUUAACUUAUGCCAAUUUUUGCAGGGGCUAGAUAUAUUAUUCCAGAGCUCCUUUAUAAUUGGCAUAAUAUUUGGACAUAUAUUAAUAUAUAUAGAAAUAUAUUUCCAAUGCAAAUAUUUAUGCAUUAAUUCCAAAUGCCCAAAAUAAAUGUCCAUGAGCCACUAAAAAUAUUGGUUUGAUUUUUAUCUCUGUCCAAUAUUUUCAGAGAGCAACAUGAGCAUUUUCUUGGACCCUUUUGGAGAAAUUUUUAUUUGGGUCAUUUUCAAAAUGAUUCUGAGGGUUUCACAGAUCCCCAUUUCAAGUUUCUGAUGAAAGAGUAAACAUGAUGCAACACUCUAAUGCAUGACUAGCUAGGGUGUGACAAUAUAUUUCGCUAAUUGUAAGAAGAAUGUGUACCUGGGACAUCGUCGAUUUCUUCCGAGCAGGCAUCCCGUAAGAAAGAAAGGCAAGCAUUUCAAAGGUGAGGCGGAUCACCGGACAAAGCCUCGCCACCGUACCGGUGCUGAUGUACAUGAUAUGGUCAAGGAUUUGAAGGUGGUCUUUGGAAAGGGUCCUGGUGGACAACCUGUUCCGAAUGACGCUGACGGACGCGCACCCAUGUGGAAGAAGAAAUCUAUAUUUUGGGACCUGCCCUAUUGGAAAGACCUAGAGGUCCGCUCCGCAAUCGACGUGAUGCACGUGACGAAGAAUCUUUGUGUGACCCUGCUUGGCUUCUUGGGCGUGUAUGGGAAGACAAAAGAUACACCUGAGGCACGGGAGGACCAGCAACGUAUGCACGGAAAAGACGGCAUAUAUCAGGGUCAUGCAAGCUACGCUCUUACCAAAGAAGAGAAGGAAAUCUUCUUUGAAUGCCUACUCAGUAUUAAGGUAUCGUCUGGCUUCUCGUCGAAUAUAAAGGGAAUAAUAAACAUGGCAUAGAAAAAGUUCCAGAACCUAAAGUCUCAUGACUGCCACGUGAUUAUGACGCAACUGCUUCCGGUUGCAUUGAGGGGGCUUCUACCAGAAAACGUUCGAUUAGCCAUUCACUAUUAGAAAACAGGGCUUUGGUCCAGGCUGGGUCAGCCCAUUAGUCCCGGUUCAGUCCAGAACCAGGACCAAUGUGGGCAUUGGUCCUGGUUCGUGAGCCCAGGGGGGUGGCCGGGCCACGUGGGCCAUUGGUCCCGGUUCAUCUGGACCUUUUGGUCCUGGUUGGUGGGAUGAACCGGGACCAAUGGGCCUCGCUCCUGGCCCACCACCAUUGGUCCCGGUUGGUGGCUUGAACUGGGACCAAAGGCUCCCCUUUAGUCCCGGCUCAUGUCACCAACCGGGACCAAUGAGGUGCCUAUAUAUACCCCUCGCUCGCGAGCAGAGCACCCCAGUUCUCUGUUUUUCUCUGGCCGAGGGGGAGAGGGCUUGGUGGUGCUCUAGCUCACCUCCUAUGCACACAAGGUGUUCGAUGGAAUGCCCGAGCCACACUACUUAAGCUUUCUCCUCUCCAAGCUCAACCUCCAAGCUUCAUUUUCCAUAAUAUUUAUGUAGGUUUAGCGGUCCGUCACACCCCAUCCCCGUCUUCACCGCCGUCGAUCACCCGCGCCGAGCUCAUCGCCGGCACGACCGUGGUGAGCCUCUUGUUCUUAUCUUCUUUCUGAAAGGAAAACUAUUCUUACUUGUAUGUUUACAUAGAUACUUGUAUUAUUGUCUUACUUUUAUUAUUGCAUCUUAUAUAGUGUGAUGGUUUUGGUAUCCGCCCUCGUCGGCCCUCAUCCUGUCUAUGAUUCAGAUGUGGUAUAUAUAUUAUCUUUAUAACUAUUGGUUCAUUUAUUGUUUAUGAAAAUUAUGCCGACCAACGUGACAUAGGUUUUUUUAUGUAGGAUGUAUGUGAAUCGGAAAUGCCAACCGACCCUAUUGUCGAGAGGUUAAAUUUAGUUGAAGAAGAAAACAAUUUGUUGAAGGAAAAAAUUAAAAAAAUUGAGGAGGAGAAGAUGAUAUUGGAGUUGCAUGUUGCCGAUGUCGUCGAUGAUCCCAAGAUCAAGAUGGAUGCAAUGCGCUUGAAGAUUAGAAAGAUUAGAAAAUAUGCCAUUCAUACCGAGGCUUGGUAUCAUUAUGCCAUUGGAUCAAUUGUUACCUUGGUUGCGAUUAUGAUCGCAUUUGUUUUCGCAUUGAAAUGUUUUACAUAGUUUCAAUGUAUUGUUUAAUUAAUUAGAUGCUCUGGAGAGCUAUAUGUUGUUAGAUGAGAACUAUGUAUGCACUUUGGUUUUAAUGUGAUGAUGAACUUAUAUUAAUUUGGACACUUAAUUAUAUAUAAUGCACGCAGAUGAACCGGCAAUGGAUGUACGGUGACAGACACACCUGCGAGUACAUUAAGGGCGUGCAUGAGUUUUUCGAUGCGGCUGAGGCAAACAAGCAGAAUGGUUUUAUGUGUUGUCCAUGCACUGAAUGUGGGAAUAUGAGGUCUUACUCUAACCGGAAAAUCCUUCACUCCCACCUGCUUUACAAGGGUUUCAUGCCACACUAUAAUGUUUGGACGAGGCACGGAGAAAUAGGGGUUAUGAUGGAAGACGGCGAAGAAGAAGAGUACGAUGACAACUAUGUGCCCCCUGAAUACGGUAUGCCCAAUGAUGCUGCAACGGGGGGAGCUGGUGAAGAUCAAGAGGAACCAGACGAUGUGCCCAAUGAUGCUGCAAUGGGUGAAGCUGCUGAAGAUCAAGAGGAACCAGACGAUGUGCCUGAUGAUGAUGAUCUCCGCCGUGUCAUUGUCGAUGCAAGGACGCAAUGCGAAAGUCAAAAGGAGAAGCUGAAGUUCGAUCACAUGUUAGAGGAUCACAAAAAAGGGUUAUACCCCAAUUACGAAGAUGGCAACACAAAGCUCGGUACCGUACUGGAAUUGCUGCAGUGGAAGGCAGAGAAUGCUGUGGCUGACAAAGGAUUUGAGAAGCUACUGAAAAUAUUGAAGAAGAAGCUUCCAAAGGAUAACGAAUUGCCCAACAGUACAUACACAGCAAAGAAGGUCGUAUGCCCUCUAGGAUUGGAGGUGGAGAAGAUACAUGCAUGCCCUAAUGACUGCAUCCUCUACCUCGGUGCAUACAAGGAUCUGAACGCAUGCCCGGUAUGUGGUGCAUUGCGGUAUAAGAUCAGACGAGAUGACCCUGGUGAUGUUGACGGCGAGCCCCCCAAGAAGAGGGUUCCUGCGAAGGUGAUGUGGUAUGCUCCUAUAAUACCACAGUUGAAAUGUCUGUUCAGAAACGAAGAGCAUGCCAAGUUGAUGCGAUGGCACAGUGAGAACCAAAAGAAAGAUGGGAAGUUGAGAGCACCCGCUGACGGGUUGCAGUGGAGAAAAAUCGAGAGAAAGUACUAGGAUGAGUUUGCAACGGACCCAAGGAAUGUAUGGUUUGCUUUAAGCGCGGAUGGCAUCAAUCCUUUCGGGGAGCAGAGCUGCAAUCACAGCACCUGGCCUGUGACUCUAUGUAUGUAUAACCUUCCUCCUUGGAUGUGCAUGAAGAGGAAGUUCAUUAUGAUGCCAUUUCUCAUCCAAGGCCCUAAGCAACCCGGCAACGAAAUUGAUGUGUACCUAAGGCCAUUAGUUGAAGAACUUUUACAGCUGUGGAAUGGAAACGGUGUACGUACGUGGGAUGAGCAUAAACAGGAGGAAUUUAACCUUAAGGCGUUGCUAUUCGUGACCAUCAACGGUUGGCCCGCUCUCAGUAACCUUUCAGGACAGACAAACAAAGGAUACCACGCAUGCACGCACUGUUUAGAUGACACUGAAAGUAUAUACCUGGAAAAAUACAGGAAGAAUGUGUACCUGGGCCAUCGUCGAUUUCUUCCGACCAACCAUCAAUAUCGAAAGAAAGGCAAGAAUUUCAAAGGCGAGGCGGAUCACCGGAAGAAGCCCGCCAUGCGUACCGGUGAUCACGUACUUGCUAUGGUCAAUGAUUUACACUACGUAAUCUUUGGAAAGGGUCCCGGUGGACUAGCUGUUCCGAAUGACGCUGAGGGACACGCACCCAUGUGGAAGAAGAAAUCUAUAUUUUGGGAUCUACCCUACUGGAAAGACCUAGAGGUCCGCUCCUCAAUCGACGUGAUGCACGUGACGAAGAACCUUGUGUGAACCUACUAGGCUUCUUGGGCGUGUAUGGGAAGACAAAAGAUACACCUAAGGCACGGGAGGACCUGCAACAUUUGCACAAAAAAGACAGCAUGCCUCCGAAGCUAUGUGCAUUCCUCAAUGCAAUCUCUCAGAAGGUAAUCGAUCUAGAAAUCAUACCAAGGUUAGAGAAUGAUUUGGUGCAAUGUCUUGUCAGUUUCGAGUUGGUGUUCCCACCAUCCUUCUUCAACAUCAUGACGCACGUCCUGGUUCACCUAUGUGAAGAGAUUAACAUUUUGGGUCCUGUAUUUCUACACAAUAUGUUCCCCUUUGAGAGGUUCAUGGGAGUCUUAAAGAAAUAUGUUCAUAACCGUGCUAGGCCAGAAGGAAGCAUCUCCAAGGGCCAUGAAAAUGAGGAGGUCAUUGAGUUUUGUAUUGACUUUAUUCCUGACCUUAAGCCGAUUGGUGUUCCUGAAUCGCGGCAUAAUGGCAGACUGGAUGAAAAGGCACGCUAGAAGGGGAACAAAUAAUAUGUAUGGACGGACAUUCUCUCACUGAAGCACACUACACAGUUCUACAGAAUUCCGCCUUGGUGGCUCAGUAUAUGGAUGGACACAAUAAUUUGCUACGCUCCAAACACCCGGAGCGGUCUGAUGACUGGAUUACACGUGAACAAACCAGGAGUUUCGCCAGCUGGUUGCAGACAUGUACCAUGCACGACGCCUCUAUUGAAGAUGACCUGUACUUGCUGUCCCAGUUACCAUCUUCGAAUAUAAUGACUUUCAAAGGGUACGAGAUAAAUGGUAAUACAUUUUACACGAUCGCCCAAGAUAAGAAGAGCACCAACCAAAACAGUGGUGUCUGCUUUGAUGCAGAAACCAAGACGGGAAAGGAAACAUAUUAUGGUUAUAUACAGGACAUAUGGGAACUUGACUAUCGACGUGGUUUGAAGGUCCCUUUGUUUCGGUGCAAAUGGGUCAAUAUGACACGAGGCGGGGUAACGGAAGACCCGCAAUAUGGAAUGACAACAGUGGAUCUCAACAAUCUUGCAUAUGCAGACGAACCAUUCGUCCUAGCCAAUGAUGUGGCACAGGUUUUCUAUAUGAAGGACAUGUCUACCAAGCCGAGAAAAAGAAAAGAUAAGGAAGCGAGUGCAUCGUACGAUGAGCCAAAGCGGCACAUAGUUCUCUCUGGGAAGAGAAACAUCGUGGGAGUGGAUGACAAGACAGACAUGUCAGGAGAUUAUGAAAAGUUUGAUGAAAUUGCUCCAUUCACGGUGAAUAUUGACCCGAGCAUCCAGUUAAAUGAUGAAGAUUUUCCAUGGCUACGGCGCAAAGGGACACACGCGAAGAAAAAGUUUCACACCCAAAGAUCUAGGAUGUGAUCGGCUUCACUAUCAUCACUUUCUUCUGUGUUUCACACCCAGGAGGAAAUCUCUGUAAUAGGUAGGGUAGCUAGUUAUGUGUUUUGACAUUUGAAACACCAAGAAAUUUUAUGUGCAAGCAAAUUCUUUCGUGCAUUUACUGAUUUUUUCAGCAAAAUGACCCUAAAAUUGAAAAGCAUUUCAAAUGAACUCAGAAAAGGUUGAAAGUUGGCAUGGUAUCAUAAUUUCACCCACAUAGCAUGUGCAAAAAAAUAGAGAGGGUUACUGCAAAAACUGGAUGCACUUCGUGUACAAAAUGGACAAUCUCUUUCGAAGUAUCAGGGUUUCGGACGAAAACUCGUCCGUUACAAAGGCAUUUCAUUUUUUAAAUAACCUAAGCAUUACCAAAUUGAAUAUAAUGAUAAAACACACUAAUAUUAAACAUAAGAAAAAAGAAUCACUGAAAAAUCUAUUUUCAAAGUUAAGUUAUUCACAAACUAGUGAUUCACACAAAUUUCAAAUAAUUCAAAAUUUAAACUAUUCAAAUUUGUAAACUACCGGUACUAACAGAAAGUUUGUAAUUUUUUGUACCUAAAGCAAAAAUAUUCACACACAAACUCUAAAUACAGCAAAAAAACAACUCUAAAAUAAAUAAAACAAAAAUAAAUAAAGCAAAAAAAAAAAGAAAAAAAAAGCCCACCUACUGGGCCACAGUGGCCUGCAUACGACUAGAAACCCAAAUUCUAGUUGGGCCAGGAUGCAGGCCCACUAGCCCAGUAGAUCCAAUAGGGCAUCACAGAAGAGGUAGGCCCAGAAGGCCUGUUUAAGAGAGGAGCUCGAGACAGCAGCGACGGCGGGGCUUAUAAGUAGGUGCGAGUGCCCCUCGGCUAGCGAGGUGGGACUAAACUUUUGUGCCCCUCGCCUGGCAGCGCAUACCCUUUAGUACCGGGUCGUGGCUCUAACCGGUACUAAAGGGGGGUCUUUAGUACUGGUUGGAGCCACCAUCCGGUACUAAAGGGGUGUCGUUCCCGCCGCUUGGCCUGGCCAAAACAGACCUUUAGUAUCGGUUGGUGGCUCCAACCGAUACUAAAGAUUGUUCUAUAUAAGAAAACACUUCAAAAAAUUGUCAGUUUCUCAUCUCUCCCUGCUUCUUUCUCCUCUGCCCCGUCGCGGCCGCCGCUCGCGGCCGCCCCCGUCGCCGUCCCCGUCCCCGUCGCCGCGCCCCGCCCCGUCCUCCUGUCGUCCCCGCCCGACCCGUCCCCGUCCCCGUCGUCGCCGCCCCGUCCCCGUCGUCUCUGUCUCCGUCUCCGUCCCUGUCCCCGUCCAUAGUCGUCGCACCUCGCCGAUGAGCUGUGCCCCGGCCGCCAACCACACACACACACACACACAUACAUUGUUAUAGAAUUGUUAGCAAUCUUUCUGUUUUUUAGUUAUAGAAUUAUUAGAAAUGUUAGUUUUAGUUAUAGAAAUGUUAGUUAUAUAGAAAUGUUAGAAAUGUUAGUUAUAUAGAAAUGUUUUUUAGUUGAGAAAUAUUAGAAAUGUUAGUUUUAGUUAUAGAAAUAUUAGAAAUGUUAGUUUUAGUUAUAAAAUUUAGAAUUUGCAUAUAUGAAAUCACAAUCCAUCAUUUAAAAAAUGUUACUUUACUUUUGCAGCAUAUAGUAUUUGUUGUCGAUGAUGCCCGGCCCGCAUCCUCGCCGUCGACCCGUUCGCGACGACGUCCUGCUUCAGAGGACCCAUGUCCGGGACUGGGCUCCACCGGGCUGGCACUGGGAGGUGCUACCUUCAGGGGCGCGACGCUUGAUGAGGAACCCGGCCCUGGGUCCCGUCGUCGACCCUCAUCUCCUUUGGUGGCGUUCGCGUGGGCCACUUUCAGUGCGGAGGGAGCCGGCCCCGCCGGAGGUGGUACGUCGCCGUGUCAGGGAGGAGGACGAGCACGUCCAUCACUACAUGGCUGCUAUGGACGUCAGGUUCUCCAAUAGCUGGCAGGUUCUUUUGGGAGAUCACCCGAGCUAUGAUCCAGUGAUGGUUCCUUCACUUUGGGUGUCCACCGCCGUACAUCAGGAACCGCGAGUGGCCUAGAUUACUCUGUAGUAUUCGAUCUUUAUUAGCUUGCUAGCUAGCUAGCUAGUGAUGUAUUUGAUAUUAUAUUUAUUAUUCGAGACGAUGUAUUCGAGAUUAUAUCUAUUAUUCGAGAUGAGGUAUUCGAGAUUAUAUCUAUUAUUCGGGACGAGGUAUUCGAGAUUAUAUCUAUUAUUCGAGACGACGUAUUCGAGAUUAUAUUCGAUGAUGCUUAUUAUGUACUAUGAUUGAUUCAGUUUUUCCUUAUUAAUUGAUUGCAUCCAUGCAUUGUAAUUUGAAUAUACUAGUAAGGUGCCCCUGUGUUGCCACGGGAAAAUAAAUAUAGUUCACAUGACAUAUAUACAUAUAAAUAAUCGAUCAAUCUCUCACCCAAUCCUCAAUUCCCAACCCACCACGUGCCUCCCACAAAAAAAUAUGCUCCUAAACAAGGGUAAUGGCCAUUCUUCAUCCACACACACACACCAAUAGACGCUCAGAUUUGGACAGCCGACAGAUUGGAGUGGCGCGGUUGGCAAAACUAUGGACUUUGCCCACUUUGCAAACGUGUUGGCGAGACGGGUGCACACCUCUUCUACAAAUGCCGCUACACCAUAAGGCUAUGGAACUCGGCCAUCCUUGAAUUCGGUCUAGCGCACAUCGACACCUCCUCUUGGCACUUGGAUGGAUCCGUUUUGGAAUAAUGGGAAAAGCGAACCUGCUUGCAAAACCCAAACCGACGAGCCUUGGUCUCGCUUACAAUGCUUGUCUCUUGGACAAUCUGGAACGAGCAUAAUACUUGGGUCUUCCGACGCAAGAGCGCGCCGCCUCUGGUUCCAUGCUAUCAUCAACAACAUCAAGCUUUGGGUUCUCGCGGGAGCUAAAAAACCGGGGUGUAUUUUUGUGCGCUAGUAGUUGCCAUGUUGGGCAUGUGGGUCAUUUAUAACACUCUAAAACUUUUCUCUCUUAUUUAAUGAAUGAGGCAAAUCUUUUGCCUUCGUUUAGAAAAAAAAUAGACUAAUAAACUAACCAAUUAAAGUCUUCACCUGAAGACAAAACAUGCAUGUACAUGUCGUUGCAUGCCAAAUUGAAAUAUGGAGGUUGUGAAGCCAAAUAACCAACUCUCGUUUGUAAGGAAAAGAAAAUACUUAUGAUCACAUGCUUGUAUUUAGACAUGCUAGGUCCAACACAUGUCCUCCUUUUACAUCAAUGAUCUUCUCUUCUUUACCAUUACUGCCAUCCUCUUUUUCUCCCACGGCCAUCUUCUCUAUAUUACCAUUACAGCCGCUUCCAUUGGUUCAACUCGCCGUCACCGACAACAUGCAACUCAUUUCAAUCAUAUAUACAGUACAAUGUUCAAGGAGCACUCUAGCUUUUAGAUACAUAAUUGUUGAUGUCUAAAUUGGAUCAAGCAUACAUAGUACCUCUGCACAAAUUACACGAGAAUGAUUCUGUCAAAAGAAAUGAUGCAACCAACAGAAUUCAUAUUUUGGCUACAAUAAACAAAGGAUAAAAUUAGCACCAGUGCGGUUCAGAUUACCCGAUCAUAGUUCUUCUCUCGCAUAUGUGGAAAUAGUCCUACUACUUCAGCAUGGAAGCCAGGCACAUCCUUCAUGUAGUAAAUUGUAUGUUCACAAACCUUAUGAACAUUUAAAAAUGUAGCCUGCAUUUUCACAAUCACCUAAACAAUAUUGUUCACCAGAACUGGAUUAAAAAGUAAAAGGGUAUAUGAAAAACAAUCAUACAUUAAAACUUACUGUGCGAACAUCUGAUAUAUGCUCAGAUAGUAGUGUGAUUUGAUCAUCCAAAUUGCAUCGAAAAGUUGAUCUCAAUAUAUCCGUGAAUCCUCAAUCAUUGCCUGGUGUAGAGGAAGAAAUGCUCAAGGCACAUAGACAGGAAAACCAAAUCAACAUGCCCGUUCAAGUGAUUGAUGCCGGUUCCAUCGUUUUAUGUACAGAAGUAUGGCACUGACACUGCAAGAUACAUAAGGUCAGCUGAGACCCGUACAUUGUUUACCAACCGUUCUUUGUAAUGCUUGAGUCAUCCUCGUUCACCUCCAAUCUGAAUGUUUUCCCAACACAAAAAAUUACACAUACGUGCAACUUUAACAAUGUUUGUGUUCGCUUGUCUAGAACAGUUACCAUUCUAGUCGUACAAUUGCAGUUAUACCUUUUGCGUACAUGGUCCUUGCACUUAGGAUUUGAAAUUGUUCCUUUUGCAUAUGGUUGGAGCUGCCCAUUCACCAUCUUCCUCAACAUCCUAGUCGUCGUGAUUGGUUACAUUUAAAUGGCAAUUAACAUUUAUGUAACAACUUGUAUAACUCUACUGAAAAUCAUAUGCAUGCAAAUUUUCAACAGCUAAGUUAUCCCACACGGUAUUUCGCAAAAUGAUUUUUUUAAUGGGUCCAAAUUGAAUGCAAAGUAACCAUUGAUCCACAGAGAAAUCAAAAGGGUAACAAACCAUUCCAUUUUCUUAUUUUGUAUGCUAAUCAUGUAGGUCAGGCAUCGUCACUAAUUGUAGCCUCAAAGUGACACAGGUUUAUUUAACUUUGCAAACAAAGAUAGUAAGAUGGAGACAUCGAGAGGAAGCGAACUAUAAAAUUUCAAUCUUCAUUAUGCAACUAAUAACAAACAAAGCUUAACAAUAUUUUCUAUUUUCUUCUCUCAUGUUUGUCCAUGUUUUUUUAUGCAACUACUCAAGGGAAUGACCAUGUCUUUUUUAGCAGAAAAAGGCUAGAGCUCUGCCAUUUAAUUAAGCAAGAAAAAAAUUACGGACAUCAGACUCCAGGAUAACAUUCAGGGAUAAUCCAUAUGAAUUGCUUAUUGCCUUCUUCCUACUUCCUUGUUCUACUGUCUAGUUGAUACAGUCGUUUACAGGGAGGUCUCCAGGUGAACAUGUUGGUCAUUUAGCUUGGCAAGAGAUUAACUUUAGGGCCUAUUAUUAUGUAGGCAAGCAGAGCAAUUGAGGACAAGUAGUUUCUUUGGCUUGUUGGGUUAUAGGCCUUGUUCCUUUAAAUUCAGAGACGCACUAUAAAUUUUAACCAAUCUCAGCUUCAUGAAUAGGAAGUUCUCCUGCCCUUUUCUUAAGAUUAUCUGGCUGUUGCAUAUGUAUGAUCAAAGACAGAGAAGCACUGCAGAUAUAACAGAAAUAAUGCACUCACACUGUUGUCAGGUUCCUUGUACUUCAAGUAAUGAUGACGCGGCAGGGGGUAACAAUCUCGUACCAUGUUAGGCAGUCGCCGGCGGGCUUGGAGGAGGACCAGAGCACGUUUUUCCUACUCUGCUUUGCGCAUCUCCGCCUCCUCGUUCGCUGCUGCAACAUCUUUCCGUGCCCAUUGCAGGGGGUCGUCCUCCCCGGCUGGGUAUAAACCACCUUAACCGUCGUGGUGCCGCCCCUUCCAGUCAUUCAUCCACUUGUGUAGGACCGCCAUGACCGUUUUGCCUCAUAAGCACAUAAUUCAAAAAUAUAUGGGAUAUAAGAAGUAAGCACCAUUGCUCAUGUUAUAGAAAUAUCUCUUAAAAACAUCACUUUCUCUAUAGACAAUGUAAAGAAAAACUGAUAACAAUUAUUUUCAGCAGACCAAGAAAGAAUGAGGGUUUGCCGAGAAAUACUAAUGAAACUAACAAUUACCAUUGUACGUUCUAGCAUAUUAGAAAUUUCAUUUCAUUUACCAUGUAGUACAAAACCUAAGUUAUUGUCUGGAAGCAUAUACGUCAAAUAAAUAUAGUGGAAAGGACCACAAUGACAUACCUGCAGAAGAGCCACAACUUGAGCAGCAAAUUGCAAAAAAACUUAGUUUGCUUGAGGAAAUAUCACAUGGUAAAAUCUCCAUAGUUCCCUAGAUGCAUAAACAUCAUCACCCUGCAGGCAAACAUGACUUACCAAAGCGGAUCAGUCUACAACAUCCAAACUUACCAAUAAAAGAUCUACAUAUGAUGGGCACAAAAACUCCACGGGCAUGAAUAAAUCCAGAAAAUGUGAAAAGAUCUACACUGUUACGGCAAGCACGACAAACACUUUAGAAAUUUGAGCUUUAGUCAUGCCGCUGCAUAUUUGGAACACCAUAAUGUUAUUCCUACUGAACCUUGUGUCAGCCAUUUGAAUAAUUACAACUAAAAUGGUAUGUGACCUUUUAUAUCUGGCUGAACCUUGUGUCAGCCAUUUAAAUGUAAUACUGUAACAAAUUCCUACUGAACCUUGUGUCAGCCAUUUAAAUGUAAUACUCUAACGAAUUCUAUAUGUGGCUAAAUUGACUACCUAACGUCCAUGCUUAUAUAGCACAAUUGAAGAUUAAUGUCCAUGCUUAUACAGCCCACCUUUCCCCAAACAAGGAUGUACACGAUUAUUUUGUUUCUGGAAAUAUUGUUGACAGUGUACACACACAACCUCAAAUUCUCAACUGGGAAAAAACAAAGCUAAUCAUCACUGAACUAUUGUGCUUCUUUUGCAUCACAUCUCCGUGAAGAAGCUGCCACCGUGGUGGAUGGGAAACUCCCAUGUUGUGCUACAUCUGCAUCUGCAGCAGAGGAUAUGAAGAGAAGGUGAGGUGUAGAGGUGGCAUAUCCCGGCCAAGAUAGAGGGAGGGACGAACCUAGGGCCGCCGGAGACGCGCCGGCGAACCCUUGCCAGAAAUCCUAGCCACGGGGGUGGGGUUGCGAGCGGGUGGUAGAGGCCGGGAGCGGGAAUCUGGACGGACGGGAGGGAGGCGCGGACCAUGGUGAGCUUGGGGGCGUGCUGCGCGGCGCCGGAGCUCGCCGGAAGCGGCCGGCGUGGGUGGUGGCGGCGGCGAGGACUUCGUGGGCGAGAGGAAGAGGAGGCGAGCUUGUGCGUGUGGUUGCGUCUGUUUUUUUUCAUUGCAAAUCUGAUUGGACGGCAGGUUGAAUAUGGCAAACUACAGGGACUCUUUUGCAAGAGUGAAAUGUUUUCUCUGGUAGUUACUUAAAAAGGGAUUGCGGGUUGAAUUCUAAGAAACAAAGGGAUUUUUAUGCAAAAAUGCCCACGACGUACGACCAGAAGCGAUCGCUGGUUUAUUAGUAGGUAGAGAUUUCUUUUGAAUUAGUUAAACAAAGCCUAUGGCGGACAAUACCGGCAGAGAGGGAGAAGAGGCCCUGUUCAAUAUCAUACGCAAUCCUCGCGGGCUAGAUGAUGAUCAGAAUGAAGAAGAUUAUGACGGCUCCGAAUAUCUAAACAACAUCGAGGAGGGUGAUAUGAUAUUCGAUCGCGACGACCGAAUUGAUGAAGUCAUGAACUAUUAACAUGACGAAGAAAAUGUUGAUCUUGAUACAACAAAGACCGGCGAGGUAUAUAUAUUUAUAUAAGCAGGCAUCUGGUGAUCAUCACAUGUUUUAAAUGACUUGAAGAUAUAUUAACGAAUCGAUCUUUCUUCUUUCAGUCAUCCAGAUCGAGCAAAUCUUCAGGCAACAGGAAACGUUGCCCGAAAAAAAAGUUGAAGGAGGGCGUAAAGUACAAUAUCGAGGCCAUCAGACCUAAUGGCGAACCAUUAGCGCUUAAGAAGAUUGCGGACAAGUUCAUUCAUCAGUGUGGAGUUCUUGUGAAGGACCAACUCCUGAUCUCCCUUCAAGAAUGGAGAGAGGCAACAUAGCCACGUCCAGGAGUUACUUUUGUCGAUGACAGACAAAAACUUCUGCUUUAGGAAACGCUCAUGGAACAUUUCACCCUACCAGAUCAUUUCACAGAUGCAGAUGUGGAGAAAGUCAAGGACGCUGCUCUUAGGAAGAUGGCGGUUGCAUUCAAGAACCACAAGAUUCAUGAAUGGGCCAAGUACGUCAACGGAGGAAGGAAGACUCCAGUAUUCGAGGGAACACUAGAGAAGCAAAGUGCUCAUUGGGACGAUUUCAUGAAAUUCAAGGAUUCAGAAUUAUCUAAGGAACGAUCGGGAAUAAACAAGGCCAAUGCCGCAAAAAGGAUAAGUUCCAUAAGCUGGGGCUAGGUGGCUAUGCGGUGGGAAUGCCUAAGUGGGAUAAGUCUGAGAAAAAGAUGCUGGAUGCAGGUGUCACUUCAGAAACAUUGAGCUGGCCCCCCAGGUGCAGGACUUGGUUCUAUGCGCAUGGGAGGGAGUUGGACCCGAAGACAGGCAAAGUUUCGAAGAAGGCAUGUCUGUACGGAGCCAAAGAUAAGCUACUUGUUGCAAUAGAAGAGGCUCGAUCGGGGUUGUUCGAGCCCAACAGAGAGAACGACGAGAUUACGCGUGCCCUGGGAAAUCCUGAACACCCGGGAAGAACACGAGGCAUGGGCGCUAUUCCGUGGUAUGAGGGGUUUUCGGACUGGAACGCCGACUACAGAACCCGUGCGAGAAAGAAGAUUGCGGAGGAGAAGAAGAGGAAGAUGGAGGAGGAGCAGAGGAAGCUAGACUAUGAAUGCCUUCAAGGCCUAGAAUCAGCGCACGCGGACUUGGCAGUCAAAUUCCAGCGGCAGCAGGAGCAGAUCGACUCACUUAGCCAACAAAGGGGGUCUCAACAGCUAGCGGAUGAUCCACCAUUGGAUAGCACCGUCCCAUCCAUGCCGAGAAGCAGCGUGGGUUCCGCCCCGGGUGACGCAUUACUGGAUAGCUACCUAGUGGAUGACAUCAUGGAGAACACUAACUGCGAGCUACACUUCAAAAUGAAGAAUAUAUCCAUGAAGGUGGCGGACGCCCUUGCUUUUACAAAUCCCCCCGAGGCAACCUUUCAUUGCAACCCGAUUCCAGCGGGCUAUACUCGUGUGUUGGUUGAUGAGGUGGUGGGCCAAUAUUCGGGGCUAGAGCUUGACAUUCCUGGAGGUGACGAUGAGCACACACUAGGAGAGGCCAACCAUCGUAUCAUCCUAUGGAGAAAGGAUUGCAUCAUCUUUUGAAGGCCACCGACACCGCGUUAUCCGACUCCUCGUCGCAGUCCACCACCGAGUCAACAGACUCCCGCUCCUCCAAGUCCACCAACGCGUCAGGCCACUCCUCCUCCAAGUCCGGCACAGCUUCAGGCCACUCCUCCUCCUCCAAGUCCGGCAAAGCGUCAAGCCACUCCUCCUCCAAGUCCGGCACAGCUUCAGGCUACUCCUCCUCCUCCAAAUCAGCCACGUUAGCCGUCUUCGUCGCCUCAGCAAUCACGGAAGAGAGCUGCCUCAGCUAUGGUGCGUAGCGGUACAAGUCGAGGUAGUACUGUAGGUACAGGCGGAGGCAAGCGAUUUCAAUAUGGUCCAAGCCUCGCGCCUCUUCCGCAGAGGCCUUACGACAAGUCCGAGGAGGAAAACGUAGCCAUAUCGAAGGCCAAAGUGGAAGCCCAUUUGCACCAAAACCGCCACCGCCGCCAAGGGAGAAAGUGCCUGUGGAAAAGAUUGACCACUUCAUUCGUAUGGCUAGAGCACCAGCUCCCAAGCCUAUUGACACAGACUAUGAGCGCCACAUCAUGAAGUUAAAUCGAGCACGUCUACAGAAAGAGGCGAGCUCGAGCUCGAGCAAAUCAGCUGGCAAAAGGAGCGGUAAAACCGUUCCCCAGCUGGGAGAACAGGCGGCGCAAUCAAUCCCCCCGCUUGUUGUGCCAACAACACAUGAGAGUAAGCGCGCCCAAUAUUAUUGUGGGCCGGGCAAACCAUUAACGUUCCCGGGGUGGGCGAUGUGGUAAUAACCGUGGAGCAUAUUGCGCAGGCUGAAUUGAUCGGGAUCACUGUUGGACAACUCCUCGAUAUCGAGCCCAUGUCUCCGACUAGAGAGGAGGAAAUAAAACGGAAAUAUGCCCGGGGCCAACCUUUGGUCGAGCCAGAGGAGGUCAAUAAGCUCCCAACGAGAAUGUAUGAAUUGCAUCAAUGGUACAUGGACAUUACCAAGAUUUCCAAUCGAGAGUCCCUCAUGGUGAAUGUCAACAAGGAUUAUUACUACCAUGAGAGUAUUCAGAACUAUUUCAGCUAUACAAUCAAGCCGCACUCGACAAAUCUAUCGUAAGUUGCUAUUGUCUAUAAGUGAUUUCAUUCUUUAAUUUAAGUCUCAAGCUAGCUGUAGUGAUCAUUUUGAUCAAUCAUUACCUGUAAUUAUCCUUACUAUAUUCUUUUCUAUGGUAUUAUGCAGGAUGAAGAUUUAUGAAAUGAAAAAUGUGGACGCUAUGGCAUUGGGUUCGUUGACCCAAAUAUCAUUAAUGAAUACACAUGGAAAAUAGAUCCAUAUCACGAAAAAAGUGUAGAGGAAAGCAUGCUACAGUUCUUCAAGGAACUCAAAUACAAUAAAGAUAUACUACUUCCUUACAACUUCCACUGAGUCACACUAUCUUGUACUACAAAUUCUGUUUUUCCCUACUACCUAGCUACAUGUUUUUGCUUACAUAUGCCCGCUUAAUUAAGACAUGCAAACGUGUGUGCAUGCAGAUUUCACUAGAUCUUGUUAAUCAUUAAAGUUGAUGAAGGAACAGUUGAAGUACUAGACUCACUACUUAAGAAAGCAAGUCACUACACCAUCGUGAAGGGGAUAGUCAAGAGGUAAUUUCAAUCAUUAUUAACUAUAUCUUGGCCUAUUUAAUUAGUUCGUCAUUUCCUGAUAACAACUAUUUAAUAACCCAUUUAUUCAUUUUCUUUGUCGGCGGGCAGGGCUUGGGCAAAGUUCAUCAGGGCCACUCCAGGCCCAUGGAAACAAAAUCUGAAAUGAUAUCGACCCAAGGUAAGUAAUUAAGUAGUACUAGCUAGCUGCCAUCUCUUGAAUUAUCAUGCUUGAUUAAUUAUUAUCUGAUCAAAUUUCAUUCUCGUAAAGGCCUUGAAGUAGGCGUCGGGGAAUGAUCUAUGUGCAUACUACGUUUGCGAGAACAUUCGCAUGAUGGCGUCCGAAAGGAGCAAAUCUCAAAGACAGGAGUGGGUACGAUAUUGAUUGUCAGAACACUAUUCACAAUUUUUACACCAUUAUGGAUAUCUAGUCACACAACUAAUACACAUGCAUAUUGAUCUCCUUCUUAACAGUUCAAUGAGGUGUGGGACAAGCUCCUAGCACAGGACCACAAAGAAGCAAUUCAAGAGGAAAUAGCGGGAUUUUUGCUCGACCAGGUCAUAGAUCCCAAAGGAGAAUACUAUUACCCGCUACCGUCCCCAUGAAUCACUACCAAUUGUUAUCGUGCUCCGAAGGCACCAAUUAGCUAGGCUAAUGCAACUGGCUCCGAAGGCACCAAUUAGGAGAAAUUGUAUAUNNNNNNNNNNNNNNNNNNNNNNNNNNNNNNNNNNNNNNNNNNNNNNNNNNNNNNNNNNNNNNNNNNNNNNNNNNNNNNNNNNNNNNNNNNNNNNNNNNNNNNNNNNNNNNNNNNNNNNNNNNNNNNNNNNNNNNNNNNNNNNNNNNNNNNNNNNNNNNNNNNNNNNNNNNNNNNNNNNNNNNNNNNNNNNNNNNNNNNNNNNNNNNNNNNNNNNNNNNNNNNNNNNNNNNNNNNNNNNNNNNNNNNNNNNNNNNNNNNNNNNNNNNNNNNNNNNNNNNNNNNAAAAUACCAGCAAACGAAAAAUAAUUAAAUCGAAAACACAAAAUUAAAUGAAAAAGAAAUCAUAAAUCCAACCCCCCCAACCUUUUAAUACCGGUUGGUGACACCAACCGGUACUAAAGGGCUCCCUAUCCCCGAAGCUGACUCGUGUCACGUGGUUGCCCUUUAGCACUUUAGCACCGGUUACCAAACCGGCACUAAAGGGCCUUACAAACCGAUGCUAUUGCCCGGUUCUGUACUAGUGUUGGUAGUUACAGGUUGUAAAAGAUUCAUAAGAGCUUCCCAAUCAAUUGUUUCAUUCAUCGUGAGCGAUCGAAGAAAACCCACGUUGACACUACCGGAUACAAACACAUCACUAACCAGAAUGUGGGGAUCUGCCCUGAUGACAAACAGAGAGGGAAAGGAUGCGUAAAGAUUGCGCAAAAAAAGGAAAGGAUGCGUAUAGAGGUUUGUCUAGAAUCCAUUUGGCCAACAAGAAUUUGGUGUCAAGACGGUUCCCCUUUGGUGUUACAAGCAAAGAAAUAAGAGCUGCGGAAAUAUUUGGCUUUAAGUAACCGCGCCCAAAGGCAGUCGUCGUCCAGUGAGAUUUUCCAAAUCCAUUUGGUAAUAAGGGCGAGGUUCAUCUUUCUAGAAUUCAGAAUCCCAAGGCCUCCUUUAUUUUAUGCAUGCCUAUCUAACCAUAUGAUAUUUGCAAGUAAAUAGCAUAAAACUACUAUUUUACACGCUAUGGUUUCAAAAAACUAUCGGUUUUUAAUUUUUCUCAGAUAACUACUAAGUGGGUAUUCGGCUGUUUAAAAAACCCCAAAAUCUUUGUUGUUGAAAAAUUAAGCAAGUUUAUGACAGGUCGGGCCCGCACCUAAAUGAUCCGUCUAUUUGACCGUUAACUGACAUGUGGGCCCCACAUGUCAGUGUCUUGAAACUUUUCAAAAAUGCCAUCGGGUCCCUGCAAACUUUUCAAAAACACAAUCGGGUCCCUGCAAACUUUUGAAAAAAGCAAUCGGGACCUCCCGUGGUCAUGCGCCAGCAGCGGCCGUGAUGGUCGCCGGCCAGUAGCCAUGGUGCCGAUGUGGAGCUCUCUUUCGUCACGACCAGCAGCCAUGGCGCCGCCGUGGAGCUCCCUUCCUUCGUAGGCGCUGUCGUGGAGCUCCCUUUCGUUGGGACCAUCCAUGCCGGCGGGGUAGCGCCUUUGGCCGGUGGCGUCAUGGCUCCGUGUAGGGCGGCACAUCAGACGCCAUGGCUGCAGGCCGAGGCUAGCGGCGUGUUAGGGGAGAAGAUACCACGAUGAGGAGAAGAGGUUCCAGGGGGAGGGGGCAAUAGUGGAGGCGGAGGAGCGGCCGGCCGACACCGACGAGGUGGAAGGAGGGGCGACCGACGCUGGGGAAGGAGGCGACCGGCGUUGAGGGAAGGAGCGGCGGCCGGCGCUCCAUCGACCUCCUGGGGAAGAAGAGAGGCAGGAGGAGUAAAGAGAACGAGGAAGAGAGCUGACAUGUGGACCCCACAUGUCACUUAACGGUCAAACAGACGGUUAAACAAUCAAUUUUCUUACGUGCGGGUCCCAAUUGUCAUAAUCACGAUCAAUUGUAAAGCACUAGAUGUUUUGAGUUUUUUUAAACAACCGACCACCCACUUGAUAGUUAUCUUAGAAAAAUUAAAAACUGAUAGUUUUUUUGGAACCCUAGCAUGUAGAGUAAUAGUUUUAUGCUAUUUAUUCAAUAUUUGCAUUUUUGGGAUCGACUUCCUAGAAAAAUCUAGCCCGCACUUUCCCAAAUUCAGACUGUACCCCUUCUAAACAAGCCCAUGACAAAGGUAGGAAUCGUAGAGAGACACGCGUUAGUCAGCGUAGGACGAGGCGCAGAAGACAUGAGCUUCACUUGCCACAGAUCACAUAUUUCAACAGUCUUCUCCCCGGUAGGAUCCCACUCCGACUCCACAGUGAUUUUGUUAGCGCAUGGUUGCCCAAGGUAGCUAAUGGGAAAAGAACCCUUAGAACAGUUUAGGAGAUCCGCUAUCCAUUGACCCGCUUCCUUGUCCUUCCAAUGGAAAUCGCUCCACUUUUUGAGUAGUUGGUUUUUAACCCUAACAUCGCCACAAAGCAGAUGAGCAGAAUCUUGACCGUGGCUAUGCUUAGAGAAUCCGAUUGAAAGAAAACCACCAAGUCGUCAGCGUAUUUGAGAUAGUCACAUCUCCAGGGAUAGGAUGAGGGACGACCUCUUUAAGGUGGCUGGCAGCCCUAACCUUGUCUAAGAUGGCAGAAAACGAGUAUGCCACCAUGUCGAAGAGCAAGGGGAGAUGGGAUUGCCUUGGCGCAGACGACAUUUGUUUUGGAAGAAGGAACCCACCUCUCCGUUAGAAGGAACCCACGAUAGUAUACUACAAGUAGUAUGCUCGUACCUUCACAAGAGAGGAGCAGUCUCAGAAACAGAAACUUGGACUGAAACCUCUGAAAUACUCUGAUCUACUUCUUCUAUGCUGCUACUGCACCUGAAAUUAUAGCAGAAAUGGAGAUAAUACUACAAGAGUAUGCGGUUCCUCCUCUCUAAGUAAGGGGUGAACAAUCCGUUGCCUGUUGUCUUCAUACUCUCCACAUGGCCCUUUGCUUCACGCUGUUUUCUUGCCUCUUUACCGAAUCAUGAAACACAGGCAAUAUGCUAAUUUCUUUUGCUUUUCCUAAAGAUGAUUUUCCACCUUGCAGGUUUUCAUGGGAUUCGGCGGCUUAGCACAGAGCAAGAUAUUGACAUUAGGAUUUGCAUUUUUUUUGACAGAAUCUGGGAGUCUGACAAUGUACACGGUGAUUUUUCUGCCUUGCCGGGUACGGUUUCGACGCGUACAGCCACAAGGCACAACGGCCGUAUUACCCAGGCUUCAGUUAAGAGCGGAUAAUGCGAAGCGUCUAAACCAAUAAUAGACAAGCCUAUAUGUUCAUGGCCAUUACAUUUCUAGCACAGCAAAUGCCCCCGUACUGGCACCUGCCAACAAAAUCCUACGUUAAGCGCAAGCUUAUAUGAUGGACCAAACACGCAUACACCUGGCACUUUUUUUUCCAUCAAAGCUUACUAUUAUAUUUCACUUUCAGAUAUUAAUACAAAUAUACAAUUCCUCUGUGGUCAGCAGAUCCAAAGCUUUACUGAAUCAUUAGCUACGGCAAAACCAAAUAAAGAAUUUCACAAAGGAAGUGCUUUGCAAAAUACCAAAUGCAUAAAUUCAACUAGAGAUCACAUCAGUAACUAAAUACCAAAUGCAUAAAGUCAACUAGAGAUCACAACAGUAACAAGUCCCACUGAACCUUUUAGUACACUAGCAGGUUGACAAUAUGCACUAAGAUUUCGGAUAACAAUAAUAACUGAUUGUUAUGGAUAACAGGGCCUAUCACAGUACAGUUUAACCCCAUCAAACUAAGGCAUGUCCCGAAUAACAGCCAGUGCUGGGCAAACAAGAACAAGUGUAACAACUUUCUUUGAAAAUGAAAUGAUGCUUAAUCUGUAGGUUGACCAAGCGUUGCUCUGAAGUCUGAACUAUAAAUCAAACAAGAAGAAGUAUAAGCACCAGCAAUGUGGGCGGCCAUGAUUGAAGCAGAUUCAGAGGUACACAGACAAUUUUUUCAGACGAAAGAAGAGCCAGUUUUUGGGAGGAAACACAGGGGUGGUUUGAAGGUAAAGCUACUACCCCUCAGCAUCUGCUAAUGGCUCUGAGAACAGAGGAACAUAGGGUAGAAAUUUGUGCACACUGUUUUUCUCAAGAUUAAUGAUACAGCCAACUUUCUGAUGCCACAUGUGACAUGUCAUAUGAUAUCAAGGUAUCACCUCCACAAUGAGCCAGGAAAAUUGUGUCGCAAUCUGGAUGAAUCUCAACCACCCUGUACUUCUCCCCAGUCAUGCUCAUAAGCGUAUCGAUGCUGGCAGUAUGCUUCAGGACCCAUUGUUAACUGUCCCAAUCCUUGAAGCACCAGAGUGCUAUCUCAGAAACUAGGAUUUCAUUGUUAUUAUUGACAGAAGCUAUAGCAUAGUGUAAGCACCCCUGCGACAAUCCAAUAGUACCAAAUUUUGAAUCGUACGGCACACGGAUAGUCUUCCACACUUUCCCCUCCAUGUCCACCCCCACCAGCACAUACUCACCGUUGAUGUCCACCACGUUACCCAUGAUGUACAACAUACCACCAACAAAGACACAUUUACUCCUGAACAGGGUAGCUUUCUAAACUAUCCCACUGUCUCUAUGAAUCCAGGUUCCUGUGCGAGACGAGUAGAUGUUCACUCCUGCGAUCAAAUUUUUCGGAAAGGUCCG